This 192636-nucleotide long non-coding RNA is filed under the name Gossypium raimondii (Peruvian cotton). Its description in RNAcentral is "long non-coding RNA (GRAI_LNC005929)". The stretch from base 151978 to 152064 matches the Rfam family "MIR7486 microRNA precursor family". The record is from RNAcentral. Lineage: Eukaryota; Viridiplantae; Streptophyta; Magnoliopsida; Malvales; Malvaceae.
UGGAAAUGAAAAAGUUAGGAGAGAACAUGGUUAAAGAUUGUGCAGGGCUUCCAUUAGCCAUUGUUGUAUUGGGAGGAAUUUUGGCUACAAAGAAUAAUUCAUUAAACGAAUGGCAAAAGAUAUCUGACAAUUUAAAAUCAUACUUGAAGAGAGGCAAAAAUCAAGGACCAGAGGAUGUGUUAGCAUUAAGUUAUGAUGAUUUGCCUCCCUAUCUAAGACCAUGUUUCCUCUAUCUAAGCCUUUUUCCGGAGGAUUAUAUGAUAGAUGUGGAUAGAUUGAUUCAAUUAUGGGUUGCUGAAGGUAUUGUGUCAUCAAAGCAAGAAGAAAGAGACGGUGGGGAAAUUGCGGAAGAUGUGGCGGAAUCUUAUUUAAUGGAGCUUGUGGAAAGGUGCAUGAUUCAAGUACGAGAAAGAGAUGUGGCAACCUUAAAGGUCAAAACAAUUCAGAUGCAUGAUCUGAUGAGAGAUCUUUGCUUAUCAAAGGCAAAACAAGAAAAUUUUGUCUUCAUUGUCGAUCAAUCAAAUGCAUCUUCAUUAUCUAUGAUUCGGAAGGUCCGUAGGGUUUCUGUGCAUGAGUUUUUUUUUCAUACAAUGCAUUAAAAGUCCAAAUAUUCGGUCACUUUUGUUCUUCAAUGAGUUCUUUCCGGAGGAGGAAUUAGACAAAUCUUUUCCCUUGGAAGUGUUGAAUUCACUGUAUUUGAUUCUUAUGAUUUCGCGAGCUGGUAUGGGACUCCUUAAAAUUCGGGGAAUUUAGAGAUACAUGUUCAACAACUUCCAAUUGCUAAGAGCCCUAAACUAUGAGAGAACAACAGGUGAUCGUUUUGCAGGGUUUAAGUUACCUAGUGAUAUAGGUAAUCUCAUCCAUUUAAGAUUCUUGAGUCUAAAGGAUCUUGAGUUCUUAUGGCCAAAGUUGCCAUCAUCUCUAGGAAACUUAAGGUGCUUGCAAACCUUGGAUUUAAGAGUUGAUCGUGACAAAAUUCAUGUACCUAAUGUGAUAUGGAGGAUGGAGCAACUAAGACAUUUAUAUCUCCCUUCGAGAUGUGAAAGCAGUACUAAGUUGAAGUUGGGUACUUUGAGAAAACUCCUAACACUUGUGAACUUCAACACCAAGAAUUGUUAUCUGAAGGAUCUUAUCAACAUGACAAAUCUUAGAGAGUUGGGGAUAAAUUUGCCCUUCAAUAUUGAAAAUUUCAAUGAGGAGUUGGGCGAGAAUCCACCCAUAAUCGGAAGUAAAUAUCUUCAUUCCUUGUCUAUUAUUACCUCUGGGUACGAAUCAAUAGAUCCAAGACAUUUGGCCCAUCUCCUUUCAAAUUGUACAAGUAUUUGCAAGUUGAGUAUAGCAGCAGAGAUAAGUAAGUUACCAGAGUAUCACUACUUCUCUUCACAUCUCACUUACNNNNNNNNNNNNNNNNNNNNNNNNNNNNNNNNNNNNNNNNNNNNNNNNNNNNNNNNNNNNNNNNNNNNNNNNNNNNNNNNNNNNNNNNNNNNNNNNNNNNNNNNNNNNNNNNNNNNNNNNNNNNNNNNNNNNNNNNNNNNNNNNNNNNNNNNNNNNNNNNNNNNNNNNNNNNNNNNNNNNNNNNNNNNNNNNNNNNNNNNNNNNCUCUUCAGCGAUUGGAUAUCAGGCAUUGCCCAAGCUUGAAGAUGCUUCCAGAGGGAUUGAGCUCCAUUACAACCCUCAAAGAACUGAAGAUUGAAUCAAUGCCAAAGGCAUUCAAAGAAAGAUUGGAGAAAGGAGGAGAAGAUUUCUACAAAGUCGAACAUGUUCCUUCUAUCAUAUUCCAAAACAUCUGGUAGAUUGACUGAUAAUUGAGAGGUAAUUUCAUAACCUCUAGUUUAGGAAAUGAUUCCUACUUUCUUUGCUUCUUAUAUAUCUUUCGUUUUUGACAUUGUCUCACAUUCUCACUCCAUUUGUCAACACACCAAUGAAUAAUUACAUUUAUUAAAAGUUAAAGGAAGUCGGACAUUGAUCUUUUUAGUUUUGCUUUUCAGGUAAAGACGCCAUUUUUUCACCAGCUACUGCUAUUCACGGGAUCAAAUCUAGAUUUAAAACUCCUAUUAUAAGUGGCGUGUGAAAGUGUGUUAUAUUGUGAGAUUUGGAAUUAUCUUCUCGCUUGUUGACAUCAGACUGGUUGAAUGUUUGUUAUUUUCUUCAAAUUACAAUAAAAAGGUUGCAAGAUAAGGUACGGGAAGAAAGGGAGGUGUCUGGAUUAGCAAGGUACCAAACCCACAUAGCUUUGGUUUACGAUCACCAUUCCUAUCUUUAUUUGUUAGCUUUGCUUUCUCUUUUUAUUUUUUUCUUUUUUUAUCUGUACUUAAUGUAAUAUUAGAAGAGAAGGCAGGACCAUGCUUUUCUAGUUCCAUUGUAAAAUUCAUCACUUCGUUGUCAAUGUUCAUUUCUACUCUUCAGUUUUACUUAAAUAUAAUUGUUUGAUAUAUAUAUAUAUUUAUAUAUAUAUAUAUAUUUGAAUAUGGAUACACGAUAAGAGAAUAUAAUAUUUUUAAUAUUUUCUGUCAUCCUUAACUCAAUAAUCUUUGUUAAGAUAUUAUACCAGGUUCAAUGGUUGCACUUCAUCCCACACUUUCAAAGCAAAAAAUAGGAAAAAUUAAAUAUUACCAACUAAUAACACUUCCAAAUUACAUUGUCUUACAAAAAAAAAAAAGAUACAAUUUGAAUUUUUUUAUCAACAUUUGAUGGUUUAGCAAGCUAUGCUUUAUAAAAGGCAAAGGAAUCUAAGGGAAAAAAAGAUUCCAAUUCAAGAUUUUGUAUCCCCAUGCUUUGCUUCUUAUAUCUACCAACAAUAUCUUGAUGAUAAUAAACUAAAAAAAAAAAAAAAUUCAAGGGAAUCAAAGAUUUCAAAUCCAACUUAAUCGAUUGAAAAUUUCACAUCCACUUAAUUAUUUCAAAUGAUAUUUAUUCAAUAAGUUUAAAUCAAAAACCACAAGAAUCCCCAUUUAUCUUUUAUUCAAAAUGUAAAUCGGAUUCAAUGAAAAUAUUGAACAUAUAAUGUGUGCACAUGGAAAUGUCCAAAUCUUUAAAUAUAGGGUCGACAUGGGAGAAAUCUCCUAAAGAUUUAUAAAAUUCAAUAUGAUCCUAUUAUUUUCGUUAUAAAACUCAAUAUCUUAUUCGGAUUAGGAUACGAGCGAAUAACAGAUAACUAUUUGUAGUUCAAGGUGUGAUAAAAUCUCAGUAGCUAAGAUAUGAAUGUUGCAAAAUACCAUACAAAAUCACAGCCACAUUUGUUAGUAUGACUAUUUUGGGUAAUCAAAGGAAAAAAAUGUUAGCUGUUGAGCAAACAAGGUGAACAGAUUAGAUAUUCCAAUUACGUUCAAGCACUUGACAAAUCCUUUCUGCAAUGGCUUCAGCACGCAUCCUAGGACCUUCAUCAGCUGCAAAAACCGACCAUUUCUAACAACUAAGCUAACAUCACACAUGAUAAUAUAUGUAUAUAACUUAUAUAGAAGAUGAUUAUGUGGAUUAAAAGCUAUGCUAGUUUGACUCAAUACAUGACCAUGGGACAUGCUCGAUUCAUCAAUAACGAUAUGAAAAUACUUGGAAGAAAAAUUAAAUACAUCAAUAUCUAACAUUUACAUCUGAGUUCGAGUAAAGAAAACAUGUCAUUCAAUCUAAACAUGCAAAAUAUCCAAAACUCUUGAUGAGUGUUAGAUAAAAAUAUGUAGAAUGUACCCAAAAUACCCAUCUCGAACUCAGUAGAGAAAUAUCUAGCACUCAAAAGACACUACCUUCAACCAAGAACAAGCAAGUUUCUUCAAAGGCUUGAUAUACUUUCUUCACAGCCAUAUAUAUGUUCAUAUACCCAUAUUAAGGAUGAUUGUUUUGGCAAAGAGGAUGAAAAGAUAGAAAGAAAACCUUUAAUCCAAUGACAAUAUUUGAUUAUAACAACAUGACACAUAUAAUUGUGAUUAAAAUUGCGGUCACAAAUACGUUUGCAAUCACAUCAUGUUAAUGAAUACUAUUGCAAUCAAUUGCAAUAAAUAUCCACAACAACACGAGCCACAAUCCUAAAACAACAAAGAUAAUACAUUACAGCUGUUAAGGAAUUUUCAAUAACGUAUAUACCUGCAAGAUUUUCAGUGAUGACACAAUAAAAUUCACCACCAGACAACUUCCCAAUCUAAUGAAAUUUUCAAACAUAUCAUGUCAUAAGUUUCAAGAUCAACUGAAACAUGCGGAUACCAAGUAUGAUAAGAAAUUAAAUUAAGGAUUUUCUACUGCAAACCUACCACGAAAACAUAAUUUUUAUUAGGAUCAAAGGCAUAGCCCAUCAUGGCAGCAUUAUUGAGUCCAUUUUCAGAGGAAAAUCCUGAAACAUGUUACAGGCAAAUAUUAAGAAAAACAACGCACAAGCAUAAGUAUAAAAAACCUAGCAUGUAAGAAAUCAAUACUUGAAAGGACUAAAAUCACUGCUAACCUAAGACAUUGAAUCUAGCACCACUAGGAAACAUCCGAAAUGAUACUUGUCUUUCAAUGUUGAGAUACAUAGGUCCAAGUCUGCCAUGUUGCGCCAAACGGGAAUUCAUCAACCUCUUGAGAACCUAAAGGAUGAAAAGUUCCAGUCCAAGUUAUAUAUAUACAGACACACACACAGAUAGACAUGAAGAAAGUGGGUUAAUGGUGUAUUAUUUAAGUAAAGAAAAAGUUGAAAUCUUGAACCUCUAAAUAUUGGGUAACAGCGAGUGUUAAAAGUGCAUAAAGUUCUGCUAUUAUCUACAAGAAACAAUGGAGGAAUCACAUACAUUGUUUAUAUUCACUUUUGUUGCUACACAAGCAAGCUGAGUCCAUAAACAAAGGCAUAUCUUUUUCUCCGUUUUUAAAUGGUUUUCUUGUUUUUCGGCUGCUUUUUAUAUUAAGAGACAGAGAUUGUGAGACCUCGUCAUUCUCAAGGAGAAAGUGGUCAAGCAUGAAGAUGAUGGGAAGACCACGAGUCGAUGGUGGUCGAUCCAUGAGUUGAUUAUGAAUAGUUUCAUGUUAUUAAAUAAAAAUGUUAGCUAAAGUUAGUCGAACGCUGUGUUUUAGGGCCGAGGGUUUAAUGAAACUAUAAGUUUUGAUGUUGAAUAAAAAUGGUGCGUAUUGACUGUUUGUUACAGCUGCUCGAGGAACAGCCCUAUAACAGACUUUGUAGCUGCCAAUUCUCAGCCAUAAUAGAAACUGGCAUGGGAAAUGAGCAGAUAUGCCAUUUUGUGAAGGAAAUCAAUUCUUUCUUCUUCCUCGAUUCUCUUUCUCUUCUCUCUUUUUCUUUCUUCCUCUAUUCUGUUGAAAUUAUGCAUCACUUCACCAGCAUUCAUCAUUGUGGACGUAUCUGAUCUUCAGUCUCUGGUUUACUGCCCAUGUAAAGUUAUGGAAAGGAAUGCAAAUUUAAAAGGUUUUCUUGCUAUAGUCUAUGCAAUUUCAUGUGUGGGUGAAAGGAGAUGAAGAUUAAUAGAGUAAUAUUGAUAUACCAACAAUUCAUUAAUUGAAGUACUAUCAAUAUUAUCAACAAGUAACAGAAUUAAGUGAGUACACUAAUAUAGUCUAGAAAAACAAUUUAAUUAAUAAUACCAUAGGGAUGGCAACGGGGUUAAGUUGCUAUUGCUAUUCAUAUCCCUGCCGCUAGCUUUUGACGACUUCACCAAGUAAACUGCAAUCACAAUUGUUGUUCUUAUUACCUGCAAAAACACAGCCAACAAUCUGAAUCCAUAUCCCCAUUUUAGGAACAAAUGCAUGGUGUACCAUUUGUUUCGAAGCCAAAUCAAUUUUCUUAUUUUUUCUUGAAGUAAAACCUUAUCUGACACUUAUAUUCAACACAUAUUCAUGUAUUGGUAUGAAGAUAUGACACUCUUAUCCUAUACUCGUAUCCGUGCUCAGGUAACAUAAGCUGAACCCGCAAGAUAACUGAUUUAACAUCGCAUUGCUGCUAGCUAUUGAUGAUUCCACCAAGUAAACUGCAAUCACAAGUGUUGUUCUUAUUCCUUGCAAAAACACAGUCAACAAUCUGAAUCCACAUUCCCAUUUUCGGAACAAAACCAUGGCGUACCAUUUGUUUCAAAGCCCAAUCAACUUCCUUUACCAUCUUCCCCUUACAAAAACCAUGAAUCAACUUCUUGUAUGAAUCAAAACUAGGAUUAACCCUCUCGAAAACCAUUCUCCCUAUAAUCUCCUUUGCUUCCAUAAACCUCGCAGCAUCAAGCAAACCGUACAACACCUCUUGAUAAGACCCUGCAUUGGGAUAACACCCUUUCUUUUUCAUAAUUUCCAACAGCUUCACACCUUCAUCAGUCCUACCUUGUUUCCUAAGACCUGAGAUCAAGAUAUUAAAGCUAACAGCAUCAGCAUCGAUUCCUUCCGUUUCCAUCCUCCCCAUCAACUCAAAAGCUUCAUCAACCUUCCCCUUAUCGCACAACCCGUGCAUUAAAGUAGAAUAAGUUCUAACAUUAGGCUUACACCUUUGUUUAGGAAAUUCAUCGAGCAGUUGGAAUGCAAACUCUAAUUUCCCAUUUUCACACAACCCUUUAAUGAGAAUAUUCAGAGUACAAGCUUCGAUUUCAACACCCAAAUUGGGAGCUUUCCCAUAAACCUCGUGAACAACAUCAAAUAGUUUGUUCGAUACGAGUAAGCUCAAUACGAUAUUGAAGGUUUUAACACUAGGCCAAGUCCCAUAUUCUGGCAUGCUAAAAAGGAUCUCGAUUGCCCUUUUGAUUCGACCUCCGACAUGCCCAUACUUUUUAAUCACAUGCUGGAAGAAUUCAUCGGAUAAACGACAGGCUUUUUCACGUUUGAGCUUUUCCAUUAUAUUUUCAAUGGAAUCAAAAUCCUGGGCAUAUGCGAGCUUGUUGAUGAGCAAAGUGAAGAGAGGUUCAGUUGGUUUAUAAUCCUUGCGAGCUGAGUAUUGGGCUAGGACUGAAAUGAGAGAGUUUGGAUCUUUAAGAUUGUCAAAGAUUUUGAGGAUUUCGGUCGGGGAGAGCCAGUCUUUGUGGGUUAGUUUGAAAAGGGGAGGGGAAGUGGUGUGGGUUGGUUGAUGGUAGCUGGAAAGUGAGGAGAAAAACGAAAGGGAUUUAAGAGAUGAGAUUUUAGUGGUCAUUGGAUGUUGAAAAAGUGAGGGAAAAUUUUGGGGGUAAGAGCUUUUGACAGAAGAAAGAAGGGAACGUGAAAUCAUGCGUUUGGCCAUUGGAGAAUGUAGAAACUGGAGAGCUAAAAGCUUUGUGCUAUUCGCACUAUAAACAUAUAUAGGGUAAGGGACAGGCUUAAUACUUGUUUUGUCCCCUGUAAUAUAGUAAAAAAUCUCAUUUUGACCCUUUUCCUUUACUUUGUCUGUUUACUUUCAUUUCGUCCAUUGCCUGCUUACUUUCAUUUCGUCCAUCAUGUUAGUCUAUUGAUCAUUUCCGUAAAUCCCAUGUGUUAGGGUUCCUAUAUUAUAGUAUUCAUCCAUAUACUUUAACCCUCCACGUAGUCGCAAUCAAUUGGCUUAAAUGAUCGAGGAUCACUAUAGUAUAAGGACCAAACGUAAACAUGCACUAAUUUUUUUAUACAGAAAUGGUCAAAGGAUUAAAGUGAUAGAUGAAAUGAAAGUAAAGGGCGCAAAGUGAUUGGAAAAGUAGUAAAAUGUUGGAAAAUAUUAAGAGAUUGUAUGAUGCAAAACUUAAAUAAUUUAUCUACUGAAAUUUUGAGGUGUAUUAUUUCGAAGUAAUGAAUCAUUGUUAUUUACAACUAUAUAUUAUAUCUCUUUGAAAUGUACAAAUANNNNNNNNNNNNNNNNNNNNNNNNNNNNNNNNNNNNNNNNNNNNNNNNNNNNNNNNNNNNNNNNNNNNNNNNNNNNNNNNNNNNNNNNNNNNNNNNNNNNCUUCUUCUUCCCUUCAAGAAUUGGUUGGAUUUGGAGGUGCCUAUUGAAAGCCUGGUUGAAAAGGAAUCGAGUUUGGAAUGCCGAAAUGAUCGGAAGCCAUGCCAAUAUAGCAAUUGGAGAGAAAAGGAUCGAUCCCAUUCCGUAAUCAUAUGCCUUAGCUAGUACCUCAGUGAACUGCCAGAGUCCGGUGUUCUCAGUAAUUGGCCUCACAGCUUGAGCAACCUGAAGGGAACUAAAAUGUCAGAGGGAAUAAGGCAAAAGAUGCAAACUCUAGACAAAUACUAUAUGCUGGUCCUCUAAAUAUAUGAACAAAUUUAGAAAAGAACUUGGGUAUGCCCGUAUUUGAUACUUAUUCUUGAAUUCGAGUAACAUAGUCAACUAGACAUACCAAAAUCAGACCCCAUCCAGUCGGCAGAAAUGCAAGACAGCAGACAAGUAAAUCCUUGGACGACAGUUCACAGAUGACUGAGAGAGUGAUAACAAUGGCGAAAACACUUAGGAAGAGGAAUGCUUUAAAGAACCUAAACAUCAGAUGGUAACGAGCACUGAAGAGUUGCCUUCCAACGUUCACUGCCUGUAUGUCAUGUAGAGAUCAAGUUAUCCGUGCAGAAAAUUCAAGGCUACUUCGGAAUUUUCAAAAUAGAACUCAAUAUACUUGAGUAUUAUGAUACUUGAAUGAAUUUUACCUUGACCGUCAGGAAAACUGCAAGAAUCACAACCCAGGAAAGCAUAUAAACAAGGAAAUUUUUGCUCUGUUGGGAGAUGUCAAGAUGAUACACCAAGCCAUACUGAUACAAGAAAAACCGAAUCGAAAGAAGAAUUUCGAACAAUCUAGCACCAUAUCCUGAACGACGAAGGUGAGCUUGUUCAUCAUUCCACCAAGAUUGCCAACUCUUGUUUUGCUGAAUCCCAAUACCACCUUUCUCCUUGAUCCACUUAUUCCAGCCUUUCCAAUCAUCUACAAUCUUGUCCCAAUCGAACCCGGAAGGAUUAAACAAAAAUGGUGCAAAUAACCAAGUCAUGGUCAUGAACCAAACAGAGUACGUGAUUAAUACAUAUGCCAUGCUACUCUGGUAGGACCUCCGGAACAAAUCGUAAACCACUAACAGGAGCAACAGUUCAAAUCCUUUAACAAAGUGGCUUCGUGAAUACAAUCUGUAGUUCUCAGUAAAGCUGGCAUGAAACACCACAACCUUACGUCCGGUAGGUAUAUACUUAGCUCCGCCAUACAUAAUUGUCCGACCAAAAUGAUGGGUUUUUGUCCCAAGGGAAAAAGUGAAGAAAACAGCAGCAAACUGCAGUUGCAUAAGAACAAAAUCUUUAAGGGCCGUAAGAAAUCCCUUCUCAAGUCCGAUCUCCAUUACCAUCGGUAAGCCAGUUAAAAGACCAAGCUGAAUAAACGAUUGAGAAGCAAGAGCAGUUUCCAAUGAUUCAGUGUUUUUCAUUCUAGCCUCAAUGAGGAGUGCCUUUUCUAGUCCACUAAGAACAAGGUAUAGUUGUCCGUAGAGGAACACAUAAAUUCCGAGUACAGAAAUCUGGUUUUUUACAGAUCAUAAGACGGGAAAGGCAAAAAUCAGAAAAGCAUCAUACAGAGAUAAAUAGGAAUCGGAUCAGGUAACCUUGUUUAGUGUGAGAGAAUUACCAGGCUGCUGAAGUAAAAUCCAAUGGUUGUGAAAUAGCAAGAUAGCAUCCUAAAANNNNNNNNNNNNNNNNNNNNNNNNNNNNNNNNNNNNNNNNNNNNNNNNNNNNNNNNNNNNNNNNNNNNNNNNNNNNNNNNNNNNNNNNNNNNNNNNNNNNNNNNNNNNNNNNNNNNNNNNNNNNNNNNNNNNNNNNNNNNNNNNNNNNNNNNNNNNNNNNNNNNNNNNNNNNNNNNNNNNNNNNNNNNNNNNNNNNNNNNNNNNNNNNNNNNNNNNNNNNNNNNNNNNNNNNNNNNNNNNNNNNNNNNNNNNNNNNNNNNNNNNNNNNNNNNNNNNNNNNNNNNNNNNNNNNNNNNNNNNNNNNNNNNNNNNNNNNNNNNNNNNNNNNNNNNNNNNNNNNNNNNNNNNNNNNNNNNNNNNNNNNNNNNNNNNNNNNNNNNNNNNNNNNNNNNNNNNNNNNNNNNNNNNNNNNNNNNNNNNNNNNNNNNNNNNNNNNNNNNNNNNNNNNNNNNNNNNNNNNNNNNNNNNNNNNNNNNNNNNNNNNNNNNNNNNNNNNNNNNNNNNNNNNNNNNNNNNNNNNNNNNNNNNNNNNNNNNNNNNNNNNNNNNNNNNNNNNNNNNNNNNNNNNNNNNNNNNNNNNNNNNNNNNNNNNNNNNNNNNNNNNNNNNNNNNNNNNNNNNNNNNNNNNNNNNNNNNNNNNNNNNNNNNNNNNNNNNNNNNNNAAGGUCCUUACCAAACUUAAGGGCUGAAAGCAGCAAACGUUAUCUUGAAGGGGAAGGGAGGUUCUUAUUAAAGCAGUAGCAUGCGCUUCAAUGUAUACGAUAUCUUUUCGAAUUUCCUAAAAACUUAUGCGUGGAAAUGAAUUCAGCUUUGCAUCAGGAUCCUGAUCCAGAAUAUUGUGCAGCUUCUGGACGAAGGGUCAACUAUGAUAAAAACAAGUAGGACUAACUAGCCCAAAGAGCAUCAGGAUCCUGGACUAACUGUCAAGAUUGUUUUGCAAGUAGAGGAAGUCCUCCAAGCUUUUCAAUGGAUACGUCUCUCAUUUUCCUUCUGCUGAAUUCAUUUCCACGCAUAAGUUUUUAGGAAAUUCGAAAAGAUAUCGUAUACAUUGAAGCGCAUGCUACUGCUUUAAUAAGAACCUCCAUUCCCCUUCAAGAUAACGUUUGCUGCUUUCAGCCCUUAAGUUUGGUAAGGACCUUUAUAUAUAUAUAUAUAUGGUUAAAGUAAGGACCUUAUCUUUGAUAUGCCUCAAAGUUAAUGUUUUCGAAAGCCCCCACAAAGAAGGGACACCCAAGUAGGCGUCCGAAUUAUUUGCCACCUCUAAGGUAGUCUCUUCUUGAAUCAACCUUUCGUUGUCCCUUUGGGAGUAUUCACACUAAAAACGUUGCUUGAUUUAUCAUAGUUGACCCUUCGUCCAGAAGCUGCACAAUAUUCUUGAAUCAAGUUAAUCAUUCUCCUACAAUUUAAUGAACUAGCUUCCAAAAAGAAUAGAAAUCGUUCGUGAAUAACAAAUGUGACACUACUGGAUAAUGACUACNNNNNNNNNNNNNNNNNNNNNNNNNNNNNNNNNNNNNNNNNNNNNNNNNNNNNNNNNNNNNNNNNNNNNNNNNNNNNNNNNNNNNNNNNNNNNNNNNNNNAACUCCUUUCAAUAUAUUCACCAUGAUCUUCGAUAUGAUUUAAUACUUAAAAUUAUAAGGAAUAAUUGACCUAAUUAAAUUAUGUCAUUAAUUCAAGACAUUUAGUUUUCAGAAGUAAAAUUAUCUCAAUCUCGUUCGAAAAUUUCCCUUCCCUAAAAAAAAAACUCUUAAUAGCUUCCAAAACAUCCUUUUUAAUAAUUUCCCAAUAAUUAUGAUAGAAAAUCCCGUUAAAAUCAUCCACGAAAAAAGAGAUUAAUUUAAUUGUUUUGUAUGCUUAACUUGUACAAUAUAAGUAAAAUAUUAUAAUUUUAUCUCCAAAUUCUCUCAACACAUCUUUCUGACCCUUGUUUAUAAUCUCAUUUGUAUCUAGCAGGAUAUCCAAUUUAAAAUUAAAUAAUUUUUUUUAUAAUUCUUUAAAUAUUAAAAAUAUUUUCCUCUAUUAUUAUUUUUUGUUGUUGGAGUAUUAAAUAUUAGCCUUAAAACCAUAAGGCAUGAACUAUUCCAAACAACCCUUAAAAAGAUAUGUAAAUUUUGUUUUUGAAUAUCAUUUUUACUUUUUUAGGUUUCAAAUUGGAUAGUGAAUUAUAUAUUUAUUUAUUCGAAACUCCUCUUAAAUUAAUAAGAGUGAAGUUUCUUAUUUAGUAUUGAUUGUUCCAUAAAAUAUUCAAAGUUUUCAAAGUUUUCAAAUAGAUUUAUUUUUUUAAGUGUAGUUAAUAACCUCAAUAAAAAUUAAACUUUAUAAGUGAUGAAUUUAUAUUAAAAAUUGUUUGAUAAAUUCAUAAAAUAUAAGUUUGGGUUCAUCUACUUUUACAUUUCUUUUACCUAUUUAAAUUAUUUCUUAAUUUUUCUUAUUUUUUAAAAAAUUAUUCUUAAUUUUUUAUACAGGAAAAAUAAUCGACGAGGAAAUGAAAAAGUUAGGAGAGAACAUGGUUCAACAUUGUGCAGGGCUUCCAUUAGCCAUUGUUGUAUUGGGAGGAAUUUUAGCUACAAAGAAUAAUUCAUUAAACGAAUGGCGAAAGAUAUCUGACAAUGUAAAAUCCUACUUGAAGAAGGGCAAAAAUCAAAGACUAGAGGAUGUGUUAGCAUUAAGUUAUGAUGAUUUGCCUCCCUAUCUAAGACCAUGUUUCCUCUAUCUAAGCCAUUUUCCGGAGGAUUAUAUGAUAGAUGUGGAUAGAUUGAUUCAAUUAUGGGUUGCUGAAGGUAUUGUGUCAUCAAAGCAAGAAGAAAGAGAUGGUGGGGAAAUUGUGGAAGAUGUGGCGGAAUCUUAUUUAAUGGAGCUUGUGGAAAGGUGCAUGAUUCAAGUACGAGAAAGAGAUGUGGCAACCUUAAAGGUCAAAACAAUUCAGAUGCAUGAUCUGAUGAGAGAUCUUUGCUUAUCAAAAGCAAAACAAGAAAAUCUUGUCUUCAUUGUUGAUCGACCGAAUGCAUCUUCGUUAUCUAUGAUUCGGAAGGUUCAUAGGGUUUCUGUGCAUGAGUUUUUUUUCAUACAAUGCAUUAAAAGUCCAAAUAUUUAGUCACUUUUGUUCUUCAAUGAGUUCUUUCCGAAGGAGGCAAUUGAAAAAUCUUUGCCCUUGAAAGUGUUGAAUUACGUUGAAGAACAUGAAGAUGAUGAUUGUAAUCCACUAUUUUGGAUUCUUAUAACUUUGGCACGUUCUACAGGACGUCAUAAAAUUCACGAAAUUUGUAGAUACAUGUUCAACAACUUCAAAUUGCUAAGAGUCCUAAACUAUGAGAUAAGAACAAGAAGAACACGUGAUCUUUUUGGAGGGUGGAAGUUACCCAGUGAUAUAGGUAAUCUCGUCCAUUUAAGAUUCUUGAGUCUAAGGAAUUUUGAGUUCCAACGGUCAAAGUUGCCAUCAUCUCUAGGCAACUUAAGGUGCUUGCAAACCUUGGAUUUAAGAGUUGAUGACAGAAUUCAUGUACCUAAUGUGAAAUGGAGGAUGGAGCAACUAAGACAUUUAUAUCUCCCUUUGAGAUGUAAAAGCAGAACUAAGUUGAAGUUGGGUACUUUGACAAAACUCCUAACACUUGUGAACUUCAAGACCAAGAAUUGUUAUCUGAAGGAUCUUAUCAACAUGACAAAUCUUAGAGAGUUGGGGAUAAAUUUGCCCUUCAAUAUUGAAAAUUUCAAUGAGAAGGAGUUGGGCGAGAAUCCACCCAUAAUCGGAAGUAAAUAUCUUCAUUCCUUGUCUAUUACCUAUGAAGAAGGACUGAAAAUAUUUACUUUAUUUUCUAUUGAUGUCAUUAUGAAAUCCUGGUCAAAAAUAGAUCCAAGACAUUUGGCCCACCUCCUUUCAAAUUGUACUAGUAUUUGCAAGUUGAGUAUAACAAGAGUGAUAAGUGAGUUACCAGAGUAUCACUACUUCUCUUCCCAUCUCGCUUACAUACGGUUGAUAUGUUGUAAGUUUGAGGAAGAUCCAAUGCCAACACUAGAGAAGCUGCCUAACUUAAGGAUUCUUGAACUCAAAUAUACUUCAGAAGGAAAGGAAAUGUUUUGCUCUGCUCAGGGUUUUCCUAAACUUGAGUCUCUAAUCCUUGCGGAGCUCUACAAAUUGGAGGAGUGGAAGGUGGAUGAAGGAGCCAUGCCUUCUCUUCAGCGAUUGGAGAUUGAGGAAUGUGGAAACUUGAAGAUGCUUCCAGAGGGAUUGAGGUUCAUUACAACCCUCAAAGAACUGAAGCUUGAAUUAAUGCCAAAGGCAUUCAAAGAUAGAUUAGAGGAAGGAGGAGAAGAUUUCUGCAAAGUCAAACAUGUUCCUUCUGUCAUAUUCCAAAAAUGUGGCUAAUAGAUUGAAUGAUAAUUGAGAGGUAAUUUCAUAACCUCUGGUUUAGGAAAUGAUUCCUACUUUCUUUGCUUCUUAUAUAUCUUUUGUUUUUGACAAUGUCUCACAUUCUCACUCACUUUGUCAACACACCAAUGAAUAAUUACAUUUAUUGAAAGUCAAAGGAAGUGAGACAUUGAUAUUUUUAGUUUUUCUUUUCAGGUAAAGACGCCAUUUUUUCACCUGCUACUGCUAUUCACGGGAUCAAAUCUAGAUUUAAAACUCCUAUUAUAAGUGGCAUGUGAAAGUGUGUUAUAUGGUGAGAUUUGGAAUUAUGUUCUCUCUUGUAUAUAUCUGUGGUUGUUGACUGUUUGUUGUUUUCUUCAAAUUACAAUAAAACGGUUGCAAGAUAUGGUAUUGGAAGAAUGGGAGGUGUCUGGAUUAGCAAGGUACCAAACUCCUCCUCCAUUUCAAUUUCCUUCAAUCUAAUUUAAUUACACGUUCAUUUUUGUCUUUUAAAACAUAAAAUUGCAGAUAAGGAGACGUCACUGACCUUUGUUCCCACAUAGCUUUGGUUUGCGCCUUUGCGGUGACCAUUCCUAUAUUUAUUUGUUAGCUUUGCUUUCUCUGCUUGAGUCUUUCUCUUUUUUCUUUUUUCUUUUUUUUAUAUGCACUUAAUGUAAUAUUAGAAGCCAAGGCAGGACCAUGCUUUUCUAUUGUAAAAUUCAUCACUUUGUUGUCUAUGUUCAUUUCUACUUUUCAUUUGAUAUAUAUUUGAAUAUGGAGAAUAUAAUCUUUUUAAUAUAUACAUAUUUUAGAAAAAAAAUGAAUAUAUGUAUGUUUGACAUAUUUCCCGUUUCAACAUAUUUCCUUAUUUUAUGCAAGUCAAUUGGCAUUUAACCAAAUAAAUUUAAUUGCUUCAGUUUGAGUUAAAAUUAAAAUUUCAAAAUUAAAAAAAAAAUACAAAAAAUAAAGUUGACAAAUUCAAAAAUAUACAUAUUAAAAUUGAUCAAAUUAAAAGUGCACUGGCUAACCUUAAUUUUUUUGUUAAUCUUUCUUUUCGAUUAAUUAAAUGUCCAUGACGUAUAUUAUAUAUCUUAAUAUAUAAAUAUUUUUAAAAAAAUUAAAUAUAUGUAGGUUGGACACAUAUUCAAGUUUGAUAUUCGUCUUAAAUUCGUGCAAUACGGUUAAAUAUUGGUGAAUUAGUAGUUGAUGAAGUAUUAUAUACAUUCUUGGAAUAUUGCUCUAUUCAACGAAUUUAUUUCAGCUCCAUAUGCUUAAAACGCCUCCCAUUUCUAACAUAUUUCCUCAUUUUGGGUAACUCGAUUGGUAUACAAUGUAGUCUUUUUCAUUGUUUAGUAUCCUAAUCCUUAACUCAAUAAUCUUUGUUACAAUAGGGUUUAAUGAUUGCAAUUCAUCUCGAUGCUUCCGAAGCAAAAAAAAAAAAAAUCAAAUUUUACCGGUUAAUUACAUGUCAACACAUAUAAUCCACGAUAUGUUUAUCUGAAAGAUUAAAUAAGAUUAACUAAAUCACAAAGAAAAUAAACGAGUAAACAUAAUCUAGAAAUUCCAAAUUACAUUAUCUAACAAAAAUUCAAUAAGAAAUAAAUGGUUGCAUUUCAUUCUUUAGGGAUUUGCUCUUAUAUCUUCCAACAAUAGCUUGAUGAUAAUAAGCUGAAAAAGAAAAGGAGUCCAAGGGAAUUGAAGAUUCUUAAUUCAGCUAGCUUAAUUGAUUGAAUACUUCAAAUACACUUAAUUAAUACCAAUUAUAUUUAUCAAUAAAUCUAAAAUUUGAAUCCCUCAUUUGCAACCUAUUUUGUAAAAACUGCCAAAUGAAAUCAAAUUAUCUUGUUUCAAUUCUCUUCAAAUUUUAGUUUACAACUUCUAUUUUUGGGUUUCCAUUUGUUUCUACUUUUAAAGCAAACAUUGAUUCAAGAAAUAUUUAUUUCAUUUGGCUUAUUUUCUUUUCUAUUUUUAUGCUAUUCAGAUUCGAUGAAAUAUUGAACAUAAUAUGUGUGCAAGUUAGAUGUCCGAGUCUUGAAAUGUAAGAUCGAAACGGGAGAAAUAUCCUAAAACCCGAUGCUUAAAGAUUUAUAAAAUUUAGUAUAAUCAUGUUGUUUUCAUUAUUAUAAAACUCAAUGUUAAAAUGUCUAUGAUUUGAAUUAUGAUACAAGAGAAAAAUAGCUAACUAUUUUAAGUUCAAGGUGUGAGAAAACCUCAAUAUCUAAGAUAUGAAUGUUGUAAAGUACCACUCAAUCACAGCCACAUUUGUUAGUAUGACUACUUUGGAUGAAAAGUUCUAUUCCAAGUUAUAUAUACACACAGAAAUACACAUGAAGUGGAUUAAUGGUGUAUUAUUAAGUAAAGGAAAACGGUUCUAACUAAAAGAAAGAGUUGAAAUCUUGAACCUCCAAAUAUUGGGUAACCGCUGGUGUUAAAAAGUGCAUAAAGGUCCGCGCUUAUCUACAAGAAAUAAUGGAGGAAUCGCAUACGCUGUUUAUAUUCAUUUUUUUUGCUCCACAAGCAAUCCGAAACCAUAAACAAAGGAGUACUUUUUUGCCUUUUUUAAAUGGUUUUCUUGUUUCUUUUCCGCUUUUCAAAUUCUUCAUUCAAUUCAAGUUCAAGAAACCAUACUAAAUAUAUAUAUAUGUUUAUAUUCGCUUUUCUUGCUACACAAGCAAGCCAAAACCAUAAACAAAGGCAUGCAUUUUAUUUCCUUUUUUAAUGGUUUUCUUGAUUCUUUGUUGUUUUUAAAAUUCUUCAUUCAAUUCAAGUUCAAGAAACCAUACUAAAAUAUAUAUUUAUAUUCGCUUUUUUUGCUACACAAGCAAGCUGAAACCAUAAACAAAGGCAUACAUUUUUUCCUUUUUUAAAUGCAUUUUUUUUUUUGUUUCUUUGUUGUUUUUUAGAUUCUUCAUUCAAUUCAAGUUCAAGAAAUCAUACUAAUUAUAUAUGUUUAUAUUCACUUUUCUUGCUACAUAAGCAAGCCGAAACUAUAAACAAAGGCAUACCUUUUUUUCCCCUUUUUAUCUUGCUGCUUUUUAGAUUUUUCAUUCAAUUCAAGUUUAAGAAAUCAUACUAUAUAUAUACCAUACUAUAUAUAUAUAUAUGUUUAUAUUCACUUUUCUUGCUACACAAGUCAACUGAAACCAUAAACAAAGGCAUAACUUUUUCGCUUUUUUUAAAAUGAUUUUUUUUCUUUGCUACUUUUUUAAAUUUUUAUUCAAUUUAAGUUUAAAAAACCCUACUAAAUAUAUAUAUAUAUAUAUAUAUAUUAAGAGAGAGACAUCAUCAUCCUCAAGGAGUAAGUGGUUAAGCAUGAACUUGAUGGGAAGGCCACAAGUCGGUGGUGGUCAAAUCAUGAGUUGAUUAUGAUUAGUUUCAUGUUAUGGAAAAAAGAUGCUAGUUAAAAUUAGUUACUUGACCGUUGCAUUUUGAGGUUGAGAGUUUAAUGAAACGAUACGCUUUGAUGUUUAAUGAAAACGGUGCGUAUUGAAAGUUUGAUACAACUAAUCGAAUAACAAGCCUGUAACAACUUUGUAACUACCAAUUCCUCGCUUUAAAAAAAUAUUCCAAAUAUGUUUUCUCACCUUAUCAUUUUUGUUAUUUUUCAAGCCCCCUUACCAUUUUAUAUUUUUAAUGGGUAUAUUAUAAAAAUAGUCACCUAGGUAUUGCUUUCAUUCUAUUUUAUUCACUAAGUUAUUAAUUUUUUCGAUUUAAUUACUAAAUUUUUUUAAAUUAAAUAUUUUGAUCACUCUCCCAUUAGUUAUCAUUAGAUAAGUGAUAGGAAGUUAAUGUGGGCUUUUUUUAUUAGUCUAAUAACAAAUUUAGUCAUCUAAUGUUUACACAUUCUAUUAAAUUGAUUUUAAAUAUAAAAUGUUCAAUAGCUUUAAACCUAAAUGUUUACCAAAUCUAUUGUUAUAGUUCAAAUCCUAAAAAUUUCAAUAAAUUUAAUCCUCAAAAUUUGUAAAUUUAAUUUUAAUUCUAACUCAUGGAUGAAUUAAGCAAAUUAAAUCAAAUCAAAUCAAUCGAACAAAGAAUUUAAUUAAAAAGAAAUUCUUCACAUGCAUCAAGGAGGGACUUCCUCUGGUGGUAUCAAGGGGAUUGAUAGAAACAGCUCAGGCUCGAACAAGAACUUCACUGGGCUUAAGAUCAGGAACAGACACAUCGGAUCAAAGCUGCAACACCUCAGGUCCACCGAACCGAGGCAGCAACACCGCCCUGCAACUGUUGGCAUAGCACCGAAUUGAACCCACUUUCAAUGAUAUGAUAACUCCAUAAAGGGUUUGGGUUUUAAGCUUUGAAAGUUCCCCUUUUUCUUCUCAAAUUUUCUGAACUUCAGCUCCUUCCUUUUGUUAAAUGAAGGAAAAGCAAAGGAGAGACACCGAAGUGUUUUAAUCCACAUAGAAAAUAGUGAUUAUGUGACUUGUGAGUGUUGGCCUGGGGUCUUGGAAGAAGAAGAUGAAUAUUGCAUAAUCGAUUUUUAAUUGCUUACUACAUUCAUAAUUAAAUAAAUAAAAAUUUCUAACCUUAUCAAUUAAAUCAAGUUAGAAUGUUCAACUUGAUUUUUGUUUGUUAUAAGGAUCAUAUAUUAUAAAACUUAAUUUUAUUUUAAUAAUUAUAUAAUAUUAUUUUUAAUUAUAUCAUCUGAUACCAUCUUGAGGGCUAAAUUUAGAAUUAAAAUUAAAUUGACAAAUUUUAGAAAUUUUGAGCUUAAAUUUAUUUUUAUUUUUAGGAAUUUGAAAUAAAAUGAGAAAUUUUGUAAAUAUUGAGGAUUAAAUUUGUUGGAAAUUUUAUAUUUAGAAUCAAAUGGUAGAAUGUCUAAACAUUAGGGGGCUAAAUUUAUUAUUAGACCAAUAAAAACAAGUUCAUAUCAAUUUCCCGUCACUCAUCUAAUUGCAACUAAUGAGGAAGUGAUGAAAAUAUUUAACUUCUAAAAAUUUAAUGACUAAAUAAAAAAAUUAACAUUUAAGUGAUCAAAAUAGAAUGAAAUCAAUAAUUUGAUGAGCAUUUUUGUACUGUACCCUAUCUUAAUCCAUCUCACAACCAAAUUUCUCCGUCUUUGCCUAAGUUCUGUGUCUUUGUCAAAUUUUAAUAGAAUUAACAUUUUUAUUUAAAAAAUAUCUUUAAUCGUUUAAUAUAUUUUUAAUAAGUAAAUGUUAAUUCCGUUAAGGGUCAGUUUGUUUACACGUAAAAAGUUAAAAAUAAAAAUAUUGAGUUCUAUAAUAUGAGUCUAUUGAACCGAUUCAAUCAUAAAUUUUAUUAUUAUUGGUUUAUAUAAUGGUUUGAUUUUGAAAAUAUUUGGUUUAACAUUUAGUCAUCCCUUUGAUCAAUUUUAAAUUUUAGAAAUAAUUUUGUUUUUUGUUUACAUUUAAAUGUACAGUUUCUAAUGCAUAUGUGUUACAUUUGAUUUCAAGCCAUUAAUCCUUAAUUACUUUUUAAAAUAAUAGUUUCUUUUAGUUUUUAAAUAAUGUAUAAAUUUAUAAUUAUAUAAGAAAGUAAACUAUAAUAUUAAAUUUUUAAAAAUUAAGUAAAACAACAUGCAAUAAUUUUCAUAAUAAUUAAUGAUAAAUAAGAAAAAUAUUCACAAUUAUAAAACAAACCGUUUAAGAGUAUAUAAACUACUUAUACAAAAUUCUUUUAAAUCAAAGAUGAAAUUAUAUAUAUAUAAAUAACAAAUGAAAUUAUAUAUACAAAUUUAUAAGUGAAAAAUAUACAUAAUUAUAUUCAUAAAAAGUACAUAUGACAAUAUACAAACAAGGCUAUAAAGUAAUUCAUAGGAACAUGGCUUUCUUGUUAGUAUUCUCAUUCUUUUUUUAACAUACCUUUCUUGCUUGUGUUCUCAUUCUAUUAUGAAUAUACCUUUCUUGUUCGUAUUCUCGUUCUAUUGAUGAUUAAUGUUGCUUUAUAAUUGUUUAUAAAUUUAAUAGAACUAUAUAUUACUACUAAAAGUAUAAAAGGGCAAUGAUUUGCAAUUGUUUUUAUAAUUAAGUACUGGUUCUUGCAAUUGUUUUCCCAGCAAGAUUGCGGCACUCACAUCUUGAAAUCCAAAUUCAAGAUUUUAAAGAAUUUUCUGAGCUCGAUAGCUAUUAUGGCUUGGUCUGCUGUGACAUCUGCAGUGACAACAAUUGGCAACCUGCUAACUCAGGAAGCCAUAUACCUAUGGGGCGUGGAGGAGCAAGUUGAUCGUCUGCAAACAGAGCUCAAAUGGAUGCAAAGCUCCUUAAUGGUGGCAGAGACAAAACAAUCAACGGAUGAGAGGAUUCGUCUUUGGGUUGCUGAAAUCAGAGAGCUUGCUUAUGAUGCUGAGGAUAUUGUUGAGGAAUUUGCUCUCAAGAUUGGAUCCAAAAACAAAGGUGGCCUUCCGAGUUGUAUUAAAAGAUCAGCCUGCUGUUUGAAAGAGGGAUGGGUGCUCCAUGAAACCAGGUCAAAGAUCGAGAAAAUCAUAGAAAGAGUCAGCGACUUGGUCCGACGACUACAGGCCUACGGCGUAAAGGAAUUAAAUCCCAGAGGAGAAGGAUCAAGUUUUUCAACUGAAAUACGAGAAUCAAGGCGGCCUUAUCCACAUAUUAUGGAUGAUAAUAUUGUUGGACUAGUUGAUGAUACCAAGGGAUUGGUCGAAGUUCUUACGAAGGAAAGUGGAUGCAAGGUUGUUACAAUAUGGGGCAUGGGUGGUCUGGGAAAGACCACUCUCGCCAAGAAAAUAUAUCACCAUGGUGAGGUUAUUGAUUAUUUCGAUCACUUGGCUUUUGUAUAUGUUUCUCAACCAUGCCGGAAAAGAAAUGUUUGGGAAGACAUUUUAUCUGGUUUCAAAACUUUAGAUAAAGAGGACAGGAAGAUAACAGAUGCAGAAUUAGCAGGGAAGUUGAGUAAAACUUUGAAGGAUAAAAAGUGUCUGGUGAUACUUGAUGAUGUUUGGACCAGUGAAGCUUGGGAUAGUCUAAAACCUGCCUUUCCAGUUGAUAGCAAAAGCAAGAUAUUGCUCACCUCUAGAAACAGGGGGAUAGUUUCAUAUGCUGACAUAAAAGGUAAAAUUUUCUUAAUUAGGUAAAAUUGAAUACUCUUAUUCCUUUGAUGGAAAAUAACCAUGUAUAUUAUUUCAGAGUUGAAGUGCCUAAACGAUGAAGAAAGUUGGGAAUUGUUUCAAAAGAUUGUAUUUCCUCAAACAGGUAAAUAUACAUAUAGCAAAAUUCUUGUUAUACGCUAAAUUUAUUUUUCAUUUUUAAUUUUUUUGACAAUAAUUAAAUUUAAAAAUAUAUAAAAUCUAUUUUAUUUAAAAAUUUCAAAACCUUAAUAUGAAAUAAAUAAAAGAAAUCAAGGCUUUGUAGUUUAUCAGCUAAUGGUACACGCAAGUAAAUAUAAUUAAUAGGUAAAUUCAUUAUCUUUUAUAUUAUAUAUUUUUAAUAACUUUGCUAUUAGUUACCGAGAAUAAAUUAUAUUAGGAUCAUCUUAAAAAAAUAUAAAUUUUAGGCACCAAUAAAAUAAUGUUACAUCGUUAAAUUUUUAAGAUAACAAAGAAUUAUUAUACACUCAUUUAUAUUUAAUAUUUUCUCCAACUUAAUUUAACUUUAAUUAAAUUAUUUAAAAUAAUUAAUUUUUUAAAUUAUAGACAAACAUCUUUUCUUCUUUUACAAAAUUUAAUCAUUUUUUUAUAAGUUAAUAUUUUUUUUAUUUUUGUGCAACCAUUUUUUAAAAAAAUAGUAAUUUUUGUGCAAUAUUUUUCAUGUCAUUGACACAUAAUUUUGAUAAUUAUUUUAUCCUGAACCCAAAACCCCGAACCUUGAACUCGAACCCUAAACCCUGAACCUAAACCUUGAGCCCUGAAUCUCAUAAUUUAAGGUUUGGAUUCGAGAUUUAAAGCUCAGAAUUCGAAGUUCAAGUUUAAAGUUUAAGGGUUCAGGUGGGUUACGAGUUUAGGAUUCAUGGUUCAAGGGUUUGGGGUUGCAAGUUUGGAGUUUUAUGUUUUGGAUCUAGGUUUAGAAUUAUAGAUUUAGGGUUCAGGUAAAAAAUUUACCAAAAUUAUGUGUCAAUGACAUGGAAAAAAUUGUUGAAAUGUUAUUAAAUAAUUGGAAAGGGACCAUGAAUAAUGUGGUCAGAAGAGUCCAUAAAAUAAUUUCUCUAUGGAUGAGUGUAUAAUAAUUUAUGUCUUUAAAAUUUGAUGAUGUGACAAAAAAAAUUUAAUUUUUAGGAUCUUCCUAAUGUAAGUUAUUACCUUAUCUUAAUUAUUGGACUAUAUGCUUGUUUAGUUUCUUAAGCACUUUCAUGGUAUUCUUUUAUACGUUUAUCCUGGAUCCUUGCAUCAGAAAGAUUGAGGUGCAGGUAAACCAUUCUUAUCAAGAGUAAAGCCUAAGAAAGAUGUAGUUGAUUCGAACAACUAGCACAUCUCUUUAUGACCCUAUUUAGCAAACCAAUCCACUAACCUAUUGGCUUCUCGUCUGAUAACAUUGACUUUCAAAGAAGAAAGUUGCAUGACCAGCAUAUCAAAAACCUAAAGGACUAGCCUUAAUCUCCAUCUUCGAUCUUGACUUUUCUUCUUAAUGUUAGAAGCAAUAGUCUGGGAGUUAGUCUUGAUUGUCACAUUGGUCCAUUUGUUCUUCAUAGUUAAUUCAAUCCAUCCAACCAUAGCUUUAGCCUCGACAACCUUACAUGAAUCCACUUAAUCCUUUUACCAAUCCCAUCCAGAAUCUUCCCACUUAAAUUUCUGCCUAUUUCUCUAAUACCGGCACAAGCUAUUAAGGUGUCAAAUGCCCCAUCACAAUUAACUUUAACCCAACCUUCUGGUGAUUUCUCCCAAAUAUCAGCACAAGUAUUUGACUUCCUAGUUCGAUCAGAGUUAUUGUUUGAACAGAGGAUCCAUUGAGCAGAUAAGAAUUCAUUCAUGGAGCAAUUAAUCCUUCGAAUAAUUCUCUCCAAACCAAGUUUCACACCUCCGAUUGUAACCUCACACCUAGCUUUCCAGAUGUGGUAACAAGUGAAAACAAUUCUAACUUGAAAAUCCUCCCUCAUACAAGGCAUUUGUAACAACUUAGAGAACCAUCUGUCAAAUGAUUGAGUUUGAUCAUUUAGCCCUUAAAGACCAAAACAAGCAUCAUACUAUAUUCCCCUAACCCUAUUACAACUAAGAAUAAUAUGUUCAAAGUCUCAUCUUCAAUACCACAUAAACAACAAAUUGUGUUCGAAAAACAUUUUCUUUUCCUCGGAUUAAAACGAGAUGGAAUAGCAUUAUGACACAAUUUCCAUAAGAAAAUUUUAAUUUUUUUCAGUACCUGUAAGCUCCAAAUAGCUUUCUGAGUGCUCCUAUCAAUUAAGUGAGAGCUGGAAGAUUGUAAAGAAGACUCAUUUCCAUAGUGCUUUCUCAUCUCCUUAUACCCUGACUUCAUCAAAUAUUGACCAACAGCUGUAAACGGCCACACCAAUUUAUCUUGUUCAUCUGUUUCAUGAACGGGAACUGUUGGAAAUUGCCAAUCAUUCUGCUGUUACAUUUUUUGGUUGAAGUGCAUGCAGAAAAAAAAUGUUAGAAAUUUGCCAACCAUGCUGCUGUUACAUUUUUUGGUUGAAGUGCAUGCAGCUUGAUGACAUGUUGCAUGCACUUCAACCAAAAAAAUGUAACAGCAACAUGGUUGGCCAAUUUCCAACACUCCUCCUUGGACUCUAUGCUGCAAAUACCAGUCAUUCAUUAAGUUUUUGAACUUGGCAGUCCUUAGAUGCUUUGUUUCAAGCUAACUCUUCUCAAGCAAUUCAUUUUCAACAUUGGCUUCAUUCUCAACCAAAUCUGACUUACACACUUGACUAUACCACUCUUUUGUGCCAAAGAUUUGUCCAUCAAAUGGAGUAUUCUCCUCUUUCACAGCCUUGGUUGACAACUUGCCUUUAAACUCAUCUUUUCUUUCUUGCCUUGUCCCUUUACUCAUUACAAUCCUGUUUCUUCUUGCACAAACAGUUCAUGAGUAUAGUUUGCUUGCCUUCAGUCUGCCAUUUUGGCUUGCACCUACUCGAGCUUGCAUUUAAACUGUUUGCCACUUUGGCUUGCAAUUCGAUAAGCUCACACUUUGACAAGCUCACACUUUGCUUACUGUCUUCAACAGGCUCGCAACUUUACAACUCGCAUUGAGCUUCCACAUGUUGCUGAGCUCACACCCAAAGUUAAUGAUUUCGAAAGCCCCCACAAAGAAGGGACACCCAAGUAGACGUCCGCAUUAUUUACCACCUCUAUGUUAGUCUCUUCUUGAAUCAACCUUUCGUUGUCCCUUCGGGAGUAUUCACACUAAAAACGUUGCUUGAUUUAUCAUAAUUGACCCUUCGUCUAGAAGUUGCACAAUAUUCUUGAAUCAAGUUAAUCAUUCUCCUACAAUUUAACGAACUCACUUCCAAAAAGAAUAGAAAUCGUUCGUGAAUAACAAAUGUGACACUACUGGAUAAUAACUACUAAGGCUAAUCCAAGAAAUAAAACUAGACUCGACUCUAUUAAUAAUCACCACCCCUAGAACUCCUUUCAAUAUAUUCACCAUGAUCUUCGAUAUGAUUUAAUACUUAAAAUUACACAGACUAAUUGACCUAAAUUAUGUCAUUAAUUCAAAACAUUUAGUUUUCAGAAUUAAAAUUAUCUCAAUCUCAUUUGAAAAUUUCCCUUCCCUAAAAAAAAAAACUCUUAAUAGCUUCCAAAACAUCCUUUUUAAUAAUUUCCCAAUAAUUAUGAUAAAAAUUCUGCUAAAAUAUUCGCAAAAAAAAGAUAUUAAUUUAAUUGUUUUGUAUGCUUAACUUGUACAAUAUAAGUAAAAUCUUAUAAUUUUAUCUCCAAAUUCUCUUAACACAUCUUUCUGACCCUUAUUUAUAAUCUCAUUUGUAUCUAAGAGGAUAUUCAAUUUAAAAUUAAAUAAUCUUUCUUAUAUAAUUCUUUAAACAUUAAAAGUAUUUUCCUCUAUUUUUUUUUUUUUGGUUGGAGUAUUAAAUAUUAGCCUUAAAACCAUAAGGCAUGAACUAUUCCAAACAACCCUUAAAAAGAUAUGUAAAUUUUGUUUUUGAAUAUAUCAUUCUUACUUUUUUAGAUUUCAAAUUGGAUAGUGAAUUAUAUAUUUAUUUAUUUGAAACUCCUCUUAAAUUAAUGAGAGUGAAGUUUCUUAUUUAGAAUUGAUUGUUCUAUAAAGUAUUCAAAUUUUUCAAAUAGAUUUAUUUUUUCAAGUGUAGUUAAUAACCGCAAUAAAAACUAAAUUUUAUAAGUGAUGAAUUUAUAUUAAAAAUUGUUUGAUAAAUUCAUAAAAUAUAAGUUUGGAUUCAUCUACUUUUACAUUUUUUUUACCUAUUUAAAUUAGUUCUUAAUUUUCCUUAUUUUUAAAAAAUUUAUUCUUAAUUUUUUAUACAGAAAAUAUAAUCGACGUGGAAAUGAAAAAGUUAGGAGAGAAUAUGGUUAAACAUUGUGCAGGGCUUCCAUUAGCCAUUGUUGUAUUGGGAGGAAUUUUGGCUACAAAGAAUAAUUCAUUAAAUGAAUGGCGAAAGAUAUCUGACAAUAUAAAAUCAUACUUGAAGAAAGGCAAAAAUCAAAGACCAGAGGAUGUGUUAACAUUAAGUUAUGAUGAUUUGCCUCCCUAUCUAAGACCAUGUUUCCUCUAUCUAAGCCAUUUUCCGGAGGAUUAUAUGAUAGAUGUGGAUAGAUUGAUUCGAUUAUGGGUUGCUGAAGGUAUUGUGUCAUCAAAGCAAGAAGAAAGAGAUGAUGGGGAAAUUGCGGAAGAUGUGGCGGAAUCUUAUUUAAUGGAGCUUGUGGAAAGGUGCAUGAUUCAAGUACGAGAAAGAGAUGUGGCAACCUUAAAGGUCAAAACAAUUCAGAUGCAUGAUCUGAUGAGAGAUCUUUGCUUAUCAAAGGCAAAACAAGAAAAUUUUGUCUUCAUUGUUGAUCAAUCAAAUGCAUCUUCAUUAUCUAUGAUUCGGAACGUUCGAAGGGUUUCUGUGCAUGAGUUUUUUUCAUACAAUGCAUUAAAAGUCCAAAUAUUCGGUCACUUUUGUUCUUCAAUGAGUUUUUUCCGGAGGAGGCAUUAGAAAAAUCUUUGCCCUUGGAAGUGUUGAAUUACGUUGAAGAACAUGAAGAUGAAGUUUGUAAUCCACUUGUUUGGAUUCUUAUGAUUUCGCGAACUGGUACGAGCUUUCUUAAAGCUCGGGGAAUUUGGAGAUACAUGUUCAACAACUUCAAAUUGCUAAGAGCCCUAAACUAUGAGAGAACAACAUGUGAUCGUUUUGUAGGGUUUAAGUUACCCAGUGAUAUAGGUAAUCUCAUCCAUUUAAGAUUCUUGAGUCUAAAGGAUCUUGAGUUCACAUGGCCAAAGUUGCCAUCAUCUCUAGGCAACUUAAGGUGCUUGCAAACCUUGGAUUUAAGAGUUGAUAGUUACAAAAUUCAUGUACCUAAUGUGAUAUGGAGGAUGGAGCAACUAAGACAUUUAUAUCUCCCUUGGAGAUGUAAAAGCAGAACUAAGUUGAAGUUGGGUACUUUGAGAAAACUCCUAACACUUGUGAACUUCAACACCAAGAAUUGUUAUCUGAAGGAUCUUAUCAACAUGACAAAUCUUAGAGAGUUGGGGAUAAAUUUACCCUUCAAUUUUGAAAAUUUCAAUGAGAAGGAGUUGGGCGAGAAUCCAUUCAUAAUCGGAAGCAAAUAUCUUCAUUCCUUGUCUAUUAUUACCCGUAGGCUAAAGAUAUCAAUAGAUCCAAGACAUUUGGCCCACCUCCUUUCAACUUGUACAAGUAUUUGCAAGUUGAGUAUAGCAGCAGAGAUAAGUAAGUUACCAGAGUAUCACUACUUCUCUUCACAUCUCACUUACAUACGGUUGAGAUGGUGCAAGUUUGAGGAAGAUCCAAUGCCAACACUAGAGAAGCUGCCUAACUUAAGGAUUCUUGAAUUCGAAUGUUCUUUGAAAGGAAAGUAAAUGUUUUGCUCUGCUCAGGGUUUUCCUAAACUUGAGUCUCUAAUCCUUGCGGAGGUCGACAAUUUGGAGGAAUGGGAGGUGGAUGACGGAGCCAUGCCUUCUCUUCAGCGAUUGGAUAUCAGGCAUUGCCCAAGCUUGAAGAUGCUUCCAGAGGGAUUGAGCUCCAUUACAACCCUCAAAGAACUGAAGAUUGAAUCAAUGCCAAAGGCAUUCAAAGAAAGAUUGGAGAAAGGAGGAGAAGAUUUCUACAUAGUCAAAGAUGUUCCUUCUAUCAUACUCCAAUACUGUGGCUAAUAAAUUGAAUGAUAAUUGAGAGGUAAUUUCAUAACCUCUAGUUUAGGAAAUGAUUCCUACUUUCUUUGCUUCUUAUAUAUCUUCCGUUUUUGACAAUGUCUCACAUUCUCACUCAAUUUGUCAACACACCAAUGAAUAAUUACAUUUAUUAAAAGUCAAAGGAAGUCAUCUUUUUAGUUUUGCUUUUCAGGUAAAGACGCCAUUUUUUCACCUACUACUAUAAUGGCGUGUGAAAGUGUGUUAUAUGGUGAGAUUUGGAAUUAUCUUCUCUCUUGUAUAUAUUGUUGGAACAUUUUCAAAUAUUUAUAGUAUCCCAAUAACUAUAAAUGAAUGGGUGUAAUUAAUCAAAAGAUAAAUCUUUUGGUCAUUGGUCAAAAGUUAUAUCAUUUGAUUUUUUAAAAAAGAAUUAUAAUUAUUCAAAAAAUAUUAUUUGAAUAGUUACAAAAUUAAAGGAAUAAUUAUUAUUAUUUAUUUAUUCAUAAAGACACCUAUUGAAAGAUGUCUCUAUGAAGAGACAUGAAAAUUCCUAUAAAUAGGAAUGGGAUUUCAUUUGGAAAUCAUAUCAACAAAUUCUAAUAUUAUUUCUUCUCUUCCUUCAUUUUCUAAUAUUAUUAGAUUAUUCUAUAAAGUAUUCCUGCAGAAAUUCUUUGUAGAAAUUGAGUUUUUGUUACACAUUACUCAGUGCAUAGUGGACUAUUCUCGUCAGUGCAAAACACAAAUAGUCAUUGGCUUCAUUGUAUCCUCGAGGUUAAUUUGCUUGGAACUCAUUUGCACACUGAAGAUAAGUGGGGGCGAAUAUAACCUUAAUGAUAGUGGCUUGAUACACGCCUUGGAGCCUUGUCCUAUUUCUUCUUUUUCUUUUCGAGUUCCGAUCGUGUGUUCGAGAUUUUCCUUACCGGAGUUUUGUAAUAACAUAUAUCUAUGGUUGUUGACUGUUUGUUGUUUUCUUCAAAGUACAAUAAAACGGUUGCAAGAUAAGGUAUUGGAAGAAUGGGAGGUGUCUGGAUUAGCAAGGUACCAAAUAAGGAGACGUCAUAAAACAUAACAUUGCAGAUAAGGAGACAUCACUGACCUUUGUUCCCACAUAGCUUUGGUUUGCGGUGACCAUUCCUAUAUUUAUUUGUUAGCUUUGCUUUCUCUUUCUUUUUUUUCCCUUAAGUCUGCUUGAGUCUUUUUCUUUUUUUAUAUGUACUUAAUGUAAUAGUAGAAGCCAAGGCAGGACCAUGCUUUUCUAUUGUAAAAUUCAUCACUUCGUUAUUUUAUAUUUGUAUGUUGACACAUUUCCCGUUUCAACAUAUUUCCUUAUUUUAUGCAAGUCGAUUGGUAUUCAUCAUAAAAAUUACGAUAUCAUAUCAAGUUUAAUGGUUACACUUCCAAAACAAAAAAUAGGAAAAAUUAAAUCUUACCAACUAAUAACACUUUCAAAUUACACUGUCUUACAAAAAAAAAAAAAAAAAAGAAGAAGAUACAAUUUGAAUUUUUUUAUCAAAUGGUUUAGCAAGCUAUGCUUUAUAAAAGAGGCAAAGGAAUCCAAGGGAAUCAAAGAUUCCAAAAUCGAUAUUUAGAUUCAAGAUUUUGUAUCCCCAUGCUUUGCUUCUUAUAUCUACCAACAAUAUCUUGAUGAUAACAAACUAAAAAAAACUAUUCAAGGGAAUCGAAGAUUUCAAAUCCAACAUAAUUGAUUGAAAAUUUCACAUCCACUUAAUUAAUUCAAAUGAUAUUUAGUCAAUAAGUUUAAAUUAAAAACUGCAAGAAUCUUCAUUUAUCUUUUAUUCGAAAUGUAAUUCGGAUUCAAUGAAAAUAUUGAACAUAUAAUGUGUGCACAUGGAAAUGUCCAAAUCUUUAAAUAUAGGGUCGACAUGGGAGAAAUCUCCUCAGACAUUGAAUUUAUUGAGUGCAUUUUCAGAGGAAAAUCCUGAAACAUGUUACAGGCAAAUAUUAAGAAAAACAAUGCACAAGCAUAAGUACAAAAACAUAGCAUGCAAGAAAUCAAUACUUGAAAGGAUUAAAAUCACUGCUAACCUAAGACAUUGAAUCUAGCACCACUAGGAAACAUCCGAAAUGAUACUUGUCUUUCAAUGUUGAGAUACAUACGUCCAAGUCUGCCAUGUUGCGCCAAACUGGAAUUCAUCAACCUNNNNNNNNNNNNNNNNNNNNNNNNNNNNNNNNNNNNNNNNNNNNNNNNNNNNNNNNNNNNNNNNNNNNNNNNNNNNNNNNNNNNNNNNNNNNNNNNNNNNUUAUAUAUAUAUAUAUAUAUAUAUAUACAGACACACACACAGAUAGACAUGAAGAAAGUGGGUUAAUGGUGUAUUAUUUAAGUAAAGAAAAAGUUGAAAUCUUAAACCUCUAAAUAUUGGGUAACAGCUAGUGUUAAAAGUGCAUAAAGUUCUUCUAUUAUCUACAAGAAACAAUGGAGGAAUCACAUACAUUGUUUAUAUUCACUUUUCUUGCUACACAAGCAAGCUGAGUCCAUAAACAAAGGCAUACCUUUUCUCCGUUUUUAAAUGGUUUUCUUGUUUCUUGGCUGCUUUUUAUAUUAAGAAGAGAGAUUGUGAGACCUCGUCAUCCUCAAGGAGUAAGUGGUCCAGCAUGAAGAUGAUGGGAAGACCAUGAGUCGAUGGUGGUCAAUCCAUGAGUUGAUUAUGAGUAGUUUCAUGUUAUGAAAUAAAAAUGUUAGCUAAAGUUAGUUGAACGCUGUGUUUUAGGGUUGAGGGUUUAAUGAAACUAUCAGUUUUGAUGUUGAAUGAAAAUGGUGCGUAUUGACGGUUUGUUACAACUGCUCGAGGAACAGCCCUAUAACAGACUUUGUAACUGCCAAUUCUCAGCCAUAAUAGAAACUGGCAUGGGAAAUGGGCAGAUAUGCCAUUUUGUGAAGGAAAUCAAUUCUUUCUUCUUCCUUGAUUCUCUUUCUCUUCUCUCUUUUUCUUUCUUCCUCUAUUCUGUUGAAAUUAUGCAUCACUUCACCAGUAUUCAUCAUUGUGGACGUAUCUGAUCUUCAGUCUCUGGUUUACUGCCCAUGUAAAGUUAUGGAAAGAAAUGCAAAUUUAAAAGGAUUUCUUGCUAUAGUCUAUGCAAUUUCAUGUGUGCGUGAAAGGAGAUGAAGAUUAAUAGAGUAAUACUGAUAUACCAACAAUUCAUUAAUUGAAGUACUAUCAAUAUUAUCAACAAGUAACAGGAUUAAGUGAGUAUACUAAUAUAGUCUAGAAAAGCAAUUUAAUUAAUAAUACCAUAGGGAUGGCAAGAGGGUGAAGUUGCUAUUGCUAUUUAUAUCUCAGCUGCUAGCUUUUGACGACUUCACCAAGUAAACUGCAAUCACAAGUGUUGUUCUUAUUACCUGCAAAAACAGAGCCAACAAUCUGAAUCCAUAUCCCCAUUUUAGGAACAANNNNNNNNNNNNNNNNNNNNNNNNNNNNNNNNNNNNNNNNNNNNNNNNNNNNNNNNNNNNNNNNNNNNNNNNNNNNNNNNNNNNNNNNNNNNNNNNNNNNCCGUAUCUGACACUUAUAUUCAACACAUAUUCAUGUAUUGGUAUGAAGAUAUGAUAUUCUUAUCCUAUACUCAUAUCCGUGCUCAGGUAACAUAAACUGAACCCGCAAGAUAACUGAUUUAACAUUGCAUUGCUGCUAGCUAUUGAUGAUUUCACCAAGUAAACUGCAAUCACAAGUGUUGUUCUUAUUCCUUGAAAAAACACAGUCAACAAUCUGAAUCCACAUUCCCAUUUUCGGAACAAAACCAUGGCGUACCAUUUGUUUCAAAGCCCAAUCAACUUCCUUUACCAUCUUCCCCUUAUAAAAACCAUGAAUCAACUUCUUGUAUGAAUCAAAACUAGGAUUAACCCUCUCGAAAACCAUUCUCCCCAUAAUCUCCUUUGCUUCCAUAAACCUCGCAGCAUCAAGCAAACCAUACAACACCUCUUGAUAAGACCCUGCAUUGGGAUAACACCCUUUCUUUUUCAUAAUUUCCAACAGCUUCACACCUUCAUCAAUCCUACCUUGUUUCCUAAGACCUGAAAUCAAGAUAUUAAAGCUAACAGCAUCAGCAUCGAUUCCUUCCGUUUCCAUCCUCCCCAUCAACUCAAAAGCUUCAUCAACCUUCCCCUUAUCGCACAACCCGUGCAUUAAAGUAGAAUAAGUUCUAACAUUAGGCUUACACCUUUGUUUAGGAAAUUCAUCGAGCAGUUGGAAUGCAAACUCUAAUUUCCCAUUUUCACACAACCCUUUAAUGAGAAUAUUCAGAGUACAAGCUUCGAUUUCAACACCCAAAUUGGGAGGUAAACCUCGUGAACAACAUCAAAUAGUUUGUUCGAUACGAGUAAGCUCAAUACGAUAUUGAAGGUUUUAACACUAGGCCAAGUCCCAUAUUCUGGCAUACUAAAAAGGAUCUCGAUUGCCCUUUUGAUUCGANNNNNNNNNNNNNNNNNNNNNNNNNNNNNNNNNNNNNNNNNNNNNNNNNNNNNNNNNNNNNNNNNNNNNNNNNNNNNNNNNNNNNNNNNNNNNNNNNNNNNNNNNNNNNNNNNNNNNNNNNNNNNNNNNNNNNNNNNNNNNNNNNNNNNNNNNNNNNNNNNNNNNNNNNNNNNNNNNNNNNNNNNNNNNNNNNNNNNNNNNNNNNNNNNNNNNNNNNNNNNNNNNNNNNNNNNNNNNNNNNNNNNNNNNNNNNNNNNCAGCCAGUCUUUGUGGGUUAGUUUGAAAAGGGCAGGGGAAGUGGAGUGGGUUGGUUGAUGGUAGCUGGAAAAUGAGGAGAAAAACGAAAGGGGUUUAAGAGAUGAGAUUUUAGUGGCGAUUGGAUGGUGAAAAAGUGAGGGAAAAUUUUGGGGGUAAGAGCUUUUGACAGAAGAAAGAAGGGAACGUGAAAUCAUGCGUUUGGCCAUUGGAGAAUGUAGAAACUGGAGAGCUAAAAGCUUUGUGCUAUUCGCACUAUAAACAUAUAUAGGGUAAGGGACAGGCUUAAUACUUGUUUUGUCCCCUGUAAUAUAGUAAAAAAUCUCAUUUUGACCCUUUUCCUUUACUUUGUCUGUUUACUUUCAUUUCGUCCAUCAUGUUAGUCUAUUGAUCAUUUCCGUAAAUCCCAUGUGUUAGGGUUCCUAUAUUAUAGUAUUCAUCCAUAUACUUUAACCCUCCACGUAGUCGCAAUCAAUUGGCUUAAAUGAUCACACACGAGGAUCACUAUAGUAUAAGGACCAAAGUGAGAAUUUUAUUAUUAAUUAAGUGACAAAUACGUAAACAUGCACUAAUUUUUUUAUACAGAAAUGGUCAAAGAAUUAAAGUGAUAGAUGAAAUGAAAGUAAAGGGCGCAAAGUGAUUGGAAAAUUAGUAAAAGGUUGGAAAAUAUGAAGAGAUUGUAUGAUGCAAAACUUAAAUAAUUUAUCUACUGCAAUUUUGAGGUGUAUUAAUUUGAAGUAAUGAAUCAUUGUUAUUUACAACUAUAUAUUAUAUCUCUUUGAAAUGUACAAAUAAAUUAAUGGGCAGAAUGUUUAUGAAUGUCAAAACUUUAUUUUUGCUUCUUCUUCCCUUCAAGAAUUGGUUGGAUUUGGAGAUGCCAAUUGAAAGCCUGGUUCAAAAGGAAUCGAGUUUGGAAUGCCGAAAUGAUCGGAAGCCAUGCCAAUAUAGCAAUUGGAGAGAAAAGGAUCGAUCCCAUUCCGUAAUCAUAUGCCUUAGCUAGUACCUCAGUGAACUGCCAGAGUCCGGUGUUCUCAAUAAUUGGCCUCACAGCUUGAGCAACCUGAAGGGAACUAAAAUGUCAGAGGGAAUAAGGCAAAAGAUGUAAACUCUAGACAAAAACUAUAUGCCGAUCCUCUAAAUAUAUGAACAAAUUUAAAAAAAAAAAUUGGCCAUGCCCGUAUUUGAUACUUAUUGUUGAAUUCGAGUAACAUAGUCAACUAGACAUACCAAAAUCAGACCCCAUCCAGUCAGCAGAAAUGCAAGACAGCAGACAAGUAAAUCCUUGAACGACAGUUCACAGAUGACUGAGAGACUAAUAACAAUGGCCAAAAUCCUUUACAAUUGUUUGAUUCCUCAGUCAUAUUGCCUUGGAAUCUUCGGAAGUCAAGACAAGUCUAGCUCAUCAGCUUUGCCAUUCAUCUUGAAACUCCAAGCCAAUAUGUCGUGCGUGAACCCAGGCUAUAUAAACAAUGCAAAUAAAAUAUAUGAAAUCACGGUGUACUGUAAGUAUAGAGAUUAAAUUGUAAUAUAGUUUUAGAUUUAUAAUGAAAUACAAAAAUAUUUCAAAAAUCGUACUCAAAGAAAGUAUGAACUAAAAUUGAAUUAAACAUUAACAAAGAAUAUGCAAAACUAAGUCUAAAUAGCUACUUCCUUAAUUAUGAUAGUAUGAUUAAACAUAAAUUGAAAGUAUAAAACUGGUAGACAAAUCAAUGAGAAAUGACAAACAAUAGUUCAUUAAUAUCCAUGAUUGUAAUUAAUCUAGACUUAUUCUACCAAAUAAUCAAUUUAGUCCUCUUAUCUUUCGAGCUGAUGGAUCUAAAUGGGACAACUGAAUCAGUUCUAGAUAAAAUCUCCUUUCAAUCUCAUCUACUUAAAUUUUCAUCUAGAGUCAUCAAUUUGAUCCAAUUAAUCAACUCAAAGCCUAGAAUUAAAUUAACUAUUCUCACUUCAAUUAACCAACUUUCUCAAAAAUUUAGUUAAGACCCAUUCUAAUGAUACUAGACCCACUUAAUUCGUAAACCAUGAAUAAAGUUAAUGAUACGAAAGAAUAGAGUUGAGAGAUGCGCAAUAAUCCAAAAAUUUCUGAUUGUGGAUAUCUUCUUUGAGUAGCAACUGAAAUUCUCAUAACGAAAGCGUGAAAUGAAAAAAUAAAUAUAUUUUUAUUAAAAUGAGUAUGAAGCGAGUGAAAUGAAAAAGAAAGGAAAACGGAUAAGGCUCCGAUUAAAGUUACUUUAAACAAGUAAAUAUAUUUUAUUCAAAUUUAUAGUUUAUUAUAUUUAUCUGUAAUCCUCACUUUAAAAAAGCAUUCCAAAUAUGCUUCCUCACUAGAGGUAAUAAUGGGUUGGACGGCCCGGCCUGACGGCCCACCCGAAAUAUGGGAGGAUUUGGGUAAAAAUAUAAGCCCGAAAUAUGGGUUUGGGUAAAAAAUGAGACCCGUUUAGAAAACGGGCUGGGCCUUAGGCAAAAAGUUUUUGGCCUGGGCCGAGCCUGGACAAAAUUUUAGUCCCAUAUUUUGGGCCGGGGUAGGCCCAGGGAUAGGACGUAGGCUGAAAAUUUUUUUUGGGCCUUGCCCGAACCCAGCCCGGCUCGGCCCAUGAUCACCUCUGUUCCUCACCUUAUCAUUUUUGCUUUUUUUCAAGUGCCAUUAUAAUUUUUGUUAAUCUUUCUUUUCCCUUAAUUAAAGCUUGAUGACUUAUAUUAUAUAUAUCCAUUUUAAAGAAAAUGUCACUAAAUUAUUGCUUUCGUUCUGUUUUGGUUAUUAAAUUAUUAAUUUUUUCGAUUUCGUUACUAAAUUUUUCGAAAUUAAUUAUUUUGAUCACUUUCUCGUUAAUUGUCAUUAGAUAAGUGAGGAAAAGCUAACACAAGUUUAUUUUAUUGUUCAAAGUAAUCCCUAUAUAUUAAAUAAAAAUUCAAUUUAAUUAUUGAAUUAAACUAAAAAUUCAAAUAAACUCAUAAUAUUACAACUUUUUUAUUAUAUAUAAUAUUUCCAAAUAAUAAAUUUAAAUUUAUUAUGAUUAUCAAACUUUUGUUUCAAUAUACCUACUAUAGUAUAUUUUCACUUUUUAAAUUGAUUAUAAUUAUUUUUUAAAUGUUAAUUUAAUAAUACGAUAAAAAAAUAAAUGAUAUUUUUAUCGAUUUAAUUUUUUUAAACUUAUGCUUUUAUAGAUAUUAUAGAUGGAUUAUAGAUUAUAGGAAUAGGGUCUAAUGGCUAAAAAGAAAAAUUAUGUACCGGCUAUGUGAAGGCAUUAUACAAUGGAUCAUCAAAGUAGAAAGAUUAGUAUUAGAUAAAGUGAAAGUGAGUGUCCUCCACUCAUUUUACUUUUAAAAAAAAAAAUUUAAACAAAAAAGACUUUACUUUUGUUCUACGAACCUUUCUGUUUGUAGGAUUUCUGCACUCACAUCUUGAAAUCCAAAUUCAAGAUUUUAAAGAAAUUUCUGAGCUUACUCACUAUUAUGGCUUGGUCUGCUGUGACAUCUGCAGUGACAACAAUUGGCAACCUACUAACUCAGGAAGCCAUAUACCUAUGGGGUGUGGAGGAGCAAGUUAUGGAUGCAAAGCUCCUUAAUGGAGGCAGAGACAAAACAAUCAAAGGAUGAGAGGAUUCGUCUGUGGCUUGCUGAAAUCAGAGAGCUUGCUUAUGAUGCUGAGGAUAUUGUUGAGGAAUUUGCUCUCAAGAUUGGAUCCAAAAACAAAGGUGGCCUUCCGAGUUGUAUUAAAAGAUCAGCCUGCUGUUUGAAAGAGGGAUGGGUGCUCCAUGAAACCAGGUCAAAGAUCGAGAAAAUCAUAGAAAGAAUCAACGACUUGGUCCGGCGACUACAGGCCUACGGAGUAAAGGAAUUAAAGGACAGAGGAGAAGAAUCAAGUUUUUCAACUGAAAGACGAGAAUCAAGGCGGCCUUAUCCACAUAUUAUGGAUGAUAAUAUUGUUGGACUAGUUGAUGAUACCGAGGGAUNNNNNNNNNNNNNNNNNNNNNNNNNNNNNNNNNNNNNNNNNNNNNNNNNNNNNNNNNNNNNNNNNNNNNNNNNNNNNNNNNNNNNNNNNNNNNNNNNNNNNNNNNNNNNNNNNNNNNNNNNNNNNNNNNNNNNNNNNNNNNNNNNNNNNNNNNNNNNNNNNNNNNNNNNNNNNNNNNNNNNNNNNNNNNNNNNNNNNNNNNNNNNNNNNNNNNNNNNNNNNNNNNNNNNNNNNNNNNNNNNNNNNNNNNNNNNNNNNNNNNNNNNNNNNNNNNNNNNNNNNNNNNUUGAUGAUGUUUGGACCAGUGAAGCUUGGGAUAGUCUAAAACCUGCCUUUCCAGUUGCAACGGGCCGUGAUAGCAAUAGCAAGAUAUUGCUCACCUCUAGAAACAAGGGGAUAGUUUCAGAUGCUGAGAUAAGAGGUAAAAUUUUCUUAAUUAGGUAAAAUUGAAUACUCUUAUUCCUUUGAUGGAAAAUAACCAUGUAUAUUAUUUCAGAGUUGAAGUGCCUAAACGAUGAAGAAAGUUGGGAAUUGUUUCAAAAGAUUGUAUUUCCUCAAACAGGUAAAUAUACGUAUAGCAAAAUUCUUGUUAUAUGCUAAAUUUAUUUUUCAUUUAAAAUUUUUUUUUGGUGAAAGUAAGGACCUUAUCUUUGAUAUGCCUCAAAGUUAAUGUUUUCGAAAGCCCCCACAAAGAAGGGACACCCAAGUAGGCGUCCGAAUUAUUUGCCACCUCUAAGUUAGUCUCUUCUUGAAUCAACCUUUCGUUGUCCCUUUGGGAGUAUUCACACUAAAAACGUUGCUUGAUUUAUCAUAGUUGACCCUUCGUCCAGAAGCUGCACAAUAUUCUUGAAUCAAGUUAAUCAUUCUCCUACAAUUUAACGAACUAGCUUCCAAAAAGAAUAGAAAUCGUUCGUGAAUAACAAAUGUGACACUACUGGAUAAUGACUACUAAGGCUAAUCCCAGAAAUAAAACUAGACUCGACUCUAAUAAUAAUCACUACCCCUAGAACUCCUUUCAAUAUAUUCACCAUGAUCUUCGAUAUGAUUUAAUACUUAAAAUUACAAGGACUAAUUGACCUAAAUUAUGUCAUUAAUUCAAGACAUUUAGUUUUCAGAAUUAAAAUUAUUUCAAUCUCGUUCAAAAAUUUCCCUUCCCUUAAUAGCUUCCAAAACAUCCUUUUUAAUAAUUUCCCAAUAAUUAUUAUAGAAAAUCCCGUUAAAAUCAUUUGCAAAAAAAGAGAUUAAUUUAAUUGUUUUGUAUGCUUAACUUGUACAAUAUAAGUAAAAUCUUAUAAUUUUAUCUCCAAAUUCUCUCAACACAAUUUUCUGACCCUUAUUUAUAAUCUCAUUUGCAUCACACAGGAUAUCCAAUUUAAAAUUAAAUAAUUUUUUUUAUAUAAUUCUUUAAAUAUUAAAAGUAUUUUCCUCUAUUAUUUUUUUUUGUUGGAGUAUUAAAUAUUAGCCUUGAAACCAUAAGGCAGGAACUAUUCCAAACAACCCUUAAAAAGAUAUGUAAAUUUUGUUUUUGAAUAUCAUUUUUACUUUUUUAGAUUUCAAAUUGGAUAAUGAACUAUAUAUUUAUUCAUUCGAAACUCCUCUUAAAUUAGUGAGAGUGAAGUUUCUUAUUUAGUAUUGAUUGUUCCAUAAAAUUUUCAAAGUUUUCAAAGUUUUCAAAUAGAUUUAUUUUUUCAAGUGUAGUUAAUAACCGCAAUAAAAAUUAAACUUUAUAAGUGAUAAAUUUAUAUUAAAAAUUGUUUGAUAUAUUCAUAAAAUAUAAGUUUGAGUUCAUCUACUUUUACAUUUCUUUUACCUAUUUAAAUUAUUUCUUAAUUUUCCUUAUUUUUUAAAAAUUUAUUCUUAAUUUUUUAUAUAGGAAAUAUAAUCGACGUGGAAAUGAAAAAGUUAGGAGAGAACAUGGUUAAACAUUGUGCAGGGCUUCCAUUAGCCAUUGUUGUGUUGGGAGGAAUUUUGGCUACAAAGAAUAAUUCAUUAAACGAAUGGCAAAAGAUAUCUGACAAUGUAAAAUCAUACUUGAAGAGAGGCAAAAAUCAAGGACCAAAGGAUGUGUUAGCAUUAAGUUAUGAUGAUUUGCCUCCUUAUCUAAGACCAUGUUUCCUCUAUCUAAGCCAUUUUCCGGAGGAUUAUAUGAUAGAUAUGGAUAGAUUGAUUCAAUUAUGGGUUGCUGAAGGUAUUGUGUCAUCAAAGCAAGAAGAAAGAGACGGUGGGGAAAUUGCGGAAGAUGUGGCGGAAUCUUAUUUAAUGGAGCUUGUGGAAAGGUGCAUGAUUCAAGUACGAGAAAGAGAUGUGGCAACCUUAAAGGUCAAAACAAUUCAGAUGCAUGAUCUGAUGAGAGAUCUUUGCUUAUCAAAGGCAAAACAAGAAAAUUUUGUCUUCAUUGUCGAUCAAUCAAAUGCAUCUUCAUUAUCUAUGAUUCGGAAGGUUCGUAGGGUUUCUGUGCAUGAGUUUUUUUUCAUACAAUGCAUUAAAAGUCCAAAUAUUCGGUCAGUUUUGUUCUUCGAUGAGUUCUUUCCGGAGGAGGCAUUAGAAAAAUCUUUGCCCUUGGAAGUGUUGAAUUACGUUGAAGAACAUGUAGAUGAAGUUCGUAAUCCACUUGUUUGGAUUCUUAUGAUUUCGCUAGGUUGUACGAGACUUCUUAAAGCUCGGGGAAUUUGGAGAUACAUGUUCAACAACUUCAAAUUGCUAAGAGCCCUAAACUAUGAGAGAACAGGAGGUUAUCCUUUUGUAGGGUUUAAGUUACCCAGAGAUAUAGGAAAUCUCGUCCAUUUAAGAUUCUUGAGUCUAAAGGAUCAUGAGUUCUUAUGGCCAAAGUUGCCAUCAUCUCUACGCAACUUAAGGUGCUUGCAAACCUUGGAUUUAAGAGUUGGUUGUGGCAUAAUUCAUUUACCUAAUGUGAUAUGGAGGAUGGAGCAACUAAGACAUUUAUAUCUCCCUUUAAGAUGUAAAAGCAGUACUAAGUUGAAGUUGGGUACUUUGAGAAAACUCCUAACACUUGUGAACUCAACACCAAGAAUUGUUAUCUGAAGGAACUUAUGAACAUGACAAAUCUUAGAGAGUUGGAAAUAAAUUCGCCCUUCAAUAUUGAAAAUUUCAAUGAGACGGAGUUGGGCGAGAAUCCACCCAUAAUCGGAAGUAAAUGUCUUCAUUCCUUGUCUAUUAUUACCUCUGGGGACGAAUCAAUAGAUCCAAAACAUUUGGCCCAUCUCCUUUCAAAUUGUACAAGUAUUUGCAAGUUGAGUAUAGAAACAAGGAUAAGCGAGUUACCAGAGUAUCACUACUUCUCUUCACAUCUCGCUUAUAUAGGGUUGAGAUGGUGCAAGCUUGAGAAAGAUCCAAUGCCAACACUAGAGAAGCUGCCUAACUUAAGGAUUCUUGAACUCGAAAGUUAUUUCGAAGGAAAGGAAAUGUUUUGCUCUGCUCAUGGUUUUCCUAAACUUGAGUCUCUAAUCCUUACUGAGGUCAACAAUUUGGAGGAGUGGAAGGUGGAUGAAGGAGCCAUGCCUUCUCUUCAGCGAUUGGAGAUCAAGGGUUGCCUAGGAUUGAAGAUGCUUCCAGAGGGAUUGAGGUUCAUUACAACCCUCAAAGAACUGAAGAUUGAAUCAAUGCCAAAGGCAUUCAAAGAUAGAUUGGAGGAGGAAGGAGGAGAAGAUUUCUACAAAGUCAAACUUGUUUCUUCUAUCAUAUUCCAAAACUGUGGCUAAUAGAUUGAAGGAUAAUUGAGGGGUAAUUUCAUAACCUCUAGAUUAGGAAAUGAUUCCUACUUUCUUUGCUUCUUAUAUAUCUUCCAUUUUUGACAAUGUCUCACCUUCUCACUCCAUUUGUCUACACACGAAUGAAUAAUUAGAUUUAUUAAAAGUUAAAGGAAGUCGGACAUUGAUAUUUUUAGUUUUGCUUUUCAGGUAAAGAAGCCAUUUUUUCACCUGCUACUGCUAUUUACGGGAUCAAGUCUAGAUUUAAAACUCCUAUUAUAAGUUGCGUGUGAAAGUGUGUUAUAUGGUGAGGUUUGGAAUUAUCUUCUCUGUUGCAUAUAUCUAUGGUUGUUGACAUCAGACUGGUUGACUGUUUGUUGUUUUCUUCAAAUUACAAUAAAACGGUUGCAAGAUAAGGUAUGGGAAGAAUGGGAGGUGUCUGGAUUAGCAAGGUACCAAACCCCUCCUCCAUUUUAAUUUCCUUCAAUCUAAUUUAAUUACACAUUCAUUUUUGUCUUUUCAAACAUAAAAUUGCAGAUAAGGAGACGUCACUGACCUUUGCUCCGACAUAGCUUUGGUUUGCGUUGACCGUUCCUAUAUUUAUUUGUUAGCUUUGCUUUCUCUUUCUAUUUUUUCCCUACUUAAGUCUGCUUGAGUCUCCCUUUUUUUAUAUGUACUUUACCUAAUAUUAGAAGCCAAGGCAGGACCGUGCUUUUCUAUUGUAAAAUUCAUCACUUCGUUUGUCAAUGUUCAUUUCUACUCUUCAGUUUACUUAAAUAUAAUUGUUUGAUAUAUAUUUGAAUAUGAAGAAUAUAAUCUUUUUAAGAUAUACAUAUUUUAGAAAAAAUUGAAUAUAUGUAUGUCGGACACAUUUCCCGUUUCAACAUAUUUCCUUAUUUUAUGCAAGUCGAUUGGUAUUCAACAUACUCUUUUCCGUCAUCCUUAACUCAAUAAUCUUUGUUACGAUAUCAUAUCAGGUUUAAUAGUGGCAGUUCAUCCCCACACUUCCAAAGCCAAAAAUAGGAAAAAAAUUAAAUGUUACCAACUAAUAACACUUUCAAAUUACAUUGUCUUACAAAAAAAAAAAGAUACAAUUUGAAUUUUAGCAAGCUAUGCUUUAUAAAAGGCAAAGGAAUCUAAGGGAAUCUUUCAUUCAAGAUUUUGUAUCCUCAUGCCUUGCUUCUUAUAUCUACCAACAAUAUCUUUGUGAUAAUAAACUAAAAAAAAAACUGCAAAUCCAACUUAAUCGAUUGGAAAUUUCACAUCCACUUAAUUAUUUCAAAUGAUAUUUAUUCAAUAAGUUUAAAUUAAAAACUGUAAGAAUUUUCAUUUAUCUUUUAUUCAAAAUGUAAAUCGGAUUCAAUGAAAAUAUUGAACAUAUAAUGUGUGCACAUGGAAAUGUCCAAAUCGUUAAAUAUAGGGUCGACAUGAGAGAAAUCUCCUAAUGCCCAACGUUAAAUAUUUAUAAAAUUCAAUAUGAUCCUAUUAUUUUCGUUAUAAAACUCAAUAUCUUAUUCGGAUUAGGAUACAAGCGAAUAACAGAUAACUAUUUGUCGUUCAAGGUAUGAUAAAAUCUCAGUAGCUAAGAUAUGAAUGUUGCAAAAUACCAUACAAAAUCACAGCCACAUUUGUUAGUAUGGCUAUUUUGGGUAAUCAAAGGAAAAAAAUGUUAGCUGUUGAGCAAACAAGGUGAACAGAUUAGAUAUUCCAAUUACGUUCAAGCACUUGACAAAUCCUUUCUGCAAUGGCUUCAGCACGCAUCCUAGGACCUUCAUCAUCUGCAAAAAUCGACCAUUUCUAACAACUAAGCUAACAUCACACAUGAUAAUAUAUGUAUAUAACAUAUAUAGAUGAUGAUUAUGUGGAUUAAAAGCUAUGUUAGUUUGACUCAAUACAUGACCAUGGGACAUGCACGAUUCUUCAAUAACGANNNNNNNNNNNNNNNNNNNNNNNNNNNNNNNNNNNNNNNNNNNNNNNNNNNNNNNNNNNNNNNNNNNNNNNNNNNNNNNNNNNNNNNNNNNNNNNNNNNNUUAAAUACAUCAAUAUCUAACAUUUACAUCUGAGUUCGAGUAAAGUAAAACAUGUCAUUCUACCUAAACAUGCAAAAUAUCCAAGACUCUUGACGAAUGUUAGAUACAAAUAUGUAGAAUGUACCCAAAAUACCCAUCUCGAACUCAGUAGAGAAAUAUCUAGCACUCAAAAGGCACUAGCUUCAACCAAGAACAAGGAAGUUUCUUCAAAGGCUUGAUAUACUUUCUUCACGGCCAUAUAUAUGUGUGCAUAUACCCAUAUUAAGGACGAUUGUUUUGGCAAAGAGGAUGAGAAGAUAGAAAGAAAACCUUUAAUCCAAUGACAAUAUUUGAUUAUAACAACAUGACACAUAUAAUUGUGAUUAAAAUUGUGGUCACAAACAUGUUUGCAAUCACAUCAUGUUAACGAAUACUAUCGCAAUCAAUUGCAAUAAAUAUCCACAACAAGAAGAGCGAAAAUCCUAAAAACAACAAAGAUAAUACAUUACAGCUGUUAAAGAAUUUUCAAUAACAUAUAUACCUGCAAGAUUUUCAGUGAUGACACAACAAAGUUCACCACCAGACAACUUCCCGAUCUAAUGAAAUUUUCAAACAUAUCAUAAGUUUCAAGAUCAACUGAAACAUGCGAAUACUGUUGGUGUUAAGAGGUAACAGCAAGCUGAUUUGAGCUUGCUUAUACAGCAAGGCUCGAGGCUUGCAGAAGAAACAAUUGAAGAAAGAAACAGAAAAUGAAGCUUGCGAAUGGAAAACAGAAAAGAAAGAAAAAGUUUGAAUGAAAACAAGCUAAAAUUUUCAUUAAUUGUCAAAGAGGCAUAAUGCCAUUAUAUAUAUGAGUUAACAAUCACAAAAUAAACAAGUUACUACCUAAACUUAGACCUAACACCAUUAAUUUACAUUGAACUUGUUAAAUUUGCUUGAGUACAUAAACAAGUCACCUAAACUUGUCAUUCAGCACCUAAUUACAUCAAAAUGCAGCUACCAACUAAGUUUUAUUCAAACUAGAAUACAAAACAUUCAUUAAAGAAACUAAAUGAAACAAAAUAACUUCAGUUUGCUGCUUGAAGCACGUUCUCUGCAUGGCCACCUUGGCUGCUGCAUGGGGGCUGACUUCAACACUCUUCCUCAGCUUCUAUGCUGCAGACUCCUAGUUGCUUUCUUAGGCUUAGAAAUCUCGUUGUACCAAGAGACUUUGUAAAGAUAUCAGCAAUUUGAUUUUCAGAGCUGCAAUAAAUCAGCUCGAUCUCUCGAGCUUGUUCCAGUUCUCUUAUCACAUGCAACUUUAUGUUGAAGUGUUUUGUUCUGCCAUGAAAGACUGGAUUUUUGGCAAUUACAAUAGCUGACUUGUUGUCACAAUAAAUCUUGGUUGCUUCAUUAAAUUCAAAUCAGUGAGGAUUUUUCUUAGCCACAUAGCUUGAUUAACAACAUUAGCAGCUACUACAUACUCUGCUUCUGCUGUUGAUUGAGCCACCAUUGUUUGUUUUCUUGAACUCCAACAAAUCAUAGUUGAGCCAAGUGUAAAAGCAUAACUAGAAGUGCUCUUCAUAUCAUCUUUUGAACCAGCCCAAUCGCUGUCAGUGUAGUCAAUCAAUUUCAACUCUUCAGCCUUUUUAAAAUGUAUUCCAUGGUUCAAGGUACCUUUGAUGUACCUUAGCACCCUUUUUCCUGCUUUGUAAUGCUGCUGAUUACAACAAUGCAUGAAUAUUGACAGCAUGCUUACUGCAAAUAGAAUAUCAGGUCUCGUUGCUGUCAAAUAUAACAAGCAGCCAACAAGGCUUCUAUAAUCUGUUCCACUGAUAGGUUCAUGAUCUUCUUGACUCGAUAGUUUCAUGCCAACAACCAUAGGUGUGCUGGUUGGCUUGUAGUUCUCCAUUGAAAAUUUGGCUAGAACUUUCAAAGCAAAUGAUUUCUGUCCCAAGAAGAUUCCUUCAUCUGCUUGAUUAACUUCCAUUUCUAGGAAGUAAGUCAUCAAUCCCAGGUCUGACAUUUCAAACAUCUCCUUCAUUUUUGUUUUAAAAUCAGCCAACCUGAGUUUGUCUCCUCCAGUCACUAAAAGAUCAUCAACAAAAAGUGACACAAUGAGCUGUGUUUCAGCUCGAUUCUUUUUAACAUAGAGAGUUGGCUCACUGGCACUUCUUUCAAAUCCCAAACUGACCAGGUAUGAGUCAAUUCAAGCAUACCAGGCUCUAGGAGCCUGUUUCAGGCCAUACAGGGCUUUUCUUAGCCUAUACACCAAAUGUUCUUUACCAGGCAUUGUAAAUCCUGGAGGUUGCUCGAUGUACAUCUCCUCUUCCAACAAUCCAUUGAGAAAUGUAGACUUUACAUCCAUUUGGUGAAUUGUCCACUGAUUCUGAGCAGCUAGAGCAACCAGUAAUUUGAUUGUAUUGAGUCUGGCUAUUGGAGCAAAUGUUUCCAUGUAGUCCAGACCAUAUCUUUGACUGAAGCCCUUCAUAACUAGUCUAGCUUUCAACUUAUUUAAGCUUCCAUUUGCAUUGUGCUUUACUCGAUAGACCUAUUUUACACCAAUGAUCUUUCUGUUAGCAGGUUUCUCAACCAACUCCCAUGUUUGGUUCUUCUCGAUCAUGUUGAUUUCAUCAACUAUAGUGUGCUUCCAGCCUUCAUCUGCCUCAGCCUCUUCAAAACAGGUAGGUUCUGCUAUAGCAACCUGUGCCCUCUCAUAAAUCUCAUCUAGGGACCUUGUUCCUCUCACAGGUACAUCAUCAAUGUCUAUUUCAGGACUAAGCUGCUCGAAUUUAGCUUGAUUAGGCACCAGGUCUUCUGUAAGAGCUUCUAGCUCAUUCUUUUCCCAAUUCCAGCAAGCCUUUUCAUCAAAGAUGACAUCUCUGCUUACCUGGAUUUUGCUUGUGAGGGGAUCUAGGAUCCUGUAGCCCUUCUUAGUUGAGCUAUAGCCCACUAGGAUACUUGGUUGAGCCCUUUUUGCAAGCUUGUCCCUUUUUACUGCUGGUAUUUGUGCAUAGCACAGGCAACCAAACACCUUCAGAUGUGCCAAGGAAGGCUUGAAUCCAAACCAAGCCUCGAAAAGUGUCUUGGAAGCAAGAGCUUUGGUAGGAAGCCUAUUCUGGAGGUAGACAGCAGUGUUUACUGCCUCAGCCCACAUGCUCUUGGGCAGUUUCUUCUCAAACAGGAGGCAUCUGGCCAUAUCCAUCAGGCUUCUGUUCUUCCUUUCAGAUACCAUAUUCUGCUGAGGUGUGUACACAUUUGUUAGCUAGUGUUUGAUCCCAGCAUCACUACAAAUGGCUUGAAACUGAGCUGAAGUGUACUCAGUGCCAUUGUCUGACCUUAUCGAUUUUAGCUUGCAGCUUGUUUCUGUCUCAACAGUAAUUUUAAACUUUACAAACACUUGAGCUACCUCAGACUUGUGUUUCAAGAAGAAAAUCCAGCAAAACCUUGUAAAAUCAUCAAUGAAGAGGAUGAAAUACCUGUUUUUGCUAAGUGAUUCAGUCCUCAUCGGGCCACAUACAUCAGAGUGCACCAGCUGUAAUCUUUCAGUGGCUCUCCAUGCUGAAUUUGUAAGAAAUGGCAAUCUUGCCUGUUUUCCUAUCUGGCAAACUUCACACACAUCAUUAUGCUCCACUGAGUUGGUGAAGUUCUCAGCUAGACCCUCUUUGGCUAUUUGAGCUAUUGAUUUGAAAUUGGCAUGUCCAAGCCUUUGAUGCCAGAGCUUGGAAUUAUCAACAGAGGCUGUGUAUGCUGACUUUGAGUAAUUUGGCCAAUGAACCUCAAAGCAUUUGUCAGUCAUUGUGACUGUCAUAAGGCUUGAUCCACUUGGAUCAGCAAUGUGGCACUGUUUGUCCUUGAACACAACUGAAUAGCCUUUCUCGAGCAAUUGAGCUAUGUUGAGAAGGUUUCUGUCAAUCUCAGGCACCAACAGGACAUUUGAGAUGAUUUUGUUGCUUGUAGGAGUGCAUAACAUCACCUCUCCUCUUCCUUCAACCUUUAUAAACUGACCAUUUCCAACCUUGACCUUGGUUUUGCAACUUCUGUCCAAGGUUUUGAACAAGGAGGCAUCUGGUGACAUGUGGUUGGUGCAGCCACUAUCCAACAACCAGCCUUUAGAGCAUUUCUUCUCAGCAGCUAAGCAAGACACAGCAAAUACCUGCUCUUUUUGGUCACUACUGUCUUCAACCACUCGAGCUUUUUGCUUUUGACUGUUGAAAUUGGUUCUGCCUUGGUUUGGUUUUGUUUUUACACACCUUUUCGACAUGGCCCUUCUUUUUGCAGUGUUGGCAUACUACAUCUGGUCUAAACCAGCAUCUGUCUUCUGGAUGUCCUGGUCUCUUGCAAUAUCUGUAAGGCUGGUCACUGCUCCUUGCAGCAUCAGGCUUAGGCCUAUUUUUCCAGGGCCUUUUACCUCUAUGAGCAUUGAUGCUCGAGGCUUCUCUGGCCUUGGCUUGAAAUGCACCUUCCUGGUGAUCUUCAGCUCUGCUAGCUCUUCUUUGUUCCUGAGCAUAGAAAGUGUUAAUCAGCUCAGUCAAAGAGAUGCUAGCAAGGUCUCUUGAGUCCUCUAAGGAGGAUAUCUUUGCCUCAUGUCUCUCAGGCAAAGUGGAGAGGACUUUCUUCACGAUUCUUGCCUUAUCAAAGUGCUCACCUAGGAGCCUUAUGCUGUUAACCACUGCCAUGAUUCUAUCUACAUACUGCUUCAUUGUUUCUUCUUCCCUCAUCUUCAGAUUCUCAAAGUCUCUCCUCAAAUUCAACAGUUGUUGUUGCCUUGUCCUUUCUAUGCCUUGAAACUCCUCCUAAAGCUUAUUCCAGGCCUGUUUUGGAGUCUCAUAGGCCAUAAUUCUGGUGAAUAUGACAUCUGACACACAAUUCUGGAUGUAGGACAUAGCUUUGUGCCUUUUGGUCCUCUCAUCAGCGUGUUGUCUGAUCUGAGCUACUGUGAGAUUGGCCCUCAGUGGUGCUGGCUCAACAUCUGUGUUAACAACUUCCCACAGAUCAAAGGCCUGCAAGUAAGUUUUCAUCUUAACCAGCCAUACGUGGAAGCCUUCUCCAUUGAAGACUGGUGGGGCUGCUGGUGAAAAUCCUGAAGAAGCCAUCCUGGUUUUUUGGUUUGAUAUAUCAGGUCCACUAAGACAAGGGCUCUAGAUACCAAUUCUUGGUGUUAAGAGGUAACAACAAGCUUGUAAUGCCCAAUUUUAGCCCGAGCCCAAAACCAAAACAUACAGUCCAUUACAAAUAAAAUUAAUUACAGGCCCAAAAUACCCAACAGGCCCUAAUUAAGAAACCCUAGCCCAAAAACAUAAUUUUUUUUCAGUACCAAACCCUAGCCCCCCUAAGCAUGCGCCGCAUCCCCUUGUCGGCCACUCCCUCGCGCCGCCCCCACCAGUCCCGUCGCCAGGCCGCUCGUGCCGCCCAAGGUGCCCCUCUGUCACACUCCUUUUGACCGAAAUAGCCACCUCCAGACAGAAAAGCAAAAAGAAGAACAAUUAAAAUGAUAGCAAGGGUAGAAGAACAGUGAUAGCAGUUAAUCUUGGCUAUAAGAGCCACGGAAAUAUCAAUGUAAAGGGAGGACAGAUUUUUAGAGUUUGAAAAAAGGGUUCCGAAAAUUUAAAAACAGAAGAAAAUAAAAAAAUAGAUCUAUUCGAAAAGCAAUUUGCAGUUUCUAUUUUGUUCUCUUUUCUUUUGUUUUGAUACAAAAAACAACUUCAAGAACUCAAAAAAGAAAAAAACAGAUCUAAAAUUUAACAUUCCAAGGUGAUUUUAUUUUCGUUUAUAUUUCUUUUCCUUUUGUAUUUAUUUAUUUUUUUCUUUUUCAAAAGAACAGUUUAUAUUUGUGCAAAAAUCAUACAUAGAAAAAUAUAUAAAAAAAUUACCUUUUAAAUUUUUCAGGCCACCGUGCACGGUGGCCGGCGCGGCGGUGGAGCGGCGGCGCUGUUCACCGGAUUCUGGGCAGUGCCCAGAAUGGGGGAGAGGAAUUGAGAGCAUUUUCAGAAAUUUUUUGGAGAAAAGAAGGGAAGAAUGAAAAUUAAAAAUAAAAACCAACUUAAAUAGGCCUCCAAAACGACGUCGUUUUGGGCAGGCCUCUCAGGCACCAAAACGGCGUCGUUUUGGCUUUGACCCGAUUCGCCCGACCCGCUCCAGGCUAGGAUCCGCGUGUUUUUAGCGGAAGGGCUAAUUGCACUUUCAGCCCUUCCGCUUUAAAAUAAUUUUACAAUCAAGGCCCCUUUUGUUUUUUUAAAUUCGCACAGUAGUUUAUUAUUUUUACAAUUUGGUCCUAUGAUGCUGUGCGUUUUGGGAAAGAGGGAAAAAUUGCUCUCUUGAUCCCUUCUUGUUGUUUGCGCGUUCAGCUUUGUCCUUCCUCUUUUAUUUAUUUAUAGAUUUGGCCCCAAAUUUUGUUUUAAUAUCUAAUUUAGCCCUUCUUUGUUAUUUUGUUUGUUUUAUUAUUAAAUUAAUAAAUGAUAUGUUAUUAUUAUUGUUAUUUAUUAUUAGUUUUUAUUUUAUAUUUAUUUAUUUAUUCAUCAUCAUUAUAUAAAUUAGUUUUGCAUUACCUUUUAUAUAUUAUAUUAUAUUAUAUAUAUUAUAUAUAUUUUUUAGUUUUUUUAGUUUUUAUAUAUAUAUAUUUUUAUCUUACUGUAUCUUUAUUAUUUAUCAUUUACUUCAAGCUUUUCUAUGUUUUCUAAAUUAUUAUUAUUAUUAUUAUUAUUAUUAUUAUUAUUAUUAUUAUUAUUAUUAUUAUUAUGUUUAUACUCUUUUAAUUUUAAAUUCUUGUUAUAUAUUUACAUAUACAAACGCAUACUUUUUAUAAUAUAUAUGUACAUAUUUUAUUUUAUUUUAUUUUAUUUUGUGUGUAAAUAUAUACAUUUUCCCGAUGCAUAUACACAUACAUUUUAAAGUUAUUAUAAAUAUAUUUUAUAUUUCAUUUUUCAUACUUACACAUACCUAUAUCUAUUUCUACGUAUUUUAUUACACAUAGAUAUACGUAUACAUAUUUUUAAAUAUUUUUUAUAUUUUCAUAAUUCUAAAAUAUAUAUAUACAUGUAUUUAUAUAUUUUUAUUUCUUUUAUGGUUUCGUUAUUUCGCGCUGUGUUUAUUUUAUUUUAUUUAUUCAUGCCCACUUUCAUUCGAAUAGUGUAUUUGCUUAUUCUUUUGCAUGUUUAAUUCGUUUUUUAUUUAUUUAUCUUUUAUUUGUUGUUACUUGUAUUAUUCAUACUUACAUUAUCGAAUUUAUUAUUGUUUUGUUAUGAGCAUUAACAUCAUGUUUUAUUUCUACUAUUACACGUUAAAUUAUUUUUCAUUCAAUGUAUAAAUUAUGAUUUUUGAAUAAACAAAAUUUCGUGUUUAGAUUUGAGAAAGUCGUACCCUAACUUACUAGGUUUUGAUUUUCACAAUGAAUAUAAAUACGUGGAUCUUUUCAAACUCAAAUUUUCAACGAUCUCGGGAUUUAUAAAAGAUCGUAUCCUAACUUACUGGGUAUGAUCCCUUUUUUAAACCCGAGAUAAUUGAAUAGCUUUUAAAUAAUUUCUUCGGCAUUUAUUCUUGAAUCGGGAAUUUAAAGACAUUGUGUCCUAACUUACGGGAUAUAAUUCUUUUUCUUGAUUAUCGUGAAAAUGCCCUUCUCUCGAAAACUUUUAGCAUUUUAAUAAAAGAUCGUAUUUUUAAAUUUCUUCAAAGUUCUCAAUUUUCGACAUUAAGACAUUAAGUAAUCAACUAGGUACCAAUUUUGGGCGUUACGAGGGUGCUAAUCCUUCCUCGUACGUAACCGACUCCCGAACCCGUUUUCUAAAUUUCGUGGACCAAAAUCGUUGUUUUAAUAAAAUUAAACUGUUUAUUAAAAACAACCAGUUUUCGAGGCGAUCCAAUCACACCUCGUUAAAAAAUGAUUGGUGGCGACUCCCACAUUCGAUUUCAUUUUUUUAAAAACCCAAGUCGAAUCCGUUUUCACCCAAAAAAUGGUGUCAACAAAGCUGAUUUGAGCUUGCUUAUAUAGCAAGGCUCGAGGCUUGCAGAAGAAACAAUUGAAGAAAGAAACAGAAAAUGAAGCUUGCGAAUGGAAAACAGAAAAGAGAGAAAAAGUUUGAAUGAAAACAAGCUAAAAUUUUCAUUAAUUGUCAAAGAGGCAUAAUGCCAUUACAUAUAUGAGUUAACAAUCACAAAAUAAAUAAGUUACUACCUAAACUUAUACCUAACACCACUAAUUUACAUUGAAACUUGUUAAAUUUGCUUGAUUACAUAAACAAGUCACCUAAACUUGUCAUUCAGCACUUAAUUACAUCAAAAUGCAGCUACCAACUAAGUUUGAUUCAAACUAGAAUACAAAACAUUCAUUAAAGAAACUAAAUGAAACAAAAUAACUUCAGUUUGCUACUUGAAGCAUGUUCUCUGCAUGGCCACCUUGGCUGCUGCAUGAGGGCUGACUUCAACAGAUACCAAUUAUGAUAAGAAAUUAAAUUAAGGAUUUUCUACUGCAAGCCUACCACGAAAACAUAAUUUUUAUUAGGAUCAAAGGCGUAGCCCAUCAUGGCAGCAUUAUUGAGUCCAUUUUCAGAGGAAAAUCCUGAAACAUGUUACAGGCAAAUAUUAAGAAAAACAAUGCACAAGCAUAAGUACAAAAACAUAGCAUGCAAGAAAUCAAUACUUGAAAGGAUUAAAAUCACUGCUAACCUAAGACAUUGAAUCUAGCACCACUAGGAAACAUCCAAAAUGAUCCUUGUCUUUCAAUAUUGAGAUACAUACGUCCAAGUCUGCCAUGUUGCGCCAAACGGGAAUUCAUCAACCUCUUGAGAGCCUAAAGGAUGAAAAGUUCAAGUCCGAGUUAUAUAUAUACAGACACACACACAGAUAGACAUGAAGAAAGUGGGUUAAUGGUGUAUUAUUUAAGAAAAGAAAAAGUUGAAAUCUUGAACCUCUAAAUAUUGGGUAACAGCUAGUGUUAAAAGUGCAUAAAGUUCUGCUAUUAUCUACAAGAAACAAUGGAGGAAUCACAUACAUUGUUUAUAUUCACUUUUCUUGCUACACAAGCAAGCUGAGUCCAUAAACAAAGGCAUACCUUUUUCUCCGUUUUUAAAUGGUUUUCCUGUUUUUGGCUGCUUUUUAUAUUAAGAGAAAGAGAGUGUGUGAGACCUCGUCAUCCUCAAGGAGUAAGUGGUCAAGCACGAAGAUGAUGGGAAGACCACGAGUCUAUGGUGGUCGAUCCAUGAGUUGAUUAUGAGUAGCUUCAUGUUAUGAAGUAAAAAUGUUAGCUAAGUUAGUUGAGUGCUGUGUUUUAGGGCUGAGGGCUUAAUGAAACUAUAAGUUUUGAUGUUGAAUGAAAACGGUGUGUAUUGACGGUUUGUUACAACUGCUCGAGGAACAGCCCUAUAACAGACUUUGUAACUGCCAAUUCGCAGCCAUAAUAGAAACCGGCAUGGGAAAUGAGCAGAUAUGCAAUUUUGUGAAGGAAAUCAAUUCUUUCUUCUUCCUCGAUUCUCCUUCUCUUCUCUUUUUCUUUCUUCCUCUAUUCUGUUGAAAUUAUGCAUCACUUCACCAGCAUUCAUCAUUGUGGACGUAUCUGAUCUUCAGUCUCUGGUUUACUGCCCAUGUAAAGUUAUGGAAAGGAAUGCAAAUUUAAAAGGAUUUCUUGCUAUAGUCUAUGCAAUUUCAUGUGUGCGUGAAAGGAGAUGAAGAUUAAUAGAGUAAUACUGAUAUACCAACAAUUCAUUAAUUGAAGUACUAUCAAUAUUAUCAACAAGUAACAGAAUUAAGUGAGUAUACUAAUAUAGUCUAGAAUUAAGUGAGUAUACUAAUAUAGUCUAGAUUUAUAAUGAAAUACAAAAAUAUUUCAAAAAUUGUACUCAAAGAAAGUNNNNNNNNNNNNNNNNNNNNNNNNNNNNNNNNNNNNNNNNNNNNNNNNNNNNNNNNNNNNNNNNNNNNNNNNNNNNNNNNNNNNNNNNNNNNNNNNNNNNNNNNNNNNNNNNNNNNNNNNNNNNNNNNNNNNNNNNNNNNNNNNNNNUUUAAUAUCCAUGAUUGUAAUUAAUCUAGACUUAUUCUACCAAUUAAUCAAUUUAGUCCACUUAUCUUUCGACCUGGUGGAUCUAAAUGGGACAAUUGAAUUAGUUCUGGAUAAAAUCUCCUUUCAAUCUCAUCUACCUAAAUUUCCAUCUAGAGUCAUCAAUUUGAUCCAUUUAAUCAAUUCAAAACCUUAAAUUAAAUUAACUAUUCCCACAUCAAUUAAGCAACUUUCUUAAAAAUUUAGUUAAGACCCAUUCUAAUGAUAUCAGACCCACUUAAUCCGUAAACCAUCAAUAAAGUUAAUGAUAAGAACGAAUAGAGUUGAGGGAUGCUCAAUAAUUUGUGGAGAUCCUCAUAAUGAAAGCGUGAAAUAAAAAAUAAAUAUAUUUUUAUUAAAAUGAGUCAGAAGCGAGUGAAAUGAAAAAGAAAGGAAAACGGAUAAGGCUCCGAUUAAAGUUAUUUAAACAAGUAAAUAUAUUUUUAUCCAAAUUUAUAAUUUAUUAUAUUUAUCUGUAAUUCUCACUUUAAAAAAGCAUUCCAAAUAUGCUUCCUCACCUUAUCAUUUUUGCUUUUUUUCAAGCGCCCUUAUAAUUUUUGUUAAUCUUUCUUUUCCCUUAAUUAAAGCUUGAUGACUUAUAUUAUAUAUAUCCGUUUUAAAGAAAAUGUCACUGAACUAUUGCUUUCGUUUUGUUUUGGUUAUUAGAUUAUUAAUUUUUUUGAUUUAGUUACUAAAUUUUUCGAAAUCAAUUAUUUUGAUCACUUUCCCAUUAAUUGUCAUUAGAUAAGUGAGGAAAAUUACUUUCUCAUUAAUUGUCAUUAGAUAAGUGAGGAAAAGCUAACACAGAUUUGUUUUAUUGUUCAAAUUAAUCCUUAUAUAUUAAAUAAAAAUUCAAUUUAAUCCUUGAAUUAAACUAAAAAUUCAAAUAAACUCAGAAUACCACAACUUUUUAUUAUAUAUAUUUCUUUUUCCAAAUAAUAAAUUUAAAUUUAUUAUGAUUAUCACAACUUUUAUUUCAAUGUAACUACUAUCAUAUAUUUUCACUUUUUAAAUUGAUUAUAAAUAUUAUUUAAAUAUUAAUUUAAUAAUAUGAUAAAAAAAUAAAGGAUAUUUUUAUCUGUUCAAUUUUUUUUAAACUUAUGCUUUUAUAGAUAUUAUAGAUUAUAGGAAUAGGGUCUAAUGGCCAAAAAGAAAAAUUAUGUACCGUCUAUGUGAAGGCAUUAUAAAAGGGAUCAUCAGAGUAUAAUGAUUAGUAUUAGGUAAAGUGAAAGUGAAUUGAUUAAGUCCUCCAAUCAUUUUACUUUUAAAUAAAAAAAAAUUAAACAAAAAAACUCUACUUUUGUUCUACCUACCUUUCUGUUUGUGUUCUCAUUCUAUUAAUUAAGUACUGCUUCUUGCAAUUGUUUUCCCAGCAAGAUUGCGGCACACACAUCUUGAAAUCCAAAUUCAAGAUUUUAAAGAAUUUUCUUAGCUCGAUCACUUUUAUGGCUUUUUCUGCUGUUGCAUCUGCAGUGCAACAAUUGGCAACCUGCUAACUGAGGAAGCCAUAUACCGAUGGGGCGUGGAGGAGCAAGUUGAUCGUCUGCAAACAGAGCUCAAUUGGAUGCAAAGAUACUUAAUGGACGCAGAGACAAAACAAUCAAAGGAUGAAAGGAUUCGUCUUUGGGUUGCUGAAAUCAAGGAUUAGGAAGGUACGAAACACCUCCACUUUAAUUUCCUUCUGCUUAAAUUAGAUGUUUUAAGUUAAUUUUUAGUUUUGAACAUGUUAAAUUGCAGGAUAAUGAGACGCCACUGACCUUUAUUCGGAUGUAGCAUUGCAUUUACAUGUUUGGUUUGCAGUGACCAUUCAUAAAUUUUGCUGUGACUACCCUGUUGCUAGUUCUUUUUUCCUACUUCGAUCUGCUCAAGUCUUUUAUGAUAUAAUUAAAUGUAAAAAUAUGUAAUAGUAGAAGCCAAGACAGGAUAUUGUAAAAUUGAUCAUUUUGUUUUUAAUGACCAUUUGUUCUCAUCUUUUUUCAUUUUUCAUAAAUGUGUCCAAUAUAUAUUUAUUGAAUAUAUUUAUGCUGGACACAUAUCCUAAUGUGGUACACUAAAUCUGAGUCAUAUUGUGCAAUAUUGGUGAAUUACUAGUUGGUGCAGAAUCAUAUACAUCGAUGUUCUGUCAUUUGUUGAAGAUAAAAGAUCCAAAGCCUCCAUUAUUAAAAUGAAAAAAAGAAAGAAAAUUGGAUAUUCGUUUCUUUCUAGAUUUAGAAUAUAGAUAUUUGUAAUAUUGAGAUGAUAAACGAUUAAUAAAUGGAUUAAAUAGGAUCUAAUGUCUAAUUACAAUCCAAGAGGAACAGGCUCCUGCCGCCAUAAAAAAUUCCAUAAUUACUUAUUUUAUUGUAUUUUUUGAUAACACAUUGAUUAUUGCAUGGAACAUUGGUUAAGAACAAAAUAGGAACCAAGAACAAACAAUGUCUUCAAACAUAUUAAAAUGACAGCUCCAAAUCCUUACUUCAAUUAUUGUUGUGUUGGGUUUAUUUUGGAUUAGCUAAUGGAAAUAAUUGAAGCUCAGCAUGACAGCAAAUCAGGUUCUUUUUCUUCUUCCUCUGUCCUUUCUCUCUAUUUAGAUACAUGUUCAUUUCGUGUUUAUUGCAGAUGUUGUCUGAAUGAUUUCUAUGAAUAUUAAUGGCAGCAAAGCUGAAACCGUAAAAUAAUGAUCCAGUAAAGUUGGUGUUUCAGUUUCUAUUUAAAUCGCAAACAACUUCCCUAUUAAUCAAACAAAUGCUCUAAACUUGAAUGUCAUGAACAUGUCAAAAAUCAUACCUUGUAGUCAUGUAUGAAUGUGAGGAAAAGUGAAGAACAGAGAACCACAGGCCACACCUGUCAUCAAUGUGUUAUAACAACAUCCUUAACAUCAUAAGCAAGCUCUUUAAUAACAAUGAAAAUUAACCAUAAAACAAAAUUGAAGGGAACUUUAAAAUAUUUUUUAAUAAUAACUUGGGAAGUACUUUAAAUGUGAAAAUUGGGUGUUUACCCAAAUGAUGAAUGGAUGUCUCCUAGGUAAAACUCCCACAAUCUAAUGGUUACAAAUUAUAUAAGUGUACAAUCGGAUUGUGGUUUCUAGAAUGUUUUAUAAACUAAUAAAUUAAAAAUUAUUUGGUGAAUUAAUAAAAUAUAAGUGUUCAAUAUAAUUGUAUAAUUAAUAUUUUUGGGUUCAUCUAUUUUUACUAUGUGCUUUUUUAAAAAAAAAAAAUUUUGGUUUAACUAUUUUUACAUUUCUUUUAUUUACUGAAAUUCAUUUUUAAUUUUCACUAUUCUUUUAAAUUUAUUUUUAAUUUUUUAUACAAAUAAUAGAAUCGAUAUGAAAAUGAAAGAGUUAAGGAAAAACAUAGUUAAACAUUGUGCAAGGCUUCCAUUAGCCAUUAUUGUAUUGGGAGGAAUUUUAAUGUGUUAACUUUAAGUUUCGAUAAUUUAUCUCUCUAUCUAAGACCAUGUUUCCUCUAUUUAAGUAUACAUAUUUUUUUAAAAUAUAUUUUCAAUUUUUUGGAAAAUAUAUAUUUUUAAUAUUUUUAGUAUUUUUGAUGUAUUUUUUUAAAAUUUAUAUGAACCGGACCGCGUUUUAACAUUUUUAUCCGGACCGAACUUAGAAAAAAUUUUAGAUCCAUUUUUUAUGCCAAACCCAAGUCUAACAAAUGGACCUAAAAUUUUAAUUAGGCACGGCUAUGAACACCUCUAAUUAUUUGUAGCUAAAAUUCCCUGUAAGUUCAAUACAAUUUACUAAAAAUUUCAGUUGAUUUACUUGUUAUAUUCAUCACCUAAAUAAAUCAACAAAUAAAUGACGAAUUAUCCCUCUAAGCUGCAAUAUGAACCUUCCAUCAAUUGUCUCUAGGUUCAGUCAUUUUAUUACAUAAGUAUUCUUAAUUAAAAAAAUAAGGAAAAAAUGUAAUUUAUUCUAAUUAAUUAUUGAGCAAAAAUAAAUAAAAGAAAUUGUUAGAGCCUCAGUUUGUUCUUCAAUUAAAAUAAAAUAAAAUAAAUAAGGAUAAUAAUUUUUAAAAAUAAAUAAAAAUUAAAACAUGAGAAAAUCAAUAUACAUUUUUUAUACUCACUAGUUUUGUUGUCAAGAACUGAAAAGCACUUCAAUUCCUUGUAUCCGAAUACAUAUCCUUUUAAAAUUUAUCGAAAAAUAUUUAUUUUAAUGUAACUUAAAAGAUAACAGCCUGGAUUUGAUUAUCAAAUUAAAAAUUCAAAUAAGUUUACAAUAUUAUCAAUUUUUUUUAAUUUAUAUAUAUAUUUCCAAAUAAUAAAUUUAAAUUUAUUAUGAUAAUUACACCUUUUAUUUUAGUAUAACUAUCAUGAUAUAUUUUUUUCCAAUUUUUUUAAAAAUUUAUUAUAAUUAUUUGUAAAUAUUAAUUUAAUAAUACCAAGAAAAAUAAAAGAUAUUUUUGUAAAUAUAUAUUUUUUUAAAUUGGUACUUUUAUAUAUAUAAUAUGGAUAGAUUAUAAAUAUACAUUGUACAUGGUGGCAAAAAAAAAUGUUUAUAGGGUAUAUGUAAAGGCCAUAUACUAUGGAUCAUCAAAGUAUAAAGAUUAGUAUUAGAUAAAGUGGAAGUGAGUUGAUUAAGUCCUCCACUCAUUUACCUACGUACUCUUCCUUUUUUCUAAUUAAAUAAGACUGAUUAGAUACUUUUAAAUAAAAUACUUUCCUAGUCUUCCUUUUUUUUUUCCCACUUUUAUUUAGUGUUAGAUAAAGUGGAAGUGAGUUGAUUAAGUCCUCCACUCAUUUUCCUACUCUUCCUUUUUUCUAAUUAAAUAAGACUGACUCUAUACUUUUAAAUAAAAUACUUUCCUAGUCUUCCUUUUUUUUUUCCCCACUUUUAUUUAGUGUUAGAUAAAGUGGAACUGAGUUGAUUAAGUCCUCCACUCAUUUUCCUACUCUUCCUUUUUUUUCUAAUUAAGUAAGACUGACUAUAUACUUUUAAAUAAAAUACUUUCCUAGCCUUCCUUUUUUCCAAUUUUAUAAUCAGCAGAUCAAGAAAGAAGUAUUGAUUUUGGGAAAUUUGUUAGUUUAGUGUUCCUUUUCACUAUUUUUAAAAAGUAUUGUAAAAAUGGUAAUUUUGAGGAGUACUUUUAGAAAGUUUAGUUUAAGAUUUAAGUAUUUAGUAUUACUGUAAAAAAAUACUUUUGAUAAAUAAAAUAUCUAUUUUAGAUAUUAUGUUAUAAAGUAAAAAAUAUGUAUUUAAAUAAUGUUUAAAUUAGUUAAUAUUAUGAUAUCUUAGUAAGAAUAUAAAAAUAAUUUAUUAUAAUUUGUUGUUAAUAUUUUAAUAUAUGAAAUAUAAAUUUUAAUUUUUUUAAGUAACUAAUAUUAAUUAUUCAUAAAAUCUAAUUCGAAUAUAUAAACAAUAUUUUAAAUAAUAAAAUAUGAUCAAUAAAAAUUUAAAUAUAUAUCACAACUUUUUUAUUUUAUAUAUAUUUCUUUUUUCAAAUAAUAAAUUUAAAUUUAUUAUGAUUAUCACAACUUUUGUGUCAAUAUAACUACAAUCAUAUAUUUUCACUUUUUAAAUUGAUUAUAAUUGUUUUUUAAAUGUUAAUUUAGUAAUAUGGUAAAAAAUAAAUGAUAUUUUUAUCAGUUUAAAUUUUUUUUAAAAAUUAUGUACUGUCUAUGUGAAGGCAUUGUACAAGGGAUCAUCAAAGUAUAAAGAUUUGUAUUAGGUAAAGUGAAAGUGAGUUGAUCAAGUCCUCCACUCAUUUUACUUUUAAAUUAAAAAAAUUUUAAACAAAUAAACUCUACUUUUGUUCUACCUACCUUUCUGUUUGUAUUCUCAUUCCAUUAAAUAAGAACUGCUUCCUUCAAUUGUUUUCCCAGCAAGAUUUCUGCACUCGCAUCUUGAAAUCCAAAUUCAAGAUUUUAAAGAAAUUUCUGAGCUCACUCACUAUUAUGGCUUGGUCUGCUGUGACAUCUGCAGUGAUAAAUAUUGGCAAGCUGCUAACUGAGGAAGCCAUAUACCUAUGGGGUGUGGAGGAGGAAGUUGAUCGUCUGCAAACAGAGCUCAAAUGGAUGCAAAGAUACUUAACGGACGCAGAGACAAAACAAUCAAAGGAAGAGAUGAUUCGUCUUUGGGUUGCUGAAAUCAGAGAGCUUGCUUAUGAUGCUGAGGAUGUUGUCGAGGAAUUUGCUCUCAAGAUUGGAUCCGAAAACAAAGGAUGUCUUCCGAGUUGUAUUAAAACAUCAGCCUGCUGUUUGAAAGAGGGAUGGGCACUCCACAAAACCAGGUCAAAAAUCGAGAAAAUCAUAGAAAGAAUCAACGACUUGGUCCGACGACUACAGGCCUACGGAGUAAAGGAAUUAAAGGACAGAGAAGAAGAAUCAAGUUCUUCAACUGAAAGACGAGAAUCAAGGCGGCCUUAUCCACAUAUUAUGGAUGAUAAUAUUGUUGGACUAGUUGAUGAUACCGAGGGAUUGGUCAAAGUUCUUACGAACGAAAGUCGAUGCCAGGUUGUUACAAUAUGGGGCAUGGGUGGUCUGGGAAAGACCACUCUCGCCAAGAAAAUAUAUCACGAUCCUCAGGUUAGAAAUUAUUUCGAGCACUUCGCUUUUGUAUACGUUUCUCAACCAUGCCAGAAAAGAAAAGUUUGGGAAGACAUUCUAUCUGGUUUCAAAACUUUAAAGGACGAGGAUAGGAAGAAAAGAGAUGAAGACUUAGCAGAGAAGUUGUGUAACAUUUUGGAGGUUAAAGAGUGUCUGGUGAUACUUGAUGAUGUUUGGACCAGAGAAGCUUGGGAUAGUCUAAAACCUGCCUUUCCAGUUGCAACGGGCCGUCAUCGCAAAAGCAAGAUAUUGCUCACCUCUAGAAACAGGGGGAUAGUUUCGGAUGCUGAGAUAAGAGGUAAAAUUUUCUUAAUUAGGUAAAAUUGAAUACUCUUAUUCCUUUUAUGGAAAAUAACUAUGUAUAUUAUUUCAGAGUUGAAGUGCCUAAACGAUCAACAAAGUUGGGAAUUGCUUCAAAAGAUUGUAUCUCCUAAAACAGGUAAAUAUACGUAUAGCAAAAUUCUUGUUAUAUGCUAAAUUUAUUUUUCAUUUUUAAAUUUUUUUGACAGUAAUUGAAAUUAAAAAUAUAUAAAAUCUAUUUUAUUUCAAAAUUUCAAAACCUUAAUAUCAAAUAAAUAAAAGAAAUCAAGCCUUUGUAGUUUAUCAAUUAAUGGUACACGCACCUAAAUAUAAUUAAUAGGUAAAUUCAUUAUCUUUAUUAUUAUAAUUUUUUAAUAACUUUGCUAUUAUUUACGGGGAAUAAAUUACAUUAGGAUUAUCUUAAAAGAUAUAGUUUUUAGGCACCAAUAAAAUAGUGUCACAUCGUUAAAUUUUUAAGAUAACAAAGAAUUAUUAUACACUCAUUUAUAUUUAAUAUUUUCUCCAAUUUAAUUUAACUUUAAUAAAAUUAUUUAAAAUAAUUAAUUUUUUAAAUUAUAAACAAACAUCUUUUCUUCUUUUACAAAUUUUAAUCAUUUUGUUUUUUCAUAAGUUAAUGUUUUUUAUUUUUGUGCAACCAAUUUUUUUUUAAAAAAACAGUAAUUUUUGUGCAAUGUUUUUCAUAUCAUUAACACAUAAUUUUGAUAAUUAUUUUAUCCUGAAGCCAAAACUCCGAACCUUGAACUCGAACCCUGAACCUAAAUCUUGAACCCUGAAUCUUGCAGUUAAAGGUUUGGUUUCUAGAUUUAAAGUUCAAAAUUCGAGGUUCAAGUUUAAAGUUUAAGGGUUCAGGGUUAUGGGUUACGAAUUUAGGAUUCAUGGUUUAAGGGUUUGGGGUAGCGAGUUUGGGGUUUUAUAUGUUUGUUUAGUUUCUUAAGCACUUUCAUGCUAUUCUUUUAUAUGUUUUUUUUUCUUAAGAAAUACAAAUUGAUUUUAUAAUUUAAAUUCAGGACUCAAACAUCACUUAAUUAAAAUAAUAAUUAAUCAAUUCUCGUUUUUUUUUUUGCCACAAAAACAUUCAUUCCAGAAAGAAUAACCAGACAUAGGAAGUCUAAAACACUAAACCAGAUAAACUAACAUGAAAAAAGCACAGUAUUCACUAAGCUUAUCCUGGAUCCUUGCAUCAGAAAGAUGGAGGCGCAGGUAAACCAUUCUUAUUAAGAGUAAAGCCAAGAAAGAUGGUAGUUGAUUCGAACAACCAACACAUCUCUUUACGACCCUAUUUAGCAAACCAAUCCGCUAACUUAUUGGCUUCUCGUCUAAUAACAUUGACUUUCAAAGAAGAAAGUUGCAUGACCAGCUUAUCAAAAACCUGAAGGACUAGCCUUAAUCUCCAUCUUCGAUCUUGACUCUUCUCAAUAUUCGAAAAAAUAGUCUGGGAGUCAGUCUUGAUUGUCACAUUGCUCCACUUGUUCUUCAUAGCUAAUUCAAUCCAUCCAACCAUAGCUUUAGCCUCGACAACCUGACAUGAAUCCACUUAAUCCUUUUACCAAUCCCAUCCAGCAUCUUCCCACUUAAAUUUCUGCCUAUUACUCUAAUACCAGCACAAGCUAUCAAGGUGUCAAAUGCCCCAUCACAAUUUAACUUUAACCCAACCUUCUGGUGGUUUCUCCCAAAUAUCAGCACAAGUUUUUGACUUCCUAGUUCGAUCAGAGUUAUUGUUUGAACAGAGGAUCCAUUGAGCAGAUAAGAAUUCAUUCAUGGAGCAAUUAAUCCUUCGAAUAAUUCUCUCCAAACCAAGUUUCACACCUCCAAUUGUAACCUCACACCUAGCUUUGCAGAUGUGCUAGCAAGUGAAAACAAUUCUAACUUUGAAAUCCUCCCUCAUACAAGGCAUUUGUAACAACUUUGAGAACCAUCUGUCAAAUGAUUGAGUUUGAUCAUUUAUCCCUUGAAGACCAAAACAAGCCUCAUACUAUAUUCCCCUAAGAAUAAUAUGUUCAAAGUCUCAUCUUUUCCACGGAUUAAAAUGAGAUGGAAUAGCAUUAUGACACAAUUUCCAUAAGAAAAUUUUAACUUUGUUCGGUACCUGUAAGCUCCAAAUAGCUUUCCAAGUGCUCCUAUCAAUUAAGUGAGAGCUGGAAGGUUGUAAAGAAGACUCAUUUCCAUAGUGCUUUCUCAACUCCUUGUACCCUGACUUCAUCGGAUAUUGACCAACAGCUGUAAACGGCCAUACCAAUUUAUCUUGUUCAUUUGUUUCGUGAAGGGGAACUUUUAAUUUCGCAAUUUCAAUAUCUUCUAACCACAUUGAGAUACUGGGUAAGUCCCAAUUUAGUUGUUCUAAACAAAUGAUCUCAGCAACUCGUGUUGGUGAGGAUCUGUCAAUAUUUCCAGGAUGCUUUAAUUCCCUAUCUUUAACUCCCAGCAAUCAUCUAUCUUCCCAAAUGCAGAUGCUUUCGCCAUUUUGCACUUGCCAAAUCAAAGUCUUCUUUUAAAAACUCUUUCCCUUCAAGAAUGCUACUCCACACCCAUGAUGACCUAGCUCCUUUUUUAGCUUCAAGGAAAUUAGAAUUCGGGAAAUAAAGUCCUUUUAAAAUCCUACCCCAAAGAGCAUCAGGAUCCUGGACUAACUGUCAAGAUUGUUUUGCAAGUAGAGCAAGGCCUCCAAGCUUUUCAAUGAAUACGUCUCUCAUUUUCCUUCUGCUGAAUUCAUUUCCACGCAUAAGUUUUUAGGAAGUUCGAAAAGAUAUCGUAUACAUUGAAGCGCAUGCUACUGCUUUAAUAAGAACCUCCCUUCCCCUUCAAGAUAACGUUUGCUGCUUCCAGCCCUAAAGUUUGGUAAGGACCUUUUUUUUUUUUGGUGAAAGUGAGGACCUUAUCUUUGAUAUGCCUCAAAGUUAAUGUUUUCGAAAGCUCCCACAAAGAAGGGACACCCAAGUAUCAACCUUUCGUUGACCCUUCGGGAGUAUUCACAGUAAAAACAUUGCUUGAUUUAUCGUACUUGACCCUUCGUCCAGAAGCUGCACAAUAUUCUUGAAAGUUCAUCAUUCUACUACAAUUUAACGAAUUAGCUUCCAAAAAGAAUAGAGAUCGUUCGCGAAUAAAAAAUGUGACACUAUUCGAUAAUGACUACCAAGGCUAAUCCCAGAAAUAAAACUAGACUCGACUCUAAGGAUAAGUUUGGAUUGGCAAUUGGGUGCGAUGCGGUGCGUUUAGCCUACUUUUUGUCUCAAGCUACAGUGUUGCUACAGUAUUUAAUCUCACCGCCACCUCUGUUUUUACACUAACCUCAGGUAAACGCACCGCCCAUCCUAACUCACCUUAAGGCUAAUUAUAUGAGAGAGGAUGUUCACAACAAAAAGGAAGAGGUAAGGUGAUAGAGGGUCACCUUCUAGAUGGAUAGAUUUUUCUAUUAGAUUUACCAUUAAUAAGCAAAGUGUAAGAAACAUUCCUCACACACUCCAUUAUCCAAUCAAUCCAUGUUAAAGCAAAUCUCAUUUUUCUUAAAAUAGUUUUCAGAAGUCCCCACUCUACUCUUUCAUGUCGAGCUUCCAAGCAACCUCAUAUUUCUUACCCCUCUUCUUCAAUUUCAAAUGAUGAAAACCUCUUGAGCAAUUAAGAUGUUAUCAUGUAUUUGUCUACCUACCACAAAAGCACUUUGAUUAUUCAUAAUCACUACCCUAGAACUCCUUUCAAUAUCUUCACCAUGAUCUUCGAUAUGAUUUUAUAGGCAAAAUUAUAAAAAUUAAUUAGUCUAAAUUAUGUAAUUAAUUGAAAACAUUUAGUCUUCAGAAUUAAAAUUAUCUUAAUCUCAUUUAAACCCAUCGAAAAUUUCCCUUCCCUAAAAAAAAAACUCUUAAUAGCUUCCAAAACAUCCUUUUUAAUAAUUUCUCAAUAAUUAUGAUAGAAAAUUCCGCUAAAAUCAUUCGCAAAAUAAGAGAUUAAUUUAAUUGUGUUGUAUGCUUAACUUGUACGAUAUAAGUAAAAUCUUAUAAUUUUAUCUCCAAAUUCUCUCAACACAAUUUUCUGACCCUUAUUUAUAAUCUCAUUUGUAUCUAACAGGAUCCAAUUUAAAGUUAAAUAGUCUUUUUUAUAUAAUGAAUUAUAUUUUUAUUCGAAUCUCCUCUUAAAUUAAUUAGAGUCUUACUUAGUAUUGACUGUUCCGUAAAGUAUUCAAAGUUUUCAAAUAGAUUCCUAUUUUUACAGUUCUUUCACGUACUUAAAUUAAUUCCUAAUUUUCCUUACUUUUUUAAAAAUAUUUAUUCCUAAUCUUUUAUACAGGAAAUAUAAUCGAUGUGAAAAUGAUAGAGUUGGGAAAGAACAUGGUUAAACAUUGUGCAGGGUUGCCAUUAGCCAUUGUUGUAUUGGGAGGAAUUUUGGCUACAAAGAAAAAUUCGUUAAUCGAAUGGCAAAAGAUAUCUGACAAUGUAAAAUCAUACUUGAAGAGAGGCAAAAAUCAAGGACCAGAGGAUGUGUUAGCAUUAAGUUAUGAUGAUUUGCCUCCCUAUCUAAGACCAUGUUUCCUCUAUCUAAGCCAUUUUCCGGAGGAUUAUAUGAUAGAUGUGGAUAGAUUGAUUCAAUUAUGGGUUGCUGAAGGUAUUGUGUCAUCAAAGGAAGAAGAAAGAGACGGCGGGGAAAUUGCGGAAGAUGUGGCGGAAUCUUAUUUAAUGGAGCUUGUGGAAAGGUGCAUGAUUCAAGUACGAGAAAGAAAUGUGGCAGCCUCAGAGAUCAGAGCGACCUUAAAGGUCAAAACGAUUCAGAUGCAUGAUCUGAUAAGAGAUCUUUGCUUAUCAAAGGCAAAACAAGAGAAAUUUGUCUUCAUUGUUGAUGGAUCGAAUGCAUCUUCAUUAUCUAUGAUUCGGAAGGUUCGUAGGGUUUCUGUGCAUGAGUCUUUUUUCAUACAAUGCAUUAAAAGUCCAAAUAUUCGGUCACUUUUGUUCUUCAAUCAGUUCUUUCCGGAGGAGGCAUUAGAAAAAUCUUUUCCCUUGGAAGUGUUGAACUACGUUAAAAAACAUUGUGACGAUUGUUGUAAUCCACUAUUUUGGAUUCUUCUGAUUUCGGUAGGUUCUACAAGACGUCUUAAAAUUCGGGAAUUUUGGAGAUACAUGUUCAACAACUUCAAAUUGCUGAGAGUCCUAAACUAUGACAAAGGAAGAACGUCAUAUGGUUUUUGGACCGGGUGGGAUUUACCCAGUGAUAUAGGGAAUCUCAUCCAUUUAAGAUUCUUGAGUCUAAAGGAUCUUGUGUUCUUAUGGCCAAAGUUGCAAUCAUCUCUAGGCAACUUAAGGUGCUUGCAAACCUUGGAUUUAAGAGUUAAUUUUCCCGAAAUUCAUGUACCUAAUGUGAUAUGGAGGAUGGAGCAACUAAGACAUUUAUAUCUCCCUUUCGACUGUGAAAGCAGUACUAAGUUGAACUUGGGUACUUUGAGAAAACUCCUAACACUUGUGAACUUCAACACCAAGAAUUGUUAUCUGAAGGAUCUUAUCAACAUGACAAAUCUUAGAGAGUUGGAGAUAAAUUUGCCCUUCAAUAUUGAAAAUUUCAAUGAGUCAGGCGAGAAUCCACCCAUAAUCGGUGGUAAAUAUCUUCAUUCCCUGUUUAUUAUUGCCAUUGGGGAAUCCGGCUCAGAAAUAGAUCCAAGACAUUUGGCCCACCUCCUUUCAAAUUGUACAAGUAUUUGCCAGUUGAGUAUAGCAGCAGAGAUAAGUAAGUUACCAGAGUAUCAAUACUUCUCUUCACAUCUCGCUUACAUACGGUUGAGUUGGUGCAAGUUUGAGGAAGAUCCAAUGCCAACACUAGAGAAGCUGCCUAACUUAAGGAUUCUUGAAUUCAAAUAUACUUUAGAAGGAAAGGAAAUGUUUUGCUCUGCUCAGGGUUUUCCUAAACUUGAGUCUCUAAUCCUUGAACAGCUCGGCAAAUUGGAGGAGUGGAAGGUGGAUGAAGGAGCCAUGCCUUCUCUUCAGCGAUUGGAGAUUAGGGAAUGCGGAAACUUGAAGAUGCUUCCAGAGGGAUUGAGGUUUAUUACAACCCUCAAAGAACUGAAGAUUGAAUCAAUGCCAAAGGCAUUCAAAGAUAGAUUGGAGGAAGGAGGAGAAGAUUUCUACGAAGUCAAACAUGUUCCUUCUAUCAUAUUCCAAAACAUCUUGCGCUAAGAAAUUGAAUGAUAAUUGAGAGGUAAUUUCAUAACCUCUAGUUUAGGAAAUGAUUCCUACUUUCUUUGCUGCUUAUAUAUCUUUCGUUUUUGACAAUGUCUCACCUUCUCACUCCAUUUGUCAUCACACCAAUGAAUAAUUACAUUUAUUAAAAGUCAAAGGAAGUCAGACAUUGAUCUUUUUAGUUUUGCUUUUCAGGUAAAGACGCCAUUUUUUCACCUGCACUGCUAUUCACGGGAUCAAAUCUAGAUUUAAAACUCCUAUUAUAAGUGGCGUGUGAAAGUGUGUUAUAUGGUGAGAUUUGGAAUUAUCUUCUCUCUUGUAUAUAUCUAUGGUUGAUGACAUCAGACUGGUUGACUGUUUGUUGUUUUCUUCAAAUUACAAUAAAACGGUUGCAAGAUAAGGUAUGGGAAGAAUGGGAGGUGUCUGGUUUAGCAAGGUACCAAACCCCUCCGCCAUUUCAAUUUCCUUCAAUCUAAGUUAAUUACACAUUCAUUUUUGUCUUUUAAAACGUAAAAUUGCAGAUAAGGAGACGUCAUUGACCUUUGUUCCGACAUAGCUUUGGUUUGCGGUGACUGUUCCUAUAUUUAUUUGUUGGCUUUGCUUUCUCUUUCCUUUUUCUUUUCCCUACUUAAGGCUGCUUUAGUCUUUCUCUUUUAUUUUUUUAUAUGUACUUAAUGUAAUAUUAGAAGCCAAGGCAGGACCAUGCUUUUCUAUUGUAAAAUUCUUCACUUCGUUGUCUAUGUUCAUUUCUACUCUUCAGUUUACUUUAUAUAAUUGUUUGAUAUAUAUUUGAAUAUGGAGAAUAUAAUCUUUUUAAUAUAUACAUAUUUUAGAAAAAAUUGAAUAUAAGUAUGUUGGACACAUUUCCUAUUUCAACAUAUUUCCUUAUUUUAUGCAAGUCGAUUGGUAUUCAACAUAAUCUUUUCUGUCAUCCUUAACUCAAUAAUCUUUGUUACGAUAUCAUAUCAAGUUUAAUGGUUGCACUUCAUCCCCACACUUCCAAAGCAAAAAGUAGGAAAAAUUAAAUCUUACCAAGUAAUAACACUUCCCAAAUACAUUGUCUUACAAAAAAAAAAAAAAAAGAAAGAAGAUACAAUUUGAAAAUUUUUUUUAAUCAACAUUUGAUGGUUUAGCAAGCUAUGCUUUAUAAUAGGCAAAGGAUUCCAAGAGAAUCAAAGAUUCCAAAAUCGAUAUUUGGAUUCAAGAUUUUGUAUCCCCUUUCUUUGCUUCUUAUAUCUACCAACAAUAUCUUGAUGAUAAUAAACUUAAAAAAAAUAUUCAAGGGAAUUGAAGAUCCUAAAUCUAACUUAAACGGUUGAAAAUUUCACAUCCACUUAAUUAAUUCAAAUGAUAUUUAUUCAAUAAGCUUAAAGUAAAAACUGCAAGAAUCUUCAUUUGUCUUUUAUUCGAAAUGUAAUUGGGAUUCAAUGAAAAUAUUGAACAUAUAAUGUGUGCACAUGGAAAUGUCCAAAUCUUUAAAUAUAGGGUCCACAUGCGAGAAAUCUCUUAACACCCAACGUUAAAGAUUUAUAAAAUUCAAUAUGAGCCUAUUAUUUUCGUUAUAAAACUCAAUAUCUUAUUUGGAUUAGGAUACGAGCGAAUAACAGCUAACUAUUUGUAGUUCAAGGUGUGAUAAAAUCUCAGUAGCUAAGAUAUGAAUGUUGCAAAAUACCAUACAAAAUCACAGCCACAUUUGUUAGUAUGACUAUUUUGGGUAAUCAAAGGAAAAAAAUGUUAGCUGUUGAGCAAACAAGGUGAACAAAUUAGAUAUUCCAAUUACGUUCAAGCACUUGACAAAUCCUUUCUGCAAUGGCUUCAGCACGCAUCCUUAAUUUAAUUUCUUAUCAUACGUUUUUGCAUGUAUCAUAAGAAAUUAAAUUAAGGAUUUUCUACUGCAAACCUACCAUGAAAACAUAAUUUUUAUUAGGAUCAAAGGCAUAGCCCAUCAUGGCAGCAUUAUUGAGUCCAUUUUCAGAGGAAAAUCCUGAAACAUGUUACAGGCAAAUAUUAAGAAAAACAACGCACAAGCAUAAGUAUAAAAAACCUAGCAUGUAAGAAAUCAAUACUUGAAAGGAUUAAAAUCACUGCUAACCUAAGACAUUGAAUCUAGCACCACUAGGAAACAUCCGAAAUGAUACUUGUCUUUCAAUGUUGAGAUACAUAGGUCCAAGUCUGCCAUGUUGCGCCAAACGGGAAUUCAUCAACCUCUUGAGAACCUAAAGGAUGAAAAGUUCCAGUCCAAGUUAUAUAUAUACAGACACACACACAGAUAGACAUGAAGAAAGUGGGUUACUGGUGUAUUAUUUAAGUAAAGAAAAAGUUGAAAUCUUGAACCUCUAAAUAUUGGGUAACAGCUAGUGUUAAAAGUGCAUAAAGUUCUGCUAUUAUCUACAAGAAACAAAGGAGGAAUCACAUACAUUGUUUAUAUUCACUUUUCUUGCUACACAAGCAAGCUGACUCCAUAUACAAAAGCAUAUCUUUUUCUCCGUUUUUAAAUGGUUUUUUUGUUUUUCGGCUGCUUUUUAUAUUAAGAGACAGAGAUUGUGAGACCUCGUCAUCCUCAAGGAGUAAAUGGUCAAGCAUGGAGAUGAUGGGAAGACCAUGAGUCGAUGGUGGUCGAUCCAUGAGUUGAUUAUGAAUAGUUUCAUGUUAUGAAAUAAAAAUGUUAGCUAAAGUUAGUUGAACGCUGUGUUUUAGGGCCGAGGGUUUAAUGAAACUAUAAGUUUUGAUGUUGAAUGAAAACGGUGCGUAUUGAUGGUUUGCUACAACUGCUCGAGGAACAGCCCUAUAACAGACUUUGUAACUGCCAANNNNNNNNNNNNNNNNNNNNNNNNNNNNNNNNNNNNNNNNNNNNNNNNNNNNNNNNNNNNNNNNNNNNNNNNNNNNNNNNNNNNNNNNNNNNNNNNNNNNNNNNNNNNNNNNNNNNNNNNNNNNNNNNNNNNNNNNNNNNNNNNNNNNNNNNNNNNNNNNNNNNNNNNNNNNNNNNNNNNNNNNNNNNNNNNNNNNNNNNNNNNNNNNNNNNNNNNNNNNNNNNNNNNNNNNNNNNNNNNNNNNNNNNNNNNNNNNNNNNNNNNNNNNNNNNNNNNNNNNNNNNNNNNNNNNNNNNNNNNNNNNNNNNNNNNNNNNNNNNNNNNNNNNNNNNNNNNNNNNNNNNNNNNNNNNNNNNNNNNNNNNNNNNNNNNNNNNNNNNNNNNNNNNNNNNNNNNNNNNNNNNNNNNNNNNNNNNNNNNNNNNNNNNNNNNNNNNNNNNNNNNNNNNNNNNNNNNNNNNNNNNNNNNNNNNNNNNNNNNNNNNNNNNNNNNNNNNNNNNNNNNNNNNNNNNNNNNNNNNNNNNNNNNNNNNNNNNNNNNNNNNNNNNNNNNNNNNNNNNNNNNNNNNNNNNNNNNNNNNNNNNNNNNNNNNNNNNNNNNNNNNNNNNNNNNNNNNNNNNNNNNNNNNNNNNNNNNNNNNNNNNNNNNNNNNNNNNNNNNNNNNNNNNNNNNNNNNNNNNNNNNNNNNNNNNNNNNNNNNNNNNNNNNNNNNNNNNNNNNNNNNNNNNNNNNNNNNNNNNNNNNNNNNNNNNNNNNNNNNNNNNNNNNNNNNNNNNNNNNNNNNNNNNNNNNNNNNNNNNNNNNNNNNNNNNNNNNNNNNNNNNNNNNNNNNNNNNNNNNNNNNNNNNNNNNNNNNNNNNUUUCGGAACAAAACCAUGCCGUACCAUUUGUUUCAAAGCCCAAUCAACUUCCUUUACCAUCUUCCCCUUACAAAAACCAUGAAUCAACUUCUUGUAUGAAUCAAAACUAGGAUUAACCCUCUCGAAAGCCACAUUUGUUAGUAUGACUAUUUUGGGUAACCAAAGGAAAAAAAAAUGUUAGCUGUUGAGCAAACAAGGUGAACAAAUUAGAUAUUCCAAUUACGUUCAAGCACUUGACAAAUCCUUUCUGCAAUGGCUUCAGCACACAUCCUAGGACCUUCAUCAUCUGCAAAAACCGACCAUUUCUAACAACUAAGCUAACAUCACACAUGAUAAUAUAUGUAUAUAACAUAUAUAGAAGAUGAGUAUGUGGAUUAAAAGCUAUGUUAGUUUGACUCAAUACAUGACCAUGGGACAUGCACGAUUCUUCAAUAAUGAUACGAAAAUAAUUGGAAGAAAAAUUAAAUACAUCAAUAUCUAACAUUUACAUCUGAGUAUGUUUAAUGGUACUCUUUCUUUAGCCAAAUUUUGGCUUCUUUUAGUAGCUAUUCUGACCCAUUUUUCUUUGACCAAAAUGCCCUUGAACAUGUCUUUUUAUUGGGGUUUUAGUUGGACAAGGACUACCCCUGAUGUCAUUUUUGGUCCCCUCACGACAAUAUUGCAAUAACCAACACAGGGUAUCGUGAUAUCGUGGACUGUCUCAAAUGAGGGUCUUCUUUGGUAGCUGGGUAUCACAAUACCUAAGGGGGAUAUCAUGAUACCACUAUAGGUGGUCUUCAUUUCAAGCUUGUGGGAGGUAUCGCUAUGUCCAUGUUGUGAUGUCGUGAUACCCCUUUCCUUAUGUUUUUGCACAAUUUCGGGUCACCGUCAAGUUCCUACAACACUUAAUUGAUCGUUAGGGUCCAAAUGGCACAUUUAUCAAUUUGAGUCUCAAAAUGAGCACAAAACACAUUAAACAUUUAUUAAAUCAAAAAUAAAAAUCUACGCUAAACUACGGAAAAACACUAAUUUGCUUGAAAACAAGCUCUUUAAGUAUAAUGAGGAACCCUAAAUUGACAUAUCAAAUUAUUGUAACUUAGUUGUCUUUUUGAUUCGAACCCACAACCUGAGUUGUUGAGUUGAUCACCCAAUGUCACUAGGCGAAGAGUUUGGGUUCUAUGUACUAACUUGAAGUUGAGGCAUAUUAUAAAGAAGAUUUCAAUUUGACAUGUUUAAUUUUUUUAAUUUAACUCGAAUAAAUUUAUUUAACUCGACUUAAAUUUUAUUUUACUCAACUUGAUUAAAAAAAUUUCAAAUCAAGUUAAGAUGAUAAAAUAGGAUUCAUGAACUUGAUGUAGUCGAAAUUUUUUUUACUAGAUUCGAUCAAACGCUCAACCUGUUAGGUGAGAUGAUGUUUAGGGAUUUGAUUUGUAAAAUCAUUUUUUUCUCAAUCAUUCCUCAUAAUAUAGAAAAUAAUAAGUUAAGUUAUGCCAUUAGUCCUUGUACUUUACAAAAAGUUGUGGAUAUAAUCUAUAUACUUUAGUUUGGUCAUUUUUAAUAAAUGUACUUUUCAAAUUUGAAAAUUUCAAUCCUCACCAAACGAUAACUGUUAAAUUCAUUAAGUUAAGCUUUGUUAUUUUCAAAAUAUUACAUGACAAACAAAUUAUUAUAUGUGUAAUGCCAUGUCAACUUGUUAUUUUGACAUAUUACUCACCAAAAUUUCACUUAAUGGAUUAACGACUUUCAUUCAUGUGGAGACUAAAAUUUCAAAAUUCAAAAGUAGAGGGACUUAAAAUGAUCUAAUUGGAGAAAAUAGACUAAAUCUAUAACUAUACUCAUAGUAUAAGACUAGUAAUUGAAUUUAUCCAAAUAAAUUUAAUUGCUACAGUUUGGGUUAAAACUAAAAUUUCAAAAUUAAAAAAAAAUACAGAAAUUGAAGUUGACAAAUUCAAAAAAAUAUACAUAUUAAAAUUGAUCAAAUUAAAAGUAAACUGACUAACCUUAAUUUUUCUGAUAAUCUUUCUUUUCCCUUAAUUAAAUGACCAUGAUGUAUACUAUAUAUCUUAGUAUAUAAAUAUUUUAAAAAUAAAUAAAUAUAUGUAUGUUGGACACAUAUUCAAGUUUGAUAUUCGUCUUAAAUAUAUGUAUGUUGGACACGUAAUCUUUUUCAUUGUUUAAUAUCCUAAUCCUUAAUUAAUUUAAUAAUAUUUGUUACGAUAGGGUCUAAUGGCUGCAAUUUAUCUUGACACUUUCGAAGCAAAAAAUAAAAAAUAAAAAAAUCAAAUUUCACCGAUUAAUUACAUGCCAACACAUAUAACCCACGAUAUGUUUAUCUCAAAGAUUUAAAUAAGAUAAACUAAAUCACAAAGAAAACAAACGAGUAAACAUAAUCUAGAAAUUCCAAAUUUACAUUAUCUAACAGAAAUUCAAUAAGAAAUAAAAGGUUGCAUUUCAUUCUUUAGGGAUUUGCUCUUAUAUCUUCCAACAAUAGCUUGAUGAUAAUAAGCUGAAAAAGAAAAGGAGUCCAAGGGAAUUGAAGAUUCUUAAUUCAGCUAGCUUAAUUGAUUGAAUACUUCAAAUACACUUAAUUAAUACCAAUGAUAUUUAUCAAUAAAUCUAAAAUUUGCAUCCUACUUUGUAAAAACUGCCAGAAUGAAAUCAAAUUAUCUGAUUUCAAUUCUCUUCAAAUUUUAGUUUACAACUUCUAUUUUUGGGUUUCCAUUUGUUUCAACUUUUAAAGCAAGCAUUGAUUCAAGAAAUAUUUAUUUCAUUUGACUUAUUUGCUUUUCUAAUUUUAUGUUAUUCAGAUUCGAUGAAAAUAUUGAACAUAAUAUGUGUGCAAGUCAAGAUGUCCGAGUCUUACAAUGUAAGGUUGAAACGGGAGAAAUAUCCUAAAAGCUGAUGCUAAAAGAUUUAUAAAAUUCAGUAUAAUCAUUUUGUUUUCAUUAUAAAACUCAAUGUUAAAAUGUCUAUGAUUCGAGAUUAUGAUACAAGAGAAAAAUAGCUAACUAUUUUAAGUUCAAGGUGUGAGAAAAUCUCAAUAGCUAAGAUAUGAAUGUUGUAAAAUACCACUCAAUCACACAGAAAUAUAUACACACAGAAAUACCACUCAAUCACAGCCACAUUUGUUAGUAUGACUACUUUGGAUGAAAAGUUCUAUUCCAAGUUAUAUAUACACACAGAAAUACACAUGAAGUGGAUUAAUGGUGUAUUAUUUAAGUAAAGAAAAAGGGUUCUAACUAGAAGAAAGAGUUGAAAUCUUGAACCUCUAACUAUUGGGUAACCGCUGGUGUUAAAAAGUACAUAAAGGUCCGCGCUUAUCUACAAAAAAACAAUGGAGGAAUCACGUUCAUUGUUUAUAUUCAUUUUUUUUGCUCCACAAGCAAUCCAAAACCAUAAACAAAGGAAUACUUUUUUUCGCCUUUUUAAAUGGUUUUCUUGUUUCUUUUUCGCUUUUUAAAUUCUUCAUUCAAUUCAAGUUCAAGAAACCAUACUAAAUAUAUAUAUUUAUAUUUAUAUUCACUUUUCUUGCUACACAAGCAAGCCAAAAUCAUAAACAAAGGCACGCUUUUUUUUUCCCUUUUUUUAAUGAUUUUCUUGAUUCUUUGUUGUUUUUAAAAUUCUUCAUUCAAUUCAAGUUCAAUAAACCAUAUUAAAUAUAUAUAUUUAUAUUCACUUUUUUUUGCUACACAAGCAAGCUGAAACCAUAAACAAAGGCAUACAUUUUUCUCCUUUUUUAAAUGGCUUUCUUGUUUCUUUGUUGUUGUUUUUAAUUCUUUGCUCAAUUCAAGUUCAAGAAUCCAUACUAAAUAUAUGUGUUUAUAUUCACUUUUCUUGCUACAUAAGUAAGCUGAAACCAUAAACAAAGGCAUACUUGUUUUCCUUUCUUACCGUUGCUACCUUUUAGAUUCUUUAUUCAAUUCAAGUUCAAGAAAUCAUACUAUAUAUAUAUAUUCACUUUUCUUGCUACACAAGUCAACCGAAACCAUAAACAAAGGCAUAACUUUUUCGCUUUUUUUUAAAAUGAAUUUUUCUUUGCUGCUUUUUAAAAUUUUUAUUCAAUUUAAAUUCAAAAAACCCUACUAAAUAUAUAUAUAUAUAUAUAUAUAUAUAUAUAUAUUAAGAGAGAGACCUCAUCAUCCUCAAGCUUGAUGGGAAGGCCACAAGUCGGUGGUCGUCAAAUCAUGAGUUGAUUAUGAGUAGUUUCAUGUUAUGGAAAAAAGAUGUUAGUUAAAAUUAGUUAGUUGAGAGUUUAAUGAAACGAUACGUUUUGAUGUUUAAUGAAAACGGUGCGUAUUGAAAGUUUGAUACAACUAGUCGAGUAACAAGCCUUUAACAAACUUUGUAACUACCAAUUCUGAAGCCUUACAGGAACUGCCAACUUUUGAUUUUGUUUGUAAUCCUCGCUUUAAAAAAAUAUUCCAAAUAUGCUUCCUCACCUUAUCAUUUUUGUUAUUUUUCAAGUGCCCUUACCAUUCUAUAUUUUCAAUGGUUAAAUUGUAAAAAUGGUUACCUAAUUAUUGCUUUCGUUCUAUUUUAAUCACUAAAUCGAUUUAGUUAUUAAAAUUUUCGAAAUUAAAUAUUUUAAUCACUCUCAGUUAUCUUUAGAUGAGUGAUAGGAAGUUAAUGUGAGCUGUUUUUAUUGGUCUAAUAACAAAUUUAAUCAUCUAAUGUUUACACAUUCUAUUAAUUUAAUUUUAAAUAUAAAAUGUUCAACAGAUUUAACCCUAAAUAUUUACAAAAUCUAUUGUUAUAGUUCGAAUCCUAAAAAUUUCAAUAAGUUUAGUCCUCAAAAUUUGUAAAUUUAAUUUUAAUUCCAAAAAUUUUAGAAAAAGGAAAGAUGUAUUUUAUGUUAUAUAAAAGAAAAUCUAGCUCCAUCCAACAUUUUAAAUUCUUUUCUUUUUUCUUCACAUUUUCAUGGCAACGAAAAAACCAACUCAUGGAUGAAUUAAGCAAAUUAAUUAAAAUCAAAUAAAUCGAACAAGGAUUUUAAUUAAAAAGAAAUUCUUCACAUGCAUCAAGGAGGGACUUCCUCUGGUGGUAUCAAGGGGAUUGAUAGAAACAGCUCAGGCUCGAACAAGAACUUCAUUGGGCUUAAGAUCAGGAACAGACACAUCGGACCAAAGCUGCAACACCUCAGGUCCUCCGAACCGAGGCAGCAAUACCGCACUGUAACUGUUGACAUAGCACCGAAUUGAACCCACUUUCAACGAUAACUCCAUAAAGGGUUUAGGUUUUAAGCUUUGAAGUUCCCUUUUUUCUACUCAAAUUUACUGAAUUUCAGCUCCUUCCUUUUGUUAAAUGAAGGAAAAGCAGAGGAGAGACACGGAAGUGUUUUAAUCCACAUAGAAAAAAGUGAUUGUGUGACUUGUGAGUGGGGGCCUAUGGGGCGUGGAAGAAGAAGAUGAACAUUGCAUAAUCAAUUUUUAAUUGCUUAUUACAUUCAUAAUUUAAUAAAUAAAAAUUUCUAACCUUAUCUAUUAAAUCAAGUUAGAAUGUUCAACUUAAUUUUUGUUUGUUAUAAGUAUCACAUAUUAUAAAAAUUAAUUAUAUUUUAAUAAUUAUAUAAUAUUGAUUGAGUUAUUAUUUUUAAUUAUAUCAUCUGAUACCAUCUUGAGGACUAAAUUUAGAAUUAGAACUAAAUUGACAAAUUUCUGAAAUUUUGAGAUUAAAUUUAUUUUUAUUUUUAAGAAUUUGAACUAAAAUGAGAAAUUUUGUAAAUAUUGAGGAUUAAAUUUGUUGGAAAUUUUAUAUUUAGAAUCAAAUGGAUAGAAUGUCUAAACAUUAGGGGCCUAAAUUUGUUAUUAGACCAAUAAAAACAAGUUUAUACCAAUUUCCUGUAGCUCAUUAAUUGCAACUAACGAGGAAAUGAUUAAAAUAUUUAAUUUCUAAAAAUUUAAUGACUAAAUAAAAAAAUUAAUAUUUAAGUGAUCAAAAUAGAAUGAAAUCAAUAAUUUGAUGACCAUUUUUGUACUGUACCCUAUCUUAAUCCAUCUCACAACCAAAUUUCUCCGUCUUUGCCUAAUUUCUCGUCAUUGUCAAAUUUUAAUAGAAUUAACAUUUUUAUUUAAAAAAUAUCUUUAAUCAUUUAAUAUAUUUUUAAUAACUAAAUGUUAAUUCCAUUAAGAGUCAGUUUAUUUACAUGUAAAAAGUUAUAUAAUAUGAGUCUAUUGAACCGAUUCAAUCAUAAAUUUUAUUAUUAUUGGUUUAUAUAAUGGUUUGAUUUUGAAAAUAUUUGGUUUAACAUUUAGUCAUCCCUUUGAUCAAUUUUAAAUUUUAGAAAUAAUUUUGUUUUUUGUUUACAUUUAAAUGUACAGUUUCUAAUGCAUAUGUGUUACAUUUGAUUUCAAGCCAUUAAUCCUUAAUUACUUUUUAAAAUAAUAGUUCUCUUAGUUUUUAAAUAAUGUAUAAAUUUAUAAUUAUAUAAGAAAGUAAACUAUAAUAUUAAUUUUUAAAAAAUUAAGUAAAACAGAAGGCAAUAAUUUUUAUAAUAAUUAAUGAUAAAUAUGAAAAAUAUUCACAAUUAUAAAACAAACCGUUUAAGAGUAUAUAAACUACUUAUACAAAAUUUUUUUAAAUUAAAGAUGAAAAUAUAUAUAUAUAUAAAUAUACAUAAUUUAUAAGUGAAAAAUAUACAUAAUUUUAUUCAUAAAAAAUACAUAUGAUAAUAUACAGACAAGGUUAUAAAGUAAUUCAUAGGAAUAUAGCUUUCUUGUUUGUAUUCUCAUUCGGUUAUGAAUAUAGCUUUCUUGUUAGUAUUCUCAUUCUAUUUUGAACAUACCUUUCUUGCUUGUUUUCUCAUUCUAUUAUGAAUAUACCUUUCUUGUUCGUAUUCUCGUUCUAUUGAUGAUUAAUGUUGCUUUAUAAUUGUUUAUAAAUUUAAUAGAACUAUAUAUUACUACUAAAAGUAUAAAAGGGCAAUGAUUUGCAAUUGCUUUUAUAAUUAAGUACUGCUUCUUGCAAUUGUUUUCCCAGCAAGAUUGAAAUCCAAAUUCAAGAUUUUAAAGAAUUUUCUGAGCUCGAUCACUAUUAUGGCUUUGUCUGCUGUGACAUCUGCAGUGACAACAAUCGGCAACCUGCUAACUGAGGAAGCCAUAUUCCUAUGGGGCGUCGAGGAGCAAGUUGAUCGUCUGCAAACAGAGCUCAAAUGGAUGCAAAGAUACUUAAUGGACGCAGAGACAAAACAAUCAAAGGAUGAGAUGAUUCGUCUUUGGGUUGCUGACAUCAGAGAGCUUGCUUAUGAUGCCGAGGAUGUUGUCGAGGAAUUUGCUCUCAAGAUUGGACCCAAAAACAAAGGAGGUCUUGCGAGUUGUAUUAAAAGAUCAGCCUGCUGUUUGAAAGAGGGAUGGGUGCUCCAUGAAACCAGGUCAAAGAUUGAGAAAAUCAUAGAAAGAAUCAACGACUUGGUCCGACGACUACAGGCCUACGGCGUAAAGGAAUUAAAGGACAGAGGAGAAGAAUCAAGUUCUUCAACUGAAAGACGAGAAUCAAGGCGGCCUUAUCCACAUAUUAUGGAUGAUAAUAUUGUAGGACUAGUUGAUGAUACCGAGGGAUUGGUCAAAGUUCUGACGAACGAAAGUGGAUGCAAGGUUGUUACAAUAUGGGGCAUGGGUGGUCUGGGAAAGACCACACUCGCCAAGAAAAUAUAUCACCAUCCUCAGGUUAGAGAUUAUUUCGAAAACUUCGCUUUUGUAUAUGUUUCUCAACCAUGCCAGAAAAUAAAUGUUUGGGAAGACAUUCUAUCUGGUUUCAAAACUUCAAAUGUCAAGGAUAGGAAGAAAAGAGAUGAAGAAUUAGCAGAGGAUAGGAAGAAAAGAGAUCAAGAAUUAGCAGAGAAGUUGUGUAAAACUUUGGAGGAUAAAAAGUGUCUGGUGAUACUUGAUGAUGUUUGGACCAGUGAAGCUUGGGAUAGUCUAAAACCUGCCUUUCCAGUUGCAACGGGCCGUGAUAGCAAUAGCAAGAUAUUGCUCACCUCUAGAAACAAGGGGAUAGUUUCAGACGCUGAGAUAAGAGGUAAAAUUUUCUUAAUUAGGUAAAAUUGAAUACACUUAUUCCUUUUAUGGAAAAUAACUAUGUAUCUUAUUUCAGAGUUGAAGUGCCUAAACGAUGAAGAAAGUUGGGAAUUGUUUCAAAAGAUUGUAUUUCCUCAAACAGGUAAAUAUACGUAUAGCAAAAUUCUUGUUAUAUGCUAAAUUAUUAAAAAUAUAUAAAAUCUAUUUUAUUUCAAAAUUUCAAAACCUUAAUAUGAAAUAAAUAAAAGAAAUCAAGGCUUUGUAGUUUAUCAAUUAAUGGUACACGCACGUAAAUAUAAUUAAUAGGUAAAUUCAUUAUCUUUUAUAUUAUAAUUUUUUAAUAACUUCACUAUUGCUUACCGGGAAUAAAUUAUAUUAGAAUCAUCUUAAAAAAUAUAGUUUUUAGGCACUAAUAAAAUAGUGUUACAUUAUUAAAUUUUUAAGAUAAUUAAGAAUUAUUAUACACUCAUUUAUAUUUAAUAUUUUCUCUAACUUAAUUUAACUUUAAUUAAAUUAUUUAAAAUAAUAAAUUUUUAAAUUAUAAACAAUCAUCUUUUCUUCUUUUACAAAUUUUAAUCAUUUUAUUUUUUUCAUAAGUUAAUAUUUUUUUAUUUUUGAGCAACCAAUUUUUUUUUAAAUAAUUUUUGUGCAAUAUUUUUCAUGUCAUUGACACAUAAUUUUGAUAAUUAUUUUAUCUUGAACUCAAAACGCCAAACAUUGAACUCGAACCCUGAACCUAAACCUUGAACCCCGAAUCUCACAGUUCAAGGUUUGGAUUCGAGAUUUAAAGUUUAGAACUUGAGGUUCAAGUUUGAAGUUCAAGGGUUUAGGGUUAUGGGUUACAAGUUUAGAAUUCAUGGUUCAAGAGUUUGGGGUUAUGAGUUUGGGGAUUUAUGUUUUGGAUUUAGGAUUUAGGAUUCUAGAUUCAGGGUAAAAAAAUUACCAAAAUUAUGUGUCAAUGACAUGGAAAAAAUUGUUGAAAUGAAAAAAUUGUUGAAAUGUUAUUACAUAAUUGGAAAGGGACUAUGAAUAAUGUGGUCAGAAGGAUCCAUAAAAUAAUUUCUCCAUGAAUGAGUGUAUAAUAAUAAUUCAUUUCUUUAAAAUUUGAUGAUGUGACAAAAAAACUUUAAUUUUUAGGAUCAUCCUAAUGUUACCUUAAUUAUUGGAUUAUAUGCUUGUUUAGUUUCUUAAGCACUUUCAUGUUAUUCUUUUAUAUGUUUAUCCUGGACCCUUGCAUCAGAAAGAUGGAGGCGCAGGUGAACCAUUCUUAUCAAGAGUAAAGCCCAAGAAAGAUGGUAGUUGAUUCGAACAACCAGCACAUCUCUUUACGACCUAUUUAGCAAACCAAUCCGCUAACCUAUUGGCUUCUCGUCUAAUAACAUUGACUUUCAAAGAAGAAAGUUGCAUGACCAGCUUAUCAAAAACCUGAAGGACUAGCCUUAAUCUCCAUCUUCGAUCUUGACUCUUCUUUUUAAUAUUCGAAGCAAUAGUCUGGGAGUCAGUCUUGAUUGUUACAUUGGUCCAUUUGUUCUUCAUAGCUAAUUCAAUCCAUCCAACCAUAGCUUUAGCCUCGACAACCUCACAUGAAUCCACUUAAUCCUUUUACCAAUCCCAUCCAGCAUCUUCCCACUUAAAUUUUUGCCUAUUACUCUAAUACCAGCACAAGCUAUUCAGGUGUCAAAUGCCCGAUCACAAUUUAACUUUAACCCAACCUUCUGGUGGUUUCUCCCAAAUAUCAGCACAAGUUUUUGACUUCCUAGUUCGAUCAGAGUUAUUGUUUGAACAGAGGAUCCAUUGAGUAGAUAAGAAUUCAUUCAUGGAGCAAUUAAUCCUUCGAAUAAUUCUCUCCAAACCAAGUUUCACACCUCCAAUUGUAACCUCACAGCUAGCUUUCCAGAUGUGCUAGCAAGUGAAAACAAUUCUAACUUUGAAAUCCUCCCUCAUACAAGGCAUUUGUAACAACUUUGAGAACCAUCUGUCCAAUGAUUGAGAAUCAUUUUGCCCUUGAAGACCAAAACAAGCCUCAUACUAUAUUUCCCUAACCCAAUUACAACUAAGAAUAAUAUGUUCAAAGUCUCAUCUUCAAUACCACAUAAACAACAAAUUGGGUUCGAAACACACUUUCUUUUCCAUGGAUUAAAACGAGAUGGAAUAGCAUUAUGACACAAUUUCUAUAAGAAAAUUUUAACUUUGCUCGUUACCUGUAAGCUCCAAAUAGCUUUCCAAGUGCUCUUAUCAAUUAAGUGAGAGCUGGAAGGUCGUAAAGAAGACUCAUUUCCAUAGUGCUUUCUCAACUCCUUGUACCCUGACUUCAUCGGAUAUUGACCAACAGCUGUAAACGGCCACACCAAUUUAUCUUGCUCAUCUGUUUCGUGAAGGGGAACUUUUAAUUUCGCAAUUUCAAUAUCUUCUAACCACAUUGAGAUACUGGGUAAGUCCCAAUUUAGUUCUUCUAAACAAAUGAUCUCAUCAACUCUUGUUGGUGAGGAUCCGUCAAUAUUUCCAGGAUGCUUUAAUUUCCUAUCUUUAACUCCCAGCAGCUGUUUAUCUUCCCAAAUCCGGAUGAUUUCGCCAUUUAGAACUUGCCAAAUCAAAGUCUGCUUUUAAAAACUCUUUCCCUUCAAGAAUGCUACUCCACACCCAUGAUGACCUAGCUCCCUUUUUAGCUUCAAGGAAAUUAGAUUUCGGGAAAUAAAGUCCUUUUAAAAUCCUAGCCCAGAGAGCAUCAGCAUCCUGGACUAACUGUCAAGAUUGUUUUGCAAGUAGAGCAAGUCCUCCAAGCUUUUCAAUGAAUACGUCUCUCAUUUUCCUUCUGCUGAAUUCAUUUCCACGCAUAAUUUUUUAGGAAAUUCGAAAAGAUAUCGUAUACAUUGAAGCGCAUGCUACUGCUUUAAUAAGAACCUCCCUUCCCCUUCAAGAUCACGUUUGCUGCUUCCAGCCCUUAAGUUUGGUAAGGACCAUUUUUUUUUUUGAUAUGCCUCAAAGUUAAUGUUUUCGAAAGCUCCCACAAAGAAGGGACACCCAAGUAGACGCCCGAAUUGUUAGCCCCCUCUAUAUUAGUCUCGUCUUGAAUCAACCUUUCGUUGAGGAGUAUUCACACUAAAAAGGUUGCUUGAUUUAUCAUACUUGACCCUUCGUCCAGAAGCUGCACAGUAUUCUUGAAAGUUAAUCAUUCUCCUACAAUUUAACGAAUUAGCUUUCAAAAAGAACAGAGAUCGUUCUCGAAUAACAAAUGUGACACUAUUGGAUAAUGACUACCAAGGCUAAUCCUAGAAAUAAAACUAGACUCGAGUCUAAGGCUAAUCGUACGAGGGAGAACAUUCACAACAAAAAGGAAGAGGGUAAGGUGAUAGAGGGUCACCUUACCUUAGACCUCUAGAUGGAUAGAUUUUUCUACUAGACUUACCAUUAAUAAGCAAAGUGUAAGAAACACUCCUCACACACUCCAUUAUCCAAUCAAUCCAUGUUAAAGCAAAUCUCAUUUUUCUUAAAAUAGUUUCUAGAAAUCUCCACUCUACUCUGUCAUAUACUUUAUUCAUGUCGAGCUUCCAAGCAACCUCAUAUUUCUUACCCCUCUUCUUCAAUUUCAAUGAUGAAAACCUCUUGAGCAAUUAAGAAGUUAUCAUGUAUUUGUCUACCUACCACAAAAGCACUUUGAUUAUUCAUAAUCACUACCCUAGAACUCCUUUCAAUAUAUUCACCAUGAUCUUCGAUAUGAUUUUUUAGGCAAAAUUAUAAAGAUUAAUUAGUCUAAAUUAUGUAAUUAAUUCAAAAUAUUUAGUCUUCAGAAUUAAAAUUAUCUCAAUCUCAUUUAAACCCAUCCGAAAUUUCCCUUCCCUAAAAAACAAAAAAACUCUUAAUAGCUUCCAAAACAUCCUUUUUAAUAAUUUUCCAAUAAUUAUGAUAGAAAAUUCCGCUAAAAUCAUUUGCAAAAAAAGAGAUUAAUUUAAUUGUUUUGUAUGCUUAACUUCUACAAUAUAAGUAAAAUCUUAUAAUUUUAUCUCUGAAUUCUCUCAACACAAAUUUCUGACCCUUAUUUAUAAUCUCAUUUGUUUCUAAGAGGAUAUCCAAUUUAAAAUUAAAUAGUCUUUUUUAUAUAAUGAAUUAUAUAUUUAUUUGAAUCUCCUCUUAAAUUAAUUAGAGUGAAGUUUCUUAUUUAGUAUUGACUGUUCCAUAAAGUAUUCAAAGUUUUCAAAUAGAUUUAUUUUUUAAGUGUAGUUAAUAACCGUAAUAAAAACUAAAUUUUAUAAGUGAUGAAUUUAUAUUAAGAAUUAUUUAAUAAAUUAAUAAAAUAUAAGUUUGAGUUCAUCUAUUUUUACAUUUCUUUCACCUACUUAAAUUAAUUCCUAAUUUUCCUAAUUUUUUUAAAUUUUAUUCCUAAUUUUUUUAUACAGGAAAUAUAAUCGAUGAGAAAAUAAUCGAGUUAGGAAAGAACAUGGUUAAACAUUGUGCAGGGCUGCCAUUAGCCAUUGUUGUAUUGGGAGGAAUUUUGGCUACAAAGAAUUAUUCAUUAAACGAAUGGCAAAAGAUAUCUGACAAUGUAAAAUCAUACUUGAAGAGAGGCAAAAAUCAGGGACCAGAGGAUGUGUUAGCAUUAAGUUAUGAUGAUUUGCCUCCUUAUCUAAGACCAUGUUUCCUCUAUCUAAGCCAUUUUCCGGAGGAUUACACGAUAGAUGUGGAUAGAUUGAUUCAAUUCUGGCUUGCUGAAGGUAUUGUGUCAUCAAAGCAAGAAAAAAGAGACGGUGGGGAAAUUGCGGAAGAUGUGGCGGAGUCUUAUUUAAUGGAGCUUGUGGAAAGGUGCAUGAUUCAAGUACGAGAAAGAGAUGUGGCAACCUUAAAGGUCAAAAAGAUUCAAAUGCAUGAUCUGAUGAGAGAUCUUUGCUUAUCAAAGGCAAAACAAGAAAAUUUUGUCUUCAUUGUUGAUCGAUCGAAUGCAUCUUCAUUAUCUAUGAUUCGGAAGGUUCGUAGGGUUUCUGUGCAUGAGUCUUUUUUCAUACAAUGCAUUAAAAGUCCAAAUAUUCGAUCACUUUUGUUCUUCAAUCAGUGCUAUCCGGAGGAGGCAUUAGAAAAAUGUUUGCCCUUGGAAGUGUUGAAUUACGUUAAAAACCAUUAUGACGAUUGUUGUAAUCCACUAUUUUGGAUUCUUCAGAUUUCGGCAGGUUCUACAGUACGUCUUAAAUUUCGGGUAUUUUGGAGAUACAUGUUCAACAACUUCAAAUUGCUAAGAGUCCUAAACUAUGACAAAGCAAGAACGUCAUAUGGUUUUUGGCCCGGGUGGGAGUUACCCAGUGAUAUAGGGAAUCUCAUCCAUUUAAGAUUCUUGAGUCUAAAGGAUGUUCUGUUCUUCCGGACAAUGUUGCCAUCAUCUCUAGGCAACUUAAGGUGCUUGCAAACCUUGGAUUUAAGAGUUAGGAAUCACAAAAUUCAUGUACCUAAUGUGAUAUGGAGGAUGGAGCAACUAAGACAUUUAUAUCUCCCUCUCUAUUGUAAAAGCAGUAUUAAGUUGGAGUUGGGUACUUUGAGAAAACUCCUAACACUUGUGAACUUCAACACCAAGUAUUGUUAUCUGAAGGAUCUUAUCAACAUGACAAAUCUUAGAGAGUUGGAGAUUUAUGGGCCUUUUUAUAUUGAAAAUUUCAAUGAGAAGGAGUUGGGCGAGAAUCCUCCCAUAAUCGGAAGUAAAUAUAUUCAUUCCUUGUCUAUUGGUCGCAUUGGGGGAUCCAGCUCAAAAAUAGAUCCAAGACAUUUGGGCCACCUCCUUUCAAAUUGUACAAGUAUUUGCAACCUGAGUAUAUCAGCAGAGAUAAGUGAGUUACCAGAGUAUCACUACUUCCCUUCACAUCUCGCUUACAUACGGUUGAGUUCGUGCGAGUUUAAGGUAGAUCCAAUGCCAACACUAGAGAAGCUGCCUAAUUAAGGAUUGUUGAAUUCGAAUGUUCUUUGAAAGGAAAGGAAAUGUUUUGCUCCGCUCAGGGUUUUCCUAAACUAGAGUCUCUAAUCCUUGCGAAGCUCAACAAUUUGGAGGAGUGGAAGGUGGAUGAGGGAGCCAUGCCUUCUCUUCAGCGGUUGGAGAUCACGCGUUGCCCAGAAUUGAAGAUGCUUCCAGAGGGAUUGAAGUUCAUUACAACCCUCAAAGAACUGAAGAUUGAAUCAAUGCCAAAGGCAUUCAAAGAUAGAUUGGAGGAGGAAGGAGGAGAAGAUUUCUACAAAGUCAAACAUGUUCCUUCUAUCAUAUUCUAAAAAUGAGGCUAAUAGAUUGAAUGAUAAUUGAGAGGUAAUUUCAUAACCUCUAGUUUAGGACAUGAUUCCUACUUUCUUUACUGCUUAUAUAUCUUUCGUUUUUGACAAUGUCUCACCUUCUCACUCCAUUUGUCAACACACCAAUGAAUAAUUACAUUUAUUAAAAGUCAAAGGAAGUCAGACAUUGAUCUUUUUAGUUUUGCUUUUCAGAUAAAGAAGCCAUUUUUUCACCUGCUAGUGCUAUUCACGGGAUCAAAUCCACAUUUAGUUUGUUGUUUUCUUCAAAUUACAAUAAAAAGGUUGCAAGAUAAGGUAUUGGAAGAAUGGGAGGUGUCUGGAUUAGCAAGGUACCAAACCCCUCCUCCAUUUCUAUUUCCUUCAAUCCAAUUUAAUUACACAUUCAUUUUGGUCUUUUAAAACAUAAAAUUGCAGAUAAGGAUACGUCACUGACCUUUGUUCCCACGUAGCUUUGGUUUGCGGUGACCAUUCUUAUAUUUAUUUGUUAGCUUUGCUUUACCAUUCCUAUAUUUAUUUGUUAGCUUUGCUUUCUCUUUCUUUUUUUUCCCUACUUAAGUCUGCUUGAGUCUUUUUCUUUUUUUAUAUGUACUUAAUGUAAUAGUAUAAGCCAACCAUGCUUUUCUAUUGUAAAAUUCAUCACUUCAUUAUUUUAUAUUUGUAUGUUGGACACAUUCCCGUUUCAACAUAUUUCCUUAUUUUAUGCAAGUCGAUUGGUAUUCAUCAUAAAAAUUACGAUAUCAUAUCAAGUUUAAUGGUUACACUUCCAAAACAAAAAAUAGGAAAAAUUAAAUCUUACAAACUAAUAACACUUCCAAAUUACAUUGUCUAACAGAAAAAAAGAAGAUACAAUUUGAAUUUUUUUAUCAAAUGGUUUGGCAAGCUAUGCUUUAUAAAAAACGCAAAGGAAUCCAAGGGGAUCAAAGAUUCCAAAAUCGAUAUUUAGAUUCAAGAUUUUGUAUCCCCAUGCUUUGCUUCUUAUAUCUAUCAACAAUAUCUUGAUGAUAACAAACUAAAAAAAAAUAUUCAAGGGAAUCGAAGAUUUCAAAUCCAACUUAAUCGAUUGAUUAAAUGCUAAAGUUACAUAUUUUAUGUAAUUAAGUUGGUUAAUUUAUGAGAAUGCACCACUAAUUUUUCCAUAUUUGUUGAAUUUUGUGCAGGAAUGCAAUUUGGGGCUAAAUAGAAGAAAAAUGAAACAAUUGGGCCAAAUUAAAGAAAAAAGCAAAGAAUGAGGGCCAAAGUAGAAUUUUUCCAAUAUUAAUUAGCUGAAAAUUUUGUUGACUUAGUGGGGGAGAUUAUUUUGGGAUUUUUUUGUCAUGGAAUAUUUUUUUUCCUUAAUUUUCUAUGACUAGUUGGCUCAUAAUUUAGUAAAUCCUCUAGUAUAAAUAGAGCAUGUAUUGUUCAUCAAUUCAUUAAUCAAAAAAUAUUUAGCUUUUAUCUUUCAAUUCUCUCCUUUCUCACGUAGCCUUUGUUAUUUCUUAGUUUGUCUUCCUUCAAUUUAUUAGUUCCAGUAGCCAACCAUCCAUUUCACCUUUAUUUUCAACUUUUCAUAAAUUUAUUUAUUGUCUUUAGUUUCUUUAACUUUCAAUUCCUAAAACUUCCAGCUAGUUACUACUUACCAUUUACAACUCCUUUUUUAAAUUCCCUUUUUCAACCACCCCACUUUAAUAUAUAUUUUUCCACCCCUCAUACUCAAUCACGUCACCCAUCUUUUCACCCUUUCUACCUUAUUUAAUUUAUCAAAUACCAACAUGUCCCAAACCUUAGCCAACUAAACCCAUUUUCAGCUUUAAGCCGAAUUUAGCCUCUUCAAAACCCGUGAGUUACGAACCCGAGCCAUUUAACUCCUAAAAUUCCAGUACUUAUUACUUCUCCAGAUUAAGAGUAUGAUUUUGUCAGCUCACAGAGUCAGAUCAACAUUAAGUCAAAAAAGACGUCGUUUGAUUUAGUGUGGUUAGACGUACAGUUGGAAUUCCGAAAGGAACGUUUCUAAUCGGUUUUCUGUGAACACAUGGGCGUGCCAAGUGGAGAUAGCUGUUUGGUUCCGUCAAGGGAGGUAGUAACCGGAUUUAAAUAUCCCACACGGUUGAGGGUAUUGGUUCGAGUUAGGCUCUUCUAGAACGCAAAGCUGUCGGAGUUCUAAAUCACGAACGUUUCGUGGUUGUUCGAUCGGUAAGGGUUAGUUAUUGGACGUUCCAUAACUAAUUUACACAAGGAAGAGUUGGUGUACGGGCGUCCUUGGUAGCUAUAACUAGCUUAUUGGAAAAGAGGAGUUUAUCCAGUUUCGAGGAUCGGUUCAAAGACGAGGAAAAUUCGCGCCUAAAGCUGAGCUCAUUCUAAUUAAUUUUUCUUAAUAUUUAUUUCACAACUUUUAUUAUUCUGUUUUCAACUUUUACUUUUGACGUUAUUUUUCUGUUAAUUUCAGGUUUUCAAAUUUUUAUCCCCCCGAACGUCUUGGGCACGACAGCUGCCCUGACAUAAAUCUAGUCAAGCGAGCAACAAUUUACAGUAAACCAGUCUUUGAGGGAUCGACCCUACUCCCUAUACUGCAUAAUUUGCAAACUAAGGUGUAGGUUUCUAUUGGUGGAUUCGACACCCAUCAAUUUUGGCGUCGUUGCCGGGGACUGGCAACACUUACAAAUUGUUUAAAUCAUCUUCAUGACCAGAUCUUCAUCCGGAGAUCUCGAAUACGACCCAGAGAUCGAAAAAUUAGCACGAGCGCGACGUAAAGAGAUGAAAAUUCUUAAACGUGUAGAAGCAAUUGAAUGUGGAAAACAAGUCGAAGUGGUUGAACCUGAGACCGAACCACUUCCUGAAGCGAAAGAACCAGAAGACGGUUUUGGUGAACCAGAAAGGAUGGAGAACCGAACCAUUCGUCAGCUAGCCGCUGCACCCAAUGAGCAAACACCGUUAUGCAUCAAUUAUCUAGCCGGAGAAACCCCGUUCGAGUUGAAGUCUGGCCUAAUUCACCUUUUGCCCACUUUUCGAGGCUUGAAGAAUGAAAAUCCACACACUCACUUGAGAGAAUUCCACAUGGUCUGCUCAAGCAUGAAACCACAGGGAGUAACCGAAGAUGAAAUUAAACUUCGGGCCUUUUCAUUUUCUUUAGUUGAUACAGCAAGAGAAUGGUUAUUUUACUUACCCCCCGAUUCUAUUACAACAUGGGAUGACUUAUCUUGUGUUUUUCUUGACAGAUUUUUCCCAGCAUCGCGAGCAGCUGAACUGAGAAGAGACAUAGUGGGAAUUCGCCAAAUGGAGAGUGAAUCGCUCUACGACUAUUGGGAGCGAUACAAAAAACUGUGUGCAAGUUGUCCUCAACACGGUUUGACCGAGCAAUCACUUCUUCAGUAUUUCUACGAGGGUUUGCUCCCUAUGGAAAUGAAAAUGAUUGACGUUGCUAGUGGAGGGGCGCUUGUCAAUAUGACUCAUCAAAGGGCAAGAGAACUUAUAUCCACCAUGGCGGCAAAUUCUCAACAAUAUCGGCCAAAUUCAGAAUCCACAAGACGGGUUAAUGGGGUAAACGUUUCAUCAUUAGAAGAUAAAUUGGAUAAACUUACCAAUGUUGUUCAAUCUAUGCUUACAGAAAAGAAGAAUCUGACCCAACUGUGUGGAAUUUGUACUACAUCUGAACAUCCGACGGAUUUGUGCCCAGUCCUUAGCGAAAAUUCAACGGCACAUGUUGACGCUGUCAGAGGCUUUCCAGGACCACCACAAAGACGCUAUGAUCCUUUCUCCAACACCUAUAAUCCCGGGUAGAAGGAUCAUCCCAACUUGAAUUAUGGAGCCAAUCCUUGAUAUAAUCCGCCAUACUAACCGAAACCUUUGCAACCACCGCAACUGCCACCCAAGCCGAGUAUGUCUUUAGAAGCUGUUAUGGAGAGACUUGCAGCCGACGUUGCAAAAUACCAACAAAGUACAGACGCAUCAAUACAAGAGUUAACUAAUCAAGUUAGUAAACUUUCGAUGGCAGUUAGUCGUUUGGAAUCUCAAGGUAAAUUACCUUCCCAAACAGAGCCGAAUCCUAGGCAGAAUGCAAGUGCAAUAACCCUUCGUAGCAGAAAAGUUUUGGAAAUAGUUCCUGAUAAAAGUCAUGGGCAAGAAAAUGAGCGGGAAAAACAUAUCUCUGAUCCAAAAGCCAGCCCAGAAUCAGAAAUUCAAAAACCGAUUGUGAUGCCACCUCCUUUUCCAGGGAGGCUCGCAAAGGAUAAGAAAGAGAAGGAAGAGAAAGAAAUCCUCGAAACGUUCAGGAAGGUGAAGGUAAAUAUCCCUUUGCUCGACGUUAUCAAACAAAACCCUCGCUAUGCAAAAUUUCUCAAAGAAUUGUGUACUAGCAAGAAGAGGUUACUAGGUAACGAAAGAGUAAACGUAGGAGAAAAUGUCUCCGCGGUACUGCAAAAGAAAGUUCCGCCCAAAUACAAUGACCAAGGUAUGUUUGCUAUUUCCUGUGAGAUAGGUAAUGUAGGCAUUAAGAAAGCCAUGUGUGAUUUAGGGGCUUCCAUUAAUGUUAUGCCUUAUCCUAUUUAUAAAUUAAUUAACGCGGGUCCUUUGAAAAAGACAGGAGUAAUAAUCCAAUUGGCGGACAGGUCAGUCAUCUAUCCCGAAGGGUUGCUUGAAGACGUCCUUGUUAAAGUUAACGAAUUAGUUUUCCCUGCAGAUUUUUACAUUAUUAAUAUGGAGGACGAUAACUCAACUAAUUCGUCUGACAUUUUACUUGGAAUGCCGUUUCUAAGUACCGCAAGCGCAAAAAUUGAUGUUCAGAGUGGAACGUUAACAAUGGAGUUUGAUGGCGAGAUCGUGAAAUUCAAUGUCUACGAAGCCAUGAGUCAUCCUCACUCAUUAUCGAAUAUUUUCAGUAUUGAUAGUAUAGAUUGUUUAACUCAAAACUAUUCUGAAUAUUAUGACUUUGAUGAGUUGGAAACUAUCUUUUACAAAAGCAUUGACGUGGAUGCUUUAAGUCGUCUCGAAGAAUUAGCAGUUAUAGAAGAUCUGUUACGAGAAAUUGUCAAACACUUGGAGACGCAACCAUCAUUGACGAAUCGAGGUAAUCAAUAUGAACUAUUACCUUCCAAAAUUAAAAUGUUACCUUCGGUCUUGCAGCCACCAACCUUGGAGCUCAAAGCAUUACCAGACCACCUCAAGUACGUCUUUUUGGGAGAGAAAGACACCUUACCGGUGAUAGUGUCAAACAAACUAACCAAAGACGAGGAGGAAAGUCUAGUUCGAGUUCUGAAGGAUUAUAAGGAAGCUAUUGGUUGGACAAUAGCCGACAUAAAAGGGCUAAGUCCAUCUACCUGUAUGCACAGAAUUUCCAUCGAAGAUAACACAAAACCGAAGAGAGAUGCUCAGAGGCGCCUUAAUCCACCGAUGAUGGAGGUAGUAAAGAAGGAGAUCCAGAAACUGUUGGAUGCUAGAAUGAUAUACCCGAUCUCCGACAGUGAUUGGGUUAGCCCAGUUCAUGUCGUGCCCAAGAAAACUGGCAUGACAGUGGUGAAAAACUCAUCAGGAGAGUUAGUUCCUACCCGAGUCCAGAAUGGAUGGAAGGUUUGCAUCGAUUAUAGGAAGUUGAACGCAGCUACCCGAAAAGACCAUUUUCCACUUCCCUUCAUCGAUCAAAUGCUCGAGCGAUUAGCUGGUAAGACUCAUUAUUGUUGUCUCGAUGGAUAUUCAGGAUUUUUCCAAAUUCCGGUGGCCCCAGAGGAUCAAGAUAAAACAACUUUCACGUGCCCCUUUGGAAUGUUUGCAUAUAGACGAAUGCCGUUUGGACUCUGUAAUGCUCCGGGCACUUUCUAGAUAUGCAUGGUGAGCAUAUUCUCCAAUUAUGUCGAGCAAAUCAUCGAAGUCUUCAUGGACGACUUCACGGUGUACGGUAACUCUUUCAACGAAUGUCUCGAUAAUCUUGCUAAGGUAUUACAAAGAUGCCUAAAAUUUAAUCUUGUUUUAAAUUAUGAGAAAUGCCACUUCAUGGUUGACAAAGGAUUUAUUUUAGGUCAUAUAGUUUCCUCGGAAGGAAUUGAAGUCGAUAAGGCAAAAACGGAUGUUAUUAACUCAUUACCUUACCCUACAUCUGUGAGGGAUGUUCGUUCGUUUCUUGGCCAUGCAGGAUUUUACAGACGAUUCAUAAAAGACUUCUCGAAGAUUGCGUAACCACUUUGCAGUAUAUUACAGAAGGAUAAAGAAUUUAAAUUUGACCAGACCUAUAAAGAUGCAUUUGACGUAUUGAAGCAGAAAUUGGUCUCUGCCCCUAUAGUGCAACCACCAAAUUGGAACUUCCUGUUCGAAAUCAUGUGUGAUGCAAGUGAUCGAAGUGUGGGAGCUGUUCUUGGCCAAAGAAUAGAGAAAUAGCCUUAUGUUAUCUACUACGCUUCGAAAACCUUGGAUGCUGCCCAAAGCAAUUACACAACCACUGAGAAAGAAUUAUUAGCUGUUGUGUUUGCUUUAGAUAAAUUUAGAUCUUACCUAUUGGGAACUAAAGUGAUUAUUUCUUCUGAUCAUGCAGCUUUGAAAUAUUUGAUAGGGAAGAAUGAGGCAAAAUCUCGACUGAUUAGGUGGAUUCUGCUCCUACAAGAAUUUGAUUUUGAAAUCCGGGAUAAGAAGGGAUGAGAAAACUUAGUAGCUGACCAUCUGAGUCGAUUACCGAUUCCAGUAGAUGACACACCAUUAAAAGACAACUUCCCAGAUGAAAACCUGUUUUCAGCAAAUACGGUUCAUCCUUGGUACGCAGAUAUAGUAAACUAUCUCGUCACAGGUACUAUACCUUUAGAAUUACCAAGGUCUAAAAAAGAUAAGAUUAAAAAGGACGCUCGAUAUUACAUUUGGGAUGAUCCUUACCUAUGGAAGUAUUGCUCCGAUUAGGUAAUCCGGCGGUGUGUAGCAGAAAUAGAGGUACAGUCUAUCCUAACUUUUUGUCAUUCUUAUGCAUGUGGAGGACACUUUGGACCUAAACGCACCGCACAUAAAAUUCUCAAGUGUGGACUAUUUUGACCAAACAUAUUUCGUGAUGCCUUCUUAUUCUGUAAAACCUGUGAAAGAUGCCAAAAAGUCGGCAACCUUAGUCGUCGAAAUGAGAUGCCCCUUACUCCUAUUCAUAUUUGCGAAAUUUUUGAUGUGUGGGGCAUCGAUUUUAUGGGUCCUUUUAUUUAUUCUUUCGGUAAUUUCUAUAUACUCUUAGCUGUUGAUUACGUUUCUAAGUGGAUAGAAGCAAAGGCUACUCGCAAUGAUAAUGCUAAGACUGUGGUUGACUUUCUUAAAAGUUCUAUCUUUUCCAAGUAUGGCACCUCACGAGCACUAACCAGCGACAGAGGAACUCAUUUCUGCAAUAAACUCGUAAGUGCACUUAUGGAAAAAUAUGGAGUGACUCAACGAAUUGCCACUGCCUACCAUCCACAAACAAACGGACAAGCUGAAGUGUCAAAUCGAAAAAUCAAGUCCAUAUUGGAGAAGACUGUUAAACCUAACAGAAAGGAUUGGAGCUUGAGACUAAAUGACGCACUUUGGGCUUAUAGGACAGCUUACAAUGGACCAAUAGGCAUGUCACCUUAUCGACUUGUUUUUGGUAAACCGUGCCAUCUCCCGGUCGAAUUAGGGCACAAAGCAUUUUGGGCAGUUAAACAAUGUAAUAUGGAGAUGGAGACUGCAGGAAGGGCUCGAAGGUUGGACAUUCAGGAACUCGAGGAAAUUAGAAAUGAUGCAUAUGAAAAUGCUCAAGUUUAUAAAGAAAAGACGAAGGCGUUCCACGAUAAGAUGAUCACUAGGAAGCAGUUUUCAAUAGGACAGAAAGUUCUCCUAUACGAUUCCACCUUAAAAUUUUUCGCUGGUAAGCUUCGAUCCAAAUGGAUAGGUCCAUUCAUUAUAACUAAUUUAUUCUCGAAUGGUGCAGUGGAAAUACAAAGCGAAGAAACCCGGAAGUGCUUUAAGGUGAAUGGUCAACAACUGAAACCCUUCUACGAGAAUUUUCAAAUGCACACAGUUGAGGAGAUUGUUCUCGAAGAGCCCAAAAAAUUUAAAUAACAGGAUGUCGAGCUAACGACGUUAAACAAAGCGCUGUUGGGAGGCAACCCAAAUUUUCUUUUCCUUUAUGCAAAUAAAAUUUUUGGUAAAAUGGAAAAUGAAAAAUGCAUGUCGAGGAUUAGUUCUGUCUAAGGAAAGACUUGGUACUUAAGUAUGUCCAUUGUGAAUCACCUCUCUUUCCUGGGAACUUACUUGGCGCAUUUAUCACGACUAUUUUACCAAAUCUCGUAAUCUUGGUNNNNNNNNNNNNNNNNNNNNNNNNNNNNNNNNNNNNNNNNNNNNNNNNNNNNNNNNNNNNNNNNNNNNNNNNNNNNNNNNNNNNNNNNNNNNNNNNNNNNNNNNNNNNNNNNNNNNNNNNNNNNNNNNNNNNNNNNNNNNNNNNNNNNNNNNNNNNNNNNNNNNNNNNNNNNNNNNNNNNNNNNNNNNNNNNNNNNNNNNNNNNNNNNNNNNNNNNNNNNNNNNNNNNNNNNNNNNNNNNNNNNNNNNNNNNNNNNNNNNNNNNNNNNNNNNNNNNNNNNNNNNNNNNNNNNNNNNNNNNNNNNNNNNNNNNNNNNNNNNNNNNNNNNNNNNNNNNNNNNNNNNNNNNNNNNNNNNNNNNNNNNNNNNNNNNNNNNNNNNNNNNNNNNNNNNNNNNNNNNNNNNNNNNNNNNNNNNNNNNNNNNNNNNNNNNNNNNNNNNNNNNNNNNNNNNNNNNNNNNNNNNNNNNNNNNNNNNNNNNNNNNNNNNNNNNNNNNNNNNNNNNNNNNNNNNNNNNNNNNNNNNNNNNNNNNNNNNNNNNNNNNNNNNNNNNNNNNNNNNNNNNNNNNNNNNNNNNNNNNNNNNNNNNNNNNNNNNNNNNNNNNNNNNNNNNNNNNNNNNNNNNNNNNNNNNNNNNNNNNNNNNNNNNNNNNNNNNNNNNNNNNNNNNNNNNNNNNNNNNNNNNNNNNNNNNNNNNNNNNNNNNNNNNNNNNNNNNNNNNNNNNNNNNNNNNNNNNNNNNNNNNNNNNNNNNNNNNNNNNNNNNNNNNNNNNNNNNNNNNNNNNNNNNNNNNNNNNNNNNNNNNNNNNNNNNNNNNNNNNNNNNNNNNNNNNNNNNNNNNNNNNNNNNNNNNNNNNNNNNNNNNNNNNNNNNNNNNNNNNNNNNNNNNNNNNNNNNNNNNNNNNNNNNNNNNNNNNNNNNNNNNNNNNNNNNNNNNNNNNNNNNNNNNNNNNNNNNNNNNNNNNNNNNNNNNNNNNNNNNNNNNNNNNNNNNNNNNNNNNNNNNNNNNNNNNNNNNNNNNNNNNNNNNNNNNNNNNNNNNNNNNNNNNNNNNNNNNNNNNNNNNNNNNNNNNNNNNNNNNNNNNNNNNNNNNNNNNNNNNNNNNNNNNNNNNNNNNNNNNNNNNNNNNNNNNNNNNNNNNNNNNNNNNNNNNNNNNNNNNNNNNNNNNNNNNNNNNNNNNNNNNNNNNNNNNNNNNNNNNNNNNNNNNNNNNNNNNNNNNNNNNNNNNNNNNNNNNNNNNNNNNNNNNNNNNNNNNNNNNNNNNNNNNNNNNNNNNNNNNNNNNNNNNNNNNNNNNNNNNNNNNNNNNNNNNNNNNNNNNNNNNNNNNNNNNNNNNNNNNNNNNNNNNNNNNNNNNNNNNNNNNNNNNNNNNNNNNNNNNNNNNNNNNNNNNNNNNNNNNNNNNNNNNNNNNNNNNNNNNNNNNNNNNNNNNNNNNNNNNNNNNNNNNNNNNNNNNNNNNNNNNNNNNNNNNNNNNNNNNNNNNNNNNNNNNNNNNNNNNNNNNNNNNNNNNNNNNNNNNNNNNNNNNNNNNNNNNNNNNNNNNNNNNNNNNNNNNNNNNNNNNNNNNNNNNNNNNNNNNNNNNNNNNNNNNNNNNNNNNNNNNNNNNNNNNNNNNNNNNNNNNNNNNNNNNNNNNNNNNNNNNNNNNNNNNNNNNNNNNNNNNNNNNNNNNNNNNNNNNNNNNNNNNNNNNNNNNNNNNNNNNNNNNNNNNNNNNNNNNNNNNNNNNNNNNNNNNNNNNNNNNNNNNNNNNNNNNNNNNNNNNNNNNNNNNNNNNNNNNNNNNNNNNNNNNNNNNNNNNNNNNNNNNNNNNNNNNNNNNNNNNNNNNNNNNNNNNNNNNNNNNNNNNNNNNNNNNNNNNNNNNNNNNNNNNNNNNNNNNNNNNNNNNNNNNNNNNNNNNNNNNNNNNNNNNNNNNNNNNNNNNNNNNNNNNNNNNNNNNNNNNNNNNNNNNNNNNNNNNNNNNNNNNNNNNNNNNNNNNNNNNNNNNNNNNNNNNNNNNNNNNNNNNNNNNNNNNNNNNNNNNNNNNNNNNNNNNNNNNNNNNNNNNNNNNNNNNNNNNNNNNNNNNNNNNNNNNNNNNNNNNNNNNNNNNNNNNNNNNNNNNNNNNNNNNNNNNNNNNNNNNNNNNNNNNNNNNNNNNNNNNNNNNNNNNNNNNNNNNNNNNNNNNNNNNNNNNNNNNNNNNNNNNNNNNNNNNNNNNNNNNNNNNNNNNNNNNNNNNNNNNNNNNNNNNNNNNNNNNNNNNNNNNNNNNNNNNNNNNNNNNNNNNNNNNNNNNNNNNNNNNNNNNNNNNNNNNNNNNNNNNNNNNNNNNNNNNNNNNNNNNNNNNNNNNNNNNNNNNNNNNNNNNNNNNNNNNNNNNNNNNNNNNNNNNNNNNNNNNNNNNNNNNNNNNNNNNNNNNNNNNNNNNNNNNNNNNNNNNNNNNNNNNNNNNNNNNNNNNNNNNNNNNNNNNNNNNNNNNNNNNNNNNNNNNNNNNNNNNNNNNNNNNNNNNNNNNNNNNNNNNNNNNNNNNNNNNNNNNNNNNNNNNNNNNNNNNNNNNNNNNNNNNNNNNNNNNNNNNNNNNNNNNNNNNNNNNNNNNNNNNNNNNNNNNNNNNNNNNNNNNNNNNNNNNNNNNNNNNNNNNNNNNNNNNNNNNNNNNNNNNNNNNNNNNNNNNNNNNNNNNNNNNNNNNNNNNNNNNNNAAGAGACGAAAGUUCUUAAACGUGUAGAAGCAAUUGAACGUGGAAAACAAGUCGAAGUGGUUGAACUUGAGACCGAACCACUUCGUGAAACAAAAGAAGCGAAAGACAACCUCGGUGAACCAGAAAGGAUGGCGAACCGAACCAUUCAGCUAGCCGCUGCUCCUAAUGAGCAAACACCGUUGUGCAUCAACUAUCCAGCCGGAGAAACCCCAUUCGAGUUGAAGUCAGGCUUAAUUCACCUUUUGCCCACUUUUCGAGGCUUGAAGAAUGAGAAUCCACAUACCCACUUGAGAGAAUUCCACAUGGUCUGCUCCAGCAUGAAACCACAGGGAGUAACCGAAGAUGAAAUUAAACUUCGGGCCUUUCCAUUUUCUUUAGUUGAUACAGCAAGAGAAUGGUUAUUUUACUUACCCCCGGUUCAAUUACAACAUGGGAUGACUUAUCUCGUGUUUUUCUUGACAGGUUCUUCCCAGCAUCACGAGCAGCUGAACUAAGGAGAGACAUAGUGGGAAUCCGCCAAAUAGAGAGUGAAUCGCUCUACGACUAUUGGGAGCGAUACAAGAAACUGUGUGCAAGUUGUCCUCAACACGGUUUGACCGAGCAAUCACUUCUUCAAUAUUUCUACGAGGGUUUGCUCCCUAUGGAGAUGAAAAUGAUUGACGCUGCUAGUGGAGGGGCGUUUGAGAACUGAUAUCCACCAUGACAGUAAAUUCUCAACAGUAUCGGCCGAAUUCAGAACCCACAAGACGGGUUAAUGGGGUAAACGUUUCGUCCUUAGAAGAUAAAUUGGAUAAGCUUACUAAUAUUGUUCAAUCUAUGCUUUCAGAAAAGAAGAAUCGGACCCAACUGUGUGGAAUUUGUACUACAUCUGAACAUCCGACGGAUUUGUACCCAAUCCUUAACGAAAAUUCAAAGGCACAUGUUGAUGCUGUUGGAGGAUUUUCAGAACCUCCACAAAGACGCUAUGAUCCUUUCUCCAACACCUACAAUCCCGGGUGGAAGGAUCAUCCCAACUUGAAUUACGGAGCUAAUCCCCGAUAUAAUCCAUCAUACCAACUGAGACCUUUGCAACCACCACAACAACAACCCAAGUCAAGCACAUCUCUAGAAGCUCUUGUGGAAAGACUUGCCGUCGAUGCUGCAAAAUAUCAACAGAGGACAGACGCAUCAAUACAAGAGUUAACUAAUCAAGUUAGUAAACUCUCGAUGGCAGUUAAUCGUUUGGAAUCUCAAGGUAAAUUACCUUCCCAGACAGAGUUGAAUCCUAGGCAGAAUGUAAGUGCAAUAACUCUUUGUAGCGCAAAGAUUCUAGAAACAGUUCCAGAAAAAAGUCAUGGGCAAGACAAGGAACGGGAAAAGCAGAUCUCUGAUCUAAAAGUCAGACCAGAAUAAAAAAUUCAGAAACCAUUUGUGAUGCCACCUCCUUUUCCAGAGAGGCUCGUAAAGGAUAAGAAAGCAAAGGAGGAAAAAGAAAUCCUCGAAACAUUGAGAGAGGCAGAGGAUCAAGACAAAACAACUUUCACGUGCCCUUCCGGAAUGUUUGCGUAUAGACGAAUGCCGUUUGGACUUUAUAAUAUGGAUAGGUCCAUUCAUUAUAACUAAUUUAUUCUCGAAUGGUGCAGUGGAAAUACAAAGCGAAGAAACCCGGAAGUGCUUUAAGGUGAAUGGUCAACAACUGAAACCCUUCUACGAGAAUUUUCAAAUGCACACAGUUGAGGAGAUUGUUCUCGAAGAGCCCAAAAAAUUUGAAUAACACAGGUCGUCGAGCUUAACGACGUUAAACAAAGCGCUGUUGGGAGGCAACCCAAAUUUUCUUUUCCUUUAUGCAAAUAAAACUUUUGGUAAAAUGGAAAAUGAAAAAUGCAUGUCGAGGAUUAGUUCUGUCUAAGGAAAGACUUGGUACUUAAGUAUGUCCAUUGUGAAUCACCUCUCUUUCCUGGGAACUUACUUGGCGCAUUUAUCACGACUAUUUUACCAAAUCUCGUAAUCUUGGUUUUUAAUAAUUUAUUUCUCGAGUUUAUAGCUUAGCUAAUAAAUUUGAAAAGAAAAAUUUAAUUUUCCUAUUGUUAUUAUUAUUUUUACUAUUUUAUUUUAUUUUCAUUUUUUUGCAGGAAAAUAUUCCAAAACAAAAUUAAAUUCCACAUGUCAACCCACAAAAUUCUUUUUAUUUCAGCCAAGGCCCACUCUAUCUACGAGACCACCCUCCACGACGUUGAAAUACAUGGGGAGUUUCUUUGUCUUUCUUUCUCCUACUUAUCUUUACUUUUAUUCUUUAAAUUACAUUGGGACAAUGUAAAAUAAGUAGGGGGGAGGGAAAUAUAAAUUGGUUCUAAUUUUCUUAUCUAUAAUCGCUAUUUUUGCAUGUUUUCGGUAAAAGGUAAAAUUUUUCUUUUGAUGGUACACUUAUGGCUUGACCUAUUUAGCUAUUUAAUUCUUUACACAUGAAACUUUUCAAUAACCUAGACUUAGUGGGUAAGAAUUUUUUUGGGAAUUAUGAGUUUGCUUGACUGCCUACUUUUUAUCAUAUGCAAAUUUUUGAAUGCAAAAAAAAAAAAAAUCUCCUCUGAUACGAAUGUUAAGAGUGAAAAAUUGGGGUUGUACAUCGGGCAGAGUAACCGGAACGUGGUGCUUGGGUUGUCAUUCCAUCUCGCGUAAAAAGGUUCGUGCGGCUGUCCAAUUUCUUUGCACUCACUCCGCUAACAAGUUAUCAUGAGUAGGGCGAAAUACUCACUUAGAGACAUCCGAAUUGAGUAACCGGAACAUGGUGCUUGGGUUGUCAUCAUGUCUCGCGUCAAAAAAUUCGAAAAUGUCCUAAGUACAAAAAUAAAUAAAUAAAAUAAUAAAAUGAAAGGUAAGUCUAUCAAGCUCUAAUAAAUUCUGAAAUAUAUUUACUUACUUCUUAGGCUAGGUUAUUUGAGAUGUUAAUGUGCUAGGAUUAAAUUGUGAAUUCUGCAAACCAUGAGGGUCAAGUCCUAUUUUGGAGAAAAUUUUUCCUUUUGCAGAUACAUACAAAAUGCUCGAGGACUAGCAUAAGCUAAGUAGGGGGGAUUUGAUUAAAUGCUAAAGUUACAUAUUUUAUGUAAUUAAGUUGGUUAAUUUAUGAGAAUGCACGACUAAUUUUUCCAUAUUUGUUGAAUUUUGUGCAGGAAUGCAAUUUGGGGCUAAAUAGAAGAAAAAGGAAACAAUUGGGCCAAAUCAAAGAAAGAAGCAAAGAAGGAGGGCCAAAGUAGAAUUUUUCCAAUAUUAAUUAGCUGAAAAUUUUGUUGACUUAGUGGGGGAGAUUAUUUUGGGAUUUUUUUGUCAUGGAAUAUUUUUUUUCCUUAAUUUUCUAUGACUAGUUGGCUCAUAAUUUAGUAAAUCCUCUAGUAUAAAUAGAGCAUGUAUUGUUCAUCAAUUCAUCAAUCAAAAAAUAUUUAGCUUUUAUCUUUCAAUUCUCUCCUUUCUCACGUAGCCUUUGUUAUUUCUUAGUUUGUCUUCCUUCAAUUUAUUAGUUCCAGUAGCCAACCAUCCAUUUCACCUUUAUUUUCAACUUUUCACAAAUUUAUUUAUUGUCUUUAGUUUCUUUAACUUUUAAUUCCUAAAACUUCCAGCUAGUUACUACUUACCAUUUACAACUCCUUUUUCAAAUUCCCUUUUUCAACCACCCCACUUUAAUAUAUAUUUUUCCACCCCCCAUACUCAAUCACGUCACCCAUCUUUUCACCCUUUCUACCUUAUUUAAUUUAUCAAAUACCAACAUGUCCCAAACCUUAGCCAACUAAACCCAUUUUCAGCUUUAGGCCGAAAUUAGCCUCGUCAAAACCCGUGAGUUACGAACCCGAGCCAUUCAACUCCUAAAAUUCCAGUACUUAUUACUUCUCCGGAUUAAGAGUAUGAUUUUGUCAGCUCACAGAGUCAUAUCAACAUUAAGUCAAAAAAGACGUCGUUUGAUUUAGUGUGGUUAGACGUACAGUUGGAAUUCCGAAAUGAACGUUUCUAAUCGGUUUUCUGUGAACACAUGGGCGUGCCAAGUGGAGAUAGUUGUUUGGUUCCGUCAAGGGAGGUAGUAACCGGAUUUAAAUAUCCCACGCGGUUGAGGGUAUUGGUUCGAGCUAGGCUCUUCUAGAACGCAAAGCUGCCGGAGUUCUAAAUCACGAACGUUUCGUGGUUGUUCGAUCGGUAAGGGUUAGUUAUUGGACGUUCCAUAACUAAUUUACACAAGGAAGAGUUGGUGUCCGAGGCGUCCUUGGUAGCUAUAACUAGCUUAUUGGAAAAGAGGAGUUCAUCCAGUUUCGAGGAUCGGUUCAAAGACGAGGAAAAUUCGCGCCUAAAGCUGAGCUCAUUCUAAUUAAUUUUUCUUAAUAUUUAUUUCACAGUUUUUAUUAUUCUGUUUUCAACUUUUACUUUUGACGUUAUUUUUCUGUUAAUUUCAGGUUUUCAAAUUUUUAUCCCCCCUGAACGUCUUGGGCAGGACAGCUGCCCCGACAUAAAUCUGGUCAAGCGAGCAACAAUUUACAGUAAACCAGUCUCUGAGGGAUCGACCCUACUCCCUAUACUGCAUAAUUUGCAAACUAAGGCGUAGGUUUAUAUUGGUGGAUUCGACACCCAUCAUCGAUUGAAAAUUUCACAUCCACUUAAUUAAUUCAAAUGAUAUUUAUUCAAUAAGUUUAAAUUAAAAACUGCAAGAAUCUUCAUUUAUCUUUUAUUCAAAAUGUAAUUCGGAUUCAAUGAAAAUAUUGAACAUAUAAUGUGUGCACAUGGAAAUGUCCAAAUCUUUAAAUAUAGGGUCGACAUGGGAGAAAUCUUUAAAAUUCAAUAUGAUCCUGUUGCUUUCGUUAUAAAACUCAAUAUCUUAUUCGGAUUAGGAUACGAGCGAAUAACAGCUAACUAUUUGUAGUUCAAGGUGUGAUAAAAUCUCAGUAGCUAAGAUAUGAAUGUUGCAAAAUACCAUACAAAAUCACAGCCACAUUUGUUGGUAUGACUAUUUUGGGUAAUCAAAGGAAAAAAAAUGUUAGCUGUUGAGCAAACAAGGUGAACAGAUUAGAUAUUCCAAUUCCGUUCAAGCACUUGACAAAUCCUUUCCGCAAUGGCUUCAGCACGCAUCCUAGGACCUUCAUCAUCUGCAAAAACGGACCAUUUCUAACAACUAAGCUAACAUCACACAUGAUAAUAUAUGUAUAUUACAUAUAUAGAAGAUGAUCAUGUGGAUUAAAAGCUAUUUUAGUUUGACUCAAUACAUGACCAUGGGACAUGCACAAUUCUUCAAUAACGAUAUGAAAAUACUUGGAAGAAAAAUUAAAUACAUCAAUAUCUAACAUUUACAUCUGAGUUCGAGUAAAGUAAAACAUGUCAUUCUAUCUAAACAUGCAAAAUAUCCAAAACUCUUGACGAAUGUUAGAUACAAAUAUGUAGAAUGUACCCAAAAUACCCAUCUCGAACUCAGUAGAGAAAUAUCUAGCACUCAAAAGACACUAGCUUCAACCAAGAACAAGGAAGUUUCUUCAAAGGCUUGAUAUACUUUCUUCACAGCCAUAUAUAUGUGUGCAUAUACCCAUAUUAAGGAUGAUUGUUUUGGCAAAGAGGAUGAGAAGAUAGAAAGAAAACCUUUAAUCCAAUGACAAUAUUUGAUUAUAACAACAUGACACAUAUAAUUGUGAUUAAAAUUGCGGUCACAAACAUGUUUGCAAUCACAUCAUGUUAACGAAUACUAUCACAAUCAAUUGCAAUAAAUAUCCACAACAAGAAGAGCCAGAAUCCUAAAAUAACAAAGAUAAUACAUUACAGCUAUUAAGGAAUUUUCAAUAACGUAUAUACCUGCAAGAUUUUCAGUGAUGACACAACAAAGUUCACCACCAGACAACUUCCCGAUCUAAUGAAAUUUUCAAACAUAUCAUGUCAUAAGUUUCAAGAUCAACUGAAACAUGAGGAUACCAAGUAUGAUAAGAAAUUAAAUUAAGGAUUUUCUACUGCAAACCUACCACGAAAACAUAAUUUUUAUUAGGAUCAAAGGCAUAGCCCAUCAUGGCAACAUUAUUGAGUCCAUUUUCAGAGGAAAAUCCUGAAACAUGUUACAGGCAAAUAUUAAGAAAAACAAUGCACAAGCGUAAGUACAAAAACAUAGCAUGCAAGAAAUCAAUACUUGAAAGGAUUAAAAUCACUGCUAACCUAAGACAUUGAAUCUAGCACCACUAGGAAAGAUCCAAAAUGAUACUUGUCUUUCAAUGUUGAGAUACAUAGGUCCAAGUCUGCCAUGUUGUGCCAAACGGGAAUUCAUCAACCUCUUGAGAACCUAAAGGAUGAAAAGUUCCAGUCCAAGUUAUAUAUAGACACACACACAGAUAGACAUGAAGAAAGUGGGUUAAUGGUGUAUUAUUUAAGUAAAGAAAAAGUUGAAAUCUUGAACCUAUAAAUAUUGGGUAACAGCUAGUGCUAAAAGUGCAUAAAGUUCUGCUAUUAUCUACAAGAAACAAUGGAGGAAUCACAUACAUUGUUUAUAUUCACUUUUCUUGCUACACAAGCAAGCUGAGGCCAUAAACAAAGGCAUACCUUUUUCUCCGUUUUUAAAUGGUUUUCUUCUUUUUUUGGCUGCUUUUUAUAUUAAGAGAGAGAGGUUGUGAGACCUCGUCAUCCUCAAGGAGUAAGUGGUCAAGCAUGAAGAUGAUGGGAAGACCACAAGUCGAUGGUGGUCGAUCCAUGAUUUGAUUAUGAGUAGUUUCAUGUUAUGAAAUAAAAAUGUUACCUAAAGUUAGUUGAACGCUGUGUUUUAGGGCUGAGGGUUUAAUGAAACUAUAAGUUUUGAUGUUGAAUGAAAAUGGUGCGUAUUGACAGUUGUUACAACUGCUCGAGGAACAGCCCUAUAACAGACUUUGUAACUGCCAAUUCUCAGCCAUAAUAGAAACCGGCAUGGGAAAUGAGCAGAUAUGCCAUUUUGUGAAGGAAAUCAAUUCUUUCUUCUUCCUCGAUUCUCUUUCUCUUCUCUCUUUUUCUUUCUUCCUCUAUUCUGUUGAAAUUAUGCAUCACUUCACCAGCAUUCAUCAUUGUGGACGUAUCUGAUCUUCAGUCUCUGGUUUACUGCCCAUGGAAAGUUAUGGAAAGAAAUGCAAAUUUAAAAGGUUUUCUUGCUAUUGUCUAUGCAAUUUCAUGUGUGCGUGAAAGGAGAUGAAGAUUAAUAGAGUAAUACUGAUAUACCAACAAUUCAUUAAUUGAAGUACUGUCAAUAUUAUCAACAAGUAACAGAAUUAAGUGAGUAUACUAAUAUAGUCUAGAAAAACAAUUUAAUUAAUAAUACCAUAGGGAUGGCAACAGGGUGAAGUUGCUAUUGCUAUUUAUAUCUCUGCUGUUAGCUUUUGACGACUUCAAGUAAACCUCAAUCACAAGUGUUGUUCUUAUUACCUGCAAAAACACAGCCAACAAUCUGAAUCCAUAUCCCCAUUUUAGGAACAAAUGCAUGGUGUACCAUUUGUUUCGAAGCCAAAUCAAUUUUCUUAAUUUUUCUUUAAGUAAAACCGUAUCUGACACUUAUAUUCAACACAUAUUCAUGUAUUGGUAUGAAGAUAUGACAUUCUUAUCCUAUACUCAUAUCCGUGCUCAAGUAACAUAAACUGAACCCGCAAGAUAACUGAUUUAACAUUGCAUUGCUGCUAGCUAUUGAUGAUUUCACCAAGUAAACUGCAAUCACAAGUGUUGUUCUUAUUCCUUGAAAAAACACAGUCAACAAUCUGAAUCCACAUUCCCAUUUUCGGAACAAAACCAUGGCGUACCAUUUGUUUCAAAGCCCAAUCAACUUCCUUUACCAUCUUCCCCUUAUAAAAACCAUGAAUCAACUUCUUGUAUGAAUCAAAACUAGGAUUAACCCUCUCGAAAACCAUUCUCCCCAUAAUCUCCUUUGCUUCCAUAAACCUCGCAGCAUCAAGCAAACCAUACAACACCUCUUGAUAAGACCCUGCAUUGGGAUAACACCCUUUCUUUUUCAUAAUUUCCAACAGCUUCACACCUUCAUCAAUCCUACCUUGUUUCCUAAGACCUGAAAUCAAGAUAUUAAAGCUAACAGCAUCAGCAUCGAUUCCUUCCGUUUCCAUCCUCCCCAUCAACUCAAAAGCUUCAUCAACCUUCCCCUUAUCGCACAACCCGUGCAUUAAAGUAGAAUAAGUUCUAACAUUAGGCUUACACCUUUGUUUAGGAAAUUCAUCGAGCAGUUGGAAUGCAAACUCUAAUUUCCCAUUUUCACACAACCCUUUAAUGAGAAUAUUCAGAGUACAAGCUUCGAUUUCAACACCCAAAUUGGGAGCUUUCCCAUAAACCUCGUGAACAACAUCAAAUAGUUUGUUCGAUACGAGUAAGCUCAAUACGAUAUUGAAGGUUUUAACACUAGGCCAAGUNNNNNNNNNNNNNNNNNNNNNNNNNNNNNNNNNNNNNNNNNNNNNNNNNNNNNNNNNNNNNNNNNNNNNNNNNNNNNNNNNNNNNNNNNNNNNNNNNNNNCGGAUAAACGACAGGCUUUUUCACGUUUGAGCUUUUCCAUUAUAUUUUCAAUGGAAUCAAAAUCCUGGGCAUAUGCGAGCUUGUUGAUGAGCAAAGUGAAGAGAGGUUCAGUUGGUUUAUAAUCCUUGCGAGCUGAGUAUUGGGCUAGGACUGAAAUGAGAGAGUUUGGAUCUUUAAGAUUGUCAAAGAUUUUGAGGAUUUCGGUCGGGGAGAGCCAGUCUUUGUGGGUUAGUUUGAAAAGGGGAGGGGAAGUGGUGUAGGUUGGUUGAUGGUAGCUGGAAAAUGACGAGAAAAACGAAAGGGGUUUAAGAGAUGAGAUUUUAGUGGCGAUUGGAUGGUGAAAAAGCGAGGGAAAAUUUUGGGGGUAAGAGCUUUUGACAGAAGAAAGAAGGGAACGUGAAAUCAUGCGUUUGGCCAUUGGAAAAAGUAGAAACUGGAGAGCUAAAAGCUUUCUGCUAUUCCCACUAUAAACGUAUAUAGGGUAAGGGAAAGGCUUAAUACUUGUUUUGUCCCCUGUAAUAUAGUGAAAAUCUCAUUUUAAUCCCUGUAAAUUGCCUGCUUACUUUCAUUUCGUCCAUCAUGUUAGUCUAUUGAUCAUUUCCGUAAAUCCCAUGUGUUAGGGUUCCUAUAUUAUGGUAUUCAUCCAUAUACUUUAACCCUCCACGUAGUCUAAAUCAAUUGGCUUAAAUGAUUACACACGAGGAUCACUAUAGUAUAAGGACCAAAGUGAGAAUUUUAUUAUUAAUUAAGUGAUGACCACGUAAACAUGCACUAAUUUUUUUAUAUGGAAAUGGUCAAUGGAUUAAAGUGAUAGAUGAAAUAAAAGUAAAGGGCGCAAAGUGAUUGGAAAAGUAGUAAAAGGUUGGAAAAUAUGAAGAGAUUGUAUGAUGCAAAACUUAAAUAAUUUAUCUACUGAAAUUGAGGUGUAUUAUUUCGAAGUAAUGAAUCAUUGUUAUUGACAACUAUAUAUUAUAUCUCUUUGAAAUGUACAAAUAAAUUAAUGGGCAGAAUGUUUAUGAAUGUCAAAACUUUAUUUUUGCUUCUUCUUCCCUUCAAGAAUUGGUUGGAUUUGGAGAUGCCUAUUGAAAGCCUGGUUGAAAAGGAAUCGAGUUUGGAAUGCCGAAAUGAUCAGAAGCCAUGCCAAUAUAGCAAUCGGAGAGAAAAGGAUCGAUCCCAUUCCGUAAUCAUAUGCCUUAGCUAGUACCUCAGUGAACUGCCAGAGUCCGGUGUUCUCAAUAAUUGGCCUCAUAGCUUGAGCAACCUGAAGGGAACUAAAAUGUCAGAGGGAAUAAGGCAAAAGAUGCAAACUAUAGACAAAAACUAUAUGCCGAUCCUCUAAAUAUAUGAACAAAUUUAAAAAAAAAAAACUUGGGCAUGCCCGUAUUUGAUACUUAUUCUUGAAUUCGAGUAACAUAGUCAACUAGACAUACCAAAAUCAGACCCCAUCCAGUCGGCAGAAAUGCAAGACAGCAGACAAGUAAAUCCUUGGACGACAGUUCACAGGUGACUGAGAGAGUGAUAACAAUGGCCGAAAUCCUUUACAAUUGCUUGAUUCCUCAGUCAUAUUGCCCUGGAAUCUUCGGAAGUCAAGACAAGUCUAGCUCAUCAGCUUUGCCAUUCAUCUUGAAACUCCAAGCCAAUAUGUCGUGCGUGAACCGAGGCUAUAUAAACAAUGCAAAUAAAAUAUAUGAAAUUACGGUGUACAAUAAGUAUAGAGAUUAAAUUGUAAUAUAGUUUUAGAUUUAUAAUGAAAUACGAAAAUAUUUCAAAAAUCGUACUCAAAGAAAGUAUGAACUAAAAUUGAAUUAAACAUUAACAAAGAAUAUGUAAAACUAAGUCUAAAUAGCUACUUCCUUGAUUAUGAUAGUAUGAUUAAACAUAAACUGAAAGUAUAAAAUUGGUAGACAAAUCAAUUAGAAAUGACAAACAAUAGUUCAUUAAUAUCCAUGAUUGUAAUUAAUCUAGACUUAUUCUACCAAUUAAUCAAUUUAGUCCACUUAUCUUUCGACCUAAUGGAUCUAAAUGGGACAACUGAAUCAGUUCUGGAUAAAAUCUCCUUUCAAUCUCAUCUACCUAAAUUUCCAUCUAGAGUCAUCAAUUUGAUCCAUUUAAUCAAUUCAAAACCUUAAAUUAAAUUAACUAUUCCCACAUCAAUUAAGCAACUUUCUUAAAAAUUUAGUUAAGACCCAUUCUAAUGAUAUCAGACCCACUUAAUCCGUAAACCAUCAAUAAAGUUAAUGAUAAGAACGAAUAGAGUUGAGGGAUGCUCAAUAAUUUGUGGAGAUCCUCAUAAUGAAAGCGUGAAAUAAAAAAUAAAUAUAUUUUUANNNNNNNNNNNNNNNNNNNNNNNNNNNNNNNNNNNNNNNNNNNNNNNNNNNNNNNNNNNNNNNNNNNNNNNNNNNNNNNNNNNNNNNNNNNNNNNNNNNNCACUUUAAUUUCCUUCUGCUUAAAUUAGAUGUUUUAAGUUAAUUUUUAGUUUUGAACAUGUUAAAUUGCAGGAUAAUGAGACGCCACUGACCUUUAUUCGGAUGUAGCAUUGCAUUUACAUGUUUGGUUUGCAGUGACCAUUCAUAAAUUUUGCUGUGACUACCCUGUUGCUAGUUCUUUUUUCCUACUUCGAUCUGCUCAAGUCUUUUAUGAUAUAAUUAAAUGUAAAAAUAUAUGUAAUAGUAGAAGCCAAGACAGGAUAUUGUAAAAUUGAUCAUUUUGUUUUUAAUGACCAUUUGUUCUCAUCUUUUUUCAUUUUUCAUAAAUGUGUCCAAUAUAUAUUUAUUGAAUAUAUUUAUGCUGGACACAUAUCCCAAUGUGGUACACUAAAUCUGAGUCAUAUUGUGCAAUAUUAGUGAAUUAGUAGUUGGUGCAGAAUCAUAUACAUCGAUGUUCUGUCAUUUGUUGAAGAUAAAAGAUCCAAAGCCUCCAUUAUUAAGAAGAAAAAAAGAAAGAAAAUUGGAUAUUCGAUUCUUUCUAGAUUUAAAAUAUAGAUAUUUGUAAUAUUGAGAUGAUAAACGAUUAAUAAAUGGAUUAAAUAGGAUCUAAUGUCGGGGAAAUCACUAAUAAAAGCCCUUUUUUUUAAAAAUUUAUCGAAAUGGGCCGACUUUUUGAUUAUUUACCGGAAUAGGUCAUUUUCCGCGAAAUCGCGUCCACGUCAGCGCGAUGUCAAGGUACGUGUCAGACAUCGCGUCCACGCUAGCUCGAUUUGCUGACGUGGAAGGAAAUCGCGCCCCCUAGGGCGCGAUUUGCUGACGUGGCAUGAACAGUGUGUUUUUAGCUUGGAAAACUUUGAAAGGCCAUAACUUUUGGCUCGGUUGUCCGAUUGAGACGAAUUUUUUUUGAUUUCGAAUAAAUUUUCGAGAUCUACGCACUUGGCAAACAGCCGAAGGUGGUUUGCUGAAGUUUUCAUCAAAAAAGAUCCUUUUUUGCCCCUAAAUUUUGAUUUUUUCGGUUUAAAAUUGAAUUUUGAAACAUUCAAAUAGUUAUUUUCCUCAUUUAUUUGAAGUAAACACCGGAUUUUUUUUGCAAAAUUGUCUGAUAUCAUCCUAUUAUAGGUAUAAGUCAGCUCAUUCCACUUUUGAGAAGUUCCCUAAAAUUUUUUAUUUUAUUCAAUUUAGUCCCUAAAACCUAAAUAGUCAUAUUUUCAAAUCUAAGCUUCAUUUUUCAAUUCAAAUUCAAUUUCAUCCUUCCAUAACAUUCAAAUAUUCUUAAAUACAAAAAUUUUAUGCUAAUUUUGAAAUAAUUACACUUUAGUCCCUAUACUCGUAACUAACAAAUUAUACUUUACAAAUUAGUCCCUAUUCAUCUCUAAGCAGUUUUCCAGUGCGUAGAUCUCAAAAAGUUAUUUGUAAUCAAAUAAAAAUUCGUCUCAAUCGGACAACCGAGUCAAAAGUUAUGGCCUUUCAAAGUUUUCCAAGCUAAAAACACACUGUUCAUGCCACGUCAACAAAUCGCAUCCUAGGGGGCGCGAUUUACUUCCACGUCAGCAAAUCGCGCUGAUUUGGACGCGAUGUCUGACACGUACCCUAACAUCGCGCUGACGUGGACGCGAUUUCGCGGAAAAUGGCCUAUUCCGGUAAAUAAUCAAAAAGUCGGCCCAUUUCGGUAAAUUUUUUAAAAAAAGGGCUUUUUUUGGUAAAAUAGCCUCUAAUGUCUAAUUACAAUCCAAGAGGAACAGGCUCCUGCCGCCAUAAAAAAUUCCAUAAUUACUUAUUUUAUUGUAUUUUUUGAUAACACAUUGAUUAUUGCAUGGAACAUUGGUUAAGAACAAAAAAGGAACCAAUAACAAACAAUAUCCUCAAACAUAUUAAAAUGACAGCUCCAAAUCCUUACUUCAAUUAUUGUUGUGUUGGGUUUAUUUUGGAUUAGCUAAUGGAAAUAAUUGAAGCUCAGCGUGACAGCAAAUCAGGUUCUUUUUCUUCUUCCUCUGUCCUUUCUCUCUUUUUAGAUUCAUGUUCAUUUCGUGUUUAUUGCAGAUGUUGUCUGAAUGAUUUCUAUGAAUAUUAACGGCAGCAAAGCUGAAACCGUAAAAUAAUGAUCCAGUAAAGUUGGUGUCGCAGUUUCUAUUUAAAUCGCAAACAACUUCCCUAUUAAUCAAACAAAUGCUGUAAACUUGAAUGUCAUGAACAUGUCAAAAAUCAUACCUUGUAGUCAUGUAUGAAUGUGAGGAAAAAUGAAGAACAGAGAAACACAGGUGAUACCUGUCAUCAAUAAAAUUAAGGCCUAGAUUUCACUCUUGCAGCAAUGUGUUAUAGCUAGGACUAUUAAGAUUUAAGACAUUAGUACGAAGGUAUGACCUGCCAAGGUCAUGGAAAGAAAUGAAGAUAUUGCAGGCAUACUUGUCUACGACACUCAUACCCUCUUUCAAGUAACUUAGCUACCAUAUGCUGCAGCAGCACCCUUUCUUUUUGUCUUAAAAACAAUUCAGGAACCAUCUCUGAUAAUGUCCUUCCAUGCCAUUGCAGAACCUCAAACACUUCAUCCAGAGGAAUCAACCACCACCACCACCGAUCAACCUCCAUAUUCAGCCCUGACAACCACUGGAAACCGUGGCUUCUAAUAGAACUCAACAUCUUAUUCCUCCUCGCCGGUCAAUCUGCAGCCGUUCUGUUAACCAAAUUCUACUUCAACAAUGGAGGAAAAAGUAAAUGGAUGGCAUCUCUCAUGCAAACAGCUGGUUUCCCUCUCCUUUACCUCCCACUUCUCUUCUUCCCUUCCUUUAACAAGCAGUCCCCAAGCUCCUCUAACAACAUAACCCAUUAUGUGGUCUACUUUUCCCUCGGUUGUCUGCUAGCCAUUGAUAACUUCAUGUAUACAGUUGGCGUUAAACCACUUUCCAUUUCAACAUAUUCCCUCCUUUGUGCAAGCCAAUUGGUAUUCAACGCCAUCUUUUCGGUGGUUAUCAACUGUGAAAAGCUCGGUAUCCUAACGCUUAACUCGAUCAUCUUCAUUACCGUAUCAGCUUCAAUGGUUGCAAUUCAUCCCGACAGUUCUGAGACCAAAAGAGAUGAGAAAAAUCCAGUAAGAAAGAAUGAACAUACCAUUGGGUUUAUAUCAACAAUUGGUGCUUCUGCAGGCUAUGCUUUAUUGCUGUCUCUAACACAAUUCUCAUUUGACAAAAUACUGAAAAAGGACACAUUUAGUGUUGUGUUUGAAAUGCAGAUUUACACUUCAUUGGUUUCGAGUUUCGUUUGCUUGUUGGGGUUGUUUCUGAGUUUGGAAUUCAUGGAUUUAAAGUCCGAAAUGGAGAAAUUUGAUGAAGGGAAGGUGAUUUAUGUAGUGAGUUUGAUUGGAAUAGCUUUGGCAUGGCAGAUUUGUACAGUGGGAGUAGUGGGAUUGAUCUAUUUGGUGUCAUCUUUGUUCUCAAAUGUUGUGAGUAUGCUUAGUUUGCCAUUUGUUCCAGUUGUUGGUGUUCUGCUUUAUAAGGAGAAAAUGGAUGCAAUUAAGGUGUUGGCAAUGUUAUUCACUCUUUGGGGAUUUGCUUCUUAUAUCUACCAACAAUAUCUUGAUGAUAAAAAGUCAAAGAAAAAGGAAUCCCAAGAAAUCGAAGAUUCCAAAUCUGAAGUUUAACUUAAUUGAUUGAAGAUUCCAAAUCAAAGUAGUGGCUAUGCUUUUCACUCUUUAGGGCUUUUCUUCCUACCUGGGAAUCCAAGGGGUCAAAGAUGCAUAUGUACAUGUCUACCAUACACGUUGUAUGAAUAAACAGUAAUUGUUUUUUUAUUAUAAGAAAAUCAAAAGGUUACUCUCUUCUCAUUUUCUAUUUUGUCCAAAUUAUAGAUAAAUACAAAAUAAUGAGUAUGGUUGUUUAGAUAUAUUUUUAUAAAUUUUUUGAGGCUCAAAAUAUAUUUUUCCAAUUUUAAGUAUAAAAAUAUUACAAAUUUUAAAUAUGGAGAAUAAUUUAGAGGCGAAAGAUAUUGAGACUCAACAUACUUUUUUUAUUAUAUAAUUAAUGUUGUGGCUAAAUCUAUUGUUAAAGUAAGUUGGUGUGCUGAUAAAAACAAACUUAUGAGAAAUUAAUGAAAGUUUUAAGAUGUGUAUCAAUGCUACUUUCUUUAAGAUUCUAUUCCUCCCCACCUAUAUUGUGAUGUGCAAAAGAGUUAUUUACAAAUGAACCUUGAGAAUAUAAUAAAAUCCAUUGAUUGUUUACAUUUUGCAUUGACGGAAACAAUCCUCUAAACACUAAGCGGAACUUAGCAAUGAUACCAAUUUUUAUAAAAAAAAUUUUGUUGUAGUUUUUAGGAGAGAGAACGUGAAAGUAUGCCCAGCAGAACGCACUUUCCCUAAGUUGCAAAUUUUUUUAUUUUUUUAAUACAAUCAAUUUCAUUGGUAGAAUUAUUAUAUGUUGGUAGUUUUAUCUUGAGUAUCAGGUUCAAUUCCUCUCCUAUUUACAUUUAUAUUUUAUAUUUCAUGUUGUUUGAAGCUUCUUUUAUUUUUUAAUGAAUAUUUUUAAUAUAUUAACUUCUUUAAUUAAAUGUAUGUUAAAUAAUAAUGACUUCAAUUUUGAGACCUAGGUUUAAUUCCUCUUUUCUAAACACAUUCAUAAUUUUUAUUUCAUACUGUUUCACGUUUUUUAAUUAAUAAAUAUAUUAUUUUUAAUUUUUUAAUUUUAAUUUAUCUUUUUAAUUAAUAAAUUUUGAUUCAUAAAAUCAAAUAAUAAAUAUAUUUACUAAAAAUAAUUAUAUUUAUAAUAAUUAUUUUAUUUUAUAAAUACGAAUAUUUAAAUAUAUAUUUGUUGGUCACGGACCCAAAUUGAAAAGAAAACUUAAAUAAAUUUAAAAGAAUAAAAUAUAAAAGAAGCAAAAUUAAGAGUGAAUUUUAUUUAAAAAAACUCUCCAAAGAAAAUUGAUAAAUAAAACUCUUCAAAUUGAAUCACUCAACUAAAUUAUUGAAAAAAACUAAAUUUUAUUCAUGAAUCGCAUGUUUACGAUCGGCAGUAUGCGUGGUUAUUUAUAUAACUGUUCAUGGGCAAAAUCCGCUUUAAAAAUAGGAAGUUUAGUAAAAAUAUAUAUUCGAAAAAUAGAUUUAUAUAAAAAAAUGAGACUCGUUUAAAAAAUAAGCUAGGCCACAGGCAAAGCUUUUUCGGCCUGAGCCUGGCCCAAAUAUGUAAAAAAAAAAUUACAGUUUUUUAUUGCAGUUUUUUUAUUGUUAUUUUUUUUCACUAUUUUGCUACUAUUUCACUAUUAUGUUGUUAUUGUAUAACUCUUGUUUUAUUGUUAAAUUUGUUACUAUUUUAGAGACAUUUACUUGUUAAGUUGCACUUAUCUUAGUAUUAUUUGAGUAUACAUAUUUUUUAAAAUUUAUUUUUCAAUUUUUUGGGAAACAUAUAUUUUAAUGUUUUUAGUAUUUUUGAUGUAUUUUUUUAAAGAAAAUUAUAUGAACCGGACCACGUUUUAACAUUUUUAUCUGAACCGAACUCGGAAAAAAUUUUAGAUCCAUUUUUUAUGCCAAACCCAAGUCUAACAAAUAGACCUAAAAUUUUAGUUAGGCAUGACUAUGAACACCUCUAAUUAUUUAUAGCUAAAAUUCCCUGUAAGUUAAAUAUAAUUUACUAAAAAUUUCAGUUGAUUUACUUGUUAUAUUCAUCACCUAAAUAAAUCAACAAAUAAAUCACGAAUUAUCCCUCUAAGCUGCAAUAUGAACCUUCCAUCAAUUGUGUCUAGGUUCAGUCAUUUUAUUUCAUAAAUAUUCUUAAUUAAAAAAAUAAGGAAAAAAUGUAAUUUAUUCUAAUUAAUUGUUGAGAAAAAAAUAAAAGAAAUUGUUAGAACCUCAGUUUAUUCUUUCUUCAAUUUGAUGUUCGGACAAAUAUUUGAAUAUAGGUAAAUAAACACAUUAAUGCAGGAAGUAAAGAAAGAAGAGAAAUAAACACAAAUUCAAAACGUGAGAAAAAGAGAUAAGUAAAGAGAGAUUCAAUACAUGAUAUUUGUUAAUGUAGUUUGGAUUCAUCAAUUUUACAUCUGUGGAGUCUCGCUCAAAACUUAAUUUUAUUCAAUAGUUUAUCAAGUACAACUAUGGGCUAAAACACAUUUCCCCCUCUCCCGAUGGAUAAUUGCAACUCUAAAGACGCAUAUCCAAGUAAAACAUCCAACUUGAUUUUCAAGUAAAGUGAUAAGGAUAAAUAUAAGAAUAUUAAGUAAUCUCAAACUCUUUACUCUUUUUCUCUAAGCCAAUCGAAAAGACAAGAAUGUUCAUUCCAUAGUGUAGCACGAAUUUCCAUUUUAUUUGCUGCUUAGAAAUAGAUAAACAUUAAUUAUAUGUUAAAAAAUGCGAGCACUUAAAUUGAUCUUGAGCUGUUUUGAAAGUAUGUCCAAAUUGCAAUCCAAGCAUGGCAAAAACAUGAUGUCCGAUAAAUAAACUUUAGAAGUAGGAUAGCUAAGGUCCUAACAGUUGGGAAAAUCAUUUUAGAAAAUAAUAUUUUUAAUCACAAUGAAAGUUUAAAAAUUUUCUUUAAAACCAAGUCAUUGUGAUAUUUAUAACAAUAAACUUUAACUAAAAUUAUACUAUUUUCUAAACUUUACAUUUAAAUGAAAGUUUUUGUGGCCAAGAAACAUUGUGACCGAUUAAAUCUGUUCGAGGAAAUGCAAUCUUUUGAAACAAUUUCCAACUUUAUUCAUUGUUUAGGUAUUACAACUUACAUAGGCAAUCUCUUUUGUCCGUUAUUUCGAAAGGUGAGCAAUAUCUUGCUAUGGCUGUCCCUUGUAACUGGAAAGGCAAGUUUUAGAUUAGUCCAAGCUUCAAUAGUCCAAAUAUCAUCAAGUAUCAUCAGACAUUUUUUAUCUUUCAAAACGUUAAAUAGCUUCUUUGCUAAUUCAUCAUCUCUUUUUUUUUCUGUUGUUUUCAAUUAAAGUUUUCAAAUCAAAUAGAAUAUUUUUCUAAACUUUUCUAGCAUUAUUGAGAAACAUAUGUGAAAGCUAGGUGAUCGAAAUUAUCAAUAACUUCACAAUAAUGAUACAUUUUUUUAGCAAGAGUGGUCGAAAAUAUUAUCAUCCAUAAUAUGAGGAUAAGGCCACCUUCAUUCUCACUUUUCAGUUGACGAACUUGAUCCUUUUUCUCCAUGCUUUAAUUCCUUUAUAUGAGAGGUCUUUAACCAGUUUUUUGGAGCCAUCACCCUUCGUUCAAAAUGCACAUUGAUCUUUUAAUACAACUUGGAAGACUAUCUUUGUUUUUGGACCCAAUCUUGAGAGCAAAAUUCUCAACAACAUCCUCAACAUCAUAAGCAAGCUCUUUAAUAACAAUGAAAAUUAACCAUAAAACAAAAUUGAAGGGAACUUUAAAAUGUUUUUUAAUAUUAACUUGGGAAGUACUUUAAAUGUGAAAAUUGGGUGUUUACCCAAAUGAUGAAUGGAUGUCUCCUAGGUAAAACUCCCUCAAUCUAAUGGUUACAAAUUAUAUAAGUGUACAAUCGGAUUGUGAUUUCUAGAAUAUUUUAUAAACUAAUAAAUUAAAAAUUAUUUGGUGAAUUAAUAAAAUAUAAGUGUUCAAUAUAAUUGUAUAAUUAAUAUUUUUGGGUUCAUCUAUUUUUACUAUGUGCUUUUUAAAAAAAAAUUAUUUUUGGGUUCAACUAUUUUUACAUUUCUUUUAUUUACUGAAAUUCAUUUUUAAUUUUCACUAUUUUUUAAAAAUUUAUUUUUAAUUUUUUAUACAGAUAAUAGAAACGAUAUGGAAAUGAAAGAGUUAAAGGAAAAAACAUAGUUAAACAUUGUGCAAGGCUUCCAAUAGCCAUUAUUGUAUUGGGAGGAAUUUUGUUGUGUUAACUUUAAGUUAUGGUGAUUUAUCUCUUUAUUUAAGACCAUGUUUCCUCUAUUUAAAGAGUACCUAAAUACAGUCUCAAAACAAUUGGUGAGAAAGUUGAUCAAUAACCUAUUUAUAAAUUAAUAUAAAAAUUUCUUCAGCAGUAUUUUGAUGAAUUUUAAAUUUUUAUUUAAAAAUUAAAAAUAUCUCUUUAAUUAUCUCAUAAAAAAAAUAAAAAUCAAUGACAAUAUGGAAAACAAGGUGAAUUGAUGGAAACUUUCACAUUUUUUUUAAAUUUAAGAGCUUAAAAAAAAUCCAAAGGACUAAAAAUUGAUAUUUUAGAAGACGAGAAAGAAAUAAAAUGGAGAAUUAUUUAAAAAUCAAAAUUCAAAAGUUCAAUAAGAGAUUGGGAUAAUAAUUUUUUUAAAAUAAAUUAAAAAAAUUAAAACAUGAGAAAUCUGUUGACACCAUUUUUUUGAUAAAAACGAGGUCGACUUGGGUUUUGAAAAAUGAAAACGAAAAUGAGAGUCGCCACCGAUCCUUUUUGAUGAGGUGUGAUCGGGUCAUCUUGAAAAGUGAUUGAUUUUAAUAAACGAUUUGAUUUUAUUAAAACAACAAGUUUGGUCCACGAAAUUCAAAAAAACGGAUUCGGGAGUCAAUUACGCACAAGAAAGGAUUAACACCCUCGAUACGCCCAAAAUUAGUACCUAGUUGAUUACUUAAUGUCUUAGUGUCAAAAAACUGAAAAAUUUAGAGAGAUUUAAAAUACGAUCCUUAAAAAAACUAGGAUGAUAUGGAUUGAAAUUCAAAAGGAUAUUUGGCAAUUUGGUUAAACGAGAAAUCGAAACCCAACACGUUAGGGCACGUUCCUCGAAUUUCCAAACGCAAAACAUUGCCUUACUUUGAAAUUUUUAAAAAGGUAUUUAGUCAUUUGAUUGAAUGAGAAAAAUCGACACCCAACACCUUAGGGCACGUUUUCUCGAAUUUCCAAACGCAAAAUAUUGCCUUAUUUUAAAAAUUUUAAAAGGAUAUUUAGCCAUUUGAUUGAACGAGAAAAAUCGACACCUAGCACCUUAGGGCAUGUUUUCUCGAAUUUCCCAAACGCAAAAUAUUACCUUAUUUUAAAAAUUUUCCUUUUUUGAAAUAUGAUAUUUAUAUGCAUAAUAGAAUAAUAAACAUGAUAAUGUGAAUAAAAAAUAAACAAAAAACGAAUAAUAAAAUAAAUUGAUCCUGCAUAUACCAUAGCAAAUAAAUAAAUAAACUAAAACAUGAAAAUGAACAUAUAAAUAAAUACAUAAAUGAACAUAAAAAAACAAUGAAGGAGAAUAGAUGAAAAUUAUAAAAUAUGGACAUGUGUAUGUACAUCUAAGGGAAAUACAUAUAUGUAUAUACAUAAAAUUACGAAAAUAUGAAAAUAUUUAUAAGAUAUAAAAAAUAUAAGUAUUUACAUGUAUAUGUGCAUAAAUUAUAAAAUACAAAAUAUAUAAAAUAUAAGUAUGUGUGUUAUAAAAAAACGUGUAUAUGUACAUAAAUUUAUAAAAACAUGAAAUAUAUAUAUAUAUAUGUAUUCUAAAAUUAUUAUAUCAAAUAUAUGUAUAAGUAAACAUGUAUAUAUAUACACGUAUAUAUCUAUCAUGAAAUAUAAAAAAUAUAUAUAGAUAUAUAUGGAUAUGUAAACAAAUUAUAAUAUAUACAUAAAAUAUAUAAGUAUGUAUAUGUACAUAUACAUGUAUAUGAAUUAAAACAUGGAUGUAUACAUAUGUAUAUAAAAAUAUGAAAUAUAAAAAAAUAUAUAUUUAUAAUAAAUAAAAAGUAUGUACGUAAGUAUAUAUAAAAAAAUAUGUAUACAUAUAUAUAAAAUAUAUAUAAGAGCAACUAUAAUAAUAAUAAUAAUAAUAAUAAUAAUAAUAAUAAUAAAAUAAUGAAGAAAAAAUAAUAAUAAUAAUAAUAAUGCUAAAAAGGAUUAAAUCGAAGUAAAAAUAAAAAUACUGGGCGAAUUUAAACAUCAAAAAUACAAAAGGGACUGAUAUAUAACGCGCGCGAAACUCAGGGGAUCGAUUUGGAAAAUAUCCCAAGCCCUACACGCAGCGUUUUGACACGGGCUGAAAUGAAACAUAUGAGAAAUUAUGCAACCGAAUUAAAAAACAAAACAGGACUAAAUUGCACCAUGGCUCGAAGGAGGAGGGACCUCACGCGAAAUAUCCCCUCCAGCGAAAACACGCGGACCCUCCGGGUCGGAUCAGGUCGACGGGCGGAUCUGGGGGCAAAACGGCAUCGUUUUAACGCUGCUAUGGCACAAAACGGCGCCGUUUUAAGUGUUGAUAAAUUCAAAAAUUUUUUUUAAAACUUCAUUUUCUGCUCUUUCAAAGAAAAAAAAUAAUUUCUCUUCAAAAAAAUCCUCUCUCCCUCCAGCACUGCCCAGAAUCCGGCGAGGGAAACCGCCGUCGACACCACUAACGGUGGCCGGAAAAUCCCAAAGGUAAAAUUUUUUUUUUAAAAAUUUCUAUAUGUUAUUUAUAGUUUUUUAAAAGUAAAAGAAAAAUAAAAUGGAAAUAAAGGAUACAAACAGUUCGAAAGGAAGAAAAAAUCAAGAGAAAAAAUAAAAAUAAAAAGAAAAAUAAGGCUUAUACCAAAAAUUUCUUCAAUCUGUUUUUCUUUUCCUUUUUAUUUCUUGAAAUCUGAUACAAUCGGUUUUAGAAUCGGUUUUUUUUACCGAAAAUAAAAAAACACAAAGCCCCCCCUUUUUACAAUGGUUUUAGAUGGCUCUUAUAGCCAUUUACAACUCUAUUUUUUUAAUUUAUUAUGCUGUCAUUUCUUCUGCAGGUGCAAGUAGACGAGGGUGGUUGGUGUCAGAGAGCAGGUGGCGUCGGUGGCUGCGAGCAGAGCUAGGAGCGGCAAUGGCAGAAGACCAAGGCUUAGGGUUUCCUGUUUCUUUUUUUGUGUUGGGCCAUUUGGGCUGUUUAGGUUUUGUUUAGGAUUGGGUUUAGGUUGAGUUUAAUUUCGGGUCUGUAAUUGGGUUUGGGUAGGUUUAAUUGGUUUGGGUUUGUUUAAGUGUACUGGGCUGAUUUUGGGUUAAGUCUAGGUGGGUAUAGGGCUGGUUUUACUUGAACCAUAUUGGGCCCCGGGUAAAUUUGGGCUUGUACAAAAUUAAUAUACCUUUUUUAUACUCACUAGUUUUGUUGUCAAGAACUGAAAGCACUUCAAUUGCCUGUAUCCGAAUACAUAUCCUUUUAAAAUUUAUCAGAAAAUAUUUAUUUUAAUGUAACUUAAAAGAUAACAGCCUGGAUCCCAUUAUCAAAUUAAAAUUCAAAUAAGUUUACGAUAUUAUCAAUUUUUUUAAUUUUAAUAUAUAUAUAUUUCCAAAUAAUAAAUUUAAAUUUAUUAUGAUAAUUACGCCUUUUAUUUUAAUGUAACUAUCAUGAUAUAUAUAUAUAUAUAUUCCAAUUUUUUUAAAAAUUAAUUAUAAUUAUUUUUAAAUAUUAAUUUAAUAAUAUGACAAAAAAACAAAAGAUAUUUUUGUAGACAAUUUUUUUUAAAAUUCGUAGUUUUUUAUAUAUAAUAUGGAUAGAUUAUAAAUAUACAUUGUGGUGGCACAAAAAAAAAAGUUUAUACUGUAUAUGUAAAGGCCAUAUACUAUCAGGGUGUGCAUUUUUCGGGUAAAACCGAAAAAUUCAAUUAACCGAUCGAAUUUGGUUAAUCGGUCGAUUAAUUGAAUUUUUUCGGUCUGGGGUGGGUUAAUUAUUUAUUGAUUUUUUGGUUAACGGUUAAAUCGGUUCGAAACCGGUCGGUUAACCGAAUUUUUUCGGUUUAACCGAAAAAAUUGAUAAACAAAAUUAUAAUAUAUAAACAACGUCGUUUAUUUGGCUCCAAAUUUCCUUAGUUUUCCCCAAGUCAGAAUCAGAUUUCCUCGAUUUCAUUUUCCCUAAGUCAAAAUCAGAUUUUCCCGAUUUCAUUUCCCCAAUUUCCCAAUUUCUUUCCGCCGUUUUCUUCACAUCUGAUUCCAGCUCCUCCAAGUCCUCUUCGGACUCAGGCUCCGAUUCAACUCGUCGACUGUCGAUGCGGGUCUCAAAGGCGACGGUUUGAAAUUGCUUGUUUUGUUUUUCUUCUGGAAGGAUGUUAGGGUUUUGAAAUUUGAGAACUCGACUCGAGCUUAAACGGAAGUCUUGUAAGUCUUAGAGGUAUUCUUUUUCCCUUUAUGUAAAUCCUCUUGAAUCAUCGAGAUGUCUUCGAUCAUGGUUAAAAAGAAGUAUAAAUAUGAUUGAGCCUUCUUGCUUUGUUAUGGUUGAUGUUACAUAAUGUAUGAAAAUACAUAUUUGGGUGACUUUAUGAUUGCAAUUGCAGAUAUAAAAGACCAAAAUAAUUUAUGUGAAUCAAUAUUGAGUGCGAUGUGUAGAUUCUAAUUUAAAUGUCUUAAUCACAUGUUAACACCUUUAAUAUAAUAUUGUCACCAAAAUUGGAGCUAAUCUAAAGGUUUCCAAUAAAAUAGCCAUUUUUAUUCCCUCUUUGUCACUCUCUCAUCUACCACAUUUGGAUGGUUGCUAAUGCCAUAGUUGGAUUAGAUCUAAAACGAGUGUCGGAUUUAGCUGGACCAAGUCAAUUUUUAUUAAAAAAACUCAUUUUUUUAAUAAAAAUAGUUUAAUCAAAGGGUUAAGGGCUCUUUCCAUGUAGUUGGGUUUUCAACCCCGUGGGUCUAACAGACAAUUCACCGAGGGCUUCCUUCCCCUCCCUCUUUAUUUUUUUUUUAAAUAAUAUUAAAAUAUGAGAUAAAUUAAUAUAGAACACAAAAAAAAUAUUGAAUAGUUAUUAAAAUCUUAAAACACAAAAUUAAUGAAAAUAAAAAAAAUAAAUGACAUGAAAGAAAAUAAAAUUAGCUGCAAAAAUACGUAUAAAUAAUUUUUCUGAACAGUUUCCAAAGUUUGUUGUUCCAAAAACUAAACAACGCUUUGAUUAAAUUUCUUUUUCUUCAGCAUCAUAGCAUUUACUAAUUCUAGUACCGUAGUAUAAAUUUCUUUUUCAAAUAACCAAUAGCAACAUCAUUUAAACUUGUAUUAUCAACAAUAACAGUAAACAAUUUAAAAAAUAAUUAUUCAAUUCCAACACUAUUGUAUUUUUAUUUACUUUUUUAAAAAUAACUUUAAAAGACUUCAUAGAAAUUGCUUUUCAAUUUGAUUUGAUUAUUAAAAAAUGACUUUUUUUUUAAUAAAAAAUUGACUUGGUCCAGCUAUGGUAUUAGAAUUAGUAAAUGCUAUAAUGCUGAAGAAAAAGAAAUUUAAAAUUAAAAAGUAAUCUUGUUGAACAUAAAGUUAGACUUAUAUCUAAAUCCGACACUCGUUUUAGAUCUAAUCCAACUAUGGCAUUAGCAACCAUCCAAAUGUGGUAGAUGAGAGAGUGACAAAGAGGGAAUAAAAAUGGCUAUUUUAUUGGAAAUCUUUAGAUUAGCUCCAAUUUUGGUGACAAUAUUAUAUUAAAGGUGUUAACAUGUGAUUAAGACAUUGUUAGGGAUCGACCCGAUUAAGCAACAAGUAACAAAAAUAGCGGAAUAAAUUGAGAAAUUGAACACACAAAUUUAAUUAACGUGGAAAAACCCCUCCAAAGAGGAUAAAAAAUCACGGGCAAAGAUAAUUUUACUAUAAUGGCAAAAGAACGAAGAGUACAAAAGAUGGAGAUAAAACUAAACCCCAAACCCCGAAAACAAAGAACCCUCAAAACGUAAACACAAAAUUCUCUAAAUGUGUUAUGAGUUCUAAUCUCUAAAUUGGGUGUUUUUACUAAGAUUGUAAAAGAGCCUAUUUAUAGGCUAAAUUCAUAUGUCAAAUAAUAAUAAAAUAAUCUAAACUAAUCAGUGUUUGACUGAAACAAAUAAACAGAGUUUAACUAAAAGAUUAAUUUUCAAAUUUGACUGAAAAUAGGAGUCAUACUUAACAGGAAUCUAAACUAAUAUCCACACAUCGCACUCAAUAUUGAUUCACAUAAAUUAUUUGAGUCUUUUAGAUCUUCAAUUGCAAUCAUAAAGCCACCCAAAUAUGUAUUUACAUACAUUAUGUAACAUCUACCAUAACAAAGCAAGAAGGCUCAAUCAUAUUUAUACUACUUUUUAACCACGAUCGAAGACAUCUCGAUGAUUCAAAAGGAUUUACAGAAAGGGAAAAAGAAUACCUCUAAAACUGAUAAGACUUCCGUCUAAGCUCGAUUAGAGUUCUCAAAUUUCAAAACCGUAACGUCCUUCCAGAAGAAAAAUAAAACAAGCAAUUUCAAACCGUCACCUUUGAGACCUGCAUCGACAGUUGACGAGCUAAAUCGGAGCCUAACUCCGAAGAGGACUUGGAGGAGCUGGAAUCAGAUGUGAAGAAAACUGCAGAAAGAAAUUGGGAAAUUGGGGAAAUGAAUUCGAGGAAAUCUGAUUUUGACUUGGGGAAAACUAAGAUUCUGACUUGGGGAAAACUAAGGAAAUUUGGGGCCAAAUAAACUACGUCGUUUAUACAUUAUAAUUUUGUUUAUUAAUUUUUCCGGUUAAACCUAAAAAAUUCGGUUAACCUACCGGUUUCGAACCGAUUUAACCGUUAAUCGAAAAAUCAACAAAUAAUUAACCGAUCCUCGACCGAAAAAUUCGGUUAACCAACCGAUUAAUUCGGUUGAUUAACUGAAUUUUUUUAUUUUACCCGAAAAAUGCACACCCCUAGUAUUGUCUAUGUGAAGGCAUUAUACAAGGGAUCAUCAAAGUAUAAAGAUUAGUAUAGGUAAAGUGAAAGUGAGUUGAUCAAGUCGUCCACUCAGUUUACUUUUAAAUAAAAAAAUUUUAAACAAAAAAACAUUACUUUUGUUCUACCUACCUUUCUGUUUGUAUUCUCAUUCUAUUAAUUAAGAACUGCUUCUUGCAAUUGUUUUCCUAGCAAGAUUUCUGCACUUACAUCUUGAAAUCCAAAUUCUAGAUUUUAAAGAAAUUUCUGAGUUCACUCACUAUUAUGGCUUGGUCUGCUGUGACAUCUGCAGUGAUAAAUAUUGGCAAGCUGCUAACUGAGGAAGCCCUAUACCUAUGUAUUAGCAACAAUCUUUGACUUUUUAAAGAUGGAUGGUGUCAGAAAUUUGGCACCGAAAAUCUAAGCAUUUAAGGCAUAGAUUUUUGGGUUGAAAUUUGGUUUGGGAUAAUUGCAAUUUUGGUCCCUAAUUGAAUAGGGACUUUGCAAGUUGAUCCUUGAGCUUCAACUAUAAAUAGGCCUAACUAUUUCUCAUUUUCUACAUCCCACAUAUGCCAUUCUCUACUUAAGGCAUUAUUCUCUCUCCUUAUUUGUAAAUUUUCACUUGUAUUUUGGAGUGAAAUAUAUUUGGUAGUGCCCGAGGACGUAGGCAAAAUUUGCUGAACCUCGUUAAAAUUUUAGUGUUCUUUAUUGUUUAUUCUGCAUAUUUUGCGAGUGUGAUUAUAGUGAUUUAUUGUGCUAUUAAAUUACGAUAGAGGGAUAUUCUGGCUAGGAAAGACCUGGUACUUAAGCGAUCCUCGUGAUCCACCUCUCUUUCCUGGGAAUUGAACUUAGUGUGAUUUUUUAGUACAAUAAUUUUACUCUUUUACACGCUUCCGCGCAAUAAUUGGUAUCAGAGUUAGAUUCGUACUUGGGGAAUACGACCGUUUACGAUACUAUUUACGUAUACGAUAUUGUUCAUCCACGACACUAUUUACAUAGACGAUACUAUUCACAUAUACAGUAGUUGUGAUCGAAGAGAAAAAUAGCAGAGGCAUCGUCAUCAACAAAGACUACCGUGACCAAUGCAAAAUUUGAAGUAGAGAAAUUUGAUGGUACCAAUAAUUUUGGUAUGUGGCAGUGUGAGAUCCUGGAUGUCUUAUGUCAGCAAGAGUUGGAUAUAGCCCUUGAAGAAAAGACUGACAAGAUGGAUGACAAGGAGUGGGCCAAGAUCAAUAGACAGGCGUGUGGUACAAUCUGCCUAUGUAAAUGUUUAGAUAGAAUGACAUGUUUUACUUUACUGAUGUAAAUGUUAGAUAUUGAUGUUUUAAUUUUUCUUCCAAGUAUUUUCAUAUCGUUAUUGAAGAAUCGUGCAUGUCCCAUGGUCAUGUAUUGAGUCAAACUAACAUAGCUUUUAAUCCAUAUAAUCAUCUUCUAUACAUGCUAUAUACAUAUAUUAUCAUGUGUGAUGUUAGCUUAGUUGUUAGAAAUGGUCGGUUUUUGCAGAUGAUGAAGGUCCUAGGAUGCGUGCUGAAGCCAUUGCAGAAAGGAUUUGUCAAGUGCUUGAACGUAAUUGGAAUAUCUAAUCUGUUCACCUUGUUUGCUCAACAGCUAACAUUUUUUCCCUUUGAUUACCCAAAAUAGUCAUACUAACAAAUGUGGCUGUGAUUUUGUAUGGUAUUUUGCAACAUUCAUAUCUUAGCUACUGAGAUUUUAUCACACCUUGAACUACAAAUAGUUAUCUGUAAUUCACUCGUAUCCUAGUCUGAAUAAGAUAUUGAGUUUUAUAACGAAAAUAAUAGGAUCAUAUUGAAUCUUAUAAGUCUUUAACGUUGGGUAUUAGGAGAUUUCUCCCAUGUCGACCCUAUAUUUAAAGAUUUGGACAUUUCCAUGUGCACACAUUAUAUGUUCAAUAUUUUCAUUGAAUCCAAAUUGCAUUUCGAAUAAAAGAUAAAUGUAGAUUCUUGCAGUUUUUAAUUUAAACUUAUUGAAUAUAUAUCAUUUGAAUUAAUUAAGUGGAUGUGAAAUUUUCAAUCGUUUAAGUUGGAUUUGGAAUCUUCAAUUCCCUUGAAUUUUUUUUAGUUUAUUAUCUUCAAGAUAUUGUUGGUAGAUAUAAGAAGCAAAGCAUGGGGAUACAAAAUCUUGAAUCUAAAUAUCGAUUUUGGAAUCUUUGAUUCCCUUGGAUUCCUUUGGCUUUUAUAAAGCAUAGAUUGCUAAACCAUCAAAUGUUGAUAAAAACAUUCAAAUUGUAUCUUUCUUUUUUUUGUAAGACAAUGUAAUUUGGAAGUGUUAUUAGUUGGUAAGAUUUAACUUUUCCUAUUUUUUUUGCUUUGGAAGUGUGGGGAUGAAGUGCAACCAUUAAACCUGAUAUGAUAUCGUAACAAAGAUUAUUGAGUUAAGGAUGACAGAAAAGAUUAUGUUGAAUACCAAUCAACUUACAUAAAAUAAAGAAACAUGUUGAAACGGGAAAUGUGUCCAACAAACAUAUAUUCAAUUUCUUCUAAAAUAUGUAUAUAUUAAAACGAUUAUAUUCUCUAUAUUCAAAUAUAUAUAUCAAACAAUUAUGUUUAAGUAAACUGAAGAGUAGAAAUGAACAUAGACAACGAAGUGAUGAAUUUUACAAUAGAAAAAGAAAAGACUCAAGCAGACUUAAAUAGGAAAAAAAAAGAAAGAGAAAGCAAAGCUAACAAAUAAAUAUAGGAACGGUCACAGCAAACCAAAGUUAUGUGGGAACAAAGGUCAGUGACGUCUCCUUAUCUGCAAUUUUAUGUUUUAAAAGACAAAAAUGAAUGUGUAAUUAAAUUAGAUUGAAGGAAAUUGAAAUGGAGGAGGGGUUUGGUACCUUGCUAAUCCAGACACCUCCUAUUCUUCCAAUACCUUAUCUUGCAACCGUUUUAUUGUAAUUUGAAGAAAACAACAAACAGUCAACCAGUCUGAUGUCAACAACCAUAGAUAUAAACAAGAGAGAAGAUGAUUCCAAAUCUCACCAUAUAACACACUUUCACACUCCACUUAUUAUAAGAGUUUUAAAUCUAGAUUUGAUCCCAUGAAUAGCAGUAGCAGGUGAAAAAAUGGCGUCUUUACCUAAAAAGCAAAACGAAAAAGAUCAAUGUCUAACUUCCUUUGACUUUUAAUAAAUGUAAUUUUUCAUUGGUGUGUUGACAAAUGGAGUGAGAAGGUGAGACAUUGUCAAAAAUGAAAGAUAUAUAAGAAGCAAAGAAAGUAGGAAUCAUUUCCUAAACUAGAGGUUAUGAAAUUACCUCUCAAUUAUCAUUCAAUCUAUAGCCACAAUUUUGGAAUAUGAUAGAAGGAACAUGUUUGACUUUGUAGAAAUCUUCUCCUCCUAUUGGCAGUCAUCUAUCUUUGAAAAGUCAAAGAUAUUUGUGUCAGCAUAUUGGCACCGAAAAUCUAAACAUUUAAGGCACCAAAUUUUGGUUAGAAAUUUGGCUUGGGAUAAUUGUAAUUUUGGUCCCUAAUUGUAUAGGGACUUUGCAAGUUGAUCCUUGAGCUUCAACUAUAAAUAGGCCUAGCUAUUUGUCAUUUUCUACAUCCCACAUAUGCCAUUCUUUACUUAAGGCAUUAUUCUCUCUCAUUAUUUGUAAAUUUUCACUUGUAUUUUGGAGUGAAAUAUAUUUGGUAGUGCCUGAGGACGUAGGCAAAAUUUGCUGAACCUCGUUAAAAUUCUAGUGUUCUUUAUUGUUUAUUCUGCAUAUUUUACGAGUGUGAUUGUAGUGAUUUAUUGUGCUAUUAAAUUACGAUAGAGGGAUAUUCUAGCUAGAAAAGACCUGGUACUUAAGCGAUCCUCGUGAUCCACCUCUCUUUCCUGGGAAUUGAACUUAGUGUGAUUUUUUAGUACAAUAAUUUUACUCUUUUACACGCUUCCGCGUAACAAUUGGUAUCAGAACUAGAUUCGUACUUGGGGAAUACGACCGUUUACGAUACUAUUUACGUAUACAGUAUUGUUCAUCCACGGCACUAUUUACAGUAGUUGUGAUCGAGGAAAAAAAUGGCAGAGGCAUCGUCAUCAACAAAGACUACCGUGACCAAUGCAAAAUUUGAAGUAGAGAAAUUUGAUGGUACCAAUAAUUUUGGUAUGCGGCAGUGUGAGAUCCUGGAUGUCUUAUGUCAGCAAGAGUUGGAUAUAGCCCUUGAAGAAAAGCCUGACAAGAUGGAUGACAAGGAGUGGGCCAAGAUCAAUAGACAGGCGUGUGGUACAAUCUGCCUAUGUUUGGCCAAAGAGCAGAAGUACUCUGUCAUGAGGGAGACAUCAGCGAAGCAGUUGUGGGACACACUAGAAGAAAAGUUUCUAACGAAAAGUCUUGAAAAUAGGCUUUAUAUGAAAAAAACUUUUUCGAUUCACGUAUGCACCCGGUAUGUCGAUGAAUGACCAUGUGAACUCAUUCAAUAAAAUUUUAGCAGACUUGCUAAAUUUAGAUGAGAAAUUUAAAGAUAAAGACAAGACAUUAUUGUUGUUGAAUUCUCUUCCUGAUGAAUAUGAUCAUCUUACCACCACAUUGCUUCAUGGGAAGGAUACGAUCACAUUUGAUGCAGUCUGCAGUGCAUUGCAUGGAUCUAAGAUUCGAAAGAAAGAUAAAAGAGAUCACAGAGAUACAACUGCAGAAGUCUUAACAGUAAGAGGUCGUUCAUACAGCAACAAACCUGGUAGAAGGGGUAAGUCCAAAGGGAGACCCGCCAAAGAUGAAUUUACUUUUUGUCGUGAGAAAGGGCAUUGGAAAAAGAAUUGUCCUAAGUUACAAAAGGGCAAGGCUAUUUCUGAUGCAUGUGUAGUGGAGCAUGAUGAUGAGUCAGACUUUAGCUUGGUUGGCAUGGCAAUAACAUAUCAUACGGAUGAAUGGAUUUUGGAUUCGGGAUGUACUUACCAUAUGUGUCCUAAUAAGGACUGGUUUUCUAGUCUUGAAGAACUAGAAGGUGGAGUUGCUUUUAUGGGCAAUGACAGUGCUUGUAAGACAAUGGGAGUAGGUACAAUCAAAUUGAAGAAUCACGACGGCUCAAUCCAAGUCUAAACAGAUGUUCGCUAUGUACCUAGCUUGAAGAAAAAUCUUAUCUCAUUAGGGGCUCUAGAAUCUAAAGGGCUCACAAUCACUUUGAGAGAUGGAUUACUAAAUGUAGUAGUUGGGGUAUUGACGGUGAUAAAAGGCACUAGAAGAAAUAACUUGUACUAUUUAAAUGGAAGUACAAUUAUUAGAUCAACAUCAACAGUUUCUACAAAAGAUGCAAAUUCAGAGGCUACCAGGUUAUGGCAUAUGCGAUUAGGACAUGCUGGUAAAAAAACUUUGCAGACUUUGGCGAAGCAAGGCUUGUUGAAAGGUGUAAAUUCUUGCAAAUUGAAAUUCUGUGAACAUUGUGUUCUGGGCAAGCAGAUGAGGGUAAAAUUUGGUUCAGCAAUUCACAAUACGAAAGGAAUUCUAGACUAUGUUCACAGUGAUGUGUGGGGACCUACCAAAGUGGCUUCUUUGGGAUGUAGACACUAUUUUGUUACUUUUUUUGAUAAUUAUUCAAGAAAAGUAUGAGUGUAUCUAAUGAAAAGAAAAAGUGAAGUUUUGUAUGCAUUUCUAAAAUGGAAGAAGUUGGUGGAGAUUCAGACUGGUCGAAAGGUUAAACGACUUCGGUCAGAUAACGGUACUGAGUACAAAAAUGAUCAAUUUCUACAAGUAUGUCAAGAUUAGGGCAUUGUGCGACACUUCACUGUUUGAGAUACACCACAGCAGAAUGGGGUGGCAGAACGUAUGAAUCGGACUAUACUGGAGAAAGUUUGAUGUAUGUUGUCCAAUGCUGGAUUGGGCAAGGAAUUUUGGGCUGAGGCAGUUACAUAUGCGUGCCAUCUAAUUAACCGAUUGCCAUCAGCUGCAAUAAAUGGAAAAACUCCUAUGGAGAUGUGGACUGGUAAACCUCCUACUGAUUGUGAUUCUUUAUAUGUUUUUGGUUUCACUGCAUAUUAUCAUGUAAAAGAAUCUAAGUUAGACCUAAGAGCAAAGAAAGCAUUAUCAUGGGUAUAACUGGUAGAGUAAAAGGAUACCGUCUCUGGUGUCCUGAUACAAGGACGAUUGUUUUCAGUAGAGAUGUAACUUUUGAUGAAUCAACCAUGAUGAAGAACAAGGAUUCACAAAAGGAUGACAAAACCAAUGGUACUUUGCACCAGGUGGAGCUUGAAAAGGUUAAUGAUGAUCCAACUAAUAUUGAAGGAACAAAUGAUGAUGAAGUUUUGACCCAAGAACUUCUACAGCAACAAGAUUCAAUUGCAUAUAGGAGGCUAAGAAGAGAGAUUCGUAAGCCUACUCCCUUUGAUGAUAUAGUGGCCUAUGCACUUCCAAUUGCAGAUGAUGAUGUUCCUUCUACUUACACAGAAGCAAUAAGUAACCCUGAUGGUGUAAAGUGGAAGCAAGCUAUGAAUGAAGAAAUGCAGUCUCUUCAUAAAAAUAGGACUUGGGAGUUGUGGCACUGCCCAAGGGAAAGAAGGCAAUUGGAUGCAAAUGGGUAUAUGCAAAGAAGGAAGGAUUUCUUGGUAAAAAUGAAAUUCGAUACAAGGCUAGAUUGGUAACAAAGGGUUACGCUCAGAAAGAAGGAAUAGACUACAAUGAAGUGUUUUCUCCAAUUGUGAAGCAUUCGUCUAUUCAGAUUUUGCUAGCCUUGGUUGCGCAAUAUGACCUUGAACUAGUUCAGCUUGAUGUGAAGAUAGCUUUUUUACACGGUGAUUUGGAAGUGGAAAUCUAUAUGACUCAGCCUGAUGGAUUCAAGGUUGCUGAUAACGAAAAUUGGGUUUGCAAACUGACGAAGUCGCUUUAUAGAUUGAAACAAUCUCCGAGGCAAUGGUACAAGUGAUUUGAUCAGUUCAUGAAAGGACAAAGGUACACAAGAAGUAAAUUUGAUCAUUACGUGUAUUUUUAGAAGCUACAAGUAGGAACUUUCAUAUACUUGCUCUUAUAUGUUGAUGAUAUGCUGAUAGCAUCUAAGAGCAAAGUUGAGAUUGAGAAAUUGAAGACUCAACUCAAUCUUGAGUUUGAGAUGAAAGAUCUGGGUGAAGCUAAGAAAAUUCUUGGCAUGGAAAUAUGUAGAGAUAGAGCUCAUGGCAGAGUUAGUUUGUCUCAGAAGCAGUAUUUGAAGAAAGUACUAUAGCAGUUUGGUAAGAACGAGCAGACAAAACCUGUAAGUACCCCAUUGGCUUCUCAUUUUAAGCAUUUUGCACAACUAUCUCCUUCGACGAAUACGGAACAAGAAUACAUGUUACAAGUUCCGUAUUCUAAUGCAGUGGGUAGCUUGAUGUAUGUAAUGGUGUGUACAAGACCUGACAUUUCACAGGCAGUUAGUAUAGUGAGCAGGUAUAUGCAUAAUCCUGGAAAAGGACAUUGGCAAGCUGUGAAAUGGAUUCUACGAUAUAUUCUGAAUACCAUGGAUGUUGGAUUACUGUUCAAGCAGGAUACUACACUUAGUAAAGGUGUUAUUGGGUACGUUGAUUCUGACUAUGCCGAUGAUUUGGACAAACGAAGAUCAACCACCGGUUAUGUGUUUACACUUGCUGGAGGACCAAUAAGUUGAAAGUCUACACUAUAGUCUACAGUUACGUUGUCAACCACAGAAGCUGAAUACAUGGCUGUAACAGAGGCUGUAAAGGAAGCUAUUUGGUUACAAGGUAUGGUUAAAACCUUGGGAUUGGUUCAGGAGCAUAUUAACGUGUUUUGUGAUAGUCAAACUGCUAUUCAUCUAGCAAAGAAUCAAGUCUAUCAUGCACGUACAAAGCAUAUCGACGUACGAUUCCAUUUUGUGCGGGAAAUUAUUGAUGAGGGGAAAUUCGUCUUUAGAAGAUUGAGACUACAGAUAAUCCCGCAGAUAUGAUGACCAAGGUGGUAACAACAAUCAAGUUCGAACAUUGUUUGAACUUGAUCAAUAUCCUGCAAGUUUAACAGUUGAAGAAGGCACUAUCAAGUAUUGUUGUCAAAGGCAGAAAUAAAUGUGUGAAGAUAAGAUUAUCCUAAUCAAAUCUUCAAGGUGGAGAUUAUUGACAACCAUCUUUCACUUUUCAAAGAUGGAUGGUGUCAGAAAUUUGGCACCGAAAAUCUAGCAUUUAAGGCAUAGAAUUUUGGGUUGAAUUUUGGUUUGGGAUAAUUGCAAUUUUGGUCCCUAAUUGUAUAAGGACUUUGCAAGUUGAUCCUUGAGCUUCAACUAUAAAUAGGCCUAACUAUUUCUCAUUUUCUACAUCCCACAUAUGCCAUUCUCUACUUAAGGUAUUAUUCUCUCUCAUUAUUUGUAAAUUUUCACUUGUAUUUUGGAGUGAAAUAUAUUUGGUAGUGCCCGAGGACGUAGGCAAAAUUUGCUGAACCUCGUUAAAAUUCUAGUGUUCUUUAUUGUUUAUUCUGCAUAUUUUGCGAGUGUGAUUGUAGUGAUUUAUUGUGCUAUUAAAUUACGAUAGAGGGAUAUUCUGGCUAGGAAAGACCUGGUACUUAAGCGAUCCUCGUGAUCCACCUCUCUUUCCUGGGAAUUGAACUUAGUGUGAUUUUUUAGUACAAUAAUUUUACUCUUUUACACGCUUCCACGCAACAUUAUGGGGCGUGGAGGAGCAACUUGAUCGUCUGCAAACAGAGCUCAAAUGGAUGCAAAGAUACUUAAUGGAUGCAGAGACAAAACAAUCAAAGGAUGAGAUGAUUCGUCUUUGGGUUGCUGAAAUCAGAGAGCUUGCUUAUGAUGCUGAGGAUGUUGUCGAGGAAUUUGCUCUCAAGAUUGGAUCCAAAAACAAAGGAGGUCUUCCGAGUUGUAUUAAAAGAUCAGCCUGCUGUUUGGAAGAGGGAUGGGCACUCCACAAAACCAGGUCAAAAAUCGAGAAAAUCAUAGAAAGAAUUAACGACUUGGUUCGACAACUAGAGGCCUACGGAGUAAAGGAAUUAAAGGACAGAGGAGAAGAAUCAAGUUCUUCAACUAAAAGACGAGAAUCAAGGCGGCCUUAUCCACAUAUUAUGGAUGUUAAUACUGUUGGACUAGCUGAUGAUACCGAAGGAUUGGUCAAAGUUCUUACGAACGAAAGUGGACGCAAGGUUGUUACAAUAUGGGGCAUGGUUGGUCUGGGAAAGACCACUCUCGCCAAGAAAAUAUAUCGCUAUCGUCAGGUUAUUGAUUACUGAAAUUCAUUUUUCAUUUUCACUAAUUUUUUUAAAUUUAUUUUAAUUUUUUAUACAAAUAAUAGAACCGAUAUGGAAAUGAAAGAAUUAAAGGAAAAAACAUAGUUAAACAUUGUGCAAGGCUUCCAUUAGCCAUUAUUGUACUGAGAGGAAAUUUGGUGUGUUAACUUUAAGUUAUGGUGAUUUAUCUUCCUCUAUUUAAAGAGUGUCUAAAUACACUCCCAGACAAUUAGUGAGGAAGUCGAUCAAUAACCUAUUUAUAAGUUAAUAUAAAAAUUCCUUUAACAAUAUUUUGAUAAAUUUUAAAUUUUUAUUUAAAAAUUAAAAAUAUCUCUUUAAUUAUCUCAUAAAAAAAAUAAAAAUCAAUGACAGUAUGAAAAACAAAGUGAAUUGAUGGAAACUUUCACAUUUUUUUUAAAAAUUUAAGAGCUUAAAAAAAUCCAAAGGACUAAAAAUUGAUAUUUUAAAAGACGAGAAAGAAAUAAAAUGGGGAAUUAUUUAAAAAUCAAAAUUUAAAAGUUCAAGAAGAGAUUAGGAUAAUAAUUUUUUUAAAAAAUAAAUAAAAAAUUAAAACAUGAGAAAAUCAAUAUACCUUUUUUAUACUCACUAGUUUUGUUGUCAAGAACUUAAAGCACUUCAAUUCCCUGUAUUCGAAUACAUAUUCUUUUAAAAUUUAUCAGAAAAUAUUUAUUUUAAUCUAACUUAAAAAGAUAACAGCCUGGAUCAGAUUAUCAAAUUAAAAAUUCAAAUAAGUUUACAAUAUUAUCAAAAUUUUUAAUUUUAAUAUAUAUAUAUCCAAAUAAUAAAUUUAAAUUUAUUAUGAUAAUUACUCCUUUUAUUUUAAUAUAACUAUCAUGAUAUAUUUUUUUUUCCAAAAUUUUUAAAAAAUUAAUUAUAAUUAUUUUAAAAUAUCAAUUUAAUAAUAUGAUGAAAAAUAAAAGAUAUUUUUGUAGAUAUAUUUUUUUAAAUUCGUACUUUUUUAAAUAUAAUAUAGAUAGAUUAUAAAUAUACAUUAUGGUGGCAAAAAAAAUGUUUAUAGGGUAUAUGUAAAGGCCAUAUACUAUGGAUCAUCAAAGUAUAAAGAUUAGUAUUAGAUAAAGUGGAAGUGAGUUGAUUAAGUCCUCCAUUCAUUUACCUACUCUUCCUUUUUUCUAAUUAAAUAAGACUGACUAUAUACUUUUAAAUAAAAUACUUUCCUAGGUCUUCCUUUUUUUUUCCCACUUUUAUUUAGUGUUAGAUAAAGUGGAAGUGAGUUGAUUAAGUCCUCCACUCAUUUUCCUACUCUUCCUUUUUUUUCUAAUUAAGUAAGACUGACUAUAUACUUUUAAAUAGAAUACUUUCGUAGUCUUCCUUUUUUCCAAUUUUAUAAUCAGCAGAUCAAGAAAGAAGUAUUGAUUUUGGGAAAUCUGUUUUAAAAGUAUUUUUAGAAAGUAAUUAAAUAAUUUUAUUCAACAAUUUAUCAAGUACAACUACGGGCGCUAAAACACAUUUUCCCCUCUCUCAAUAGAUUAUUGCAACUCCAAAGACGCAUAUCCAAAUAAAACAUCCAACUUAAUUUUCAAGUAAAGUGAUAAGGAUAAGAUAUGUAUAUAUAAGAAUAUUCAGUAAUCUCAAACUCUUUACUCUUUUUCUCUAAGCCAAUUGAAAAGAUGAGAAUGUUCAUUCCAUAGUGUAGCGUGAAUUUUCCUUUUAUUUGCUGUUUAGAAAUAGAUAAACAUUAAAUACAUACUAAAAAAUGCGAGUACUUAAAUUGAUCUUGAGCUAUUUUGAAAGUAUGUUCAAAUGCUAUCCAAGCAUGACAAAAACAUGAUGUCCAACAAGUAGUUUAAGGGGAUGUAUGAACAUGAGCUGAAACUUUAGAAGUAGGAUAGCUAAGGUCCUAACAUUAGAAGUAGGUGAGCAAUAUCUUGCUAUGGCUGUCCCUUGUAACUGGAAAGGCAAGUUUUAGAUUAUUCCAAGCUUCAAUAGUCCAAAUAUUAUCAAGUAUCAUCAGACAUUUUUUAUCUUUCAAAACCUUAAAUAACUUCUUUGCUAAUUCAUCAUCUCUUUUCUUCCUGUUGUUUCCAAUUAAAGUUUUGAAACCAAAUAGGAUAUUUUUCUAAACUUUUUUAACAUUGUUGAGAAACAUAUAUGAAAGCUGAGUGAUCGAAAUUAUCAAUAACCUGAUGAUGAUGAUACAUUUUUUUAGCAAGAGUGGUCGAGAAUAUUAUCAUCCAUAACAUGAGGAUAAGGGCACCUUAAUUCUCUCUUUUCAGUUGAAGAUCUUGAUCCUUUUUCUCCAUCCUUUAAUUCGUUUAUAUGAGAGGUCUGUAAUCAUCGGACCAAGUCGUUAAUUCUUUCUAUGAUUUUCUCUAUCUUUAACCUAAUUUUUUGGAGCGACCACCACUUGUUUAAAAUGCACGUUGAUCUUUUAAUACAACUUGGAAGAUCAUCUUUGUUUUUGGACCCAAUCUUGAGAGCAAAAUUCUCGACAACAUCCUUAACAUCAUAAGCAAGCUCUUUAAUAACAACGAAAAUUAACCAUAAAACAAAAUUGAAGGGAACUUUAAAAUAUUUUUUAAUAAUAACUUGGGAAGUACUUUAAAUGUGAAAAUUGGGUGUUUACCCAAAUGAUGAAUGGAUGUCUCCUAGGUAAAACUCCCUCAAUCUAAUGGUUACAAAUUAUAUAAGUGUACAAUCGGAUUGUGGUUUCUAGAAUGUUUUAUAAACUAAUAAAUUAAAAAUUAUUUGGUGAAUUAAUAAAAUAUAAGUGUUCAAUAUAAUUGUAUAAUUAAUAUUUUUGGGUUCAUCUAUUUUUACUAUGUGCUUUUUUUUAAAAAAAAAUUUGGUUUAACUAUUUUUACAUUUCUUUUAUUUACUGAAAUUCAUUUUUAAUUUUCACUAUUCUUUUAAAUUUAUUUUUAAUUUUUUAUACAAAUAAUAGAAUCGAUAUGAAAAUGAAAGAGUUAAGGAAAAACAUAGUUAAACAUUGUGCAAGCUGGCUUCCAUUAGCCAUUAUUGUAUUGGGAGGAAUUUUAAUGUGUUAACUUUAAGUUACGAUAAUUUUUCUCUCUAUCUAAGACCAUGUUUCCUCUAUUUAAAGAGUGUCUAAAUACACUCCCAAACAAUUAGUGAGGAAGUCGAUCAAUAACCUAUUUAUAAGUUAAUAUAAAAAUUCCUUUAACAGUAUUUUGAUAAAUUUUAAAUUUUUAUUUAAAAAUUAAAAAUAUCUCUUUAAUUAUCUCAUAAAAAAUAAAAAUCAAUGACAGUAUGGAAAACAAAGUGAAUUGAUGGAAACUUUCACAUUUUUUUUAAAAAAUUUAAGAGCUUAAAAAAAUCCAAAGGACUAAAAAUUGAUAUUUUAAAAGACGAGAAAGAAAUAAAAUGGGGAAUUAUUUAAAAAUCAAAAUUUAAAAGUUCAAGAAGAGAUUAGGAUAAUAUUUUUUUAAAAUAAAUAAAAAAUUAAAACAUGAGAAAAUCAAUAUACCUUUUUUAUACUCACUAGUUCUGUUGUCAAGAACUGAAAGCACUUCAAUUCCCUGUAUUCGAAUACAUAUUCUUUUAAAAUUUAUCAGAAAAUAUUUAUUUUAAUGUAACUUAAAAAGAUAACAGCCUGGAUCGGAUUAUCAAAUUAAAAAUUCAAAUAAGUUUACAAUAUUAUCAAAAUUUUUAAUUUUAAUAUAUAUAUAUUUCCAAAUAAUAAAUUUAAAUUUAUUAUGAUAAUUACUCCUUUUAUUUUAAUAUAAUUAUCAUGAUAUAUUUUUUUUUCCCAAAAUUUUUAAAAAUUAAUUAUAAUUAUUUUAAAAUAUCAAUUUAAUAAUAUGAUGAAAAAUAAAAGAUAUUUUUGUAGAUAUAUUUUUUUAAAUUCGUACUUUUUUAAAUAUAAUAUAGAUAGAUUAUAAAUAUACAUUAUGGUGGCAAAAAAAAAAGUUUAUAGGGUAUAUGUAAAGGCCAUAUACUAUGGAUCAUCAAAGUAUAAAGAUUAGUAUUGGAUAAAGUGGAAGUGAGUUGAUUAAGUCCUCCAUUCAUUUACCUACUCUUCCUUUUUUCUAAUUAAAUAAGACUCACUAUAUACUUUUAAAUAGAAUACUUUCGUAGUCUUCCUUUUUUCCAAUUUUAUAAUCAGCAGAUCAAGAAAGAAGUAUUGAUUUUGGGAAAUUUGUCUUAAAAGUAUUUUUAGAAAGUAUUGUAAAAAUAGUAAUUUUGAGAAGUACUUUUAGAAAGUUUAGUUUAAGAUUUAAGUGUUUAGUAUUACUGUAAAAAAGUAUUUUUGAUAAAUAAAAUAUCUAUUUUAGAUAUUAUGUUAUAAAGUAAAAAAUAUGUAUUUAAAUAAUGUUUAAAUUAGUUAAUAUUAUGAUAUCUUAGCAAGAAUAUAAAAAUAAUUUAUUGUUAAUAUUUUAAUAUAUAUAUAUAUAAUUUAAUUUUUUUAAGUAACUAAUAUUAAUUAUUCAUAAAAUCUAAUUCGAAUAUAUAAACUAUAUUUUAAAUAAUAAAAUAUGAUCAAUAAAAAUUUAAAUAUAUAUCACAACUUUUUUAUUUUAUAUAUAUUUCUUUUUUCAAAUAAUAAAUUUAAAUUUAUUAUGAUUAUCACAACUUUUGUUUCAAUAUAAUUACAAUCAUAUAUUUUCACUUUUUAAAUUGAUUAUAAUUGUUUUUUAAAUGUUAAUUUAAUAAUAUGGUAAAAAAUAAAUGAUAUUUUUAUCAGUUUAAUAUUUUUUUUUAAAAUUAUGUACUGUCUAUGUGAAGGCAUUAUACAAGGGGUCAUCAAAGUAUAAAGAUUAGUAUUAGGUAAAGUGAAAGUGAGUUGAUAAAGUCGUCCACUCAUUCUACUUUUAAAUUAAAAAAAAUUUUAAACUAAUAAACUCUACUUUUGUUCUACGUACCUACCUUUCUGUUUGUAUUCUUAUUCUAUUAAAUAAGAACUGCUUCGUUCACUUGUUUUCCCAGCAAGAUUUCUGCACUCACAUCUUGAAAUCCAAAUUCAAGAUUUUAAAGAAAUUUCUGAGCUCACUCACUAUUAUGGCUUGGGCUACUGUGACAUCUGCAGUGACAACAAUUGGCAACCUGCUAACUCAGGAAGCCAUAUACCUAUGGGGUGUGGAGGAGGAAUUUGUUGGGGAUGAGAAGGAGCAAAGGAAGAAAACAGAGAGCACAGAACAAUGAAGCAAGAUGCAAAAAAUAUUUUUACUUGCUCACAAAUGUGCAGCAAGGGAGCUUAUGGCUGAUAGCUCAUUCAGCUCAUUCAUUCAACUAGAAAAACAACAUAUUUAUAGUCAAAUACAUCACAAAAUACUACCUACUACCACUAAGUAGCCUAGUAAUUUGAUAAACAUUGCUUGUAUACAUAAACAAGCCACCUAAACUAGUCAUUCAACACCUAAUGCAUCAAGUUGUCAUCAACUUGUUCAUUUUCAACUAGUUUAAUCAACAAAGAAACUAAAGAGAAAACCUUGCUGUUACAGCAAGUAUACGUGCUGCAGCAUGUCAUCAAGCUGCAUGCACUUCAACCAAAACAUAUAACAGCAGCAUGGUUGGCCAAUUUCCAACAGAAGUUGAUCAUCUGCAAACAGAGCUCAAAUGGAUGCAAAGCUCCUUAAUGGUGGCAGAGACAAAACAAUCAACGGAUGAGAGGAUUCGUCUUUGGGUUGGUGAAAUCAGAGAGCUUGCUUAUGAUGCUGAGGAUGUUGUCGAGGAAUUUGCUCUCAAGAUUGGAUCCAAAAACAAAGGUCUUCCGCGUUGUAUUAAAAGAUCAGCCUGCUGUUUGAAAGAGGGAUGGGCACUCCACAAAACCAGGUCAAAAAUCGAGAAAAUCAUAGAAAGAAUUAACGACUUGGUCCGACGACUACAGGCCUACGGAGUAAAGGAAUUAAAUCCCAGAGAAGAAGAAUCAAGUUCUUCAACUGAAAGACGAGAAUCAAGGCGGCCUUAUCCACAUAUUAUGGAUGAUAAUAUUGUUGGACUAGAUGAUUAUACCGAGGGAUUGGUCAAAGUUCUUACGAACGAAAGUGGACGCAAGGUUGUUACAAUAUGGGGCAUGGGUGGUCUGGGAAAGACCACUCUCGCCAAGAAAGUAUAUCACCAUCCUCAGGUUAUUGAUUAUUUCGAUCACUUGGCUUUUGUAUAUGUUUCUCAACCAUGCCAGAAAAGAAAAGUUUGGGAAGACAUUCUAUCUGGUUUCAAAACUUUAGAUGACAGGAAGAUAACAGAUGAAGCAUUAGCAGAGAAGUUGUGUAAAACUUUGGAGGAUAAAAAGUGUCUGGUGAUACUUGAUGAUGUUUGGACCAGUGAAGCUUGGGAUAGUCUAAAACCUGCCUUUCCACUUGCAACUGGCCAUGAUAGCAAUAGCAAUAGCAAGAUAUUGCUCACCUCUAGAAACAGGGGGAUAGUUUCAGAUGCUGAGAUAAGAGGUAAAAUUUUCUUAAUUAGGUAAAAUUUAAUACUCUUAUUCCUUUUAUAUAGAAAAUAACUGUGUAUAUUAUUUCAGAGUUGAAGUGCCUAAAGGAACAAGAAAGUUGGGAAUUGUUUCAAAAGAUUGUAUUUCCUCAAACAGGUAAAUAUACGUAUAGCAAAAUUCUUGUUAUAUGCUAAAUUUAUUUUUCUUUUUAAAUUUUUUUGACAAUAAUUGAAAUUAAAAAUAUAUAAAAUCUAUUUUAUUUCAAGAUUUCAAAACCUUAAUAUCAAAUAAAUAAAAGAAAUCAAGCCUUUGUAGUUUAUCAAUUAAUGGUACACGCACCUAAAUAUAAUUAAUAGGUAAAUUCAUUAUCUUUUUUAUUAUAAUUUUGUAAUAAUUUCGCUAUUAUUUACUCGGAAUAAAUUAUAUUAGGAGAUCUUAAAAGAUAUAGUUUUUAGGCACCAACAAAAUAAUGUCACAUCGUUAAAUUUUUAAGAUAACAAAGAAUUAUUAUACACUCAUUUAUAUUUAAUAUUUUCUCCAAUUUAAUUUUAACUUUAAUAAAAUUAUUUAAAAUAAUUAAUUUUUAAAUUAUAAACAAACAUCUUUUCUUCUUUUACAAAUUUUAAUCAUUUUGUUUUUUUCAUAAGUUAAUAUUUUUAUUUUUCUGCAACCAAUUUUUAAAAAAUAGUAAUUUUUGUGCAGCAUUUUUCAUGUCAUUAACACAUAAUUUUGAUAAUUAUUUUAUCCUGAACCCAAAAUUCUCAAUCUUGAACUCGAAUCCUGAACCUAAACCUUGAACCCUGAAUCUCGCAGUUCAAGGUUUGGUUUCGAGAUUUAAAGUUCAGAAUUCGAGGUUCAAGUUUAAAGUUCAAGGGUUCAGGGUUAUGGGUUACGAGUUUAGGAUUCAUGGUUCAAGGGUUUAGGGUUUUAUAUUUUGAAUCAAUGGUUUAGGAUUCUGGAUUCAGGGUGAAAAAAAUACCAAAAUUAUAUGUCAAUUACAUGAAAAAAAUUGUUGAAAUGUUAUUAAAUAAUUGGAAAGUGACUAUGAAUAAUGUGGCCAGAAGGGUCCAUAAAAUAAUUUCUCUAUGGAUGAGUGUAUAAUAAUAAUUCAUGUCUUUAAAAUUUGAUGAUUUGACAAAAAAAUUUAAUUUUUAAGAUCAUACUAAGUUAUUACCUUACCUUAAUUAUUGGACUAUAUGUUUGUUUAGUUUCUUAAGCACUUUCAUGCUAUUCUUUUAUAUGUUUUUCUUUUUCUUAAGAAAUACAAAUUGAUUUUAUAAUUUAAAUACAGUACUCAAACAUCACUUAAUUAGAAUAAUAAUUAAUCAAUUCUCGUUUUUUUUUUUGCCACAAAAACAUUCAUUCCAGAAAGAAUAAACAAACAUAGGAAGUCUAAAACACUAAAGCAGAUAAACUAACAUGAAAAAAACACAGUAUUCUCUAAGCUUAUCCUGGAUCCUUGCAUCAGAAAGAUGGAGGUGCAGGUAAACCAUUCUUAUCAAGAGUAAAGCCAAGAAAGACGGUAGUUGAUUCGAACAACCAACAUAUCUCUUUACGACCCUAUUUAGCAAACCAAUCCGCUAACCUAUUGGCUUCUCGUCUAAUAACAUUGACUUUAAAAGAAGAAAGUUGCAUGACCAGCUUAUCAAAAACCUGAAGGACUAGCCUAAACCUCCAUCUUCGAUCUUGACUCUUUUUCUUAAUAUUCGAAACAAUAGUCUGGGAGUCAGUCUUGAUUGUCACAUUGGUCCAUUUGUUCUUCAUAGCUAAUUCAAUCCAUCCAACCAUAGCUUUAGCCUCGACAACCUCACAUGAAUCCACUUAAUCCUUUUACCAAUCCCAUCCAGCAUCUUCCCACUUAAAUUUCUGCCUAGUACUCUAAUACCAGCACAAGCUAUUAAGGUGUCAAAUGUCCCAUCACAAUUUAACUUUAACCCAACCUUCUGGUGGUUUCUCCCAAAUAUCAGCACAAGUUUGACUUCCUAGUUCGAUCAGAGUUAUUGUUUGAACAGAGGAUCCAUUGAGCAGAUAAGAAUUCAUUCAUGGAGCAAUUAAUCCUUCGAAUAAUUCUCUCCAAACCAAGUUUCACACCUCCAAUCGUAACCUCACACCUAGCUUUCCAGAUGUGCUAGCAAGUGAAAACAAUUCUAACUUUGAAAUCCUCCCUCAUACAAGGCAUUUGUAACAACUUUGAGAACCAUCUGUCAAAUGAUUGAGUUUGAUCAUUUAGCCCUUGAAGACCAAAAUAAGCCUCAUACUAUAUUCCCCUAACCCAAUUACAACUAAGAAUAAUAUGUUCAAAGUCUCAUCUUCAAUACCACAUAAACAACAAAUUGGGUUCGAAACACACUUUCUUUUCCACGGAUUAAAACGAGAUGGAAUAGCAUUAUGACACAAUUUCCAUAAGAAAAUUUUAACUUUCUUCGGUACCUGUAAGCUCCAAAUAGUUUUGCAAAUGCUCCUAUCAAUUAAGUGAAAGCUGGAAGGUUGUAAAGAAGACUCAUUUCCAUAGUUCUUUCUCAACUCCUUAUACCCAGAUUUCAUCGGAUAUUGACCAACAGCUGUAGACGGCCACAUCAAUUUAUCUUGCUCAUCUGUUUCAUGAAGGGGAACUUUUAAUUUCGCAAUUUCAAUAUCUUCUAGCCACAUUGAGAUACUGGAUAAGUACCAAAUUAGUUCUUCUAAACAAAUUAUCUUAGCAACUCUUUUUGGUGAGGAUCCGUCGAUAUUUCCAGGAUGCUUUAAUUUCCUAUCUUUAACUCCCAGCAACCAAAUAUCUUCCCAAAUGCGGAUGCAUUUGCCAUUUAGCACUUGCCAAAUCAAAGUCUCCUUUUAAAAACUCUUUCCCUUCAGGAAUGCUACUCCAUACCCAUGAUGACCUAGCUCCCUUUUUAGCUUCAAGGAAAUUAGAGGACGGGAAAUAAAGUCCUUUUAAAAUCCUAGCCCAAAAAGCAUCAGGAUCCUGGACUAACUGUCAAGAUUGUUUUGCAAGUAGAGCAAGUCCUCCAAGCUUUUCAAUGAACACGUCUCUCAUUUUCCUUCUGCUGAAUUCAUUUCCACGCAUAAGUUUUUAGGAAAUUCGAAAAGAUAUCGUAUACAUUGAAGCGCAUGCUACUGCUUUAAUAAGAACCUCCCUUCCCCUUCCAGAUAACGUUUGCUGCUUCCAGCCCUCAAGUUUGGUAAGGACCCCAUUUUUUUUUUUUUUGUGAAAGUGAGGACCUUAUCUUUGAUAUGCCUCAAAGUUAAUGUUUUCGAAAGCUCCCACAAAGAAGGGACACCCAAGUAGACGCCCGAAUUAUUUGCCACCUCUAUAUUAGUCUCUUCUUGAAUCAACUUUUCGUUGACCCUUCGGGAGUAUUCACACUAAAAACGUUGCUUGAUUUAUCGUACUUGACCCUUCGUCCAGAAGCUGCACAGUAUUCUUGAAAGUUCAUCAUUCUCCUACAAUUUAACAAAUUAGCUUCCAAAAAGAAUAGAGAUCGUUCGCGAAUAACAAAUGUGACACUAUUGGAUAAUGACUAUCAAGGCUAAUCCCAGAAAUAAAACUAGACUCGACUCUAAGGCUAAUCAUACGAGAGAAGAUUUUUCUACUAUAUUUACCAUUAAUAAGCAAAGUGUAAGAAACACUCCUCACACACUCCAUUAUCCAAUCAAUCCAUGUUAAAGCAAAUCUCAUUUUUCUUAAAAUAGUUUCCAGAAAUCUCCACUCUACUCUUUCAUGUCGAGCUUCCAAUCAACCUCAUAUUUCUUACCCCUCUUCUUCAAUUUCAAAUGAUGAAAACCUCUUGAGCAAUUAAGAUGUUAUCAUGUAUUUGUCUACCUACCACAAAAGCACUUUGAUUAUUCAUAAUCACUACCCCUAGAACUCCUUUCAAUAUAUUCACCAUGAUCUUCGAUAUGAUUUUAUAGGCAAAAUUAUAAAGAUUAAUAAGUCUAAAUUAUGUAAUUAAUUCAAAACAUUUAGUCUUCAGAAUUAAAAUUAUCUCAAUCUCAUUUAAACCCAUCGAAAAUUUCCCUUCCCUAAAAAAAAAAAAUAGAAAAAACUCUUAAUAGCUUCCAAAACAUUAUUUUUAAUAAUUUCCCAAAUAAUUAUGAUAGAAAAUUCCGCUAAAAUCAUUCGCAAAAUAAGAGAUUAGUUUAAUUUUUUUAUAUUCUUAACUUGUACAAUAUAAGUAAAAUCUUAUAAUUUUAUCUCCAAAUUCUCUCAACACAAUUUUCUGACCCUUAUUUAUAAUCUCAUUUGUAUCUAACAGGAUAUCCAAUUUAAUGUUAAAUAGUCUUUUUUAUAUAAUGAAUUAUAUUUUUAUUUGAAUCUCCUCUUAAAUUAAUUAGAGUGAAGUUUCUUAUUUAGUAUUGACUGUUCCAUAAAGUAUUCAAAGUUUUCAAAUAGAUUUAUUUUUUAAGUGUAGUUAAUAACCGUAAUAAAAACUAAAUUUUAUAAGUGAUGAAUUUAUAUCAAAUAUUAUUUAAUAAAUUAAUAAAAUAUAAGUUUGAGUUAAUCUAUUUUUACAUUUCUUUCACCUACUUAAAUUAAUUCCUAAUUUUCCUUUUUUUUUAAAAUUUAUUCCUAAUUUUUUAUACAGGAAAUAUAAUCGAUGAGGAAAUAAAAAAGUUGGGAGAGAACAUGGUUAAACAUUGUGCAGGGCUGCCAUUAGCCAUUGUUGUAUUGGGAGGAAUUUUGGCUACAAAGAACAAUUUAGUAAGUGAAUGGAAAAAGAUAUCUGACAAUGUACAAUCAUACUUGAAGAGAGGCAAAAAUCAAGGACCAGAGGAUGUGUUAGCAUUAAGUUAUGAUGAUUUGCCUCCCUAUCUAAGACCAUGUUUCCUCUAUCUAAGCCAUUUUCCAGAGGAUUAUAUGAUAGAUGUGGAUAGAUUGAUUCAAUUAUGGGUUGCUGAUGGUAUUGUGUCAUCAAAGGAAGAAGAAAGAGACGAUGGGGAAAUUGCAGAAGAUAUGGCGGAAUCUUAUUUAAUGGAGCUUGUGAAAAGGUGUAUGAUUCAACUACGAGAAAGAAAUGUGGCAGUCUCAGAGAUCAGAGCGACCUCAAAGGUCAAGACGAUUCAGAUGCAUGAUCUGAUGAGAGAUCUUUGCUUAUCAAAGGCAAAACAAGAAAAUUUUGUCUUCAUUGUUGAUGGAUCGAAUGUAUCUUCAUUAUCUAUGAUUCGGAAGGUCCGUAGGGUUUCUGUGCAUGAGUCUUUUUUCAUACAAUGCAUUAAAAGUCCAAGUAUUCGGUCACUUUUGUUCUUCAAUCAGUUCUUUCCGGAGGAGGCAUUAGAAAAAUCUUUGCCCUUGGAAGUGUUGAACUACGUUAAAAAACAUUAUGACGAUUAUUGUAAUCCACUAUUUUGGAUUCUUCUGAUUUUGGCAGGUUCUACAAGACGUCUUAAAAUUCGGGGAUUUUGGAGAUACAUGUUCAACAACUUCAAAUUGCUAAGAGUCCUAAACUAUGACAAAGGAAGAACGUCAUAUGGUUUUUGGCUCGGGUGGGAGUUACCUAGUGAUAUAGGGAAUCUCAUCCAUUUAAGAUUCUUGAGUCUAAAGGAUCUUGAGUUCUUGUGGCAAAAGUUGCCAUCAUCUCUAGGCAACUUAAGGUGCUUGUAUACCUUGGAUUUAAGAGUUAAUAUUCUCAAAAUUCAUGUACCUAAUGUGAUAUGGAGGAUGGAGAAACUAAGACAUUUAUAUCUCCCUUUCGACUUUGAAAGCAGUUCUAAGUUGAAGUUGGGUACUUUGAGAAAACUCCUAACACUUGUGAACUUCAACACCAAGAAUUGUUAUCUGAAGGAUCUUAUCAACAUGACAAAUCUUAGAGAGUUGGAGAUAAAUUUGCCCUUCAAUAUUGAAAAUUCCAAUGAGUUGGGAGAGAAUCCAUCCAUAAUCGGUAGUAAAUAUCUUCAUUCAUUGUUUAUUAUUGCCAUUGGGGAAUCCGGCUCAGAAAUAGAUCCAAGGCAUUUGGCCCAUCUCCUUUCAAAUUGUACAAGUAUUUGUAAGUUGAGUAUAGUAGCAGAUAUAAGUAAGUUCCCAGAGUAUCACUACUCUUCACAUCUCGCUUACAUACGAUUGAGUUGGUGCAAGUUUGAGGAAGAUCCAAUGCCAACACUAGAGAAGCUGCCUAACUUAAGGAUUCUUGAAUUUUCUUUCAAAGGAAAGAAAAUGUUUUGCUCUGCUCAGGGUUUUCCUAAACUUGACUCUCUAAUCCUUAAACAACUUGACAAAUUGGAGGAGUGGAAGGUGGAUGAAGGAGCCAUGCCUUCUCUUCAGCGAUUGGAGAUUGGGGAAUGCAGAAACUUGAAGAUGCUUCCAGAGGGAUUGAGGUUCAUUACAACCCUCAAAGAACUGAAGAUUGAAUCAAUGCCAAAGGCAUUCAAAGAUAGAUUGAAGGAAGGAGGAGAAGAUUUCUACAAAGUCAAACAUGUUCCUCUUAUCAUAUUCCAAAACAUCUUGCGCUAAGAAAUUGAAUGAUAAUUGAGAGGUAAUUUCACAGCUUCUAAUUUAGGAAAUGAUUCCUACUUUCUUUGCUUCUUAUAUAUCUUUCAUUUUUUACAAUGUCUCACCUUCUCACUCCAUUUGUCAACACACCAAUGAAUAAUUACAUUUAUUAAAAGUCAAAGGAAGUCAGACAUUGAUAUUUUUAGUUUUUGUUGAAGUUGGUCAGCAUGCAGCAAACACUCAACACCAAGCAGGCCAUGAAGACCAAGUCAUGCAGGAGCUGCUGGAGCAAGCUAUUUUUUGUUUAUUUUGUAACCAUUAGUUGAUGAAAUGAGUUCUAGUUCAUUUCAAACUAAGUUAGGCCCAUGAUUGAUGUAAUUAGCUGGUGUGUGAGCUGUAAACACAGCUUUGUAUAGGCUUACAAGUUUAGAUUUCAAGUUUCUAUGUAAUUAGUGGUAGUAGGUAAUGUUUAGGUGAUUGCUUACUAUUUUUGACAAGCUUAGUGCUUGGUUUAUGUAUUGGCAUUAUGCCAUUGUUCAAUUUUAUGAAUGAAAUCAAAUUUGUUCAUCAAAAAUACUCUCUAUUUUUCUUUGCUAUUCUUUCUUUGUUUGUCUCGAAUCUGGUUGUUUGCUCAGCAAGUAUCGAGGCUUGCUACACAAGACACAAGCUGAGCUUGUGUAUUUCUGUUACCAACACCAACAAUUGGUAUCUAGAGCUAUAAUCUUAAGGGAUCUGUUGUUUAAAAGAUGGCUUUAUCAAGUUUUUCACCAGCUGCACCACAAGUCUUUAAUGGAGUAGGCUAUCACAUAUGGGUGGUCAAAAUAAAGACCUACCUUCAAGCUUUUGAUCUGUGGGAGGUGGUCAACUUUGAUGUUAAACCAGAGCCACUCAGAGCCAAUCCAACAGUGGCUCAGAUUAGGCAGCAUGCUGAUGAGGACCAAGAGGCAUAAGGCCAUGUCUUGCAUCCAAAAUUCAGUGUCUGAUGUGAUUUUACAAGGAUUAUGGCCUGUGAAACACCAAAGCAGGCCUGGGACAAGUUGCAAGAGGAGUUUCAAGGGACAGAGAGGACAAGGCAACAACAGUUGUUGAACUUGUGGAGAGACUUCGAGAAUUUGAAGAUGAAGGAAAAAGAAACUGUCAAACAAUACUCAGACACGAUUAUGGCUGUGGUAAACAGCAUAAGGCUCCUUGGUGAGCAGUUCAAUGAAGCAAGGAUAGUGGAGAAGGUGAUUUCAACCUUACUUGAGAGGUAUGAGGCAAAAAUCUCAUCCCUCGAGACUCAAGGGACUUGACCAGCAUCUCCCUGACAGAGCUGAUCAAUGCUCUAUAUGCACAAGAGUAGAGAAGAGCUAACAGACUGGAGGAGCACCAGGAAGGUGCCUUUCAGGCAAAGACUAACACUGCCUACAAAGGCAAGAAAACCUGGAAAAAUAGGCCUAAGCCUGAUGCUACAAGAAGCAGUGACCAACCUUGCAGGCAUUGCAAAAGGUCUGGUCAUCCAGAAGAAAAAUGCUAGUUUAGACCAGAUGCUUUAUGUCAACAUUGCAAGAAGAAGGGACAUAUUGAAAGGGUCUGCAAAAACAAAGGCAAACUAAGGCAAAAUCAACCUCAUCAGAUGAAGGCUGAGGCUCGAGUUUCCAAGGAAGAUAGUGACCAUGAGGAGCAAGUUUUUACUGUGUUAUGCUCAGUUUCUCAAGAGAGGUGUUCAUUUGGUUGGCUCCUAGACAGUGGAUGCACCAACCACAUAACACCUGAUACUGCUAUCUUCAAGUCAUUAGACAGAAGCUGCAGUACCAUAGUCAAGAUUGGUAAUGGCUACUUUAUAAAAGUAGAAGGUAAGGGUGAUGUGCUGAUAUGCACUCCUACAGGUGCCAAGGUUAUCUCAAAUGUACUGUUGGUGCCUGAGAUUGACAGAAAUUUGCUCAGCAUAGCUCAACUGCUAGAGAAAGGAUAUUCUGUAGUGUUCAAGGACAGGCAGUGCCAAAUCAGUGAUCCAAGUGGAUCCAAGCUUAUGGUAGUCACCAUGGCUGACAAGAGUUUUGUGGUUGAUUGGACAAAGGAAUUAAAUACUGCCUAUACAGCUACAGUAGAUGAAUCCAAGCUUUGGCACUAAAGACUUGGACAUGCCGAUUAUAAAUCGAUGGACCAAUUGUGCAAAAAUGGUUUGGCUGAAAACUUCAUAAGCUCAGUCCAAAACCAAGAAAUUUGUGAAGUGUGUCAGCUAGGCAAGCAGGCCAGACUUCUAUUUCCCUAGAGUCAAGCCUAAAGAGCUUCUGAAAGACUACAGCUUGUGCACACUGAUGUGUGUAGCCCCAUAAAGACUGAAUCAUUGAAUAGAAAUAGGUAUUUCUUACUGUUUAUUGAUGAUUUCUCAAGAUUUUGUUGCCUUAACUUCCUAAAACAAAAAUUAGAGGUGGCCUCUAUGUUUUGGAAGUUCAACACUACUGCUGAGACUGAAACAGGCUACAAGAUAAAGACUCUAAGAUCAGACAAUGGAACUGAGUAUACCUCAGCUCAAUUUCAAGCCAUUUGCAAUGAUGCUGGCAUCAAACACCAGCUAACAAAUGUGUAUACACCUCAGCAGAAUGGGGUCAGUGAAAGGAAAAAUAGAAGCCUGAUGGAUAUGGCCAAGUGUCUAUUGUUUGAGAAGAAACUGCCCAAAACCAUGUGGGCUGAAGCAGUAAACACUACUGUUUACCUUCAGAAUAGACUUCCAACCAAGGCCUUGGCUCAGAUGACACCAUUUGAGGCUUGGUUUGGAUUCAAGGCAUCAUUGGCUCACCUGAAGGUCUUUGGAUGCAUUUUCUAUGCACAUGUGCCUGCUGUUAAAAGGGAUAAGCUGUCUGAAAGAGCUCGACCUAGUAUUUUGGUGGGCUACAGCACUGUCAAGAAGGGCUAUAGGAUCUUAGAUCCUUCAACAAACAAAGUGUCAGUUAGCAGGGAUGUUGUGUUUGAUGAAAAGUCAUGUUGGAACUGAGGAAGGAGUGAGCCUGAAGCAGUUUCUGAAGAACUUGCAACUGAUCAAGCUGAAAUAAACCAAAAUGGUCCUGAAAUGGACAUUGAUGAUGAACCAGUCAGGGGCACUAGACCAUUGGUCGAGAUUUAUGAAAGGGCUCAUGUGGCUAUAACUGAACCAAGCAGCUUUGAAGAGGCUGAAGUUCAGCAAGGAUGGAAGCAAGUAAUGGCUGAGGAGAUCAGCAUGAUUAAGAAGAACCAGACUUGGGAAUUGGUUGAAAGACCAGUUAAAAGGAAGGUCAUUAGAGUGAAAUGGGUGUACAAAGCCAAGCACAAUGCUGAUGGAAGUUUGAACAAGUUGAAAGCAAGGCUGGUUGUCAAGGGGUUUAGUCAGAAAUAUGGGUUGAACUACCUGGAGACCUUCGCACCAGUGGCCAGGCUGGACACCAUCAGGCUACUGAUUGCCUUAGCAGCACAAAUACAGUGGAAAAUCCACCAGCUCGAUGUGAAGUCAGCCUUUCUUAAUGGUUUUCUUGAGGAAGACAUCUUUGUUGAACAACCAAAGGGGUUUGAGAGAGCUGGUAAGGAACACAUGGUCUACAAGCUAAAGAAAGACUUAUAUGGCUUAAAACAGGCUCCAAGGGCCUGGUACAGCAGGACCGAUGGUUACUUGAUUGGUUUGGGAUUUGAUAGAAGCAAGAGCGAGCAAACAUUGUAUGUUAAGAAGGAAGGGACACAAAUACAACUGAAAAAAUAACAAGAAUUGUGGGAAUUUUCUCUGUCUUUCAUUCCUCCCAAAAUCAAGAACAUAUAUACAUGGUAAAAUACAAAGAUAGAAACCAAAAUAUUAUCUCCUAAACUUUAGCAUCUAAUCUCCUAAUUAAACCAAAAUAUUAUCUCCUAAACUUUAGCAUCUAAUCUCCUAAUUAAAAGAAAAUAGAUAUACACAAAAACUACCAUACAUAUUUACAGAAUUAAUUCCAAUAAUAGCUCAUUAUGUCUCUGUAUGUUGAUGACCUGCUGGUGACAGGAGGAGAUCAGACAAUGCUGGUCGAUUUCAAGACAAAGAUGCAAGAGAUAUUUGAAAUGUCUGAUUUAGGGAAGAUGUCCUAUUUUCUUGGAAUAGAGGUGACACAAACACAGAAUAGGAUAUUUCUAAGUUAGAAAAGCUUUUCCUUGAAGAUUUUAAUCAAGUUCUACAUGCAAAAUAGCAAAGCAACAAGGACUCCUGUUGCUGUUGGAGAAAAACUAUCGAGUAAUAGUAACUUUGAGAAGGUUUGUGAAACAACCUAUAGAAGUCUAGUUGGUUGCUUGUUAUACUUAACUGCCACUAGGCCAGACAUAAUGUAUGCUGUUAGUUUGCUCUCGAGAUUCUUGCAUUGUAGCAAUGAGAAGCACUUUCAAGCAGCAAAGAGAGUGUUCAGGUACGUCAAAGGUACUUUGAGUUAUGGCUUGAUGUACAGAAGAGAAGAAAACUUGAGGCUGGUUGGCUAUACUGAUAAUGACUGGGUUGGCUCGAUAGAUGAUAUGAAAAGCACCUCAGGGUAUGCUUUCAAUCUUGGUUUAGCCAUGUUCUGUUGGAGAUCGAAGAAGCAAACCUUGGUGGCUCAGUCAACUGCUGAAGCAGAAUAUGUUGCAACGUUUUAUAUAUUUCUAGGACACAUUUCCCGUUUCAGCAUAUAUAUUUCCUUAUUUUAUGCAAGUAGAUUGGUAUUUAACCAAAUAAAUUUAAUUUCUAUAAUUUAGGUUAAAACUAAAAUUAAAAAAUUAAAAAAAUACAGAAAUUGAAGUUGACAAAUUCAAAAAAUAUACAUAUUAAAAUUGAUCAAAUUAAAAGUGCACUGACUAACCUUAAUUUUUUUGUUAAUCUUUCUUUUCCCGUAAUUAAAUGUCCAUGACGUAUAUUAUAUAUCUUAAUAUAUAAAUAUUUUUAAAAAAAUUAAAUAUAUGUAUGUUGGACACAUAUUCAAGUUUGAUAUUCGUCUUAAAUUCAUGCAAUACGGUUAAAUAUUGGUGAACUAGUAGUUGAUGAAGUAUUAUAUACAUUCUUGGAAUGCUCCAUUCAACGAAUUUAUUUCAGCUCCAUAUGUUUAAAACACCUCCCAUUUCUAACAUAUUUCCUCAUUUUGGGUAACCUGAUUGGUAUACAACGUAAUCUUUUUCAUUGUUUAAUAUCCUAAUUCUUAACUCAAUAAUCUUUGUUACGGGGAAAUUACCAAUAAAAGCCGUUUUUUUUUCAAAAUUUACCGAAAUGGGCCAAUUUUUUGAUUAUUUACCGGAAUGGUCCAUUUUUCGGAAAAUCGCGUCCACGUCAGCGCGAUGUCAGGGUACGUGUCAGGACAUCGCGUCCACGUCAGCGCAACCUGCUNNNNNNNNNNNNNNNNNNNNNNNNNNNNNNNNNNNNNNNNNNNNNNNNNNNNNNNNNNNNNNNNNNNNNNNNNNNNNNNNNNNNNNNNNNNNNNNNNNNNCCCGAUCCGAAUGCAAAUUCAACCGAAAUUGAAAGAAUCUGAUAUGCUCGAUCAUACAUUCUUCAAAUAAUUAGAGGUUAUCUGAUGCCCGACACGUCACGGAGCCGUGUACAUCUAAGGUGGCUGCUAAAACUUGUUGAUUUUAGAGGAGCCGGUGAAUUUAGUUGGGGUCUGCCGUCUUGGCAACAUUAUAUCGAGAGAUGUGCGGGGCAACGCGACCAAUGAGAGAAAACAUCGGAGGUUGCCUAUCACUACUGCAAUCAUGGGCACGGUUUCGCUUUCCAUUUCUACGUCCUUGAGUGAAUCACCCAUAUACAUUCCCACUCGUAACGAGGUAAAUUUUAUAUUACAUUUUGGUAUUAUUAUGUAGAUUUUGUAAGAAUAAAAGUAUGCUAAAAAUUUAUUUAAUUAGGUGGAACCAUCCGGCAAGUUAUCGUGGAUUACCGUUUGAACUUGAAGAUAUACGGCUUCUAUUGGAGCAACGGUCAGAAGCAGAAGUAAGUAUUAUUGCAAAUAGAUAUUUCCAUACAUUCGCUAGUCGAUUGAUAUUUAGUAUUUAGUAUUUAGUAUUAUGUAUAUAACUAAUAUUUCUAUCAUGUUCAUAUAGUUUCAAUGGACACCAUACGAGGAUCCGACAAUUUGGGCAAUAAUCCAGAAGAGUUUUUACAAAAUCCAAACACUUGGCACGCGAAAAUGGUGUUGAUCAACUAUGCAACCGUGGAGCCCCACCAGACAGACAAAGUGCUACGACAGUUUGGAUGUAGACAACCGAUUCCUGCGGACACUGAGGUGUUUGACGAUCACCACAAAAUUGACCUUCGGAUAUUAGGUACGGAUUGGCCUAGAUACUGGGCCGAGUACAAGGAAAUGUGGAAAAAUCGGCUUGAAUAUCUACCUACUCGAGAACAAAUCAUCGUUCCGGAGUUAGCUUGCGUUCCAGAAUACAUGCCAUGGUUUAGGAUCCAUGGCAAGCCGUAUUUACUUACGCCAGAGGAGAGGCAGCGGCAAAUACGUGUCGGAAGGGAAAGGCGCGGGCCUCUAAAUCCAAGACGAGAAGACUACGAAGGCAGCCCCUCAACGAGGCCCAGACAGUCAUCGGCUCAUCAUCAGCGGCCAUGCAAUCACCGUCCCCAACGAGAGCACCGACGCAGUCACCUGACGUAGCAAUUCAACAGAUGAUACCCACGCAACCGCCUUUCCCUAUGAUGCCAGGUGUGUUUCCUAGCCCUUAUAUGUACCGUAACCCUUACAUAUAUCCUUUUCCGAAUCCUAUGGCAGGUUGGAGCCAAAUGUCCUGUUCAGAUCCAUUUCCUAUUAUGCCGAGCGGACCGCCGAUAUCUAGGCCAGCGGUGCAGGAGGGAUCGCAAGGGGGGCUGUCGGGGAGCUCUUCUUUUUACCAAUCGCCACCAACGUAUGGCUUUCAAACACCGUCACCGUUCAUGAUGCAAACACCUCCACAUACACUAUUCUUUGAAGGUGGAUCAUCGUCCCAAGUCCGAAAACCAGAUGUCGAAUCGGAAGAACCACAAUCACCACUAGAGGAAGAACAACCGCCGCCGGAAGCUAGAGGAAGGAGGAAUCCAGCGCGUAAUCAUCGACGGCCGCCAUAUGGAACCGAAUCCCCCGGGCAUAGACAUUGAUUACCGUAUUUAAAUUUAUUAUUUGAUGUAAUAAAAUAGAAGUUUAUUUGAUGUAAUACGCAUAGAAAUUUUUUCGAGUUAUUUUGAUAUUAUUUGAUGUAAUAAAAUAGAAGUUUAUUUGAUAUAAUAGGCAUAGAAAUUUUUUCUAGCUAUUUUGAUAUUAUUUGAUAUAAUAAAAUAGAAGUUCUAUUUGAUGUAAUAAAAACCCUAAUUUAAUUAAAAACCCUAACCUAAUUUAAUUAAAAACCCUAACCCUAACCUAAUUCAAAUAAAAACCCUAACCCUAACCUACUUCAAAUAAAAACCCUAACCAUAACCUAAUUUAAUUAAAAACCCUAACCCUAACCUAACUUAAUUAAAACCCCUAACCCUAACCUAAUUCAAAUAAAAACCCUAACCUAACCUAACUUAAUUAAAAACCCUAACCCUAACCUAAUUCAAAUAAAAACCCUAACUCUAACCUAAUUUAAUUAAAAACCCUAACCCUAACCUAAUUUUACAUAAUUUGAUAAUUUUACUAGCCAUUAACACAAUUUUUGGACUUAAUAAUUUUACAUAAUUUGAUAAUUUUACUAACCAUUAACACAAUUUUUGGACUUAAUAAUUUUACAUAAUUUGAUAAUUUUACUAACCAUUAACAAAAUUUUUUAUACCAUAAUAAUUUUACAUAAUUUGAUAAUUUUACUAACCAUUAACACAAUUUUUUUGGCUUAAUAAUUUUACAUAAUUUUACAUAAUUUGAUAAUUUUAUUAACCAUUAACAAUAUUUUUUUGGCUUAAUAGUUUUACAUAAUUUUACAUAAUGUUAGAUUUGGUAAAAUGUUUUGACUGGUACUAACAAUUAAGAAAUUAAACUAAUUUGAUAAUUUUACUAACAAUUAAUACAAUUAUCAAUUAAUAAUUGAAUAAAAUAUAAUUUUUUCUAAAAUUACAUUCAACUAUUGUGAUUAAGGCAUGAUCGACUUGUAUGACCUGGGUUCCGACACAUCCGCACAACUUCUGUUGACUGGCUGUUUCUCGGAUAUCCAUAUUGUUCCGUAUUCUAGUGGAGCAAGUUCGACCCUUUGGUUUGCGAUGCAAUUCUCUAUCUGGUAACAGCUUAAAAGGAGCAAGAGAUACGAGCGGCUAAUUACGUUCAUCUGGGACCGGUGGGAAAACGUGUCUCCAUACGUUGUACAUGUUUUCUAAUUUGUACACUUCGUCCACAUAACUCAUCGGAUCCAGACGGAGUUUCUGACAAGCUGCAAUAACAUGAGGACAUGGAUAACGAAGUGCAUCAAACUUCCCAUAGUCACAAGUCCUGUUUCGCAAGUGUACACGAUAUUGCCCGCCAACAACACCUUGGUGAGGUCUGUCAAACUCCAUCACACGAAACCAUAAAUUGUCUCGAUCGUGACACACUGUGUGCAUGAUGUUUGCCCUCGCCUUCACCUUGUUAGUUUCUUAAACUACCUUACUGCACCAUAAAUGGCCACCCUGCAUCUGGCCUGCAUAAGUUGCUGCUCGCUUUGGAAAUAGCGCCGCCAAGCAGAAAUAUGUCUCUCGCACAACCGAUGUUAUCGGUAGAUGGCACGUUCCUUUAAGAACAGAAUUUAUGCAUUCUUCCAGGUUCGACGUCAUAUGGCCAUAUCGUAGGCUUCCGUCGUAUGCUUGUGCCCACAGUUUGAAACGUAUGUUACAAAGGUAGUCUGCCCCUUCUCCAUUUUGGGAUCGUAAAAUUGCCAACAUCUCGUGAAAACGAUCUUUAUUUAUUUCAUACCCUACCAAUAUAAGAUCAUAUCGAAUAUUUUAUACCACUUCUACCAAUAAAACUAAUUCAAAUUGACAAACAAAAUAAUACAAUUAUAGACUAAAUACCCAUGUUGGUCACUUGUCGUCGUUCACUCUUAGAUGGAUAUUGCAUGUAGUAGUUCGAAGCAACGUGUCUUAGGCAAUAUCUAUAGUGUGUGCGCUGCCACAAGCUUCCCUCUUGAUCAAAUGCAGCUAGUAUACUGGCGCCCCGAUCUGAAAUAACACAGAUAUCAGGUUGGGGGCACACAUGCCUCCUUAACCUAGAGAGAAAGAAAUUCCAGUCAUCAGAUGACUCCCCCGGUGUUAUUGCAAAUGCAAUUGGAAGAGUUCUCCCACCACCAUCUUGUGCCACUGCAACCAAUAGCCGAUGAGUAUACCUACCGAACAUGAAGGUACCGUCAAUUUGUACCAACGACUUGCAGUAUGGAAAUGCGUCUCGAUAUUGCUUAAAGGUCCAAAAUAGGCAUUUGAACACUUGGCAUCCACGUAGCAAUCGACCGUUGUAGUACGCAUGUUCCGUUUCAAGGUCUGUGAUGGCACCUGGGACGUAUCUCUCUAGCACCUGACACCACUGCCAUAUUUCAUUAUAUGAGGUGUCCCACCCACUAUGCAUCUUCUCAAACGCCUUUUUCUUAGCUAUCCAAGCCUUGCGGUAAGAGGGCGUGUACCCCAUUUGGCUACGGAUAUUGGCAAUUAUCACCGGCACUGAAGUCCUAGGAUCUACUUUUAUCGUAGGCAGUAUCAAGCUAGCUAACAUAGCUGAAUCCAUUUUGGGAUGAUCUUGUGAAACACCUACAGAGGGAGUACAUUAAAUAAUGCAACAUUGCAAAAUAAAAUUAUUAUUCAGAUACAUUCAAUCCUGUACCUGCAGUACAUGUGUGUGGACCUUUGUACUUUUUUAUCUUCCACAACCCUGUCCUUUUCCUUAACGAUGCGACGAUUUUCCAUGAACAUGUGCCGUCUUUGCAUCGCACACUUCGCCUCAAACUUAUCAGAUUUUGAUUUAACGACGUGGUACUUAAUGUCGUUUUUAAUGCUAUGCUGUUUUAAAGCACCAAUAAAACUAUCCUUGUUGGUAAACUGAUUACCAACUUCAAGUUCACCGAAAUCUACCCCCGAACUUGUACAAUCGCGCAACCGGUAUGGUAGAUCUAGAAACUCUAACGCAUCAUCUGCUGACAGAUCGACAUUAUGCAUGUGGGCUAGAGGUGAGUAUGCUCUGAAUCGUGGAUUUUCUUCAUCAUUUGAACUCCUUUCAGCAUCUUCACCUUCUGUUGGAAUAGGCUUCGGUUCAGAAAAUAAUCCCACUUCUGCACCAUCCAGCCCGGGCUCUCGAGGUGGAUCCACAUCGGAGUCAUCUUCUAACCCACAAUCAUCUGUAGCGUACGACAUCCCCUCACCGGUUGACGUCGUAGGUAGUACGUCAUCCUUUCUUCUGGGCAUUUGAUAACGUCCCCAAUUGGAUGUAGAUUGCCAUCUACUAGAACUUGAUGCAGUUCCCCAGUACGUAUUUUCAGCAUCAAACGUCGAGCCACCGACGUACAUGUCCCAUCCACUGACAGAGUGUAUUGCGGGGGAUGUGCAUUCGACACCACUAUCGAACAUGGGCUGUUUCGUAUUUUGUAACCCGCUAACCGAGUGUCGGCCAGGGGUUGUGUAUAAAUCUCGAACACCAGACGAAAGUACAUCAGUUAGCGACGUAAAUUGUACAUAUAACUCAAUAUAAUUUGCUCCACUAGCAAGAUGAGUCUGCACCAUUGCCUCCAAGCUACGAGUACCUUUUAUGUCGAACGAGUCAUAUGUCACCGGAUCAACACAAGAACAAAAUCGAUACGUGAUUGACAGAACUUUCAUUGGGGUCGUUUCGAAGAUUUUACGCCUAAUUCUUUUACGAAGUUCUGUCAAAUCUAUGUUCUGGUUAAAUGACAGUCGCAUCGUAUUCUCCGACAAAAAAACAACACCAUUCUCUGUGUGGCAAACCUCACCAUCAUAGUAAAUACCAGCACUAAUACGUUCACUCAUUUUGAAACUCUAACUUUCUUAGCCUCUCUAAAUUGUUUCUGCUAUGACUUAUGCAUUCUAAGAACAUUUUCUGCCUAAUUUAUAGCCUCAACCCAAACUUGUUACUGUAGCAAAAUCGCGUCCACGAGGGUGCGAUUUCACAAUUUCUUCUCAAAUAGCAUCCUGGUAGAAGCGAUUUUAUACUAUUUGCUCAGAAACGUCAAAAAAAAUUAUUUCUUACAUGACCUAUUGUAGCAAAAUCCCGUCCACGAGGGCCCGAUUUCAUAAUUUCUUCUUAAAUAGCAUCUUGGUACAAGCGAUUUUAUACUAUUUGCUCAGAAACGUCAAAAAAAAUUAUUUCUUACAUAACCUACUGUAGCAGAAUCGCGUCCACGAGGGCGCGAUUUCACAAUUUCUUUUCAAAUAGCAUCCUGGUAGAAGCGAUUUUAUACUAUUUGACCAGAAAGUCAACUCGAAAUAAUUUAUUCCGGGACUUAAAAACCCUAAAAAGCCUAAACCCUAAACCCUAAAAGCCAAAAAACCAAACGUGAAAAAAACGUCAAAAUCGCGUCCCCCGGAACGCGCUACGUGGCAUGACAUCGCGUCCACGUCAGCGCGACCUGCUGACGUGGAAGGAAAUUGCUCCCUCAAGGACGCGAUUUCCUUCCACGUAAGUAGGUCGCGCUGACAUGGACGCGAUGUCCUGACACGCCCCUUUGUUACGAUAGGGUCCAAUGACUGCAAUUCAUCUCGACACUUUUGAAGCAGAAAAUNNNNNNNNNNNNNNNNNNNNNNNNNNNNNNNNNNNNNNNNNNNNNNNNNNNNNNNNNNNNNNNNNNNNNNNNNNNNNNNNNNNNNNNNNNNNNNNNNNNNNNNNNNNNNNNNNNNNNNNNNNNNNNNNNNNNNNNNNNNNNNNNNNNNNNNNNNNNNNNNNNNNNNNNNNNNNNNNNNNNNNNNNNNNNNNNNNNNNNNNNNNNNNNNNNNNNNNNNNNNNNNNNNNNNNNNNNNNNNNNNNNNNNNNNNNNNNNNNNNNNNNNNNNNNNNNNNNNNNNNNNNNNNNNNNNNNNNNNNNNNNNNAUGGAUAUAUAUUUAGGUACGUAUAAUUAAUUAUUUUGGAUAUAUAGGACCAAAUUAUAAGAAAUGAAAUAAAAAUACAAACAAACCUAAAAUUUAUAAUUUUAUAUAAUUCUUAUAAAUAUUGCUUAAAAAUUUUAGAAUUAUAUAUAUAUUAUGAGAGAUCACCUCAUCAUCCUCAAGGAUUAGGGCUUCAUUUGGAUACAAAUGAUCUCCCGUUUCAGUGCAUUUAGAUCAUUUUUUGAAAUCAAUAGCACUAAUAUUGGUGUUUGGAUUUUACCCAUUGCCGCACUGGAGUCUUCUCAUCAUGUUGUAGUAUCAGUGGCGCCAAUGGAGGUUCUACAUGCAGUGAGAAUUUGCAACUCCAUUUGAAAGAUGGAAAGUACCUUUUCAUCCAUGCUUUUUACUUUUUCUUUUAUCCUUUUACAUCUAAUUUUUUAUUUAAGAAUUUCAAAUAAUAUUAUUAAUUUAAUAUAUACAUUCUUCAUAUUAAAUUUAAUAUGUAUUUUUUUAUAAUUAAAAAUCUUCAUAUCAAAUAAUAUUAUUAAUUUAAUAUAUACAAUCUUCAUAUUAAAUAUAUAAUUAAAAACCUAAUUUCUAGUAAUAAUGAAACUUGUUAUGUCUUAUGUUAUUAUAUUUUUUAAUUAAAAAUCAUCGGUUUAGAUACUUCAAAAUUUGAUCCAAGUAUAAUGUUACUAUUUGUGAAAAUAAUAUUUAUCAUUGUUAUAAAAAAUAUUGAACUAUAAAAAAUUAAAAAUAAUUAUCAUUUUAUCUAAUAAAUAAUUUAAAUUAAUUAUAUAAGUCAUUAAAAUAUUGGAAGAUACAUUUUAAUAUUUUAUUAAAUUAAUUUAUAAAUUCACAUAUUUUAAUAAUUUUAAAAAAGUAAAAUAAUUUAAAAACUUUUAUUAUAUAUCAAUUCUAAUCUGAUGUCCUUAAUAGUCAUUUUUUAUUCUUACCUCACCGCUAUAGCUGCGUUUGAAUCCAAACACACACUCCACCAUUGUUUCUAAUCUCACCGCUACAGUAACUAAUCUCACCGCCACCGCUGUUUUUAACCUCACCGGAGGAAAAACACCGCCCAUCCAAACUAAGCCUCAGUGGUUAAGCAUGAACUUGAUGGGAAGGUCACAAGUCGGUGGUGGUCAAAUCAUGAGUUGAUUAUGAGUAGUUUCAUGUUAUGGAAAAAGGAUGUUAGUUAAAAUUAGUUAGUUGAGCGCUGCAUUUUGAGGUUGAGAGUUUAAUAAAACGAAACGUUUUGAUGUUUAAUGAAAACGGUGCGUAUUGAAAGUUUGAUACAACUAGUCGAGUAACAAGCCUGUAACAAACUUUGUAACUACCAAUUCUGAAGCCUUAUAGGAACUGCCAACUUUUAAUUUUAUUUGUAAUCCUCGCUUUAAAAAAAUAUUCCAAAUAUGCUUCCUCACCUUAUCAUUUUUGUUUUUUUUCAAGUGCCCUUACCGUUUUAUAUUUUCAAUGGGAAAAUUUAAAAAUGGUCACCUAAUUAUUGCUUUCGUUCUAUUUUAAUCACUAAUUAUUAAUUUUUUUAUUUAGUUACUAAAUUUUUCGAAAUUAAAUAUUUUGAUCACUCUCGCAUUAGUUACCAUUAGAUGAGUGAUAGGAUGUUAAUGUGGGCUGUUUUUAUUGGUCUAAUAACAAAUUUAAUAAUCUAAUGUUUAUAUAUUCUAUUAAUUUGAUUUUAAAUAUAAAAUGUUUACAAAAUCUAUUGUUAUAGUUCGAAUCCUAAAAAUUUCAAUAUGUUAUCAAAAUUUGUAAAUUUAAUUUUAAUUCCAAAAAUUUUAGAAAAGGAAAGAUAUAUUUUAUGGUAUAUAAAAGAAAAUCUAGCUCCAUCCAACAUUUUAAAUUCUUUUCUUUUCUCUUCACAUUUUCAUGGCAACGAAAAAACCAACUCAUGGAUGAAUUAAGCAAAUUAAAUCAAAUCAAAUAAAUCGAACAAGGAAUUUAAUUAAAAAGAAAUUCUUCACAUGCAUCAAGGAGGGACUUCCUCGGGUGGAAUCAAGGGGAUUGAUAGAAACAGCUCAGGCUCGAACAAGAACUUCAAUAGGCUUAAGAUCAGGAACAGACACAUCGGAUCAAAGCUGCAACACCUCAGGUCCACCGAACCGAGGCAGCAACACCGCCCUGCAACUGUUCACAUAGCACAAUGAUAUGAUAACUCCAUAAAGGGUUUGGGUUUUAAGCUUUGAAGUUCCCUUUUUUUCUACUCAAAUUUCCUGAAUUUCAGCUCCUUCCUUUUGUUAAAUGAAGGAAAAGCAAAGGAGAGACACGGAAGUGUGUUAAUCCACAUAGAAAAAAGUGAUUAUGUGACUUGUGAGUGGGGGCCUAGGAGGCGUGGAGGAAGAAGAAGAUGAACAUUGCAUAAUCAAUUUUUAAUUGCUUAUUACAUUCAUAAUUAAAUAAAUAAAAAUUUCUAACCUUAUCUAUUAAAUCAAGUUAGAAUGUUCAACUUGAUUUUUGUUCGUCAUAAGUAUCAUAUAUUAUAAAACUUAAUUAUAUUUUAAUAAUUAUAUAAUAUUGAUUGAGUUAUUAUUUUUAAUUAUAACAUUUGAUACCAGAUUGAGGGCUAAAUUUAGAACUAGAACUAAAUUGACAAAUUUCGGAAAUUUUGAGCUUAAAUUUAUUUUUAUUUUUAAGAAUUUGAACUAAAUUGAGAAAUUUUGUAAAUAUGGAGGAUUAAAUUCUUUAGAAAUUUUAUAUUUAGAAUCAAAUUGACAGAAUGUCUAAACAUAAGGGUCUAAAUUUGUUAUUAGACCAAUAAAAACAAGUUCAUAUCAUUUUCUUGUCACUCAUCUAAUUGCAACUAAUGUGGAAAUAAUCAAAAUAUUUAAUUUCUAAAAAUUUAAUGACUAAAUAAAAAAAUUAAUAUUUAAGUGAUCAAAAUAGAAUGAAAUCAAUAAUUUGAUGACCGUUUUUGUGCUGUACCCUAUCUUAAUCCAUCUCACAACCAAAUUUCUCCAUCUUUGCCUAAUUUCUCUGUUUUUCAAAUUUUAAUAGAAUUAACAUAUUUAUUUAAAAAAUAUAUUUAAUCGUUUAAUAUAUUUUUAAUAAGUAAAUGUUAGUUCCAUUAAGGGUCAAUUUAUUUACAUGUAAAAAGUUAAAAAUAAAAAUAUUGAGUUAUAUAUAAAUAACAAAUGAAAUAUUAUAUAUAAUUUAUAUAUACAAAAUUCUUUUAAUUAAAUAUGAAAUUAUAUAUAUAAAUAACAAAUGAAAUUAUAUACAAAUUUAUAAGUGAAAAAUAUACAUAAUUAUAUUCAUAAAAAAAUACAAACAAGGUUAUAAAGUAGUUCAUAGGAAUAUAGCUUUCUUGUUUGUAUUCUCAUUCGAUUAUGAAUAUACCUUUCUUGUUAGUUUUCUCAUUCUAUUUUGAACAUACCUUUCUUGCUUGUUUUCUCAUUCUAUUGAUGAUUAAUGCUGCUUUCUAAUUUUUUAUAAAUUUAAUAGAACUAUUACUACUAAAAGUAUAAAAGGGCAAUGAUUUGCAAUUGUUUUUAUAAUUAAGUACUGCUUCUUGCGGCACUCACAUCUUGAAAUCCAAAUUCAAGAUUUUAAAGAAAUUUCUGAGCUCGAUCACUAUCAUGGCUUUGUCUGCUGUGACAUCUGCAGUGACAACAAUUGGCAACCUGCUAACUGAGGAAGCCAUAUACCUAUGGGGCGUGGAGGAGCAAGUUGAUCGUCUGCAAACAGAGCUCAAAUGGAUGCAAAGAUACUUAAUGGACGCAGAGACAAAACAAUCAAUGGAUGAGAUGAUUCGUCUUUGGGUUGCUGAAAUCAGAGAGCUUGCUUAUGAUGCCGAGGAUGUUGUCGAGGAAUUUGCUCUCAAGAUUGGAUCCAAAAACAAAGGAGGUCCUGCGAGUUGUAUUAAAAGAUCAGCCUGCUGUUUGAAAGAGGGAUGGGCACUCCACAAAACCAGGUCAAAAAUCGAGAAAAUCAAAGAAAGAAUCAACGACUUGGUCCGAAAACUACAGGCCUACGGAGUAAAGGACAGAGGAGAAGAAUCAAGUUCUUCAACUGAAAGACGAGAAUCAAGGCGGCCUUAUCCACAUAUUAUGGAUGAUAAUAUUGUUGGACUAGUUGAUGAUACCGAGGGAUUGGUCAAAGUUCUUACGGAGGAAAGUGGAUGCAAGGUUGUUACAAUAUGGGGCAUGGGUGGUCUGGGAAAGACCACUCUCGCCAAGAAAAUAUAUCACCAUCGUCAGGUUAUUGAUUAUUUCGAUCACUUGGCUUUUGUAUAUGUUUCUCAACCAUGCCAGAAAAGAAAUGUUUGGGAAGACAUUCUAUCUGGUUUCAAAACUUUAGAUAAAGUGGACAGGAAGAUAAGAGAUGAAGCAUUAGCAGAGAAGUUGUAUAACAUUUUGGGGGUUAAAAAGUGUCUGGUGAUACUUGAUGAUAUUUGGACCACUGAAGCUUGGGAUAGUCUAAAACCUGCCUUUCCAGUUGCAACGGGCCGUCAUAGCAAUAGCAAGAUAUUGCUCACCUCUAGAAACAGGGGGAUAGUUUCAGAUGCUGACAUAAGAGGUAAAAUUUUCUUAAUUAGGUAGAAUUGAAUACUCUUAUUCCUUUUAUGGAAAAUAGCUACAUAUAUUAUUUCAGAGUUGAAGUGCCUAAACGAUGAAGAAAUUUGGGAAUUGUUUCAAAAGAUUGUAUUUCCUCAAACAGGUAAAUAUACAUAUAGCAAAAUUCUUGUUAUACGCUAAAUUUAUUUUUCAUUUUUAAAUUUUUUUGACAAUAAUCUUAAAAAAUAUGUUAGGAUCAUCUUAAAAAAUAUAGUUUUUAGGCAUCAACAAAAUAGUGUCACGUCGUUAAAUUUUUAAGAUAACAAAGAAUUAUUAUACACUCAUUUAUAUUUAAUAUUUUCUCCAACUUAUUUUAACUUUAAUUAAAUUAUUUAAAAUAAUUAAUUUUUUAAAUUAUAAACAAACAUCUUUUCUUCUUUUCCAAAUUUUAAUCAUGUUUUUUUUCAUAAGUUAAUAUUUUUAUUUUUGUGCAACCAAUUUUUAAAAAAUAGUAAUUUUUGUGCAAUAUUUUUCAUGCCAUUGACACAUAAUUUUGAUAAUUGUUUUAUCCUGAACCCAAAACCCCGAACCCCGAACCUUGAACUCGAACCCUGAACUUAAACUUUGAACCCCGAAUCUCGCAGUUUAAGGUUUGGAUUCGAGAUUUCAAGUUCAAAAUUUGAGGUUCAAGUUUAAAGUUUAAGUGUUCAGGGUUAUGGGUUACGAGUUUAGGAUUCAUGAUUCAAGGGUUUGAGGUUACGAUUUUAGGGUUUUAUGUUUUGGAUCUAGGGUCUAGGAUUCUAGAUUCAGGGUUCAGGGUAAAAAAAUUAUGUGUCAAUGACAUGGAAAAAAUUGUUGAAAUGUCAUUAAAUAAACGGAAAGGGACCAUGAAUAAUGUGGUCAGAAGAGUCCAUAAAACAAUUUCUCUAUGGAUGAGUGUAUAAUAAUUCAUGUCUUUAAAAUUUGAUGAUUUGACAAAAAAAAUUAAUUUUUAGGAUCAUCCUAAUGUAAGUUAUUACCUUAUCUUAAUUAUUGGACUAUAUGCUUGUUUAGUUUCUUAAGCACUUUCAUGGUAUUCUUUUAUAUGUUUAUCCUGGAUCCUUGCAUCAGAAAGAUGGAGGCGCAGGUAAACCAUUCUUAUCAAGAGUAAAGCCCAAGAAAGAUGUAGUUGAUUCGAACAACCAGCACAUCUCUUUACCACCCUAUUUAGCAAACCAAUCCGCUAACCUAUUGGCUUCUUGUCUGAUAACAUUGACUUUCAAAGAAGAAAGUUGCAUGACCAGCUUAUCAAAAACCUGAAGGACUAUCCUUAAUCUCCAUCUUCGAUCUUGACUCUUCUUCUUAAUAUUCGAAGCAAUAGUCUGGGAGGCAGUCUUGAUUGUCACAUUGGUCCAUUUGUUCUUCAUAGCUAAUUCAAUCCAUCCAACCAUAGCUUUAGCCUCGACAACCUCACAUGAAUCACAUGAAUUAUAUAUUUAUUUGAAUCUCCUCUAAAAUUAAUUAGAGUGAAGUUUCUUAUUUAGUAUUGACUGUUCAAUAAAGUAUUCAAAGUUUUGGAAGUUUUCAAAUAGAUUUAUUUUUUUUAAGUGUUGUUAAUAACAGUAAUAAAAACUAAAUUUUAUAAGUGAUGAAUUUAUAUUAAAUAUUACUUAAUAAAUUAAUAAAAUUUAAGUUUGAGUUCAUCUAUUUUUACAUUUCUUUAACCUACUUAAAUUAAUUCCUAAUUUUUCUUAUUUUUUUAAAAUUUAUUCCUAAUUUUUUAUACAGGAAAUAAAAUCGGUGAGGAAUUAAAAGAGUUGGGAGAGAACAUGGUUAAACAUUGUGCAGGGCUGCCAUUAGCCAUUGUUGUAUUGGGAGGAAUUUUGGCUACAAAGAAUAAUUCAUUAAACGAAUGGCGAAAGAUAUCUGACAAUGUAAAAUCAUACUUGAAGAGAGGCAAAAAUCAAGGACCAGAGGAUGUGUUAGCAUUAAGUUAUGAUGAUUUGCCUCCCUAUCUAAGACCAUGUUUCCUCUAUCUAAGCCAUUUUCCGGAGGAUUAUAUGAUAGAUGUGGAUAGAUUGAUUCAAUUAUGGGUUGCUGAAGGUAUUGUGUCAUCAAAGCAAGAAAAAAGAGAUGGUGGGGAAAUUGCGGAAGAUGUGGCGGAAUCUUAUUUAAUGGAGCUUGUGGAAAGGUGCUUGAUUCAAGUACAAGAAAGAGAUGUGGCAACCUUAAAGGUAAAAACGAUUCAGAUGCAUGAUCUGAUGAGAGAUCUUUGCUUAUCAAAGGCAAAACAAGAAAAUUUUGUCUUCAUUGUUGAUCGAUCGAAUGCAUCUUCAUUAUCUAUGAUUCGGAAGGUUGGUAGGGUUUCUGUGCAUGAGUUUUUUUUCAUAAAAUGCAUUAAAAGUCCAAAUAUUCGAUCACUUUUGUUCUUCAAUGAGUUCUUUCCGGAUGAGGCAGUAGAAAAAUCUUGGCCCUUGGAAGUGUUGAAUUACGUUGAAGAACAUGAAGAUUAUGAUUGUAAUCCACUGUAUUGGAUUCUUUUCAUUUCGGGAAUUAGUACGAUGGCACUUAAAAUUCGAGGAAUUUGGAGAUACAUGUUCAACAACUUCAAAUUGCUAAGAGCCCUAAACUAUGAAAGAACAGGAGGUGAUCCUUCUGUAGGGUUUAAGUUACCCAGUAAUAUAGGUAAUCUCGUCCAUUUAAGAUUCUUGAGUCUAAGGAAUCUUAACUUCCAUUGGUCAAAGUUGCCAUCAUCUCUAGGCAACUUAAGGUGCUUGCAAACCUUGGAUUUAAGAGUUGAUAAUGUCAAAAUUCAUGUACCUAAUGUGAUAUGGAGGAUGGAGCAACUAAGACAUUUAUAUCUCCCUUUGAGAUGUAAAAGCAAUACUAAGUUGAAGUUGGGCACUUUGAGAAAACUCCUAACACUUGUGAACUUCAACACCAAGAAUUGUUAUCUGAAGGAUCUUAUCAACAUGAAAAAUCUUAGAGAGUUGGGGAUAAAUUUUCCCUUCAAUAUUGAAAAUUUCAAUGAGAAGGACUUGGGCGAGAAUCCACCCAUAAUCGGAAGUAAAUAUCUUCAUUCCUUGUUUAUUGUUUCCAUUGGGGAAUCCGGCACAGAAAUAGAUCCAAGACAUUUGGCCCACCUCCUUUCAAAUUGUACUAGUAUUUGCAACUUAAGUAUAGCAGUAAGGAUAAGUGAGUUACCAGAGUAUCACUACUUCUCUUCACAUCUCGCUUACAUACGGUUGAGUUGGUUCAAGUUUAGGAAAGAUCCAAUGCCAACACUAGAGAAGCUGCCUAACUUAAGGAUUCUUGAAUUCGAAAGUUCUUUCAAAGGAAAGGAAAUGUUUUGCUCAGGGUUUUCCUAAACUUGAGUCUCUAAUCCUUGGGGGGCUCGAAAAUUUGGAGGAGUGGAAGAUGGAUGAAGGAGCCAUGCCUUCUCUUCAGCGAUUGGAGAUCACGUAUUGCAGAAGAUUGAAGAUGCUUCCAGAGGGAUUGAGGUUCAUUACAACCCUCAAAGAACUGAAGAUUGAAUUAAUGCCAAAGGCAUUCAAAGAUAGAUUGGAGGAAGGAGGAGAAGAUUUCUACAAAGUCAAACAUGUUCCUUCUAUCAUAUUCCAACAAAUCUACAUUUAAAACUCCUAUUAUAAGUGGCGUGUGAAAGGGUGUUAUAUGGUGAGAUUUGGGAUUAUCUUCUCUCUUGUAUAUAUCUAUGGUUGUUGACAUCAGACUGGUUGAUUGUUUGUUGUUUUCUUCAAAUUACAAUAAAACGGUUGCAAGAUAAGGUAUGGGAAGAAUGGGAGGUGUCUGGAUUAGCAAGGUACCAAACCCCUCCUCCAUUUCUAUUUCCUUCAAUCUAAUUUAAUUACACAUUUAUUUUUGUCUUUUAAAACAUAAAAAUUGCAGAUAAGGAGACGUCACUGACCUUUGUUCCCACAUAGCUUUGGUUUGCGGUCACCAUUCCUAUAUUUAUUUGUUAGCUUUGCUUUCCCCUUUUUAUUUUUUCUUUUUUUAUAUGUACUUAAUGUAAUAUUAGAAGCCAAGGCAGGACCAUGCUUUUCUAGUUCUAUUGUAAAAUUCAUCACUUCGUUAUCAAUGUUCAUUUCUACUAUUCAGUUUACUUAAAUAUAAUUGUUUGAUAUAUAUAUAUAUUUGAAUAUGGAUACACGAGAAUAUAAUCUUUUUAAUAUAUACAUAUUUUAGAAAAAAAUUGAAUAUACGAAUGUUGGACACAUUUCCUGUUUCAACAUAUUUCCUUAUUUUAUGCAAGUCGAUUGGUAUUCAACAUAAUCUUUUCUGUCAACCCUAACUCAAUAAUCUUUGUUAAGAUAUCAUAUCAGGUUCAAUGGUUGCACUUCAUCCCACACUUCCAAAGCAAAAAAUAGGAAAAAUUAAAUCUUACCAACUAAUAACACUUCCAAAUUACAUUGUCUUACAAAAAGAAGAAGAUACAAUUUGAAUUUUUUUAUCAACAUUUGAUGGUUUAGCAAGCUAUAUGCUUUAUAAAAGGCAAAGGAAUCUAAGGGAAUCAAAGAUUCCAAAAUCGAUAUUUAGAUUCAAGAUUUUGUAUCCUCAAGCUUUGCUUCUAAUAUCUACCAACAAUAUCUUGAUGAUAAUAAACUAAAAAUACAAUACAAAAUCACAGCCACAUUUGUUAGUGACUAUUUUGGGUGAUCAAAGGAAAAAAAUGUUAGCUGUUCAGCAAACAAGGUGUACAAAUUAGAUAUUCCAAUUACGUUCAAGCACUUGACAAAUCCUUUCUGCAAUGGCUUCAGAAGGCAUCCUAGGACCUUCAUCAUCUGCAAAAACCGACCAUUUCUAGCAACUAAGCUAACAUCACACAUGAUAUUAUAUGUAUAUAACAUAUAUAGAAGAUGAUUAUGUGGAUUAAAAGCUAUGUCAGUUUGACUAAAUGCAUGACCACAGGACGUGCACGAUUCUUCAAUAACGAUAUGAAAAUACUUGGAAGAAAAACUGAAUACAUCAAUUUAUAACAUUUACAUCUGAGUUCGAGUAAAGUAAAACAUAUCAUUCUAUCUAAACAUGCAAAAUAUCCAAAACUCUUGAUGAAUGUUAGAUACAAAUAUGUAGAAUGUACCCAAAAUACCCAUCUCGAACUCAGUAGAGAAAUAUCUAGCAUUCAAAAGGCACUAGCUUCAACCAAGAACAAGGAAGUUUCUUCAAAGGCUUGAUAUAAUUUCUUCACAACCAUAUAUAUGUGUGCAUAUACCCAUAUUAAGGAUGAUUGUUUUGGCAAAGAGGAUGAGAAGAUAGAAAGAAAACCUUUAAUCCAAUGACAAUAUUUGAUUAUAACAUGACACAUAUAAUUGUGAUUAAAAUUGCGGUCACAAACAUGUUUGCAAUCACAUCAUGUUAACGAAUACUAUCGCAAUCAAUUGCAAUAAAUAUCCACAACAACAAGAGCCAGAAUCCUAAAAAAACAAAGAUAAUACAUUACAGCUUUUAAGGAAUUUUCAAUAACGUAUAUACCUGCAAGAUUUUCAGUGAUGACACAACAAAGUUCACCAUCAGACAACUUCCCGAUCUAAUGAAAUUUUCAAACAUAUCAUGUCAUAAGUUUCAAGAUCAACUGAAACAUGCGGAUACCCAGUAUGAUAAGAAAUUAAAUUAAGAGAAAUUAAAUUAAGGAUUUUCUACAUCAAACCUACCAUGAAAACAUAAUUUUUAUUAGGAUCAAAGGCAUAGCCCAUCAUGGCAGCAUUAUUGAGUCCAUUUUCAGAGGAAAAUCCUGAAACAUGUUACAGGCAAAUAUUAAGAAAAACAAUGCACAAGCAUAAGUACAAAAACAUAGCAUGCAAGAAAUCAAUACUUGAAAGGAUUAAUAUCACUGCUAACCUAAGACAUUAAAUCUACCACCACUAGGAAACAUCCGAAAUGAUCCUUGUCUUUCAAUGUUGAGAUACAUAGGUCCAAGUCUGCCGUAUUGCGCCAAACUGGAAUUCAUCAACCUCUUAAAGAACCUAAAGGAUGAAAAGUUCCAGUCCAAGUUAUAUAUAUACAGACACACACAGACAGACAUGAAGAAAGUGGGUUAAUGGUGUAUUAUUUAAGUAAAGAAGAAGUUGAAAUCUUGAACCUCUAAAUAUUGGGUAACAGCUAGUGUUAAAAGUGCAUAAAGUUCUGCUAGUAUCUACAACAAACAAUGGAGGAAUCACAUACGUUGUUUAUAUUCACUUUUCUUGCUACACAAGCAAGCUGACUCCAUAAACAAAGGCAUACUUUUUUCUCUGUUUUUAAAUGGUUUUCUUGUUUUUUGCCUGCUUUUUAUAUUAAGAGAGAGAGAUUGUGAGAUCUUGUCAUCCUCAAGGAGAAAGUGGUCAAGCAUGAAGGUGAUGGGAAGACCACGAGUCAAUGGUGGUUGAUCCAUGAGUUGAUUAUGAGUAGUUUCAUGUUAUGAAAUAAAAAUGUUAGGUAAAGUUAGUUGAACACUGUGUUUUAGGGCUGAGGGUUUAAUGAAACUAUAGGUUUUGAUGUUGAAUGAAAACGGUGCGUAUUGACGGUUUGUUACAACUGCUUGAGGAACAGCCCUAUAGCAGACUUUGUAACUGCCAAUUCUCAGCCAUAAUAGAAACUGGCAUGGGAAAUGAGCAGAUAUGCCAUUUUGUGAAGGAAAUCAAUUCUUUCUUCUUCCUCGAUUCUCUUUCUCCUCUCUCUUUUUCUUUCUUCCUCUAUUCUGUUGAAAUUAUGCAUCACUUCACCAGCAUUCAUCAUUGUGGACGUAUCUGAUCUUCAGUCUCUGGUUUACUGCCCAUGUAAAGUUAUGGAAAGGAAUGCAAAUUUAAAAGGUUUUCUUGCUAUAGUCUAUGCAAUUUCAUGUGUGCGUGAAAGGAGAUGAAGAUUAAUAGAGUAAUACUGAUAUACCAACAAUUCAUUAAUUGAAGUACUAUAAUAUUAUCAACAAGUAACAGAAUUAAGUGAGUAUACUAAUAUAGUCUAGAAAAACAAUUUAAUUAAUAAUAUCAUAGGGAUGGCAACAGGGUGAAGUUGCUAUUGCUAUUUAUAUCUCUGCUGCUAGCUUUUGACGACUUCAAGUAAACCGCAAUCACAAGUGUUGUUCUUAUUACCUGCAAAAACAGAGCCAACAAUCUGAAUCCAUAUCCCCAUUUUAGGAACAAAUGCAUGGUGUACCAUUUGUUUCGAAGCCAAAUCAGUUUUCUUAAUUUUUCUUGAAGUAAAACCGUAUCUGACACUUAUAUUCAACACAUAUUCAUGUAUUGGUAUGAAGAUAUGAUAUUCUUAUCCUAUACUCAUACCCGUGCUCAAGUAACAUAAGCUGAACCCGCAAGAUAACUGAUUUAACAUCGCAUUGCUGCUAGCUAUUGAUGAUUUCACCAAGUAAACUGCAAUCACAAGUGUUGUUCUCAUUCCUUGCAAAAACACAGUCAACAAUCUGAAUCCACAUUCCCAUUUUUGGAACAAAACCAUGGCGUACCAUUUGUUUCAAAGCCCAAUCAACUUCCUUUACCAUCUUCCCCUUACAAAAACCAUGAAUCAACUUCUUGUAUGAAUCAAAACUAGGAUUAACCCUCUCAAAAACCAUUCUCCCCAUAAUCUCCUUUGCUUCCAUAAACCUCGCAGCAUCAAGCAAACCAUACAACACCUCUUGAUAAGACCCUGCAUUGGGAUAACACCCUUCCUUUUUCAUAAUUUCUAACAGCUUCACACCUUCAUCAAUCCUACCGUGUUUCCUAAGACCUGAAAUCAAGAUAUUAAAGCUAACAGCAUCAGCAUCGAUUCCUUCCGUUUCCAUCCUCCCCAUCAACUCAAAAGCUUCAUCAACCUUCCCUUUAUCGCACAACCCGUGCAUUAAAGUAGAAUAAGUUCUAACAUUAGGCUUACACCUUUGUUUAGGAAACUCAUCGAGCAGUUGGAAUGCAAACUCUAAUUUCCCAUUUUCACACAACCCUUUAAUGAGAAUAUUCAGAGUACAAGCUUCGAUUUCAACACCCAAAUUGGGAGCUUUCCCAUAAACCUCGUGAACAACAUCAAAUAGUUUGUUCGAUACGAGUAAGCUCAAUACGAUAUUGAAGGUUUUAACACUAGGCCAAGUCCCAUAUUCUGGCAUGCUAAAAAGGAUCUCGAUUGCCCUUUUGAUUCGACAUCCGAUAUGCCCAUACUUUUUAAUCACAUUGUGGAAGAAUUCAUCGGAUAAACGACAGGCUUUUUCACGUUUGAGCUUUUCCAUUAUAUUUUCAAUGGAAUCAAAAUGCUGGGCAUAUGCGAGCUUGUUGAUGAGCAAAGUGAAGAGAGGUUCAGUUGGUUUAUAAUCCUUGCGAGCUGAGUAUUGGGCUAGGACUGAAAUGAGGGAGUUUGGAUCUUUAAGAUUGUCAAAGAUUUUGAGGAUUUCGGUCGGGGAGAGCAAGUCUUUGUGGGUUAGUCUGAAAAGGGCAGGCGAAGUGGGGUGGGUUGGUUGAUGGUAGCUGGAAAAUGAGGAGAAAAACGAAAGGGGUUUAAGAGAUGAGAUUUUAGUGGUGAUUGGAUGGUGAAAAAAUGAGGGAAAAUUUUGGGGGUAAGAGCUUUUGACAGAAGAAAGAAGGGAACGUGAAAUCAUGCGUUUGGCCAUUGGAGAAUGUAGAAACUGGAGAGCUAAAAGCUAUCUGCUAUCUGCUAUUUGCACUAUAAACGUAUAUAGGGUAAGGGAAAGGCUUAAUACUUGUUUUGUCCCCUGUAAUAUAGUAAAAAUCUCAUUUUGACCCUUUUCCUUGACUUUGUCUGUUUACUUUCAAUUCGUCCAUCAUGUUAGUUUAUUGAUCAAUUCCGCAAAUCCCAUGUGUUAGGGUUCCUAUAUUAUAGUAUUCAUCCAUGUACUUUAACCCUCCACGUUGUCGCAAUCAAUUGGCUUAAAUGAUCACACACAAGGAUCACUAUAGUAUAAGGACCAAAGUGAGAAUUUUAUUAUUAAUUAAGUGAUGAACACGUAAACAUGCACUAAUUUUUUAUGUAGAAAUGGUCAAUGGAUUAAAGUGACAGAUGAAAUGAAAGUAAAGGGUGCAAAGCGAUUGUAUGAUGCAAAACUUAAAUAAUUUAUCUACUGAAAUUUUGAGGUGUAUUAUUUUGAAGUAACGAAUCAUUGUUAUUUACAACUAUAUAUUACAUCUCUUUGAAAUGUACAAAUAAACUAAUGGGCAGAAUGUUUAUGAAUGUCAAAACUUUAUUUUUGCUUCUUCUUCCCUUCAAGAAUUGGUUGGAUUUGGAGAUGCCUAUUGAAAGCCUGGUUGAAAAGGAAUCGAGUUUGGAAUGCCGAAAUGAUCGGAAGCCAUGCCAAUAUAGCAAUCGGAGAGAAAAGGAUCGAUCCCAUUCCGUAAUCAUAUGCCUUAGCUAGUACCUCAGUGAACUGCCAGAGUCGGGUGUUCUCAAUAAUUGGCCUCACAGCUUGAGCAACCUGAAGGGAACUAAAAUGUCAGAGGGAAUAAGGCAAAAGAUGUAAACUCUAGACAAAAACUAUAUGCCGAUCCUCUAAAUAUAUGAACAAAUUUAAAAAAAAAAAAUUGGAUAACUUAAGGAUUCUUGAAUUCUAUAGUUCUUUCAAAGGAAAGGAAAUGUUUUGCUCUGCUCAGGGUUUUCCUAAACUUGAGUCUCUAAUCCUUGCGGAGCACUUCGAAUUGGAGGAGUGGAAGGUGGAUAAAGGAGCCAUGCCUUCUCUUCAGCGAUUGGAGAUCAAGGAUUGCCCAGAAUUGAAGAUGCUUCCAGACGGAUUGAGGUUCAUUACAACCCUCAAAGAACUGAAGCUUGAAUUAAUGCCAAAGGCAUUCAAAGAUAGAUUGGAGGAAGGAGGAGAAGAUUUCUACAAAGUCAAACAUGUUCCUUCUAUCAUAUUCCAAAAAUGUGGCUAAUAGAUUGAAUGAUAAUUGAGAGGUAAUUUCAUAACCUCUAGUUUAUGAAAUGAUUCCUACUUUCUUUGCUUCUUAUAUAUCUUUCGUUUUUGACAAUGUCUCACCUUCUCACUGACUUUGUCAACACACCAAUGAAUAAUUACAUUUAUUAAAAGUCAAAGGAAGUCAGACAUUGAUAUUUUUUUAGUUUUUCUUUUCAGGUAAAGACGCCAUUUUUUCAGCUGCUACUGCUAUUCACGGGAUCAAAUCUAGAUUUAAAACUCCAAUUAUAAGUGGCGUGUGAAAGUGUGUUAUAUGGUGAGAUUUGGGAUUAUCUUAUCUAUUGUAUAUAUCUAUGGUUGUUGACAUCAGACUGGUUGACUGUUUGUUGUUUUCUUCAAAUUAUAAUAAAACGGUUGCAAGAUAAGGUAUUGGAAGAAUGGGAGGUGUCUGGAUUAGCAAGGUACCAAACCCCUCCUCCAUUUCUAUUUCCUUCAAUCUAAUUUAAUUACACAUUCAUUAUUGUCUUUUAAAACAUAAAGUUGCAGAUAAGGAGACGUCACUGACCUUUUGUUCCGACAUAGCUUUGGUUUUUGGUGACCAUUCCUAUAUUUAUUUGUUAGCUUUGCUUUCUCUUUCUUUUGUUUUUCCCUACGUAAGUCUGCUUGAUUCUUUUUCAUUUUAUGUACUUAAUGUGAUAUUAGAAGCCAAGGCAGGACCAUGCUUUUCUAUUGUAAAAUUAAUAACUUCGUUAUUUUAUAUAUGUUUGUUGGACACAUUUCCCGUUUCAACAUAUUUCCUUAUUUUAUGCAAGUCAAUUGGUAUUCAACAUAAUCUUUUCUGUCAUCCUUAAAUCAAUAAUUUUUGUUACGAUAUCAUAUCAGGUCAUCCCUACACUUCCAAAUUACAUUGUCUUACAAAAAAAAGAUACAAUUUGAAUUUUUUUUAUCAAAUGGUUUAGCAAGCUAUGCUUUAUAAAAGGCAAAGGAAUCCAAGGGAAUCAAAGAUUCCAAAAUCGAUAUUUAGAUUCAAGAUUUUGUAUCCCCAUGCUUUGCUUCUUAUAUCUACCAACAAUAUCUUGAUGAUAAUAAACUAAAAAAUAUAUAUAUUCAAGGGAAUCACGAUUGAAAAUUUCACAUCCACUUAAAUAAUUCAAAUGAUAUUUAUUCAAUAAGUUUAAAUUAAAAACGGUAAGAAUCCUCAUUUAUCUUUUAUUCGAAAUGUAAUUGGGAUUCAAUGAAAAUAUUGAACACAUAAUGUGUGCACAUGGAAAUGUCCAAAUCUUUAAAUAUAGGGUCGACAUGGGAGAAAUCUCCUAAUACCCAACGUUAAAGAUUUAUAAAAUUCAAUAUGAUCCUAUUAUUUUUGUUAUAAAACUCAAUAUCUUUUUCGGAUUAAGAUACGAGCGAAAAACAACUAACUAUUUGUAGUUCAAGGUGUCACUACACCAAAAGAGGGAUUUAGCGGCAUUUUUUGUGGCGUUUGUAGAUAAAACACCGCUACAAAUCAGGCAUUCGCGGUGCUAACCCUAAAACGCCAGUAAAGAUCCAGCAAUAGCGACGCUUCUAGGAAAAUGACGUAAAUAGUCAGACCCAUAGUGGCGUUUUAUAUAACAACGCCGCAAAAGAGCAUCAUUAGUGGCGUUUUUAAACAAAAACGUUGUAAUAAAUUUGACAAAACACAUCGUUUAAUAUUCAGGAAUAGUGGCAGUAGCGGCGCAUUAUAAAAACGCCAUUAUAGAGCACAAUUAGCGGCGUUUGUUUGUAAGCGCCGCAAAAAAUGUUAAACAAAACACAGCGUACAAUAUUGAGGUAUAGUAGAAUAGGUGGCGCUUCUAUAAAAACGCCGCUGAAGCACAUCAUUAGCGGCGCUAGUACAAAAGCGCCGCAAAAUAUCUGGACCAAAACGCAGCAUUUGGUGAAAUGGCAUAGAGCCAAUAGGGGCGAUUCAGGAAAACGCCGCUAUAGCCCAAUAAUAGCGGCGCGUAACCGAAAAACGCCGGAACUUGUGAAACCGAAACGCAACGUUUCGUCUUGAGCUAUAGCGCCUUUAGUGGCGCUUAGCCGAAAACGCCGCUAUAUAUCAGCUUUUAGUGGCGUAUUCUUGAAUCGCCGCAAAGGUUUUGUACAAAAUGUAUCGUUCGGGUUUGACGUAUAAAGGCAUUAGUGGCGCUUACCUAAAAACGCCGCUAUAUAUGUUAAAUAGCAGCGUUUAACUAAAAAAGCCGAAAAUUUUUAAACCGAAACGCAACGUUUCGUCUUGAGCUAUAGCGCCUUUAGUGGCGCUUACCCAUAAACGCCGCUGGAUAUCAGCUUUUAGUGGCGCUUUUGCUUAAGCGCCGCAAAAAAUUUUGACCAAAACGCAUCGUUUCGACUACACGUAUAGAUUCAUUAGCGGCUCUUAUUUGGAAACGCCGCUAUAGAGUAACUUUUACUGGAGCUUUAGAUUAAAACGCCGCAAGAAAUUUAAUUUAUUUUUCCAUUAUUUUAGGAUUUAUUUUUCCAUUAUUUUUGCUAUAGAGUUUUAGGGUUUAUGGUAUAUAUACUAUUUUUUAUUUUGGGCUAGGGAUUGAAGGUUUGAUGUUCAAGGUUUAAAGAUAUAUAUACUACUAUUUGAAAACUAAUUAAAGAAUAACAUUUUAAUUUUACUGGGAUCCAUGCCACGUUGUAGCACACCUAUAUUAAAUAAUUAAAUAAUAUAAAAUAUAUGUUCUGUACUAAACUAACACAUUGGCCACCCGAAUUUCCAAAGAUAUGGUUUAUGACUUACGGUUUAGACUUUAGGGGUUUGGCCAACUUUAAGGUUUAGAAUUUAUGAUUUGGUGGUUGUUGUUUGUGGUUUACGGGUUUAAUGUUUAUGGUUAAUUUAGGGUUUAAGAUCUACGGUUAAUGUUUACGAUAUAUUGUGGAUUGGAUUUUGUGGUUUGGUGGUUUGGUGUUUUAUGGUUAAUUGACGGGUUUAGGGUUUAAGUUUGAUGUUUUGAGAUUUAGGGUUUAAGGUUAAGGGUUUAUAGUUUAGGGUUUAGGAUUUAUGAUUAAUUAAGGCUUACAGUAUAGUGGUUUAUAGUUUAGGGUUUGAUGGUUACGGAUAAAUAAUAUGGUUGACAAUUUUAAGGUUUCAACUUUAAUUUAGGGAUUGGGGCUUUUGUGUUUAAUCUUGGAUAUUCUAGAUUAAUAUAAAUGAAAAUAAUAUAAAUAUAAAUUAAUAUUUUAAAAAAUAUAUCAAAAUGGGUUAAAUCCCAAAAGCAGACACGAACAAUGUUUUAUUGUUCAACUAUUUUAUACAUUAACUUUUAUCGUGUGUGAUCCAGAUAAUCUUGUAAAAUAGUAACAUAAUUAUUGAUAUAAUUAAAAUAAAUUUUUAUUUAUAUUGCAUACAUAAAUAUUUAUAUUUAUUCAAUAUAAAAAUAUACUGAUGUAUUUUCUUUUUAAAAUGUGUAAUUAUUAGUUAAAAAUUUCUCUCUAAUUUAAAAGAAAUUAUUAAAAUAUCGGUUAAUUUUAUUGAAAUGUUAGCAAAACAUCACCGUUUUGUGCUUUGCAUUUAGUGGCGCUUUUUGUAAACGCCGCAAUAGUGUAUUAUGAGUUAAGAAACUGCGUCGUUUGGCAUUGUCUUUAGUGGCGCUUUCCCUAAAACGCGGCAAAUAGUUUAAGUUUUAUAUAUAAACAGUGCCAUUUUACUUAUUUUAGUUGUGGUGUUUAGGGUUGAAAACGCCAAGAGUUUGAUUUAACUGAUGUCGAAACGACAGCGUUUGACUGUAUAUUUUGUGGCACUUAAGUAUAAACGCCGCAACUGGGUUAAAUAGGAAAAAAACGGUGUUGUUUGUUUUCCAUCCUUUUGACCGAAACAAAACCAAAAACCCCGAUUAAUCUCCCUCCCCCCAAACUGUCAUCUCCCCCAAAUCCCUAAAUUCCCCUAAUCCCUAACAGUUCCCCAAACCCGACGUAUCCCUGUAAGGCGCCGUCUGCUUUGCCACAUCACAGUCUCCCUGCGUCUCUGGUGCCCCAACAAUCGGUAAGCUCGGCAUCUUCCUUUUUCUUUUUCAUGCGUGGAUGUUAUCUGGAAUACCGAUUUUGAACAAAAAAAUCCAUAAACAUUAAACAAUGUCUGUUUUGGUAAAGAAAACAAUGAACUCCCUUUUUUUUCAUAAACAUUAAACUUCUCCUUUUUGGUAAAUCCAUAAACAUUAAACUUCUCCUUUUUUUCCUCUUGUUGGUAAAGAAAACAAUGAGCUCCCUCACAUUCUCAGUUUCAGGCACAAAACAGACAUUGAAGAUCUCAUCUUUUUCCCUUGUUUGAAAACAAAUGCGUUACUCAAAUAAAUCAAAUUCCGCUUAAACCCUUUUGUUCUUUUUUUGGUCUCCCAAGCUGUUUCUCUUUUGGUUCCUUUAAUAAGUUCAAGAACAGACAGGAAAACAUAAUUUCUUGUAUAUAUUCAUUAAACAAAAGCAUGUUGCUUUAUCUGUUAACUGGUUAGGGUUUCUUGUUAUUGGAGGUCAAGUUCUUUGUGUUUCAGAGUUUGUCAUGUUUCUUUUUUCCUGCUAAGGAAGAAGUUUCUGAAUUAUAAAGUUAUGUUGUUUUUAUUUUCCUCAUUGAAUUCCUUGGUCAAUCAUGCAGACUGAGCUGAAAAGAUUGGAAUUUAAUGAGAUUUCAUGGAAGCAAAAACAACUUGCUAAUUUGUUACAUAUCUUAUUCUGGUCAGUUCUCAUUUUCUUUAGCUCUAUUAUUACUUUUUGGUGUUGUGUUCAUAUACAAUUUACUUGUUAAUUAUUAGUUGAACUUUCAGAUUUCCCCCCUUUUUUCUGUUUGUUAAAAAUUCUAUUUUGGGGGCUUUGGUUUUUCUUUUAGAAGGACUUUUUUUUUCUCUACUUACUCCAAAUGCUGUUAAACUACUUCUUUUCUGUAAAAUCCUAAACAAUUUCUUUUUUUCCCCUUAUUUUUCUUCAUAAUGCUAGAUGGGAUAGUUUACUUUUCCCAGAAAAAAAAAAAGAGAACAAGAUAUGAGUUGAUAUCAAGAUGGAUUUACCAAAACAUUAAACUGAGAAUCUGGAAUACUGAUUUUCAAUGUCUGUUUUGUUUUUGAUAUGCUUGAGCUUAGGUUGAUUUAUUUGUUAACUUGUUAGUUCAGUGCAACUAUUUACUCUAUCUUUUUUUUUGUUUAGUAGCUAUUUAUUUAUUCGUUAUUACUUUUUCAAAGUUUUAAUAUUUUCUAAGUAUUUAAAUUUUUCAGUAACUAUAUAUGCAGUAAAGGUUUAGUGUUUUAAUAUUUUCUAAGUAUUUGAAAUUUUUUAAAAUUGUUUGUGCAUAGAUGGCAUUCUUUAUUUUAACAUAUUUGAGAUUACUCAGUUCUGUAACAUGCAACUUGAUUUUGUAUUUACAUCAUUGUAUUGUCUUCAUUAAUGGACGGUAAACAGCUGACUGCUUUUAGUUGAUCUUAUGUUUACAUGCAACUUGAUCUUAUGUUUCACUUGACUUUAUCAAUUGAUACUUUGUUUAGUUACUUUUCUAUAGUUUCGUAAACACCUGGCUGCUUAUGUUUUCUGUUUUCUAUAUAUUUGGUUUACGGUCAUUGGUAUUCAUUAAGUUUUUAUAUUUGGUUCUCAUAUUGGUAAAGUUUUAAGGUGCCAUUUAAUGUUUCCAAGUAAUAUUUGUUUGUGAUAUCGAUAAAGUUUUACAUAUUUGAUGGCUAAACUAAAAAAAUAUUUGGUGCUAGUCUGAUCAUGGUUCAUCUAUUGUAGGCAGAAAUAAUAUUUGNNNNNNNNNNNNNNNNNNNNNNNNNNNNNNNNNNNNNNNNNNNNNNNNNNNNNNNNNNNNNNNNNNNNNNNNNNNNNNNNNNNNNNNNNNNNNNNNNNNNAAUUUGGGGUUUGUUGCGUGUGUUUUGCGGAACUAUUGUUUGGGCAGGUACAUGUUAAAAUUUGAACGUUUUUCCCCUUAUUUAUAUGCAUUUUCCCAAAUUGCUUAACAAAAUUCCUAUUCCUAACCGCAGUCUCUGUUUGCUGGUAAGAGUGAAGUAGACAAAGUUGAGUUAAAUAUUAAGGUAUGUUUUAGUUCAUAACUUAAAUCAGUAAUAGUUUUAUCAUGAUGAUUUUUGAAAAAAAAUUCUUUUGGGGCUCUGAUUUUGUAUACAUGUAAUUGGUUUUGGUUGUUUCCCUUUACCUUAUGUUUCAUUUUACUUAUUUUACAAUUGCCAUGUACUUUUCUGACUUAUGUUUUCUGUUAUCAUCCAUCAACGAUUGUUAUAUAUGUUGAGCAAAAUAGGAGCAAUUUACUAAAUUGUACUGGGAUUUGGAUAAAAAUUUUUUUAUUUUAAAAUUAUUCGAUAUUUCUUAACUACACGUUUCAUUUAAGAACAAAUUAAUCCACUUUAUUUUCACAGUUCAGUUUCAUUGAUAUGAAAUAUGCUUAAUUGAUGUGUACAUAUUAUUCCAUAUCGCAAGUAAAUAUUUUAUUUAAAUCAAAUUUAUUUUUAUUUGUUUUAAAGUUAAAAUUAACAAAACAUACAUAACUUAAAGCUAAAAUUUCUUAACUUUUGUAAAUGGUAUUAACUUGCUUAAUAUAAAUUAAACUUAUAUAAUAUUAAGAUCAAAUUUCAAGACUUGCAAAAUCUUUGGAUCAGAUUUCAUAAUUUAUGUAUUUUAUGUAACUUACAUAAUAUAUAACAUGCAUAUAACUUUUGUAAAUGGUAUUAACUUGCUUAAUAUAAAUUAAACUUAUAUAAUAUUAAGAUCAAAUUUCAAGACUUGCAAAAUCUUUGGAUCAGAUUUCAUAAUUUAUGUAUUUUAUGUAACUUACAUAAUAUAUAACAUGCAUAUAGCUUAAGUAACAGUAAUUUCAGAUCUACUUUCACUACUUACAUAGCUUUUAGCAGGACACUUCAUAACUUAUAUAAUAUUAAGAUAAAAUUUCUAAUCACACAUCAAUUGGAAAUAAAAUAAAAUUAAUAUAACUUAUAUAAUAUUAAGAUUACUUAUAUAGUAUUAAGACAAAAUUUCUAAUUACAUAACUUACAUAAAUUAAAUAACUUACAUAACUUACAUAAAUUAAAUAACUUACAUAACUUACAUAAAUUAAAUAACUUUCAUAACUUACAUUAUACAUAACCUUCUUAACUUACAUUAUACACGACUCACAUAAUUAAUAUUAUACACAACUUUCAUAAUACAUUACUUACAUAACGUACAUUACUUACAGUACUUACAUAAUACAUAAUACAUAACUUACAUAACUUACAUAAUAAAUAAAAAUAUAUCAUACCAGAAAUUUCUGUAAUUCAUUUAUGGUUAGAACUGGCGUUUUAACUUACCAGUGCAAAUUAUUGUCAACGUCAGACUUCAAGAAUUAAGAAAUGGACCGGUCUUGGAUGAAUUUGUCAAGGGUUAGUAACAGUUAUCGAAAUGGAGUACAGUAUUUUCUAAAUUUUGCAUUUCAAUAUGCAAGCCAAGAGAACAUGAUUCUUCGCCCGUGUAAGAAGUGUGUCAACAUAAACUGGCAUUAUCGUAAGGUUGUAUACGAGCAUCUAAUUGUUGAUGGGUUUGUUCGGGGUUAUAAACAAUGGUUAUUUCAUAGAGAAUGCUCGCCUAGUACUUCCUCUUCUACGAUGGAUGUAUCUUAUCCUGAUACUGCUUACCAUCAGUUUGAUAGAGGGGAUGACAUGGAAGGUAUGUUGCGGGAUGCAUUUAAUAUGCACAAUCAUGGUGUGCAAUCAUUCCCAGCAGAUUUUGUGGCAUCUGAUGAUUGUAAUAUUGGUGGAACUACUUUUACCGAACUGGGAAGUAGUGUACCUCAUGAAGAGCCGAAUGUAGAAGCGGCAAAGUUCUACGUUCUACUUAAUGACAUGAACGAAGAACUGUAUGAGGGAUUAAAUUUUCAAAAAUGUCUUUUUGUGUUCGUCUUUUUCAGUUAAAAUGUUUGGGAGGGUGGACCGGAAACUCGUUGACAAUGCUGUAAGAGUUUUUGAGAGAAAUGUUUCCGUUUGCAAAAAUCCCUCAGUCAUGCAAAGAUAUGAAGAAAAUGAUAAAAGAUUUAGGCCUUGGGUACAACAAAAUCCAUAGUUGCCCAAAUGACUGCAUGUUGUAUUGGGGCGAUCGGAAAAACCAACAGUGCUGUCAUGUAUGCGGCCAAUCCCGUUGGAUAAAUAGAAACACAGAAGACGGGAACGACGAUGAAAAUGAUGCACAAUUGAGGAAGAAGCCAGUCAAGAUUUUGCGGUAUUUUCCCCUCAUACCAAGGCUUCAAAGGCUUUUCAUGUCGUCGAAAACAGUGGAGUCUAUGGGAAGAAGUUCUCUUACAUGGGGCAUCGUCGGUGGUUACCGAAAAAUCAUAGAUUUAGAUUUUAGAGUUCUGCAUUUGACGGCACUGAAGAGUUCAGAGAAGCUCAUUCGCAGACCAGUGGCUUUGAAAUCUCGUUCGUGUUGGAGGAUAUGAAUUUCAUUUAUGGGAAGAUGAACCAACCGCCAAACACGCAAAGAAAUAGAAGAUCAAAUGAUGAAGCUGAUGAUGACUCAGAUGAAGAGGAUGAUCCUAAUGAGACGGACUUGUGGAAAAAAAAAAGCAUUUUUUUGAGUUGCCUUAUUGGGAGCACCACCUAUUACGACACAAUCUUGACGUUAUGCAUAUUGAGAAAAAUGUCUGCGAGAACAUUGUCGGUACAAUUUUGAAUGUAGACGAAAAAUCAAAAGACAAUCUUCAGAGUCAACUUGAUUUAGUUCAGAUGGGAAUUCGACCUGAUCUUCAUCCGAAUCCACUUCCGAAUGGGAAAUAUCGGUUGCCGCCUUCAAUUUUCUCAAUGUCCAAGACGGAGAAAGAACUAUUUUGCAUGGUGUUGAAGGAUAUAAAGGUUCCAGAUGCGUAUGCAUCAAACAUAUCUCAAUGUGUUAGUGUUAAAUAUCGAAGAUUAUAUUCGCUAAAAUCACAUGACUAUCACAUCUUGAUGCAAGAUUUACUGCCAGUUGCUCUACGAUGUUGUAUGUCAAGAAGGUGACGUCUUGUAUAAUUGAACUAUCCAAUAUAAUGAAAGCCAUUUGUGGCAAAGUGUUGGAUGUUCAAGAACUUUAGAAGGUACAGGAUCGAGCCGCUUUGACUUUAUGCAACAUGGAGAAAAUCUUCCCACCUUCCUUCUUCACCAUUACGGUUCACUUGAUAAUCCAUCUCCCGCAUGAAGCAAUUCUUGGCGGACCCAUUUUCUAUCGAUGGAUGUAUCCCAUAGAAAGGUGUUAAUUAAAAAUUUUAAAAUUUUCCAAUAUUCACCUCUAUGCCUUUAGUUACAACUUUUGAUAAUGUUGUAUAUUGUGUUUAGGUUCCUAUCCAAAUUAAAGUCUUACUGCAGCAACAAGCGAUAUCCAGAAGGAUCGAUUGCUGAAGGCUACUUGGCAGAGGAAUGUAUGACCUUCUGCUCAAGAUAUUUGGAAGAUGUUGAAACAAGGUUGAACAGACCAAAUAGGAAUGCUGGACUCACAGACCAUAACUUAGCCGAUACUUAUUUGUUCCAAAGUUUUGGAGAACCAAUCGGUAAAGUUGAAAUUGCAGAAUUAGAUCAUUUAUCGUGGGUAUAAGCACAUUGAUAUGUUCUGUUUCACCACGAAUCAAUAGAACCUUUACGGAAGAAAGUUUUACAAAUUUGAUAAAUAUUUAUCAAGUUAAAAAUUGUUUAUCUUCUAACAAAGUGAACAUUUUUUUAACAUAGUGAGUACAAACAAAUAUUGAGAUCUCGUUCGCGCUCCCGAAGAACACAACAUCGAGAUAUCAAUAAGUUGUUUACAGAAUCUUUUUAUGAAUGGUUAAGCCAAACGGUAUGCAGUUGGAGCUUCCGCUUACAAAUAAUAAUGUUUUCUCAUAACAUUUUUAAUUACUCAGUUUACUUUCCAUUCAAUAGGUUUGGAGUGGGAAGAAUGUAAACGACAAAGUUAAAUGGCUCUCCCAAGGUCCAAAUCGAGUGGUUAAAAGAUAUAGUGCGUUCCUCAUCAACGGAUUCAGAUUUCAUACUAAAUAUCGCGAGAGGUUGAGGACAACGCAAAAUUGUGGAAUAGUUGUUAAUUCUGCAAUUACAAGUUAUGCUAGUGCUAGGGACAAUAAUCCCGUCGAGGGAAAUGUAGAAUAUUUCAGACAUCUUACUGACAUAAUUGAGUUGGAUUACUAUGGCAAAUGGAAAGUUGUCUUAUUUCGAGGUGAUUGGGCCGAUGUUNNNNNNNNNNNNNNNNNNNNNNNNNNNNNNNNNNNNNNNNNNNNNNNNNNNNNNNNNNNNNNNNNNNNNNNNNNNNNNNNNNNNNNNNNNNNNNNNNNNNNNNNNNNNNNNNNNNNNNNNNNNNNNNNNNNNNNNNNNNNNNNNNNNNNNNNNGGUUGGUACGUUGUACUCCGUAACAUCCCCAGAGACUUGUUUGACAUGGGCAGUGGAAGUAGAGAUAACAUCGACGACAGAUCAGAAACUUUGCCCUUUUCAGAACAAAACUUAAACAAUAAUAUCCCUAGUACUAGUGCACAAUUUCAAUGGGUUCGUCAGGAUACGGAUGAAGAUAUUUAUGAAUAAUGAUGUAGUAAGAUUUUAUGAUUGUUUAAUUAUAUGUAAUAUCAUAAUUUAAAUCUUGGUCUUAUUAUAUAUUUUAACUAUUUUAUAUGUGCAGUUAUUGUUGUAAUUAGUUAUUAAGUUUACUUACAUUUUAUGUGUAUUGCAGAUAAAAUGCCUAGAAGAAAAAUUCUAAGGGGAAGCAUUGCUCAAAAUGAUCCAAACUCGACAGAAACAAAUAGUACUGAACAACAGACAGCAAUUGAAUCUUCGAAUGUUUCGAUUACACCUGAGGAUCCUACAGAAGUUCAAAGUAAUUUUACAUUUAAUUUACAUGUGUGUUUACUUAUAAUUGAUUUGUUUUUCAAAUUCUUAUAUUAUAAUAUACCAUUUGUAGCUGAAAAUGGUGGGACGCGCAGAGGUCGAGGACGUACGCUACUUAGAGAGUUAUACGAGUUAGAUCCAGUCGAGCGUGUCAAAGUUGGACGAAACAGUUUUGGUCAGCCUGUUGGAUCAGAAGCUCGACUUUUACCAGGAUACAUGGCAUUUUAGCACGAAAUGUGAAUAUGUUACCUAUCAACUAUGAGUCAUGGCGUCAAAUGUCCGAUAGCAACAAAAACCAAGCCCUCGAUAAUAUUAAGGUAACAAAAUGUUAAUGUCAUCUGUAAUGCUUGGGAAAUAGUUUCAUUUAUAUUUACUUUAUUAACUUGUGUUUUUUGUAGGCGAGGUUUGCUUUAGAGGUCUCGGAUGCUUACGUAAAAAGGCAUUGGGAAAAAGAUAGAGAGACAAUAAAAGUACUUUGAAGAAAAAUUAUUAUAAGACAAAAACAACCCUCGAUGAGAAAUUGCAAAAUGUCCCGCCGGGUAUGUUGAGGUACCAAUGGGAAGAUGCGGUUAGAUUUUGGCAUUCGAAGAAAGGCGAGGUAUGACGUGCUUCCAAACUAUUGUAAUUAUUUUGGUUUAUAGUAUUUACUAUUUACGUACUAAAAAUUUCAUAACGUAGGAUCGUGAACAAGUUGAAAAAAGCAGCAGGCAGAAACAAAAAUUCACUCACGCAGCUGGGUCGAGAAGUUUUGCAUGUGUAGCUGAGGCGGAGGUAUUUUAAUUUUUUAAUAUUUUCAAAUAUGUAUAACUUUCCAUUAAAUAAUAUUUUUACUACUAUAUUGUAGGAACUGUCGUCCGGUCAAAAAGUUGGAUGCCUUCAACUUUUUGAAAUUACACAUAGGAAGAAAGAUGAAUCUCCCAUGACUCCUGAAGCUGGUGAAAUAAUGGUUCGUUUACUUAAUACGAUUUGACUUGUUUUAGUUAUUUAUAGUGUUUAUUUUCUAAUGGUUUAAUUCAUUCCUUGUAAUGCGACUAUUGUUAUGUUGCAUAUGUUUUUUAAUAUAUAUUGCGUUCCUAACUAUGUGAUUUAUUUAUUAGGAAAAACUAAAGGACAAAAAGGCGGAGUACGAAGCGAUUGCUUCUAGUGAUAGUUCUGUUCAUCUUGAAGACAUUGAUAACCGGAUUAUUACUGAAGUUUUGGGUCCUGAAAGGUAUGGUCGGGUUCGAUUUCAAGGAUCUUUUAUUAGCCCAACCCAAUAUUUUGGAUCCAGCUUGCAGCAAUACAUGGCUUCGGGGAGUCAGGCUCAAGCUGAAGUUCAGAGGUUAAAAGACCAGAUGGCUCAGAUGCAAGUGACCACAAUUGAGGUUCAAAGGAAAUAUGAAGAACUCCAGCUACAACUUAAAGCAGAGGCGGCAGCGAGGGAAGUAGCGGCUGCAGCGAGGGAAGCAGAGGCUGCAGCGAGAGAAGCAGAGCAGAGCAAAAAGUACGACGAACUCCAGCAGCAGCUUCAGACUAUGAUGAAGAUGUUUCAGUCGCAACUUCUGCCGUCAUAGUGUAUUGCAUAAAUAUUUUUAUCAUUUUAACAUUUAACAUUUUUGCAAAAAUAAUAUGAAUUCACUUUUAUUUAUUGAUAUUAAUAUUAUUUUAUUCGUUUAAUUUGAAAUAUUAUAUAAAUUUAUUGCUUUUGGCUGGUUUAGAUCUGGUUGCUUUUGAUUUGUUACUACAAGAGGGCUGAAAAAAUUAAAAAUUUAAUAUAAAAAAUCCCAAAAAUAGUGGCGUUUUUGUAUAAAAGUGCCGCUAAAGAUAAUGUUCUUUUACGGCGCUUACAAAAAAACACCGUUAAAGACCAUGUUCUUCAGCGGCGCUUAGAAAGAAACGCCGCUAAAGACAAUGUUCUUUAGAGGCACUUAGAAAGAAACGCCGCUAAAGACCAUGUUCUUUAGCGGCGCUUAGAAAAAAACGCCGCUAAAGACCAUGUUCUUUAGCAGCGCUUAGAAAAUAAACGCCGCUAAAGAGCAUGUUCUUUAGCGGCGCUUAGAAAGGAAUGCCGCCAAAGACCAUGUUCUUUAGAGGCGUUUUUUUUAAGCGCCGCUAAAAAACAUGGUCUUUAGCGGCGUUUCUGUUUGUAAACGUUGCAAACGUUUGCGACGUUUUCGUUAGCAGCCUUUUUUGCGGCGCUUGUAGAAGCGCCGCAAAUACCUUUAGUGGCGUUAAAAAGCGCCGCUAAAGGCCUAAAAAAACGCCGCUAAAGACCUGUUUUGGUGUAGUGUGUGAUAAAAUCUCAGUAGCGAAGAUAUGAAUGUUGCAAAAUACCAUACAAAAUCACAACCACAUUUGUUAGUAUGACUAUUUUGGGUAAUCAAAGGAAAAAAAUGUUAGUUGUUGAGCAAACAAGGUGAACAAAUUAGAUAUUCCAAUUACGUUCAAGCACUUGACAAAUCCUUUCUGCAAUGGCUUCAGCACGCAUCCUAGGACCUUCAUCAUCUGCAAAAAUCGACCAUUUCUAACAACUAAGCUAACAUCACACAUGAUAAUAUAUGUAUAUAACAUGUAUAGAAGAUGAUUAUGUGAAUUAAAAGCUAUGUUAGUUUGACUCAAUACAUGACCAUGGGACAUGCACGAUUCUUCAAUAACGAUAUGAAAAUACUUGGAAGAAAAAUUAAAUACAUCAAUAUCUAACAUUUACAUCUAAGCAUGUUUAAUGGUCCUCUUUCCUUAGCCAAAAUUUGGCUUAUUUUAGUAGCUAUUCUGACCCAUUUUUCUUGACCAAAAUGCCCUUGAACGUGUCUUUUUAUUCUUUUUAUUGGUGUUUUAGUUGGACAAGGACUACCCUUGAUGUCAUUUUUGGUCUCCUCAUGACAAUAUUGCAAUAUCCAACAUAAGGUAUCGCGAUAUCGUGGACUGUCUCAAAUGGGGGUCUUCCUUGGUAGUUGGGUAUCACAAUACCUAAGGGGGAUAUCAUGAUACCACUAUAGGUGGUCUUCACUUCAAUCCUGUGGGAGGUAUCGCUAUGUCCAUGUUGUGAUGUCGUGAUACCCCUUUCCUUUGUUAUGUUUUUGCAUAAUUUAGGGUCACCGUCAAGUUCCUACAACACUAAAUUGAUCAUUAGGGUCCAAAUGGCACAUUUACCAAUUUGAGUCUUAAAAUGAGCACAAAACACAUUAAACACUUAUUAAAUAAAAAAUCUAAAAUCUACAGUAAACUACGGAAAAAAACACUAAUUUGCUUGAAAACAACCUCCUUAAGUAUAAUGAGGAACCCUAAAUUGACAUAUCAAAUUACGGUUGCUCAGUUGUCCUUUUGAUUCGAACCCACAACCUGAGUUGUUGAGGUGAUCACCCAAUGUCACUUGGCCAAGAGUUUGGGUACUAUGUACUAACUUGAAGUUGAGGCAUAUUGUUAAGAAGAUUUCAAUUUGAAAUGUUUAAUUUUUUGAAUUUAACUCGAAUAAAUUUAUUUAACUCAACUUAAAUUUUAUUUCACUCAACUUGAUUAAAAAAAUUUCAAAUCAAGUUAAGAUGAUAAAAUAGGAUUCAUUAACUCGAUGUACUUGAAAUUGUUUUCACAAGAUUCGAUCAAACGCUCAACCCGUUACAUGAGAUGAUGUUUAGGGAUUUGUUCUGUAAAAUCAUUUUUUUCUCAAUCAUUCCUCAUAAUAUGGAAAAUAAUAAGUUAAGUUAUGCCAUUAGUCCUUGUAUUUCACAAAAGUUGUGGAUAUAAUCUCUAUACUUUAGUUGGUCAUUUUUAAUAAAUGUACUUUUCAAAUUUGAAAAUUUUAAUCCUCGCCAAAUGAUAAUUGUUAAAUUCAUUAAAUUAAGCUUUGUUGUUUUCAAAAUAUUACAUGACAAACAAAUUAUUAUAUGUGUAAUGCCAUGUCAACUUGUUAUUUUCACAUAUACUCACCAAAAUUCUACUUAAUGGAUUAAAGACUUUCUUUCGUGUGGAUAUUGAAAUUUCAAAAUUCAAAAAGUAGAGGGACUCAAAAUGAUCUAAGUGGAGAAUAUAGACUAAAUCUAUAACUAUACUCAUAGUAUAGGACUAGUAAUUGACCAAAUAAAUUUAAUUGCUACAUUUUAGGUUAAAACUAAAAUUUCAAAAUUAAAAAAAUACAGAAAUUGAAGUUGACAAAUUCAAAAAAUAUACAUAUUAAAAUUGAUCAAAUUAAAAGUGCACUGACUAACCUUAAUUUUUUGUUAAUAUUUCUUUUCCCUUAAUUAAAUGUAUAUUGUAUAUCUUAAUAUAUAAAUAUAUAUUUUUUAAAAAUUAAAUAUAUGUAUUAUAUACAUUCUUGGAAUGCUCCAUUCAACGAAUUUAUUUCAGCUCCAUAUGCUUAAAACACUUCCCAUUUCUAACAUAUUUCCUCAUUUUGGGUAACCCGAUUGGUAUACAACGUAAUCUUUUUCAUUGUUUAGUAUCUUAAUCCUUAACUCAAUAAUAUUUGUUACGAUAGAGUCUAAUGGUUGCAAUUUAUCUUGACACUUUCGAAGGAAAAAAAUUUAAAUUUCACCGAUUAAUUACAUGUCAACACAUAUAAUUCACAAUAUGUAUAUCUCAAAGAUUAAAUAAGAUAAACUAAAUCACAAAGAAAACAAACGAGUAAACAUAAUCUAGAAAUUCCAAAUUACAUUAUCUAAGAAAAAUUCAAUGAGAAAUAAAUUGUUGCAUUUCAUUCUUUAGGGAUGUGUGAGUCAAGAUGUCCGAAUCUUAAAAUGUAAGGUCGAAACAGGAGAAAUAUCCUAAAACUCGAUGCUAAAAGAUUUAUAAAAUUCAGUAUAAUCAUGUUGUUUUCAUUAUAAAACUCAAUGUUAAAAUGUCUAUGAUUCGAAAUUAUGAUACAAGAGAAAAAUAGCUAACUAUUUUAAAUUCAAGGUGUGAGAAAAUCCCAAUCGCUAAGAUAUGAAUGUUGUAAAAUACCACUCAAUCACAGCCACAUUUGUAAGUAUGACUACUUUGGAUGAAAAGUUCUAUUCCAAGUUAUAUAUACACAUAGAAAUACAGAUGAACUGGAUUAAUGGUGUAUUAUUUAAGUAAAGAAAAAGGGUUCUAACUAAAAGAAAGAGUUGAAAUCUUGAACCUCUAAAUAUUGGGUAACCGCUGGUGUUAAAAAGUGCAUAAAGGUCCAUGCUUAUGUACAAGAAACAAUGUAUGAAUCACGUACGUUGUUUAUAUUCACGUUGUUUAUAAAUAAAGGAAUAGUUUUUUUGCCUUUUUUAAAUGGUUUUCUUGUUUCUUUUCCGCUUUUUAAAUUCUUCAUUUCAAUUUAACUUCAAAAAACCAUACUAAAUAUAUAUAUAUAUAUAUAUAUAUAUAUAUAUAUGUUUAUAUUUACUUUUCUUGCUACACAAGCAAGCCAAAACCAUAAACAAAGGCAUGCUUUUUUUUUUCCUUUUUCUAAUGAUUUUCUUUAUUCUUUGUUGUUUUUAAAGUUCUUCAUUCAAUUCAGGUUCAAGAAACCAUACUAAAUAUGUAUAUUUAUAUUCGCUUUCUUUGCUACACAAGCAAGCUGAAACCAUAAACAAAGGCAUACAUUUUUAUCCUUUUUUAAAUAGCUUUCUUGUUUCUUUGUUAUUUUUUAGAUUCUUCGUUCAAUUAAGUUCAAAAAACUAUAUGUGUUUAUAUUCAAAAAACCAUAAACAAAGGCAUACCCUUUUUUUUUCCUUUUUUACCGUUGCUACUUUUUAGAUUCUUCAUUCAAUUCAAGUUCAAAAAACCAUACUAUAUAUAUAUAUAUGUUUAUAUUCACUUUUCUUGUUACACAAGUCAACCAAAACCAUAAACAAAGGCUUAACUUUUUCGCUUUUUUUAAAAUGAUUUUUUCGUUGCUGCUUUUUUAAAUUUGUAUUCAAUUUAAGUUCAAAAACCCUUAUAUAUAUAUAUAUAUAUAUAUAUAUAUAUAUAUAUAUAUAAUAGAGNNNNNNNNNNNNNNNNNNNNNNNNNNNNNNNNNNNNNNNNNNNNNNNNNNNNNNNNNNNNNNNNNNNNNNNNNNNNNNNNNNNNNNNNNNNNNNNNNNNNNNNNNNNNNNNNNNNNNNNNNNNNNNNNNNNNNNNNNNNNNNNNNNNNNNNNNNNNNNNNNNNNNNNNNNNNNNNNNNNNNNNNNNNNNNNNNNNNNNNNNNNNNNNNNNNNNNNNNNNNNNNNNNNNNNNNNNNNNNNNNNNNNNNNNNNNNNNNNNNNNNNNNNNNNNNNNNNNNNNNNNNNNNNNNNNNNNNNNNNNNNNNNNNNNNNNNNNNNNNNNNNNNNNNNNNNNNNNNNNNNNNNNNNNNNNNNNNNNNNNNNNNNNNNNNNNNNNNNNNNNNNNNNNNNNNNNNNNNNNNNNNNNNNNNNNNNNNNNNNNNNNNNNNNNNNNNNNNNNNNNNNNNNNNNNNNNNNNNNNNNNNNNNNNNNNNNNNNNNNNNNNNNNNNNNNNNNNNNNNNNNNNNNNNNNNNNNNNNNNNNNNNNNNNNNNNNNNNNNNNNNNNNNNNNNNNNNNNNNNNNNNNNNNNNNNNNNNNNNNNNNNNNNNNNNNNNNNNNNNNNNNNNNNNNNNNNNNNNNNNNNNNNNNNNNNNNNNNNNNNNNNNNNNNNNNNNNNNNNNNNNNNNNNNNNNNNNNNNNNNNNNNNNNNNNNNNNNNNNNNNNNNNNNNNNNNNNNNNNNNNNNNNNNNNNNNNNNNNNNNNNNNNNNNNNNNNNNNNNNNNNNNNNNNNNNNNNNNNNNNNNNNNNNNNNNNNNNNNNNNNNNNNNNNNNNNNNNNNNNNNNNNNNNNNNNNNNNNNNNNNNNNNNNNNNNNNNNNNNNNNNNNNNNNNNNNNNNNNNNNNNNNNNNNNNNNNNNNNNNNNNNNNNNNNNNNNNNNNNNNNNNNNNNNNNNNNNNNNNNNNNNNNNNNNNNNNNNNNNNNNNNNNNNNNNNNNNNNNNNNNNNNNNNNNNNNNNNNNNNNNNNNNNNNNNNNNNNNNNNNNNNNNNNNNNNNNNNNNNNNNNNNNNNNNNNNNNNNNNNNNNNNNNNNNNNNNNNNNNCAUGAGUUGAUUAUGAGUAGUUUCAUGUUAUGGAAAAAAGAUGUUAGUUAAAAUUAGUUAGUUGAGAGUUCAAUGAAACGAUACGUUUUGAUGUUUAAUGAAAACGGUGCGUAUUGAAAGUUUGAUACAACUAGUCGAGUAACAAGCCUUUAACAAACUUUGUAACUACCAAUUCUGAAGCCUUACAGGAAGUGCCAACUUUUGAUUUUGUUUGUAAUCCUCGCUUUAAAAAAAUAUUCCAAAUAUGCUUCCUCACCUUAUCAUUUUUGUUAUUUUUCAAGUGCCCUUACCAUUCUAUAUUUUCAAUGGUUAAAUUGUAAAAAUGGUUACCUAAUUAUUGCUUUCGUUCUAUUUUAAUCACUAAAUUAUUAAUUUUUUAUUUAGUUACUAAAUUUUUUGAAAUUAAAUAUUUUGACCACUCUCGCAUUAGUUAUCGUUAGAUGAGUGAUAGGAAGUUAAUGUGGGUUGUUUUUAUUGGUCUAAUAACAAAUUUAAUAAUCUAAUGUUUAUACAUUCUAUUAGUUUGAUUUUAAAUAUAAAAUGUUCAACAAAUUUAACCCUAAAUGUUUACAAAAUCUAUUGUUAUAGUUCGAAUCUGGAGGUGAUCAUGGGCCAGGCCGGGCUGGGUUCGGGCCCAAAAAAAGUUUCAUCCCGCUUGCUAGGCCCGUGCCUGACCCGGGAAAAAAUAUGAAGUCCGAGCCCGGCCCGGCCCUUUUUUAAUUUUUAAUUUAAAACUUAAAACUUAAUUUAAAACAAAAGUUAAAUUUUUAAUUUUUAAUUUUUUAAUAUAAUGUUAGUAAAAAAAAAGUUAAAACUUAAAUUAAAACUUAAAACUAAAUGUUAGUAAGAACCAUUUAAAAAUAAUUUUUAAUUUUUAAUUUUUAAUAUAAUUUAAUAUUUAAUUUAAGCCUAUAUACGUAUGGGCCUUUCCCUGUUACGUGGGUACUGCACAAAUGGGCUUACAACGAAUUUUGAUGCUUAUUUUACCCAAUACACCUAACACUAUAACCAUUAAUAAAAUGUAGUAUAUUAAAAAUAUAUAUAUUUAAUAUGUAUUCGAGUCGGGCGGGCAGGGCCAGACAAAAAAAUUUUACCUAAGGCCUGGCUCGUUUUUUAAACGGGCAUCGUUUGUUGCCCAAACCCAUAUUUCGGGCCUAUAGUUUUACCCAAACGGGCGGGCCGUUGGGCCGGCCAGACCCAUGAUCACCUCUAUUCGAAUCCUAAAAAUUUCAAUAAGUUUAUUCCUCAAAAUUUGUAAAUUUAAUUUUAAUUCCAAAAAUUUUAGAAAAGGAAAGAUAUAUUUUAUGGUAUAUAAAAGAAAAUCUAGCUCCAUCCAACAUUUUAAAUUCUUUUCUUUUCUCUUCACAUUUUCAUGGCAACGAAAAAACCAACUCAUGGAUGAAUUAAGCAAAUUAAAUCAAAUCAAAUAAAUCGAACAAGGAAUUUAAUUAAAAAGAAAUUCUUCACAUGCAUCAAGGAGGGACUUCCUCGGGUGGAAUCAAGGGGAUUGAUAGAAACAGCUCAGGCUCGAACAAGAACUUCAAUAGGCUUAAGAUCAGGAACAGACACAUCGGAUCAAAGCUGCAACACCUCAGGUCCACCGAACCGAGGCAGCAACACCGCCCUGCAACUGUUCACAUAGCACAAUGAUAUGAUAACUCCAUAAAGGGUUUGGGUUUUAAGCUUUGAAGUUCCCUUUUUUUCUACUCAAAUUUCCUGAAUUUCAGCUCCUUCCUUUUGUUAAAUGAAGGAAAAGCAAAGGAGAGACACGGAAGUGUGUUAAUCCACAUAGAAAAAAGUGAUUAUGUGACUUGUGAGUGGGGGCCUAGGAGGCGUGGAGGAAGAAGAAGAUGAACAUUGCAUAAUCAAUUUUUAAUUGCUUAUUACAUUCAUAAUUAAAUAAAUAAAAAUUUCUAACCUUAUCUAUUAAAUCAAGUUAGAAUGUCCAACUUGAUUUUUGUUUGUCAUAAGUAUCAUAUAUUAUAAAACUUAAUUAUAUUUUAACGCCACUAAAGGCAUUUGCAGCGCUUAAGGAAGCGCCACAAAAAAUGCCGCUAACGAUAACGUCGCUAACUUUUGCAGCGUUUACAGAAAAAAACGCCGCUAAAGGUCAUGUCCUUUAGCGGCGCUUAGGAAAAAAACACCGCUAAUGAUCAUGUUCUUUAGCGGCGCUUGGGAAAAAACGUCGCUGAUGAUCAUGUUCUUUAGCGGCGCUUGGGAAAAAACGCCGCUAAAGGACAUGAUCUUUAGCGGCACUUAGGAAAAAAACGCCGCUAAAGAUCAUGUUCUUUAGCGGCGUUUACAAAAAAACGCCGCUAAAACUAAUGUUCUAUAGCAGCGUUUGGUAAAAAACACCGCUAAAGAUCAUGUUCUUUAGCGGCGCUUCAUCUACAAACACCGCUAAAAGUAGUGUUCUUUAGCAGCACUUUCUUCACAAAUGCCACUAUAUGACAUGACUUUUAGCGGCGCUUUUUUAAUAAACGCCACUAAUUUUGGGAUUUUUUAAAAAUAAAAUUUCUAUUUUUUUCAGCCCUCCUGCAACAACAAAUAAAAAGCAACCAGAUCUAAACCAGCCAAAAACAAUAAAUUUAUAUAAUAUUUCAAAUUAAAUGAAUAAAAUAAUAUUAAUAUCAAUAAAUAAAAGUGAAUUCAUAAUUUUCAUUACAAAAACAUUAAAAGUUAAAAUGAUAAAAAUAUUUAUGCAAUAUACACUAUGACGGCGGAAGUUGCGACUACUGAAACAUCUUCAUCAUAAUCUGAAGCUGCUGCUGAAACAUCUUCAUCAUAACAGACAGUAUUAAAUUAAAAAAUAGUGAUAACUUGUAAGUGAGAAAAACAUAUGAAAAGAGACAAACUCCAGUUAAGUAGUAAAAUCAUACAAGAAAUCAAAGACAGUAGGAAACAAACAAAGAGUAUAUAUACGACCUUAAAAAUCAUACUAAAAAGCAACAUGGCUUAAUAAAAUUCAACUUAAAAAUGUAAACUCUUUACCUGGAAAUGUAAUCGGCUGCACCACAUUUAACAGAACAGUUUUAUAAACUAAUAAAUUAAACCCUAAACUAGACAUCAAAGUUCCAUACUUUGAAAAUAGUACCAAAUGAGUUCAACACAUAAACAGUAACAAAGCAUGUGUUCUGUACCUUCAGAACGAUGACGGAAACUGAAAUGAAAGCAAUGAAAUGGAUUGACCAAAAACUGGAGAAGAAAAACAAAAGUUAAAAUCAGUUCCUAACAAAUUAAACCAUUCACAAAAACAGUAAUGAACAAUAGAAGCAGUAAUUUACCUUCACAAGGAUGACCAAAACAGUCGAACACCCCGAAAACCCUAAACACAGACAAUAAAAAGUUUUUUUUAAUUCCAGUAUCACCAACCAAUAAGAAAGCAAAAUCAAAAUUAUGUUUAUUACACAUAUUUAAUAUUUUCUUUAACUUAAUUUAACUUUAUUUAAAUUGUUUUAAUUAAUUUUUUAAAUUAUAAACAAACAUCUUUCUUCUUUUACAAAUUUUAAUCAUUUUGUUUUUUUUCAUAAGUUAAUAUUUUUUACUUUUCUGCAACCAAUUUUAAAAAAAUAGUAAUUUUUGUGCAAUAUUUUUCAUGUCAUUGACACAUGAUUUUGAUAAUUGUUCUAUCCUGAACCCAAAACCCCGAACCUUGAACUCGAACCCUGAACCUAAACCUUGAACCCCGAAUCUCACAGUUUAAGGUUUGGAUUCGAGAUUUCAAGUUCAGAAAUUGAGGUUCAAGUUUAAAGUUCAAGGGUUCAGGGUUAUGGGUUACGAGUUUAGGAUUCAUGAUUCAAGGAUUUGAGGUUACGAGUUUAGGGUUUUAUGUUUUGGAUCUAGGGUUUAGGAUUCUAGAUUCAGGGUAAAAAAAUAACCAAAAUUAUGUGUUAAUGACAUGGAAAAAAUUGUUGAAAUGUCAUUAAAUAAACGGAAAGGGACCAUGAAUAAUGUGGUCAGAAGAGUCUAUAAAAUAAUUUCUCUAUGGAUGAGUGUAUAAUAAUUCAUGCCUUUAAAAUUUGAUGAUGUGACAACAAAUUUUAAUUUUUAGGAUCAUCUUAAUGUAAGUUAUUACCUUAUCUUAAUUAUUGGACUAUAUGCUUGUUUAGUUUCUUAAGCACUUUCAUGGUAUUCUUUUAUAUGUUUAUCCUGGAUCCUUGCAUCAGAAAGAUGGAGGCGCAGGUAAACCAUUGUUAUCAAGAGUAAAGCCAAAGAAAGAUGUAGUUGAUUCGAACGACCAGCACAUCUCUUUACGACCCUAUUUAGCAAACCAAUCCGCUAACCUAUUGGCUCCUCGUCUGAUAACAUUGACUUUCAAAGAAGAAAGUUGCAUGACCAGCUUAUCAAAAACCUGAAGGACUAUCCUUAAUCUCCAUCUUCAAUCUUGACUCUUCUUCUUAAUAUUCGAAGCAAUAGUCUGGGAGUCAGUCUUGAUUGUCACAUUGGUCCAUUUGUUCUUCAUAGCUAAUUCAAUCCAUCCAACCAUAGCUUUAGCCUCGACAACCUCACAUUAAUCCACUUUAGCCUUUUACCAAUCCCAUCCAGCAUCUUCCCACUUAAAUUUCUGCCUAUUACUCUAAUACCAGCACAAGCUAUUAAGGUGUCAAAUGCCCCAUCACAACUAACUUUAACCCAACCUUCUGGUGGUUUCUCCCAAAUAUCAGCACAAGUUUUGACUUCCUAGUUCGAUCAGAGUUAUUGUUUGAACAGAGGAUCCAUUGAGCAGAUAAGAAUUCAUCCAUGGAGCAAUUAAUCCUUCGAAUAAUUCUCUCCAAACCAAGUUUCACACCUCCAAUUGUAACCUCACACCUAGCUUUCCAGAUGUGCUAGCAAGUGAAAACAAUUCCAACUUUGAAAUCCUCCCUCAUACAAGGCAUUUGUAACAACUUUGAGAACCAUCUGUCAAAGAUCAUUUAGCCCUUUGAAGACCAAAACAAGCCUCAUACCGUAUUCCCCUAACCAAUUACAACUAAGAAUAAUAUGUUCAAAGUCUCAUCUUCAAUACCACGUAAACAACAAAAUUGGGUUGGAAACACACUUUAUCUUUGUAAAGAAGACUCAUUUCCAUAGUGCUCUCUCAACUCCUUGUACCCUGACUUCAUCGGAUAUAGACCAACAGCUGUAAACGGCCACACCAAUUUAUCUUGUUCAUCAAUUUCAUUAAGGGGAGCUUUUAAUUUCGCAAUUUCAAUAUCUUCUAACCACAUUGAGAUACUGGGUAAGUCCCAAUUUAGUUCUUCUAAACAAAUGAUCUCAGCAACUCUUGUUGGCGAGGAUCCGUCAAUAUUUCCAGGAUGCUUUAAUUUCCUAUCUUUUAACUCCCAGCAACCAUCUAUCUUCCCAAAUACGGAUGCUUUCGCCAUUUAGCACUUGCCAAAUCAAAGUCUCCUUUCAAAAACUCUUUCCCUUCAAGAAUGCUACUCCACACCCAUGAUGACCUAGCUCCCUUUUUAGCUUCAAGGAAAUUAGAAGUCGGGAAAUAAAGUCCUUUUAAAAUCCUAGCCCAAAGAGCAUCAGCAUCCUGGACUAACUGUCAAGAUUGUUUUGCAAGUAGAGCAAGUCCUCCAAGCUUUUCAAUGAAUAAGUCUCUCAUUUUCCUUCUGCUGAAUUCAUUUCCACGCAUAAUUUUUUAGGAAAUUCGAAAAGAUAUGGUAUACAUUCACAACAAAAGGAAGAGGUAAGGUGAUAGAGGGUCACCUUACCUUAAGACCUCUAGAUGGAUAGUUUUUUUCUACUGGAUUUACCAUUAAUAAGCAAAGUGUAAGAAACACUCCUCACACACUCCAUUAUCCAAUCAAUCCAUGUUAAAGCAAAUCUCAUUUUUCUUAAAAUAGAUUCCAGAAAUCUCUACUCUACUCUGUCAUAUACUUUAUUCAUAUCGAGCUUCCAAGCAACCUCAUAUUUCUUAUCCCUCUUCUUCAAUUGCAAAUGAUGAAAACCUCUUGAGCAAUUAAGCUGUUUGUAUUUGUCUACCUACAGAAGCACUAUGAUUAUUCAUAAUCACUAACCUUAGAACUCCUUUCAAUAUAUUCACCAUGAUCUUCGAUAUGAUUUUAUAGGCAAAAUUAUAAAGAUUAAUUAGUCUAAAUUAUAUAAUUAAUUCAAAACAUUUAGUCUUUAGAAUUAAAAUUAUCUCAAUCUCAUUUAAACCCAUCGAAAAUUUCCCUUCCCUAAAAAAAAAAAAGAACUCUUAAUAGCUUCCAAAACAUCCUUUUUAAUAAUUUUCCAAUAAUUAUGAUAGAAAAUUCCGCUAAAAUCAUUUGUAAAAAAAGAGAUUAAUUUAAUUUUUUUGUAUGCUUAGUACAAUAGAAGUAAAAUCUUAUAAUUUUAUCUCUGAAUUCUCUCAACACAAUUUUCUGACCCUUAUUUAUAAUCUCAUUAAUUUGUAUCUAACAUGAUAUCCAAUUUAAAAUUAAAUAGUCUUUUUUAUAUAAUGAAUUAUAUAUUUAUUUGAAUCUCCUCUAAAAUUAAUUAGAGUGAAGUUUCUUAUUUAGUAUUGACUGUUCCAUAAAGUAUUCAAAGUUUUCAAAUAGAUUUAUUUUUUAGGUGUAGUUAAUAACCGUAAUAAAAACUAAAUUUUAUAAGUGAUGAAUUUAUAUUAAAUAUUACUUAAUAAAUUAAUAAAAUUUAAGUUUGAGUUCAUCUAUUUUUACAUUUCUUUUACCUACUUAAAUUAAUUCCUAAUUUUUCUUAUUUUUUUAAAAUUUAUUCCUAAUGUUUUAUACAGGAAAUAAAAUCGGUGAGGAAAUAAAAGAGUUGGGAGAGAACAUGGUUAAACAUUGUGCAGGGCUGCCAUUAGCCAUUGUUGUAUUGGGAGGAAUUUUGGCUACAAAGAAUAAUUCAUUAAAGGAAUGGCGAAAGAUAUCUGACAAUGUAAAAUCUUACUUGAAGAGGGGCAAAAAUCAAGGACCAGAGGAUGUGUUAGCAUUAAGUUAUGAUGAUUUGCCUCCCUAUCUAAGACCAUGUUUCCUCUAUCUAAGCCAUUUUCCGGAGGAUUAUAUGAUAGAUGUGGAUGGAUUGAUUCAAUUAUGGGUUGCUGAAGGUAUUGUGUCAUCAAAGCAAGAAGAAAGAGACGGUGGGGAAAUUGCGGAAGAUGUGGCGGAAUCUUAUUUAAUGGAGCUUGUGGAAAGGUGCUUGAUUCAAGUACGAGAAAGAGAUGUGGCAACCUUAAAGGUCAAAACGAUUCAGAUGCAUGAUCUGACGAGAGAUCUUUCAUUAUCAAAGGCAAAACAAGAAAAUUUUGUCUUCAUUAUUGAUCGAUCAAAUGCAUCUUCAUUAUCUAUGAUUCGGAAGGCUCGUAGGGUUUCUGUGCAUGAGUUUGUUUUCAUACAAUGCAUUAAAAGUCCAAAUAUUCGGUCACUUUUGUUCUUCAAUGAGUUCUUUCUGAUGGAGGCAGUUGAAAAAUCUUUGCCCUUGAAAGUGUUGAAUUACGUUGAAGAACAUGAAGAUGAUGAUUGUAAUCCACUUGUUUGGAUUCUUAUGAUUUCGGGAAUUAGUACGAUAGGUCUUAAAAUUCAGGGAAUUUGAAGAUACUUGUUCAACAACUUCCAAUUGCUAAGAGCCCUAAACUAUGAGAGAACAACACGUGAUAGUUUUGUAGGGUUUAAGUUACCCAGUGAUAUAGGUAAUCUCAUCCAUUUAAGAUUCUUGAGUCUAAAGGAUCUUGAGUUCUUAUGGCCAAAGUUGCCAUCAUCUCUAGGCAACUUAAGGUGUUGCAAACCUUGGAUUUAAGAGGUACGAAUUACAAAAUUCAUGUACCUAAUGUGAUAUGGAGGAUGGAGCAACUAAGACAUUUAUAUCUCCCUUCGAGAUGUGAAAGCAGUACUAAGUUGAAUUUGGGUACUUUGAGAAAACUCCUAACACUUGUGAACUUCAACACUAAGAAUUGUUAUCUGAAGGAUCUUAUCAACAUGACAAAUCUUAGAGAGUUGGGGAUAAAUUGGCCCUUCAAUAUUGAAAAUUUCAAUGAGAAGGAGUUGGGCGAGAAUCAACCUAUAAUCGGAAGUAAAUAUCUUCAUUCCUUGUCUAUUAUUACCUCUGGGUACGAAUCAAUAGAUCC